RNAcentral lists this long non-coding RNA (227854 nucleotides) under Vitis vinifera (wine grape). Its description in RNAcentral is "long non-coding RNA (VVIN_LNC006931)". The record is from RNAcentral. Lineage: Eukaryota; Viridiplantae; Streptophyta; Magnoliopsida; Vitales; Vitaceae.
ACCGAUCUCUUCCAUUCUCCUUCCUUCGUUUUGUUGUGGAUGUAAAAGACCUUCUGCCAUCCAUAAUAAAAUCAGCUUCUCUUUGUAGAAUUGGUGGUCCUGGGGAAAAAUAGAACAAUAAGCAAAACAAUGCUUCAGAGGUAAAGAAAGAUGAUGGUAGCUUAAUAUCAAAGAUGGAAGAAUUUCGGAGCCACUCUGCGGAUGCCAUAUUUCACUUUUCAACACAUCGUCCCAUUCCCUUUUUUCGACCUUAGAAUACAAGAGACAGCCGAGUGCUUUCACAGCCAAAGGCAAUCCUUGGCACUUGUCCACAAUCUGUCUGCCUAUGCGUUCAAGCUCAAGGAAUGCGUUGGAGUCUCGAUCUUGAAAUGCAUGCUUUUUAAACAGGGACCAACUAUCUUCAGAGCUUAAUUUCCCAAGAUGAUGAGUAGGGACUGCUCGCAUGGUUGUUGCAACAGAUUGAUCACGACUGGUCACGACAAUCUUGCUUCCCUCUGCUGCAGCGAGGAGUGGAGUUCGUAGAAUAUUCCAACCUUCACGAUCACUAAGCUCCAUAUAACCUUCAUCACGAGGCUUCAAAUUCCAGACGUCAUCAAGAACAAGCAGAAAUUUCUUGUUACUAAGUUGCUCUUUGAGUUGAAGCUGAAGCAAAUUUAGGUUGUCAGCAGAAGUAGGUGGAGAACGAAUUUCCUCAAGAAUUGUUUUGGUGAGUUUGAUAAGGAGAAACUCAGUGGAAACACAGACCCAUGCUUGCAAGUCGAAGUGUUUCUUCACUUCCUCAUCGUUAUAGAGAAGCCGAGCAAGCGUGGUCUUGCCGCUGCCGCCCAUGCCCACCAUGGACAUCACCCCCAUUUUGUCGCCUGUUGUAUUGUCAGAAAGCAACCACUCCACCAUCUCCUUCUGAAUUUCAUCCCUGCCGACAACAAUGGAGUCAUCCUCCAAAGAAGUGGAUAUUGGUGAUCUUGGUCUUGGUGACCGUUUCUCGCCCCCACCUUCUGCCAGCCCCAACCCAACUUUUUCUAGUGCGAUUUUUUCCAGUAGAUCAAUCAUGCCCCUGACCCUGGACUCCAUGCUUUUGAUAGCAAAUGGAGUCUUCACAGAAGCAGAGAACUUGUUCCAUUUCCACGCCUUAAGAGUUCCGCCGGUUUGGGAGUCAGCAGCUUCCAUCUUGCAACGCAAAGCGUCGGUAGCGAUCUCGUCCAACAGGUCUUCCGCAUCAUACACAGCACCCGUGACAUGGACGAGCCACUCUUUGACAUUUGGGUUUGAAAAUUGCUUCACCUCCGCAUCAUCGAGCACAUUGAGAACAACCACGAGUUUCCUCUUCAACUCGUUGAGGAGUUCAUCGCUAAGGUUCCGUCGCCGAAUGAAGUUUAUGAGCUCUGGAGAAGCCAACCUUUCGAAUAGAACUUGAAGCGAAGCUGAGAGGAGGGCGUCCGCCAUAUCUGUGUCGACUGUUGCUUUGCAAUAGGAAUUUAGAGGAUUGGUUUCUGUUACCGCGAUACCACCAAACUGCAAAAGACUGGGUUUGGAUCACCACACUGCAGAAUGCUUGAAGGAAUCAUUGUUGGUGGUGGACCUAGCUGCCAGAUAUUGGUGGUGGACCCAGCUUCACUGCAGAAUGCUUGAAUACACUGCAGAAUGCUUGAAGGAAUCAUUGUUGGUGGUGGACCUAGCUGCCAGAUAUUGGUGGUGGACCCAGCUUCACUGCAGAAUGCUUGAAUACACUGCAGAAUGCUUGAAGGAAUCAUUAUUGGUGGUGGAUCCAGCUACACUGCGGAAUGCUUGAAGGAUACAUUAUUGGUGGUGGACCCAGCUGCCAAUAUUUGUCAAACACCAUAAUUGAGUGGUGAGAAAAAGAACAGGAAAAGCAAGUGGGAGGUAGAUGCGCUUUCCCCGAGGCGAACGCAAGUGGAAGCUGGAUGGCGCAUGCCCUACAACAACAACAUUCGGUAUUUUUCUUUUUCAUCGACGCAUUUCUUCUUUCUUUCUUCUAGUAUUAUUAUUAGUAGACAUAUGCACACGAAUAUUUGUUUAUAACAUUAUCAUUCAUAAUAUUAUAAAAUUUAUUAUUAAUAAUAUUUAUACUAAUAUUAUUUUUUAAUAAUUAUAUUAGUAUCAUGAUUUUAUAAUUAGUCUCCUUACUUUUAUUGUUUAUAAUAAUAAUAAUAAUUAUUAUUAUUAUUAUAUUAUAUUACGUAUUUUCACAUAAACAAUGAUAUAUGCACAAGACAUUAAAAUUUUGAAUAUUAUGGUUAUUAUUAUUUAAUAAUAAUAUUAUUAUUUGAUUCAAAAAAAGUUUAUAAUAUAAUAAUAACAAAAAUAAAUUUUUUUAAUAAAAUAAAUUAUAAAAAUAUAAUAAUUUUAUUAUUUAUAAAAUAUAUUUAUUUUAAUGUAAUUAAAAAAAUUAAAAUAAUUUUAAAAAAUUUAAAAAUUUUCAAAAAAAGUUAAAUGGAAUGGGAUUAGGAUGGGAUCGAUCCAUCCCAAUGUCAUCCCGUUGUCAUCCUAACUCACCUAAUGAUAAUUAAGGCCAUUUUUUAUCAUUGUUUUUUUAAAAUGGUCUUUUAUCCUUAAUAUAUAUAUAUAUAAUAAUUAGAAAAUAAAACAUAAUUUUUGUUUUUAAAAAUAAAAAAUAAGGCAUUUUUAGAUCAUACCCUUUUAGUUACUUUUACUUGUUUUUAAAAAAUUAUUUUAAAAAGUAAUUAUAUAAAUAUAAAAUAAUAAAAUAAUUUAAAUAAAAAUUAUUUUUAAAAUAUAGAAAAUUAGUUAAGAACACUUUAUCUUCUCAAGCUCUUGUUUUAUAAAAUAUCAUAAAAUAAUUUUCAAAAACUUUUUUUUUUUCACUAUUUUGACAACCUCAACUGGAAUAAUACACAACAAAAAUAAAUAAAUAAAAAUAAAAAGGUCCAAAGAAAGACAAACGUGUCCAGUAAUGCACUUAAAUUCAAUGAACCUAAAAGCCAAAUGUGCAGUGUUGACUUUUCAACCGAGAGUUCACACAUGCCCAUUUUUUAAAGCACUAUUAAUAUAAAAUAUAUAUUUAAAUAAAAAUUAGACUUUUAAAAAAAUUAAAAUAUAUUUUUAAAAUGUUAAAAAAAUAUUUACAAUAUUUCCUUAAAAAAAACAUCUUCCAAAAACAUUUCUUUAAAAAAUACUUCCACCGAUAACAAUUCAGACACACUUGUGAUUUAAUAGUUAAAUAUUCUUUCCAACAGGAAUUCAACUAUCGGUUUGUAUUACCACGAUACCAUCAAACUGCGAAAGACUAAUUUUGGAUUACCAAAAUGCAGAAGAGCUGAAGGAAUCAUUGAUGGUGGACGACCCAGAUGUCCACAUUAUUUGUCAGACACCAUAUUUGAGUGAUGAGGAAAUGAAAGAAAAGCAAAUAAAAAACAAAAAAGGUGAUGCCAAACAUGGUCUUAUAAGGUGGGAGGAGCGAAAGCAACAAAGGAAACUAGCAGGAUUUUUCAUUGCUAUUCCAUACCUCAAAGGACAAAUUUUGAAUUACCAAAAUACAAAAGACUUGAAGGAAUCAUUGAUGGUGGUGGACCCAGAUGUCCACAUUAUUUGCCAAACACCAUAAUGAGUGAUGAGAAAACAAAAGAAAAAGCAAAAAAGGUGAUGACAAACACGGUCUUGUAAGGUGGGUGGAGCAAAAGCAACAAAACAAACUAGUAGGAUUUUUCAUUGCUAUUCCAUAUCUCAAAGGACUAAUUUUGAAUUACCAAAAUAUAGAAGACAUAAAGGAAUCAUUGAUGGUGGUGGACCAAGAUGUUCACAUUUGCCAAACACCAUAAUUGAGUGAUGAGAAAAUGAAAAAAGAAAAGAAAAUGCCAAACAUGGUCUUGUAAGGUGGGUGGAGUGAAAGCAACAAAGUAAACUAGCAAGACUUUUCGUUGCUAUUCCAUACCUCAAAGGAUUGAUUUUGAAUUAUCAAAAUACAGAAUACUUGAAGGAAUCAUUGAUGGUGGUGGACCCCGAUGUCCACAUUAUUUGCCAAACACCAUAAUUGAGUGAUGAGAAAAUGAAAAAAAAAAAAAGUUAAGAAAAAACAAAGAAGUGAUGCCAAACAUGGUGUUGUGAGGUGGGUGGAGCAAAAACAACAAAACAAACUAGUAGGAUUUUUUGUUGUUAUUCCAUAUUGAGAAAAUAAAGGGCUACUCUAAAUAGAUAAAAACACCCAAGAAAGGAGGUGAAUAGAAGUUAAAAAAUUUCUUUUUAAACACAAUAAAAUUAAACACAAGAAGUACAAAUAUAAAGAAGUAAGGUUAUAGAAAGUAAACUCAAAUUUAUAGUGGUUCGACACUUCCUUACUUACAUCCACUCUCCUCAAGCUUCUAAUCGAGUGAGGGUUCCACUUAUACUUGAAGUUUCAACCAAACUUCUUAUCACUUUUUACACUUGGAUUCCAAUUCCAAUGAAGUCUUACACAAUCUCUUCAAGUCUUUACUCACUUGAAGGUUUUAACACUCAAUUAACAAGUUUGAAUCUCUCAACCUAGCUCAACAAUGACUCAAAUACAACUCAAGGCUAGGAUGAAUCACUAAGGUGCACUAAAGAAUAUGCAAAUGAAAAUUUAAUGCACUAAGAAAAUAAUGAGAGCUUUUAUGGCAAUAAUAAGUAGGUAAACAAAUAAAUGCAAGUGUUCUCUUACUCAUAAAUGAAGUAGAGCUCUCAAUUUAUAGGUUUCUAACCUCAGGAACUAAAAAGCCAAAAAACAGUCUCGACUGGUCGAGCUGGGGGUUGACUGGUUCACUAGUCGUUGAAACAUUAAAUGCUUGGCAUGUGACCGUUACCCUCGACCAAACCUUAAUCGAGAAGACAAAUCCAUCAACCAGGAAAGAAAGACUACUAGAAGAUAGAGAAUGUUUUUUACAUCUCUUAACUGGACCUCGACAUAGAAGGAGUAAUCGGUAGACCGGUACCCUAGCUGAUUGAGCCGGUUGGCCAGUGUCUCGACUAGUUCACCAUUUUUAGUCCGAAAACCUAUCUUUUUUUGGUCUUUUUGCUUCUAGCACUUAGGCAAGGACUUUAGAUAAAAUAAUAUGUCAAUUUUGAAAUGUUUUGCCUAAGGUUCAUUUGAUAGAACUCGGAUUUUGAUGGAAAUGUAACUUUAAUGCAUAAACCGAGUUUUAAAGAUGUAUGAAAUGAUAUGAAUAUCUUAAGUACAUUCAUGCAUUCAUCUUACGUAUGUUUCCUAUGAUUAAAAGGUCUUUCAUAAGUCUUGAUCUUGCAUUCAUUAGGUCCUUUAAUGAAUUUCCAAAUUAACACCUGAAAUUCUUUAUAAUUCAAAUCAAUUAGUAACUUAACCAUGAUUUUUUAUCAUCAAAACAUAAUUAGGAAAAUCAUUAGGCUAACACAUACCUUAAAGGACUAAUUUUGAAUUACCAAAAUAUAGAAGACUUGAAGGAAUCAUUAAUGGUGGUGGACCAAGAUGUCUACAUUAUUUGCCAGACACCAUACUUGAGUGAUGUGAAAACGAAAGAAAAGCAAAGGAAAAACAAAAAAAGGUGAUGACAAACAUGGUCUUGUGAGGUGGGUGGAGCGAAAGCAACAAAACAAACUAGCAGGAUUUUUUGUUACUAUUCCAUACCUCAAAUGAUUGAUUUUGAAUUACCAAAAUACAGAAGACCUGAAGGAAUCAUUAACGGUGGAUGACCCAGAUGUCCACAUUAUUUGUCAAACACCAUAAUUGAGUGAUGAGAAAAUGAAAGAAAAACAAAGCAAAGGAAAAAAAACGUGAUGUCAAACAUGGUCUUGUAAGGUGGAUGGAGUGAAAGCAACAAAGCAAACUAACAAAAUUUUUUGUUGCUAUUUCAUACCUCAAAUGACUGAUUUUGAAUUACCAAAAUACAAAAGACCUGAAGGAAUCAUUGAUGGUGGACAACCCAGAUGUCCACAUUAUUUGCCAGACACCAUAAUUGAGUGAUGAGAAAACAAAAGAAAAGCAAAGGAAAAGCAAAAAAGGUGAUGUCAAACAUUAUCUUAUAAGGUGGAUGGAGCGAAAGCAACAAAGAAAACUAGUAGGAUUUUUCAUUGCUAUUCCAUACCUCUAAAUCACCAUAAUAAUAAUAAUAAUAAUAAUAAUAAUAAUAAUAAUAAUAACAAUAACACCAAAUUUUAAGGUUAUUUUUUGUUAUAAAAAAAUACUAGGAAAAUAAAAAAAAAUUAAGGAAAAUGAUUUUUUUCAUAUUUGAUUUCACUAUAGAAAAUAUAAAAGAAAAUCAAAUAUAAUUAAAAUUAAUUUGAAAUUUAUAUAUUUUAAAAGUAUUUAAUCUUUUUAUAAUUUAGAAAAAUAAGUAAAACGAGUUUGAAGAAAUGUAUAAAAAUAAUUUAUUAAAUUUAAAUUUAUUUCUUAUUUUCCUUCAUUUUUUCUUUUCUUCUACUUUUUCUCUCUAUUUUCUUUCCUUCUCAUUUUCCCUCAAAUUUUCCAAGAGCCAAACAUAGCUUAAAGGUUUAGAAUCUUAUGCACAAGACUUUCAAUUUUUUUUACAAUAUUAUUUUAUUAGUUAAGAAUUAAAAUUUAAUGUACCAUAUCUAACACUAACAAAAAAAUUUAUAACAACCGGUCUUAUCUUUUAAGAAUGUAUUGUUUAAAUGAGAUUAAAAAUUAAAAAUAAAUUUUAAUUCAUUUAACAACUAAAUUAAAAUGAAAUUUAUAUAUAUCAUAAAUUUAUACAAUUUUGAAUCAUUUUAUAUGGAGGAUUGAGAAUGGAGAGAUUGAAGAAUUGUUUGGUGACGAGGAGAUUGAUUGAAGAUUUUAUAGUCUUAAGGUUCUAUGGGAUGAAUUUUUUUGUAAAGAGUUUAAAUUUUUGUAAAAAAUAAAAUUAGUUUUAUGUUAUCUUAUUUCAUGGAAAUAUAAAGUUUUAAUUCAAAGAUUAUGUUUCAAAAAUAUUAUUUUUAAAAUAUAUUUAGUAAAGAUUUAUAAAAAUUUAAAAUAAAAUUUAAUUAAUCUAUAAACUAAAUUAAAAUAAUAUUUAUAUAUUAUUUUUAUAGAUUUACAUGUAUAAAAUCUUUAAAAUGCCUCAACUUAAAAUAUCCUUACAAAAUUUCAUUAAUCUACUAGCAAUCCGCCUAUUGUCUCUAUAUAGAGUCUAUUUGCAUUAGGAUGAAUACCAUCAGAAUAAUAAUUACGUUCCACAUAUGACAUAUCUUAGCUUCCACUUGGAGGUUAAAAAUCAUUAUGAAGAUUUGGACAAUAAUUCAAGUAGGCAUCUUUGAAAUUUGACUUCCAAAUCCCUUUGUCAAUAUACACCACCCUAUGACAAUUAAAUAAAUUAGAAGGAAAAAAAAUGUUGAAGGAAUGACAUAAGAAUAAUUUAUGUAUGACUAGAUUUAAAGUUUAAUUAUAUGAGGAAUCCUUCAUUAUGAAAAUAUAAGGAACAAUUAUAUUUAAGGAGUGGAUGGGGUUGAUAAUGACUAAAGGGUACAAAUUUUGCAUAAUUGAACUAAAAAGGUAGAAAAAGUUUGUAGAUUGUUGUGGAAGAUAUAAACCCAUUUUGUGAGUCAAAAAUGCUCAAAAUACCCUUAAGAGUGUUUUAAAAAAAAGGACAAUUAAGUACUCAUGAUAAUUAAUAUAUUAAGAUUUCAAGAAAAAUUAAUAAUAAAUAAAAUCUUUUUCUAAAUCUAUUUAACAGUCAUAUAGUUUUUAUUUUGUUUUAUUUUUUCAAGUUGCAGCUAUUAUCUUAAUUUAUUUUUCAUUUUAAGGUUCAAUUAUUAUUAUUCUUUAUUUUGAUUAAUUAAAUGAAACUGUAUAAGACAUGUUUAUAUUAAUUAACUAAAAAGGAUAGAUUUUUUAGCAAUAGGAUUAAAAUAAAUAAAAACAAGGAAUUUGAUUUUCUUUAUGAAAUAGAUUGGGAAAAGUAUAUUUCGAUACAUUCGUAUGAAAAAAAAAAAUCAUAAAAUAGGAACUCAAGUUUAUAAAAUACAAAUUUUAAACAUCCAUCUAAAAAUAAUUAUCAUUUCAUGCAUUUUUUUUGGGUCAAAUAUAUUAUAUUUGACAAUUUAGGUAUUAUCUUUUAAUAAUAUAGGUACUACCUUCACCUGCAUAAAACUUGAAUUAUUUUUAGAUAGUUUAUAUUAUAUAAUUAGUUAAUCCUUUGAUAUAAAUAUUAAAUAAUUAAAAAAUAUAUCUUUUUUUUAAGAAUUUUAAUUAUAUUUGGCUUUCUUUUGUAUUUUCUAUUGUGUAAACCACAUAUAAGAAAAUCAUUUUCUUUUACAUUUUUUUUCUUUCCUUGAUAAUUUUCGAGAACCAAACAUGACUUGGAGGUUUGGAUAAUAGGGUAUAGAUGCCAGAAAUACUGGAAUGGGUUCAGGUUUUCCAUGCUAAAGGUCUUUAUUAUUAUUUGGUAGCACUUUUCCAAAAUUGUUCCAUUCCCAAAACCACUUAAUUUGCUUAAAUAUUUUUACCUCACGAUAUCAUAACAUUAUAAUGGAAUAGAUUUUGUUGGUGUUCAAAUCAUGUCAACUCAAUUUCCAAACCAUUCGGAUUGUCAUUUGGUGAAAAAUAGAAAGAAAUUUUACUUUAUUGAAAAGCAUUUCAUUUUGAUUUGAAUAUGCUGCAAUGAAAUAGUUACUAAACCAUGGGGUAGCAGAAGAAGUAAUCGAGAAAAUGAAGAAGGAUGUUCAAGAUUCUUUAUGCUGCCAUUGGAGGAGAAGAAUGCUUACACACAGCUACCAAAUAGCAUUGAAGGUUAUCACAAAGAAUUACUCAUUUUAUCAAUUUUUUAGAGUUUUCUUUUCAAUAUUUUUAUGAGUUUUGAUAAUUUUCAACAUUUUAAUCCUUACUUGAUGGCACUUUGCUCGAGUUUCCACCUUGUAUAUCAGGGCAAUCUUAGAUGAGUAUUGAUCAGAGCUCCAAAAGGUUUCAAUUUGCCUAUUAAAGUUGAUGGCCAAGAACCUUAAGAUCAAUCCUAACCAGCUCACAAAUAUAUUUGAGAAUGGAAGACAACAUGUGAGGAUGAAUUAUUUCCCCCUUGUGUGCAUGCAAGAAAGGUUGUGGGCAUUUAUAAACCUAUGAGCAAUGAGGAGUUUUCAAGACUUCGCCUGAGUAGAGGAAACUUAAUGGUAAGAGUACAAUAAGUCAUAUGAAAUUGGAGAAUUGAAAGAGCAUAAGAACCAUGUUUUAUUAGAAGACCUGUGAAAGUUUAAUCAGUCAUGGAACUACUAAGAGGGGAUGAAUUAACAGUUUUCUUAAAUUUUGUUCAAAGUUUAUGAAUUUUAUUUUUUAUAAUUUUUUUUACUUAGAUUGAAACUUAUUAAUCAAGGUAAGAUUUCAGUCACAUCGAGAAACAAACAUUUUAUGUGAAAAGCAACUGAUAAAAUCUUGAGUUUACAGAUGUAAAAACCAUAAGGCCAAAGACUGUAGAACUCCAACCCCAUUGAAUCAAGAAUAGAAACACAAAUUUAUCUACUAACCUACACUAAUCUCUUAUCUACAAUGCAACACCGUUAUAGUCUUAAGUGACUUGAAAGGAUGUGAAUCUUUCUCACAAACUUCAUAAUGAAAUUCAAAUUAGCUUUGAGAGUUUAAGAGUAAUAAUGCAUAGCUUUUGUGUGCGAGUUUUUAAGUGCUCCCCCAAAAGACAUAUUUAUACCCAAGUGAACUUAAGACUCAAUUUAAAGCAUGUAUUUUACUAUAAAAAAAAAUUAAAUACAAAUUUAAGAAACUUCAAGAAUUUUGGAAAGAUAAUUUUAAAAAAAAAUUCAAAGAGAGUCAGAAAAUGUUUCCUUUUUAAAUUCUCAAUUUAAUUUAUUUUCAAAUUUCUUAAGAGUUUAAGAAAUAUUUUCUUUUUAAAUUCUCAAUUUAAAACUCUCUUUUAAAUUAAUUUUCAAAUUUCUUAAGAGUUUAAGAAAUAUUUUCUUUUUAAAUUCUCAAUUUAAAACUCUCUUUUAAAUUAAUUUUCAUGUAAGUCUACUCUAUACAUUUUACAUCGUUAUUCUCAAUUAACUCAAAUGUAACAUCCCCGAUUGAUUUUGCACCAACCUUAAGUCUUCAAAGACAAUGAUUGAGGCAUUUCUUCUCCUAUUUUCUCCGAUGUAGAAAAAAAAAAAAAAAAACUAGAAUAAGGUUAAGGCAUUUCUUCUCCUAUUUUCUCCGAUGAAAAAAAAAAAAAAAAAAAACUAGAAUAAGGUCAAAGCUGGUUUAUAGCAAAAAGUCUUAAUUUGAGUUAGCCUUUUUUUUUUUUCAAAUGAUAUGCAGGUCCAUCAAACCUUCAACUCAAAUUUUUUAUUCAAAGAUCACAUGUGGAUAUGUGAACAAGUAAAAGUUGAGUUUUACCUAACAUAUCAUUUUGAAAAUUAGGAAAUUUAAAAGGUCUUAGAUUGUUGAACUCACCACCCUAUCUAUUCUACAAAACAAGUAGAUUAGCAAAGAAAGAAAUUGUACCCACGAGUAUAGAGUUUUGGGUUAAAACGACCCUUUUGAUGGGAAAAAUAUUAAAUUUAACCACUUUGUCAAACUUAUGUGUAAAAUGGUUCUUUUAUUACCACGUAGGAGUCAUAUCACUAAAAUAUAUACAUAUUUUUAAUUUAAGUUGAAGCCUCAAUUACCAAUUAAGGCUUCAAUUGUCAAUUACGAUUUUAUUUUUUAACCCGAAACCUUACUUGUCAAUUGAGGUUUUAACUAAAAAAUGAAACCUCAAUCACCGACUGAAACUUAAUUUUUUAAUUGAAGCCUCAAUUGAUAAUUGCGAUUUUAUUUUUGAACUGAAAUCUCAAUUGUCAGUUGAGACUUUAUUUUUGUGGAAGGAUUACGUGACACUCACGUGACUAGAAAAAAGCCAUAUUGAAUAUUAGUUUCAAAAGUGGCUUAAAAGAUAUAUAUUUAUGAUCAAAGAUGCCAUUUUGACCCAAAAUCCCAUGGGUGCAUGAGACUCUAGUUAAUCAUAGAUUUCAUAAAUAAAAAUAAGAGUUAGGAUGAUUCAACCCCAAAGCAUCAAGAAUUCUUUAACAUAAUGUUAGAACAUUUUCCAAUUUAAAUUCGAGAGUUAACUUUAUUUGAAUAUGCUUUUGAUUUUUUUUUCUUUUUUUAAAAUAAGCUUCAGUGUUUUUUUCAUAAAAAAAAAAAUAAAAAUAGGAGCUUCUAUAUAGAAAGAAAAAUUUUAUCCAACAAAUAUAAGGCUCACCUUAUAUCCUUAUAAAAAAUUUAAAAUUCAAAAUUUUUUAAUACCUCAAAAUUUUUAAUCAAUAUUUAAAAAUCAUUAUAUUUUCAAUAUGAUCCUUUAAAAGUUUAAAUUACCUAUAUUUUUUAUUUUCAAAAAUACAAAAAAAAGAAUGAUUUUUUUUUUUUGUUUUUUAAUUAUUAAGAUGAAUGAAAUAAUCGCAAAUUUGCAAAAAUAACUUCUUCCAUGUUUGAAUUUGAAAAAUAACUCAUUUCCAAUAUAAAUACUCUUCAAUAUUUGGAUUAUUUUAAUAUAAAUUUUAGAAGAAAGUGUUACUUUGACGGGAAAACAUGAAAGACAUUUUUAUUAAAAUUUGAUCUUUUUUUAAGGCUAAAAUAUAUGUAGGUUUAUAUUUACAAUUUGAGACCAUUUCGUCCUCUUAAUCAAAUAACUUAAAAAAGAAAAGAGUUAAUUCCACAAGUGGGUUUAAAAUACUCACAAAAUUGCAAAAUAUAUCUAUAUAUAUAUAUAUAUAUAUAUAUAUAUUACCCUUACUUAAUCAAUUCGUGUGUUGAGCACAUGACACUUCCGUUCAUUAAAGCUAACACCGUUAAAUAACAAAUGUACAUUGUAGCUAUUUAAGAAGUAUGAAGGGCACAUUGCUUAAUUUUAGUACAUGGUGAGAAACUUGUUGAACAAGUUAUGUGUAAAGUUUUAUGGUUCAUGUAUGAUAGGAAAUAUAGAUCUACUACAACACUGGAUUUGCAAUUUGGGUUAAUAUUUAAAGAAAAGACAAUAAGACAAAAAGAAUUAAACUUUUGGUGGAAAACAAUAAAGAAAGGACUACAUGGAAAAAGGGAAGAGAUCAUUAUAAAGGAAGAUUAUUGAAUAGAAAUAAUUCCAAGAACAUAAGGCAAGACAUAGAGUAUCACUACUACUAUCACAAAAAGGGCUAUAUCAUAAAAUUUAUGAAAUUUUGAAAAAGACCUAAAAAAUGAAGACAAAAAAAAAAAAAAAAAUCAAAGAAGCCUACAAGUGUAACUAGUGUUCUUAAAGUUAAGAAAUGAAGGUAAUAAAUCAAAAGCAGAUUUGUUAAUAGUUUUUAAAAUGCUUGAAUUACAAAUUGUCUACUUGUACCAUACGAGCCCUUGUAAAAACUGGUUUGACAUGUAAAUUGUUUGUAAAAUCAUUUUAAUGGGCAAUGAUGCACCAAGUUGCUCUAUGAGAAGCGUAGGGGUUUGCGAAACCAUCGCUUGUCGUGGCAUACAUCGUUGGGGAAUGACGGAUGAGGGCAUCCAUGGGAAGCCAAUGUCUACCCUCACUCCACACCCCUCUAGUACAAGGCUCUGGGAGGGAGAGAGGCAACAAGUGUGUGACACUAAGGUAAAUAUGCCCAACCUUAUGGCUUUGGGAGCAACGUGCGUUUAAAGACUUGAUAAUUCACAAAAUUCUACAAUUCAUACCAAGUAUUGCAUUUAACGACGUUCUUUAUCAAUGAGAGAGCCUAGAUAUCCAUUGUCAAGAAUUAUUUAUGUAUGAAAACAACAACACCUAACCGACAUGCCCAAGAUCAAGGCAACUAGAAGCUCAAGUUACUUAGUGCGUUUUGUGCCGAAGUUUGUUGUUUACUCAAGAGGGCUUUGUGAAUAUUUGUAAUAAAGGGAUAAUACAGAGUGAGCCGUAAUUUAGCAUCUUACACGCUCAGUUUCUUCCAUUGGUGGCAUAUAUUAUUUUGUUUGUCAUUGAUGAUUAUUUAAUAAAACUAUGAGAGUAUUUCAUGAAAUAUAAAUAAGAGGUUUUUGGGAUAUUUAAUCGAUGGUAAACAAAAGAUGAAAACUAAGUAGGGAGGAAGAUAAAAUAUUUUAGAUUUGAUAGUGGACUUGAGCAUUAGAACAAAAAGUUCACAAAGUAUUGUGAGAAUUCUUAUAGUACUUAACAUUUCACAUGUAUAGAAAUUACAAAGCAAAAUGGAGUGGUUGAAAAAUGAAUAGAACACCAUUGGAAUGACUAGGUGGCUAAGAUUAACCAUUCGGUUACUUAAGAAUUUAAGGGUUAAAGCUAUCAACAUAACUUAUCAUGUAAUUACUUAGUUGUCAAGUUUUACAAUUAUUUUCAAUAUUCCAAAAGAAGUGUCAAGUAAAUCAAUUGACUUUUCAUCUAUUGAAAUAUUUGAUUGUUGCACUUAUCUUCAUAUAUAGGUGAAAAAAAAAUUCAAUCCAAAAUAAAAAAAAGGUAUAUAUUCCUUGGGUUUGAAAAAAGGAUUAAUUAAAGACUGUAGAUUUGGGGAUCCAACAAUUAAAGGAAAAAAAAAAGUGGUGAGUAGAGAUGUAUUCGAUGAAAAACAUAUGUUAAAGAAAGAUCAAGGACAAAUGAAAUUGUUAUUGAAAAAAAAUUCAACUACAUGACCAAUCAUCGAGAUGAAAUUUGAGGAAAAUGUCGUUAAAUACGGAAAUGAAAUCCCUCCUAAUCGAUGUCCCUAUUGGAACUUUAUAUGGGCAUCUUUCUCUAUUGCUCUAAAGAAUCAUCGGAUUGGGUAAGGACAUCAAUUUGAAGAUUUUUAUUUUUUUUCAUUAUUUAUUGGAAUAGGAGAUCUUUAAAUUUUUUUGGGGCACAAUUAGGAGGGAUGAUAGUUAUCAAUGUCUUGGUGCUAUGUCAAAUGAGAAUCCAAUGCACAUGUUGACUAAAGUUGUUCUUAAGGAUAAGUUCAAGCAUUAGUUGAAUGUCAUUAAUUUUUCAUUUUGUAGAACAUGGAAGGUCAAUUUUAUUGAAGAGCUAGGUUAGUCAACUUCUAUUAGGACUUCUAUUGAUUCUUGAUUUGACUAGAGGGGCUCCUAGCAGUAAACUUGUAUGGAGGGGCCCUAUGGAGACGCAAGAGAUGCAAGAGCUGCCAAUCGGAUCGACCAAUAAAUGAUAGGCCCAUACAGAAAUGUCCCUAAAAUAGGGGAUUGGUUGAUUGGAAAGCUUAGGCAGAGUAUAAAGGAGAACAAUUUAGCAUUUUGGGAAAAGCACAUAUGAAGAUGUUUACAAGUUUGGAAAAUUGAGUUAAAGAAGAGAUGGUCUAAAAAUGUUUCAAAUUUCAAUUUUAUGUUUUUCUAAGUUUGAUAUAUCCUGUUUGGAUAUUUGGGAAGUCUUCUCUUGUUACAUAAGAUAGUCCUAUGAUGAGAUUUGUUAUGAAAAUAGGUUCUUCAUCGUGUGAAAUAUUCCUAUGAAAUUAAGAAGGAAUAUAGGAAGAGUUUUGAUUGAAAUUAUGAAUCUUUUUUUAUGUAAUUAGAACUAAAAUAUGAGAGUUUUAAAAUUGUAAUUACACCUUUGAAUAUAAAUAAUUGAUAAUAGUGAAUUAAUUUACCUUCUCCCUCUAGAUGUAGGUAAAUGCUAAAUUAUGUUAAAUCUUGUAUUCUCAUAUGAUUUUUUUUUUCAUUUAUUUUUCAUUUUCUUGCCCAUUUCUAACUUGCUAGUUGCUACUACAUAAUAACAGGUGGUAUCAGGCUUUUUGUGUUUGCACAACAAAUGGUCUCAGUUUUUCUAGCACCACAAAAAUGAUAUUUUACUUAAUUGCUCCUCAGUGGAAAAGUUGGAAAGAAAAAUUAAAUCAUCGACUAUACAUUUUUUUUUUUUCAAAACUUUUCUUGUCUUUGGCAAGAAAAUUAGUAUAUGAAGUAUAAAAGAAUUAGAAAAUAUUCAAAUUUUAAAUGAUUUUUAUUAUACUUUGUCCACUUCCUAUUUCAUAUAUCAAAUUACAAUAGAAUUUAAAAUUCUUUUAUAUGUUUUUUCUCCCUUUGCUACCACAUAAAUGCAAAGACAUUAUGUGAGUUAAAUACCUUAAAAGAAAAAGAAAUUAAAAUGUGAUAGAAAACAAAAGUAACCUCUUUAAAUUCAAGGAAACAAAACACUAAACUUUUUCAUGUAUCUUAUUCCAUUUAUAAAUGCAACAUGACAAAAAUAGACAAAAAUAUAAAUGGGAGCCCUUCAGGUCCUUUAUUUUAUAUUUUAUUAACUUCAACCAAUUCUAUUUCUAUAGCACAACCGAUGUUAUAAAGUUCAAUGAGUAUAUAAUAUAUAAAGAUACUAAUCAAUACGAAUUAUUCUUUCCUUCAAAUGGCUACUUGUAUUAAAAAUUAAAUGUAAUUCCUCCUAAACAAUAAAAUAUGUUGACACGAUUUCAAUGAAUAUACAGUACAUAAAGAUAUGACCAAUUAGUACGAAUUAUUCUUUCUUUUAAAUAGCUACUUGUACUAAAAUAUAAGUAAACGUAAUUCCUCCUAGAUAAUAAAAUAUGUUGACACGAGGAGGAAUAUAUUUACUAAUUAUAUCAUUUGCAAUAGCCUCAAUCUAGCGACGUUCUUCGAACCAACCAUAGACUUUAUUGAGAUAGGUUAACCAAGGGAGCUCCCACUCUCAUAACUCGUAUAUGAAAAUUUCAUCUUGUACAACUCAAAUAGAAACCCAUAAAUACUGGUUGAAACCAAAAUGUAAUAAAAAAUAAAAAAAAACAUAUUUCAAUGGAUCCAAUUAGUAUUUUUCCGAUCUCACAAACAAAUUUUUCUUCAUUUUGUUUUUUUUUCAUUAAUCUUUGUAAGUAAAUUAUAUUUUAAUUUAACAAAGCACUAAACUUUAAUUUUCAUGCAGGAUCAACUAGCUUUUCAUAAUAAAAUUUAUCAAUAUAGCUGAGCAGAGAUUUGAUGUAAUAAUACCAUACAAAAUUCAAGUAAAAUUAAAUUAAUCAAAUAGGACACUAUGGUUAUAUUUGGAUACAUAUUCUAUUUUUUAUUUUUAAAAUUAAAAUUUUGAUAUAAAAUAUGACAACCCUUUGUAUAAAAAAUAAAAAUUUAUCCUAUAAUCUUAAAACUACUUUUCAAUAUUUAAAAAAAAGAAAAAAAGAGGACGUGUCCUAAAAUUUUAAACAAAUUUAAAAAUAUUUUUAAAUACCCAAGAUAUCCACUUUUUUCUUUUUUUAAUAAAAAUUCCUAUAUUUUAAUAAAACUCUAUUUUAAAAAAUGAAAAAUAAAAAAUGUAUCCAAACAUAAGCUAAAUUGUUAGAUUUUAUUGUGAGAUUUCUUAGAUUCUACAAUUCAUAGUGAAAUGAAGAUGAGAGAUAACCGACUGAACUAUGAAAAAAAAAAAAUUAACAUUGAUGAGAUUCAAAAAUGCUAGUUAAUGAAAGAGUUUCUCCGCCAGGAUGACUAAGAAAAAUGCUGAAAUAUGUGUCAUGCCCAAAGCAAUGUUACAAUGAAGAAUAGAAUGAGAGCUAACCCGAAACAAAAUCCGACAAUCGCCAUGAAAGCCUGGAUGCAGAGGAAAUGUAACUAGAGACAUGUAAGGAAUCAUUAAGCAAGUGAGAACAAUAUCAAAAUCUCAUGUACGACUUACCUUUCCCUGAGAUUCAAACUUGAAUUUUACUGUAAACCAUGACAAUCCUCUAUCUACAAUAGGAGCAAGUGCAAGGGCCCUGCAUGAGAAGCACCUCUACAAAAAUCACAGAAAACCCAAAGGAAAAAAAAAAAGAUUAAAUAAAUAGAAACUAGUCUACCAGAAACCAGGAGGCUGCAACAAAUAAUCUCCAAAUGUCAGAUUUAAUAUUUAUUUACGAAUGCCGCUAAAAGGCCUUUUCAUCAGAGAAAUCUAAAAUAAAAAAGUAUAAGGAGCCAUUUGGAUUACAGAGGUCAAAGAUUGGGUUGGAUAGGAGCAAGUUUAACCUCUCAGUAAAAAUGAAAAUGCAAGGCCCAUCAUCAACGCUAGGUUCAAAAAUUGACACCAUUUCUUGAAGACUUUCUUUUUUCAUUCUUCAAUUGUCAUUUUGAUUCAAAGAAGCGGCAGCAUGAUAGACUAAACAAUCAUCAUAAACCCAGUUGCAAGUUAUAAGGAUAAGAAAGAAAAUGAACAAAAAACAUAUAUGAGAGAACUGAUAGGCCAAAAAAAUCAUUGUUGAAGGAAUCGAGCAUAAAUCUCUGAACAAAAUUUAGCUGAAAUUCACUGAUUUUGGGUUAUUUUGUGAUAAGAGCAUUGCAAUAUCCCAAUAAACUGUUACGCUAACUAAAGAUUUAAAACAGAAUUUAGCUGCUUACCCUCCAGCUCUGACAAGUUUAGUGACCUGGCUGCCUGCCCACACCAUAGCCAUGAUUUUGACAAAUCUGCCAAUUGGAUUCCAUAUGUCAAGAUAUUUUGAAAAACUUGUGCAAAAAGAAACUUUUUGGAAUAAGUUUUUACCUUUCAACUGCCGCCAAAUAACCCAUCCUUCCUGGUGCUGGAGCAAUAUAAAACCUAGAAGCAGCAUAGUGAAUUCAGAGUUAUACUGGUUAUUUGAAAUCUACUCUGAACACCUAUGAUAGAGACUGCAGGAUGUGGUAAAACACUAAGGCAUAUUUCAAACUACAUUAUAAGGUAUUUGAUUAGAAAAUUAAAUAAAUAAAUAAAUAAAAUAACAUAACAUAAAAUACAAAAAAGAAAAAAAAAAUUAACAAACUGAAUUUGUCCAUAUGCAACAAUAUGCAAUUGUUAGCCAUGAAUCCCAGUUAUGUCGGUUUCCAGUAUUAAUAAUUAAGCAUGAUGUUUAUGAACUAGACCAGCAUUCUAAUAACUCUAGAUUGAAGGGCAUGGAUGUCACAUUUGUAUUCCAUCAUGUGCAACUAACAUCACAUUGAAAUAAUAUCCACUAAAGCAAGUUAAGACCCAGUAUAUCAGAUUAAAAUUUUCUACCAUGAAUAUAAGCUUGAUAAAAAUGAAGAUGGAAAUGCAAUACUUCUUUAUAUGACAUAAUGAAGGGAACCAAAUACAAGGACUCCCCAUUCCAGAUGCAGAAAGCCAAGUUACAACCUUUGCCAAAUAAAGAGAUCCACCAUAAAUUCAUUUUUAGACAUGCUAUAGUUGAAUAUGCCAUCAAUAAGUGAUCAAAAGCCAAUUCAGAUGGGAAUAACAGCCACAAUGUUGGGAAGGUCAAUAACAAAAGCAUUGACUUGAAUGUUGGCAGUGUCAUUUACACUGGCCAUAAGAACCAGAGGUAAUGCAUACAGUUGGUAAGGUAGUGAGAAGGGGAUGAGAAAUUGAAAAUUCUUGAAUUUAAUUGUUUCAUGCAAUUCCGUUUUCCAAUACUCUAUACGAUAAUAUACAUUGUACAGCACAAGAAUAGGGUUGUUUUAAAAUUUUGAACAAAUAAAAAUUUCAUAUCAAUAUCUAAUAUUUAAUAAAAAAGAAUGAAACAAGAGUAAGUACAUUCUCUUCUCCUUAACAUGGUAUUAAAGCAGUCUCCAAAUUCUUAACUCCUAGUUGCAAACUUGAUUUGCACUGGAAGUUGCAGUUUGCUCAUUUUGUUAUUCAAGUAAGUUACUUCAAUCUAUCAUAGUUUAAAUGACUUGGGAUGGUAGUUGUCAUGGGCACGAAUUUUCCCACAAAUUUUUCGCAUUCACGCAGCGCUUAGAAGCCCUCUAAGCCAACAUACUCAAACCCACAUGAGAUUGCAAUCAAGAAAAAACUCACAAAGACACACAAGGCUAUGGAGCUCAAUCCCUAACUUGUAUUUUAUUUCUUCUCUAAAUAACAAUACAAGACAUAGCUUAACAAGACUUCCACAAUCUCUUUGGUGAGUUCAUGCUCUCUCUCAAGCUAUGUUUUAAGAAAGUUCCCCCUCUCAAUAUACCUCUGUAUAUUCUCUAUGAUCUCCAGAUUGCACGAUAAUUCAAAGGGCACUCCAGUCCUCCUUUUAUAGGUGUGACACCAACCACUCCCUAUUUGAUAAGGAGCAAGGAAUCCUAGUUCUACUCAAACUACAAUUAAAAUAAGAAUCUAAACUCUUAUUCAAACUCAAAUUACAAUAACAAUUUGAAUUCAACUCUGAACUUUCAAAUGUCUUCGGCCCAUUCCUCAUUCAUUUGAAACUCCUUGUAUCAGGCCACAUAUCAGCCCUUCAAUUCCCUGGUUUGUGGUGCAAUACAUCUUCCUUAAGCUUGUCCCAAUGCCAAGACAUCUUUGUUGUGUUCUGCCUGAAGUCUACCCACUCUUGUGCCUUGAGUCAGUCCAUUCAUGCAUUUGAAUCAGCUGAUGCAUCUGAUCAGCUUGCUAUAGCGUCUCUAGGCAGCCUACUACAUGUGUCUCUAUGCAACUAGUGUGCAUGCCAAGCCCUCUCUUAGCCUACAGAUCUAGCAAUUUUCCUUGGUGCCAAUCUUUCCUUUGGCUGUAACCCCUUGUUGUUCCUUGAGCGUGUCAGUCAUGCUCAUAUGUGUUCCCGCAUCUGGAUCACAUCCAUGCUGAGGCAACCUGCCCAAGUUUGCUCUGCCUAGCUGUUGUUAUGGCAUCAUGCCAUGCCCAAGCCCUCUUCUUGGUGCAGCAACGAGUCAUGGCAUUGCACCCAUGACUCCUCAUCUCUAUGCACAAGGCAUUGUGCCUUUGUGCUAAGCAUUAGGCAUCACAUCUGAGUCGGCUUCCCUUAUCUCUAUGCACAAGGCAUUGUGCCCUUGUGCCAAGCCACCUCAUUGCACAAGGCAUUUCCCCCUCAUGCUACCAUCGGGAAGGGAAGACUGCAUAGCACCCCAUGUCGUUGCAACCUUGAGUUGCACACCAUCACAUGUCAUGGAGCCCAUAUAUGGUUGCUAGCAAGGCUUGCCCAUGUGCCUUGCUCAUGUUUGAGGACUUGCACCAAAGCCCCUAAGUGUGGCCAUGCCCAUGCCACCUCGUCUCCCUUGAGUCACCCCCACCCUCACCCCCCUUAAAAGAGCAUUUUAAGCCCUUUUAAUUAAUUCAAGAAAAUCUAGAAAAUUCCGCUUCCACUUGGAGUCUCCCUUUUGAAGGUUCCUAUAAAUCUUUUAUCUCUAAGCAAAUUAACCAAGUCACUUAAUUGUUUUGCAACAUUCCUUCCCUUCCCUUAGUGUAUUUCAAGAUCUCUUAAUGAACAAGACAAUUGGUGGAGGGCAUGAAGUAAAUGGAAUUUAUCACCAUAUUGGCCCACCUCUUACUCCAAUUGCUCUACGUACUUCCAUUUCUUCUAUGUAGUGGCACACCUUUCACUUCGCAUCUUUAGCAUAUGGGACUUCUAGUUAUAUUGGACUCCAAGUUAAAGCACCAAGUUUGUGAGUCAAGCAAAUAGCAUCACCAUAGUGUUGUUCUAGUCCUUUUUGUUCUAUAAUCAAUAAGAGGAGUACUAGUCCUUUUCAUCUUGUUCAUUUAGACAUUUACAGUUUAUGUAGUGUUGUUCCUAAUGUUGAACUAAACUUUUUUAUUGCUAUUUUAUUAAUUAGAUCAAUGAAAAUGGUAUGAGCAUAAAGAGGCUGAAUAAUAGGUACUAAUCUCUUAAAAAAACCUAUCUUGUAGAAACAUCAUCAGGUGACUAUGCACAAGUAAAUGGUCUGAAAAGGCGUGAGAAAAACAUUCAUUUUUGUGCAACAACCAAGUAUUUGCAUCUUAAUCAACCAAAGAAUAAAUGGCUGAAGACAAUAAAUGACUGAACAAAAAGAAAAUCAUAAGUUUUAGGCCAGACACUUUUUUCAUCAAUUAUAUACAACAACAAUAAAUCAAAUAGUCCAAAAUUUCAAAAGAAUAAUGCUCAGCAGCUAUGCAUACUCACAAGUCACAAAUACCUCAUCCUUGACUAAUUUACAUGAAUGAAUUAUUUACUUACCAUACCAAGAGAAACGUUGUAAGAUAGUAUGCAGUAUUCAGGAGUCCAUAGGAUAAUAUUCCAGAAAUUCCAUAUCUCUUCAGUUUCUUUAGAAGACUGAAAGGUUAAGCAAGAAUGAGCUCUCAAUGUAAGUAGACAUGCAUUUCAGCGUACAAAGGGCAAAAGGAUUGAGGUAUCACUUCUUACAGAUUGUUUGCAUGAAAUUCAGUAGUAGAAGAGAAAUUAAAAUGAUUGGGACAAGAUCACUCAUCCAAACAAUAGUUUAUUUACAUAGAAAAGGUCUAAAGCAUAAUCAUGCAGUAGACAAAAUGAAUCUUUUGUGUCAUGUUCCAAUAAUGUUAACAAACUACAUUAAAUUUGUAAGGUUACAUAGAAAAAGAAAGAAAAGACAUUGUUACAAUAGUUUGGUUGUUACACUGCUAGCACCCAGACUACGACCAAAUCCUUGCAUUGAAAUUGAAUUUCAAACUCCCAAUGUGAAAAAGGAAGAUACAAAAAAGAAAAGAAAAACAGGAGGAAAAAAAAAAAAAGAGGGAAAGAAAAGAAACAUGGGAUUUCCAUGUAUAAUACAUACAUAUUAUAUCUAUAGAUAAAUGCAUGCAUGUGCAUAUGUCAUAGAGGCUGGUCAAACACAUUUCAAGAAGUUUGACAACUUGCUUUGGAAUGACAAACACGUGGAUCAAUAAAUGGCUUGUCUCCAUUAUUGAGAAAUUGCAGGUAAAUUUCAUCCACUACAGGCAUGGGGUGGCUGGACAAAGUUAUGCCAUUUGGUGGGAUGUAGUGGACUUAAGACAGAAAAUUCUCAAUCAUUCUUCUGUCCCUUGUGCAGUGUUGAAGCUGACAAUAUUAUUGAGCAUACAAGGAAUGUGAUGUAAAACAUCAUUGAGGAGCCAUGAGCUGCGAAUGCAGGGAGAAAUUAAGUUACAAUUAAGUUUUGGUGAGGGAUUUUCAGAUGCAGAUCAUAUGGCAAAUUAACUUCAGAGAAUUGCAUGUUUUUAUUCAUUUCCAUACACAUUGAAUAAUCAUAUUUAAAAUCCCUCAUUCACUUGUUUCGCUUCCAUUAGUGCUCCUUCCACAUGUGUAUUAGCAGCACAGACCUCAUGAUAGUUUUGUAAAGGUAAGACAAUAAAAUUGAAAAAUACAGCUAAAGCCUAAAAUAUUGGCUCAUAAAAAGAGAAACCAUCCAAGUUCUAUCUUAAAUGACUCUACAAGUUCUAAACAGGGAGACAAGGACUUCAACCUGGUCCAUCAAUGCAUAUAAAUGGGUAAACAUUCCAACAACCAUUACGUUAGAAGUACACUAAAAGAAAAUUAUUAAACAAUGUUGUUUCCAAAAAAAUUCCAUGUUAAAGAAUAGAAGAACAUACCGCUAUAAAUGAAAUUCAUUCAAAACAGUUCAAACAGUAAAGUUAAGAAUUGUGACUGCAUAUUUUUUUUUAAAAAGAAACAAGAAUUGUGACUGCAUAUCACCACACUUGUUUUAUUUAUAAUCCACACAAUGUAUUCUUCCCUAGCAUGUUAUCCCAUUAAGUAACCUCCAGAUAAAAUUCCCUUUCUGACUCUGUCAAUCAGUCAAAAAAUUUGAUGUAAAAUGUAAAAUACAUGGGUACACAAAAACAACUAUAUAAACUGCCAUCCCAUUAUUAAUAAAUCAGUAGGUCUAUAACAUAGACUAAUAGCAUUGUAAGGCAAGUAGGAAGUACUCUUUUGAUGUGUGCAGUUCUCCUUCACCAUUUUCGCCCUUUGCACUUGAGUCUAUAAAAAUAUGUAUAAGUAGAUUUUUAGAAAUAUCAAGUUUAUCAAAUGUAAAAUAUGGUAUCACAGAAAGCUACACCAUUUUUCUAGUUAUCAUUUGAAAGAUAUUGAUACCUUCAUGGUUGGCAGAGUAGUCAUGACCAUUUGACAUGCCAGAAGCCUAACCUACAACAAAGGCAAUGUUGAAAAAGCAAUAUUCAAAAUUCAAUGAAAAAAACAGAAGACAAACAAAUGAACAAAUAGCAAAUCAUCACACUCAAUUGUUUUCCAAAAAUGAAAAACCAAAUGAAAGGAACAAGGAAUAUAUUGAGAAAAAAACCUAUGAUCAAUGGAUAUGCAGUUGCAUUCUAGCACAUAUAGAGGAUCAAACAAGUAACUAAUCUAGACAUAGCUGCAACAAAUUUGUGUAUCUCUGAAUGCGUGUCUGCUUUUUGUGGGGGGAUAUUUAUUAUGACAUGUUCUUAGUGCAGACAAACCAUCUGCAUUUACUUGAGGAUUAGGUGAACAUACUUUCCAUUUAAAAUGAGGCCUUGAACAUCAAGCCUCGGUGAGUUUUCAAAUAAGGAAAAUGUAAUAGCUUUACAAUGAGUCCCAUAGCAAGAAGGCAUAUAAUUCCAUUCAUCAGCAUACCAGAAUAUAGAAUAGUGUGGACAUGUGGACACAUGCCAGAAUUAGCAUUGGACACACUAACAUGCCAGUCAUGCAUAGAAAGAAUUUCCAAAGAUAUUAAAGUAAAACACUGGUAGUAAGCAAAUUAGACCCUGAAAAACAUGCAAGUAUAGGCCAAGAUCAAAUCUUAAUUUUAAUUUCCAGAAAAAUAAAUAAAUUAUAUCAACCAAUAGAAAUGGUAUCACCAGCAAUUAACACCAAAGCACACCAACAUAUCGGAAUGCAUAACACGUGUACCCAUCUCCAAUCAGCAUUACACCUGUACAAGUUAGCCUGUAGCAGGUCAUAAUAGGUUCAGACUAUAAAACCUUCCAAAUCUUCCUUUGCAGGGCUUAGAAACCAUUUUCUAAGUAAUUUGCAGUUUUAAAAGCCUGUGACAAAAUUUUGGAUGAAGAGCUUGAACUAUAUACUCACAAACCCACUCCAAAAUUUCCUUAAGGUAAUACACAUUUUUUGAAGUCCUUUCCAAUGUCUUCUCUUAUUUGAGUUAGAAAAGCCAAUGUUUUUAUGAAUUGACUACUACGGCUGUUGAGGUUUGAGGUGUAUAACUAAUUUCUUAAUAUAUCAUAAUUUACAUCAGUCAUUAGAAAUUAAGGUUCCAUCCUUUUACACUAAGAAAAUCCUGAGAGCAAUUAAAAAAUACCUUCUUUUAUAUUAUUAAAUUUAAGUUUCCUUUAGGUCUUUGAGUCUAAUAGAAAUUAGUGUAAAAGGAAUUUUAAUUUUCUUACACUAAGAAAAUAAAAAUAAUAGGCAAAAUAAUUUUCACAUUUUGGAACUUUAUAGGUAAUGCUUAUUAAAAUAAAGCAACAAAGUUUGUCAUUUGCCAUUGAAUGAACCAAUUGUGGAAAACUAUGCAAAAAAUUUUAUUAGUAUGGAAUUUUUUUUUUUCUGCCAAUAUAUAGAAUUCAAUUUCAAACCUGCCCCUCCCAACCCACCACUUGCUGCUUGAGGCAAGCUUAGAGGCAGAAAAAUAUUUGCAAUUCUACGUAUGGAUAAAAAUUAUUUCUUAGAUUUUAUGCCAAUUCCAUAUUUAUAGGUAUCAAUUUAUUAUUCUACUGUUGUCAGAAGCUUCAAUUUUGGGCGUCCUCAUGGCUAUGCCACCCUUAAAUGAGAACAACUUUGGUCUUCUGUUUUUCUUUUUGAGCUCUUCAAAUUUUUGCAAGUUACUUCUAUCCAGGUUCUAGGAAACACCCAUUUUUUUAAAUCUCCAAUAAUUUAGGGUUCUGUGGCUGAGGGAAUAGACUUAUUUUUGGUUGAAGCACACAAAAUUCUUGGCUAUUUUUUUUUUUUUUUUGGCAUCAGGUCCUUUUAGGUUGAUUUUUCUACUUAUUUUUCACCCACCAAUUAACAUUGCCCUAACUCUAUUAUCUACCCGAGCAAAUGUUUAUGAACUAGCAAAUCAUACUAAAAUUUCUUACUAGUUGACAUGUGCAUCAUCUCAGCAUGUCAUUCCAACACCAAACUACAACCAUAAUCUCACUAACAUCCUAACUGCCUCAAUGAGUAUGGAUUACAGAAAUACAAUUAAAAUAUACUUCCCUAUUUAAUUUCAUAAUUUUUAUAAUAAUAUUUCGGCAAUAUUUCCACAUAGUAGCUUAUGUGGGAACCCUAGGAAUGCUGGGAUUGAAACCCUGGAUUGAAACAAGAGGAUUGUGAGAGAGAAUUGGAAAUUGAAGAAACAAACACAAAAAAUAAAUCCAAGAAAUAAAAAAGAAGCGUAAAAAUGAAAUAGAGAAGAGUGUGUAUGACGCACCUGAUGAUGUGAAAGCAGCUUCAGCUGGUGAAGGCAAACUUUCGACGGGAGAGACAUGAGCAUACCGGCCUCCGACAACAAUCCCUCCAAAAUAUUCUUUCUAUACCAUUUAUUAUUAUUAUUAUUAUUUUCAGGUUAUUUGAAGUGUAAUGUCUAGCUAUACCAUUUAUUAUUGUUAUUAUUUUCAGGUUAUUGAAGUGUAAUGUCCACCAUGAAGCCCUUAGAACUCUCCAUGGACCCUAAAUCUCGGGAUGCUAAUCACCCUAUAAUAACCAGCAUAGAGUAUAUUCAAAGUAUCAUUAAUGACAAAUUUUGAACUUAGGACCAUAUGUCAUUUACAGAGACCACACUUCUUAAUGUUCAUCCUUAGCGACAUACUCAUAUAUACCAAAUUACCCGAUAAUAUGCUUUUCCUAUUUUCUCAUUUUUAGAAAAAAAAAAAAAAAGAAUAACUUCUAUUUUUAAAAAUUUAAUUUUUUUUUAUAAGUAAAUUUUUGUUCUCAUUAGGACAUGUGGAACCUCCCACAAGUCCUCUUGAAUCCUUUACCACUUGAGUCAUGCCUUAAUGGCUUGUUUUUUUAAAAAAUAAUAACAACUUUUAUAUAAAAAAAUACUUAUAAAAAAUAUAUACAUGUCAUUAAAAGUCUAAAAAAAUAUAACUUUGUUAAUAAUUUUUAAAAUAAUUUAAUGUGUUAAUUGUUCUUAAAAACUAUAAAUAACCUAGAAAAGAAUAGUAUGUUUGACCAAAUUGUUAUAUGGUUUUAAAUAGUCACCUUAACAAUGUUACAAGUGAGUUGAUUAAUUUAUGGUAGAGAAGAAUUACAAUAGAAUUCAAUUAGUUAUCGCAUUUGAAGUCUUUGAUUAUUUGUUGAAUAAUAUUUGCAGCCAAUUAGAUAGGGUUGGCUAACCCAAGCCAAACCUACUUACUAAUAUGUCCAACCUAUGCUAAACUCGAUUCAAAGUUAGGUUGGUAGUUACUAAACUCAUUGACAACUAAAGUUUCUAUGGAUUCCCACGAGUUUUCAUGGAUUAUCAAAUAAACCACAUAUAAUGGAAUCUCCUAAUAUAUAAAAGACAUAUUUCAAAAUUAUAAAUUAAACCAUAUUAUAAAAUAAAAUUUUAACAAAGUCAUAAAUUAUAUUCCUAGUGACUAAUUUUAAUGGUAAGAUGAAACACAAGUGUGAAUAUUUAAAAAUAUUUUAAUAAUUAAACAAAAAUGAUAAACUUAUAGUGUAAUGUAAUAAAACUAGCAAAAGUUAUAGUUCUUUCAUUAUCCCUUUUAUAAAUUUCAUAUUUUAAAUAAACUAAUAAAUAAUAUAAUAGUAAUGAAUUUGCUUAGUCUUCAUCAUGUAGAACCAAUUUGAAGAAAUUUUUUUUAAUAGGACUGAUUAAUGACUUAAUUAAGGGUAGGUUACAGCUAAAAUAUUUAGUAGGACUGAUUAGUGACUUAAUUAAGGGUAAACUACAGCUAAAAUUUUCCUAGUAGUCUUCCACUAUGACAAAUUGUGGGAACUAGUAGUGGCCUGUCCAACCUAUAGAGGAAACAAAUAGGUGAGUGAGUUAUUGAAUAUGUGGCUGAGAGUGACCAACCAUUGAGGCUCACAUGAAGUUGUAGUGGCUGAGAGGAAGGGAUAAGAGACCAAAAACAUGCUCAGGGAGAUUCUUGUUAGGAUCAAAUUGGGGGCAUAGAUAUAUCUCUUUGGUAAGAGUUCCCAUAAUUUAGGUAUUAAUGAAAUAGGUAUAAAAGAAUUAUAUAUCUUGAUAUGAUCAUGUUGUUAAUGAUGAUCUAAUGAGUUGAAAUAUUAUGUUUUCAACUGUGUAUAUCUAAUAAAUACAUCAAGUGCUUAAACUUUAAUAUAGAAAUGGUCCACAAUGGCUUGUAUGACUCAUCGUCUUAUAAACAUAUUAUUUAGAUUAGGCUAAAGUGGUCAAAGUAAGAAGAAAAAUUGAUACUUGAUUUGAAGUAUAAAGAAUUCUUCUUAGACUUUGUGUGUAGUGUUGUUAGCUUAUUGUUGUGUUAAAGUCUAUUUUGAUGUAUUUUGGAAAGAAUGACCAACUAGAACCACAAUAAGAUGUUGCAAAACUUAUUUAAACAAGGGCUUGUGAGCAAGAUUUUUUUUUUUUCCUUUUCAUGUACAAAUAGUAUGAUGAAUGAAAAUUUGAUUCUCGAUUGUAAUUAGUAUUUUCUUUAAGUUUUAAAUCAUGCAAUGAAUACUUAAAAUUAGCUUACGAUGUCAAAGAAUGUAAGUAAACAAGGUUUUACAUGUUGGAUAUAUAAUAAAUUCAAAACCUUUACCUUCCACAUUGAAUGAUUACAUUUUUUCUUUAAGUGCCCUUUAAUCAUUCUCAUUUUGUUUAAUCAUUUUCUCUAAUGUCUUGAGCAUAGUAGAUUUCUAUAAAUUUACAUGAGCAUUCCUUAACUCUUCUUGAGUGAUCCUAAACUUAGCAUUGAAACAAUCAUAAUUUAGGCGAAGAUGCUUACACGUCUUCAUAAUCAUCCUUGGUUGCUAGCCAUUUUUCCUUAAUUACUUUAGGAUGUUUAGUGAAGAUGAUUACAAAUAUUAACUAGUUCACUCACACAUUUUUGUAUGAGUGUAGAACAAUUUUGCAUUCUUUCCACAUCACUUAUGCAUCUUCGUUCCAAGAAAGAAGAUAUAGAACUCUUAUCUUUUGCCUACGCCACUUGGUUCUCCAGCCCAUUAUGCUUAUGCAUCCUUUUUAUAUCACAUAUGCGACUUGCUUCUCAUUAAGAUAUUUCACUUACAUGUUCUUGUAUAUGCAUAAUUUAGGGAAAAAUAUUUUAAAAUAGCAAAAUAGAUUUUAAUACAUAUAUUUGGAACAAUUAAACUCAAACUAUGCAAGUGACCUUGUCUACUAUGUAGGUGACUUUGUUUACUACAUAGGCAAAGUAUAUGACAGUGAUAGUCAAGGAAGCUAUGUGGUUGCAUGGUUUAGUGGAGAAUUUAAGAGUAAAGCAAGAUCACAUUGUGAUUUAUUAUGAUAAUGGGAGUGCCCUAAAUUUAUUUAAGAAUAAAAUUCAUCACUCAUUGGUAAGGCAUAUUGAUGUCUAAUUUCAUUUUAUUUAAGAGAUUCUAGAAGAAAGUCAUAUCUUAUUUUAGAAAGAUUACUAAUGUUAAUGAGGUAGGUCAUAUUUAAAUGUGAUCCAUGUUGAAAGGAUCAAUGUACCUUUAGGUGUGUAGUAGCAAAAAAAUUCUAUUUGGACCUAUGUUUUUCUCUUGGAACCUCAAUUCUUUAUUUUUUUUAAAGAAAAAGUGGACAUAUCAAAUUAAGCAACAUCAGUCUUUUAUUUUUUUCAUUCUUGCUUGGUUUUUGUCUUGAAUUUAGAGUGGAGAAGAUGUAAUAAAUGAGUAAGGAAAGAGGUAGAAAAUAAAGAUAACAUUAGAACUAGGGAUUGUAAAAGAGGAAGAAGAUGAGGACAUUUUUGGCAAUGUUGCAUGUCAAUUUUCUAUUUAAUGAUUCCCCUAUAAUAGUUUUCAUAUUCAUUAACUCUCUCUAAACUAAGCAACAUAUUUCUUAAAUAUUUUAAAUUCUUAUUUAUUCUUAAACUCUUUCAUUCUCAACCGGCCUUUUCACCAUUCUCACAAACCUAAAAUUUGCUCUCAAUUUAUUUCAAUAAUGUUGACAUAAAAGUAAAUAGGUAAGUCAACAUUCAACUUUUUUUUUUUUUUACAAACCAAAAUCUAAUAUUUUUGUUUAGAAACAAAAAUUGAACAAAAAUGUAUAAACUAAGAGAAAGAAAAAGUAAAAACUAGAGACUUGUAAUUGUAUAAAUGUCAAGAUUUCAAGUUAGUAAUUUAUGUCAAUAUUUGUUUUUUUAUUUUUUUUCUUGAUUUUUAUAUACCAUUUUAAUUAAUAUUUUCAAUUUUGUGAUUGAAGUCUCAAGAAUUUAUGUUAUGCUUAUUUUAUUGUUUCCAUGUCAAAAACCAAUGUGAAAUUAGUAUGACAUGUACACUUAUUAUUUUGAAGCAUAGUGUUGAUAUCUUAUUUUGUAAAACCCAUGACGAUCAAUCAUUGUCUCUCAUGUGUCUCAUUUAUGACAUGUGAGUUUGACUAAUUAUAUAGCAUCAUGCCUCAAAGAUUAGUGUUACAUAUCCAAGACAUCUCUCUAAUAAACUUGACAUUCAUUACACUUUUCUUACCCUUAAUCUUUCAUACAUGGAUAGGUCCAUGUUCUACCUUCAUAUCUCCUAUGCCAUAGUGCUACAUUGUUUGAAAAUGAAUUUUUAUCUUCAAUAAGAUCCUAAGUCACAUGGAUGACUAUGAAGCAUGGAUGUCGCCCAUAGUGAAUGUCGAGGAGAGGGGUAGGGGUGUUUCUUACUCUAUUCUUCCUAAAGAUGGUAUCGCGUGCUUCUGAUAAUUGUUUCAUUUUUAAUCUAGAAAAUGCAUGCUUCCUAAAAACUAAUAGUUGUUAUUGGUUUAUGAUCUUUUAUACCCUCUUCUAAUAUGUCAACCUUAAAAUAAUGCCUUGAUGUUAAUAAAUCUACCUAGUUCAUGAGCAAAGCUUAAGGUUAUGAAAUGGACUUUGUGUCAUUAGUUGUAAAUCUAGUUUCCCUACCCAUUAGCAUUUCAAGAUUAGUUUGAGGGUCUUGGUUUAGUAGUUAGAUCUUAUACUUACCAAGGUCGGAUCAACACGCAUUGAUCUCAUUUUAGCUUAAAUGAGAGAGAUGACAAUUGUGUCUUCAUUAUAGGUGUCAUAUGAAGAAGUUUGUAUAUCCUUAUAGAAUAAUUAAUAUUCAAAAUACUAUUUCAGAGCAUUAUAAAAAAACUUCAUUUCUAGCCAAAUGAAAAAGAGUGAUAUUCUUGGUCUCUUUGAUCCUACUACCACCAUUUCCACCCAAUCAUCUACUCUCACUUUGCUUUGCUCUCAUUUUAAACUCUUGGCACAUUUAAAACUUUCAAGUUUUAGUUGUAAGCUUAUAGAUACUAUUUUAGAAAAAAAAUAAAAUUGCAAGUGAGAUCUAAUAUUUUGUUUUGAGAAAAGUAUUGAAAAAGCCCAAGGCUUAGAAACUUUGAUUUACCUAUGUCUAAUUAUGAACUUUCGAAUGAAGAUAACAAUGUUAUAUAAUUUAAUAGUUGAAGAGAGUUAGAAGGUUUUUUCUAAUUUUGGAGCAUGAUGUACAUUAUGAGCCUAAGUCAUGACAACUUAAGUCGCUAGGAAGAUCAGUUGCUUAACAUGCCAAUAGGGUCUUGUUUAGUGGGGGUUUGUGUGUUUGAAUCUCACCUCAUUAUUUCCAUGAUUUAUUGAGCCUCAAUGUAAGUCUAAUAUGAGGUUAGUUGUAUAGGAAAAUUUUUCUCUCCAUGUGUGGUAUGGGGUUGUAGUGAGAGAGAGUGUUAAAGAAUGGGAUUAAAUCUUAAUAGUUUAAGCUUUUAGAAAAAUCAAAAGUUCAACUUGGCAUUAGAGUCUUAUUUAUUCAAAGGUUAUUAGUUUGGACCUCAAGACAUAUUAUUUCCCUAAUUUAUUGAGCAAAAAGAAGGCUAGAUAUGAGGUUGCUGAUGAGAAGUUAAUGGAGGGUCCUGAGUCCAAGUUCUCCCCUCAUUAUUUAUCUAUCUAAUUAUUUAUGACCAUAAAGUGCUUCUCAUGGUAGGUAUGGGCUCACAUAUGGGGGGAGGAGGGGUGUUGGAGCAUUAUAUAUGUUAUGUGCCCAAAUUCUAACAACUUAGUUAAGCUUUUAGGAAAAUUUAUUAUCUAAAAUUAAUAUUGUUUUGUAAUCAAAGUAAAAUCAACCUUAGUUAUUCAACAUAAUAAAAAACAUUAGUUUCCUGAUUGAAAAUGGUAAGGACUAAGUAAACUGAUAUAAAAUAGAAUGUUAUUAUAGUUUAUGGGGUGAAGUAUUAGCACUAUAAAGUUAAGUAACUAAUUUGCUAAAAUUACUAGCUAAAACUUGAAAAGUCUUAUCAAAGUGAAAAAGAAAAUAAAAUUAAACUCUUUAUUUUACAUAAUAGCAUAUCUAUAUCCCCUUAAAUUAUGAAAUUCAUGUUGUUUUUUCAAAAAAAAAAAAGAAAGAAAGAAAGAAAGAAAAAAAAAAAACCUAGAAAUGCCUACUAAAAAAAAGUCGAUUGAUACACUCCCUAACCAUAAAAUUGAGUUGUAAAUAUAAAUUAUAGUUCAUCCAAGUCUUUAUACGACUUUAAGAAAUCAAUAGCUAGUUUCAUUUACACCAUUGGUUCGUUUUUUUUUUUUUAUUCCAUUGAAAAGAAAGCAAUAAAAAUGAAUUGAGACAAAAAUGAGAAUACAAUCCAUAAAAUAUCAAUAGAUUUGUAAACUCAUUAUAAAGUUCAUAAAUCUUUAGAUAAAAAAAGCAAUAUAAAGAGGUAAAAAAUUAGGAACUAUCAAGUUGAAAAAUAGAGUGUAUGGUAAAAAAUAAAAAAUAAAAAGAUAAAACAAACAACAUUUUAAAGUAAGGGUACAAUAGUUAUUAAAAUGAAUCACAAUAAAAGUUUUCUAAAAAUUGAAAAAAAAGAGGAAAAGUUUUUGGUAUGCUUUUAUGGUUUAGGGGGUAAAGGUUCAUAAUACUCGUCAUUUUAUCAUCUUUAUAGGAAAAAAAAUUUAGACUCAACUUUAUCACAACUCAUAUGAGUUAAAAAUUUCUUGAAUGUAUUUUCUCUCAAGUUUCUAAUGGAUACCCCUUUAUCAAAGGUGUGGACAUUGAGCUAAAUUCACCAUUAAAAUUCAUCAAGUUUCUAUUUUCCUUUUCCUAAUUCAUCAAGCUAUAUUUAUGAAAUAUCCUCAUUCUUCAUUAGUAAUAUCAUAUUGUCAAAAAAACCCUUAAUAGAUCUACACCUAUCACCAGUUAAUAGAUAAAAUAACUUAACAAUUAGUUUUAAGUUUUAAGGACUUUACAAGACAAGCUAAGAACCUCAUAUUGUUUGCACACAAUUGACAAGUUGAUUUGUUUUAAAAAGUAAAAUGCUAAAGAAAAUCCACAACACGUGUUGUUUUAAAAAUCUUUGUAUUUAUAUGACAAAAAAAAAAAAGAACCAAUAGUUUAAAUUGGAAAAGUUUAUGCAAAUUAGAUGAGGAAAAUGCAAGCCAUAAAAUAACAUUCAAACGUUAUCAUUCUCUAAGAAACAUCAAGAACAUAUUGAGAGAACCAUUACUCAACAUAAUAAAUUUGUCUUGAAAGGAAAAGAAAAUCAUCAAAGCAAUCAUAUUUGUGAUGCAUUCUGAUUUCCAUAGUGUUUCCAUAUUUACUAUUAGGAUAAAAAAAUGGAAGUUGAAAAUUAUGGCAAUUCCUUGAGACAAUGAAUUAGAGUAGUAGAAAAGGAAAAAAAAUAAAAAAUAAAGAGAAAAAUAUGGUGAGUGAAAAAUAUUUUAACCCCAUAAAUUUUUCUUUCACAUCUCUUUAAAUUUAUUAAUAUCAAUUCUUUUCUAAAUAAACAAUGAAAUUUUUGAAAUUUCUUGAAAUUUAAACAUAUUUACUAGUUGUAUCAUCUCCAGUCACCUAAAUCUCAAGAUGUUCUUCAAAUGAAUUAUAGACUUUAUUUAGAUAGGUAAACUAAGGGGACUCCCCCUCUAAGAACUGUAUAUAAGAAUUUCAUCUCAUACAACUCAAAUAGAAACACCUAAACACUAGAUGAAACGGAUAUAUAAUAGAAAAAUGUAUUUCAAUGGAUCCAAUUGGUAUUUUUCCUGUCUUAGAUAAACAAACAAAUUUUUCUUCAUUAAUCAUUGUAAGUAAAUUAUAUUUUAAUUUUAAAAAGUACUAAACUUUAUUUUAAUUUUCAUGUAGGAUCAACUAACUUAUCAUAAUUAAAAUUUGUCUCUAUGGCUGAAUAGAGCUUUGAUGUAAUAAUACUAUACAAAUUUCAAGUAACACUAAAUUAAUCAAAUAGGAAACUACAGUUACGUUUGAAUACAUAUUCUAUUUUUUAUUUUUAAAAUUAAAAUUUUGAUAUAAAAUUUUUUUUUAAAAAUAUUUUAAAAUAAUUUCAAAUACACAAGAUAUUGACUUUAUAUAUAUAAAAGUUCUUAUAUUUUAUAUAAAACUCUAUUUUAAAAAAAUAGAAAUAAAAAAAUGCAUUUAAACAUAUGCUAAAUUGUUAGAUUUCAUAGAUCCUACAAUUAAUAGUGAAAAUGAAGAUGAGAGAUAACUGACUGAACUAUGAAAAGGAAUUAAAAUUUAUGAGUUUCAAAAAUACUAGUUAAUGAAAGAGAUUUUGUGCCUGGAUGACUAAGAAAAAUGCUGAAAAAUGUGCUAUAGAGUGGCUUUUCCUUUCUCCUCUUGCUAUAUAUGCAUAUCAUCCCUCUUUUUUAUCUCGUUGAACUCAACAAAUUCUCAUUUGUUCUGAGAAAAAAAAGAGAUUAUGUUAUAUGAUGGUAGGACUUUAUUCUGUUAUGGAAUAUGCACACCCUAGAUCUAUUGGCUAGAGCUAUACAGUAGGUUGUUGGCUUGUUUAGCAUUGUCUCUUUUUUGGAUAGGUUUGGACAAUGCCUCUUGAUGUUGCUUUUUGGUAAUGUAUUUUUCUUUGAUUUUUCAUGAAAAAUUCCACAUUUUGAGAUUUUCACCAUAUUAGAGUCUUUGGAAUUGGUACUUGUCUUGACACAGUUAGUAGGAAUCAUUUUCCCCAAGCUACAUAACACAUGUCUGCUAAUUGGUAAUGUUCCAUUGGCAUUUAUAAACUCUCCUGUCAAAAGUGAAUAUGCUCUAACAUUUCAAAUAGUGUGGUGUUGUACAUAGGUUGGUAAUUGAGGAUUUUAUUAUGGAUUUUGUCCUAUUCUGGUCGUGCCAACAUGUUCUGUCUUGUUCUUUGUCUUACUGAUUUGGGUGGUUGCGCGUCAUGUUUCUACAAGCUGUAUUUUUAAGCUUCAGGAGCAAAGGUAUUUUGGUUCUACCAUUUAGAUGAUGGUACUAAAGCAUUUGUAUUAUGGAUUGCACAACCCCUUAUAUGGGAUAUCUUUGCACCAAUUGUUUGGUAAUCAAGAGAACUCUCAUAUUAAACAAAGUCAUCUUCUAUUAGUAAUAAUAAUAAUAAUAAUAAUAAUUGUGUGAUUUGGAUGCUUGUGAGUGACGAACAAUAGGGUUGUUUAGGUGUUGUUGGGUAUUGAAAAGUAUAGUAAUAAUAAUAGUAAUUUUUUUUUUAAAAAGUUUUAAUUUAGUUUAAGUAUACAAAAGAAAUAAAUUGUUAGAAUAGGAUUUGGAAGAAAUAUGAGUUUAUAAAAAAUUUGGAAAUUCAUUAAAUUAUAUUAUUAUUGUUUAAGAAGUUGAAAGUAAUAUGGGGUGGUAAUAAUAUUAUCAUACGAAAUUAAUUAGGAUCCCUAAUACUAAAUAAAAUAUCUUUAGGAUUGUCAAAUUUUUACCUUUAGAUAAUUGUGUAUGAUAUUAUAUUAGGUGGGGAGUAAAUUCAUCAAGCUAAAUACUUCAAGUUUUUGAGUGCUUCUUCAAGGUAAGGGAAAUUAAUGCAGAUUUUUAUAAAAGAAAAUAAUUUUCUUUUUAUAUUGUAUUUUGAAUUGUGUAAAAAUAUUAUUUUUAUCUUUACACAUGGAUCAAAUAUAUGUUUUGUAUGGAAAGUAUGUUUGAGCAUUUUCUUUAUUUAUGAAAAAUGAAAAAUUGAGGAGAUAUGAUGUUUUGUUUUGUAAGUUUGAAUUAAUGAAAUAAAGUGUUUGACUUUGGAUUAUAUGACCCUAGUAAACGAGUUAUAAUUGUUAACUUUUUUUGUCCUAGUCAACGAGUUAUAAUAGUUGAUAUUAUAUGGCCCUAGUCAACGGGUAAUAAUAGUUGACCUUAUGGUCAUAGUCAAUGGGUUAUAAUAGUUGACCUUAUGGUCCUAGUCAACGGGUUAUAAUAGUUGACCUUAUGACCCUAGUCAAUAGGUUAUAAUUGUUAACAUUUGGUUUUGUUCAUCUUAAAUGGAACAAAUUUGAAACUAGUUACUCAAUUGUGAAGUCCCACCUAAUUGGGCACCAUUUAUCAUACGAUAAUCAGAGUAAAGAUAUUUUGAAUGUAUUCGAUUUGGUUUUGAAGAGAAAUUGUUUUGAAAUGGAUAUGAGAAAGUUUUGUUAAAAAGUAUGAAUGUAUUAGCAUUUUGAACUCAAAAGUUUUUAUGAAAAUAAGUAUAUAUUAUAUCUCCUAUUUGCAAGCAUAAUUGAAAACGUUUGAUCCAUGAAACUGUAUUAAUGUUCCUUACUAUGCUUUGAGCUCAUCCCCUUUUGUUGAUAAUCUUUCAAGCAACCUCAGUUCGGGUGAGAAGUGACCGUUAUGAGGGAAAUUCGGCUUUAUUAGGACAUUUUUUUAAACUCUUUUUAUUUUGGAUAUUGUUUAGAUGUUAAAACUUAAUUCUUGUUUGAAUUAUUUUGAGUUUUGAGUUAUUUGGACAAUAACACUUUGGUUGAUGUAUUAGUUUUUUUUUUAAAGGUGAUACUUGGAGAUUUUAGAAUUUUGUCUUACUACUUUGAACAGAGAUUUGAUAAUUGGUAAAUUUCUAGUUAUAAUACGAAUGUUUGUGUCGCUUCCACUUUGAGCUUUUGGACUCGAGGUGUGAAAUGACCGUCAUGUCCUUGAAGUGGGUUUUGGGGCAUGACAUAGAGAGAUACCUAUAAGACUUUUUGGACUAUUGGGUUUGGAAUACUUGAAUUUAUUAUAUAAUUAUCUCGAUAGUCAGUUUCUUAAUUUGGAAAAAACGCAUAGAUUGAUGGUACUGAAUUUAUCACUUAAUUCUUUGUCAGGUCAGAUCCUAGAAAAUAUUUCCAAUCUUUGAAACCUAACGCCAUUGAACAUUUCAUAACAUUGCCUCUUUGGAAUGGUUCUAAAAGAGUGGGGCUAUUAGGAGGUUUCCAAGAGCAUUCGCAGGGAUCCAGAGCUAUUCGUGCAAUCCUUGGAUAAACAAUGUUAGAUAGCACAAGGACAUGCAAGCUUGAAAUAAAUAGAGGUAUUGUAGACCCUCAAUUUUGUCCCUUGACACUUGCAUUUUAUCCUAUGGGUGUCACAUGCACCCAUGCUUUCAUAUGAUUUCUCCAUGGCCUCCUUUUGGCCUUGAUAGGUUUCUGAGCCUUGUGUAGGUUCAUUUGCGGUCCAAUGUAGUGCGGGUGUGUAGUUCAUUUUGGAGUUCCAUCAUGGCCAAGUUCCUAGUUGUCACAUCAUGCUAUAGGGAAGGAAGUGAGGCCCCCCAAAAAUUUUAGUUCAGUUGGAAUUCAUAAGAGCGGGUUUGAAUUCAGAGCACUUGGGCUUGUUUUGAUCAUAUCUCCCUCAUCCGAACUUGGAAUUGCGCACCGUUUUUUUUUUUAUGGACUCCUUAUUCGUCAAGGAAAAUUUCAAAAUUUUUUUUCUCAACCAGCUUGACCGGUUCCCAAAGUUUGAGAUUUUUUCUCAAUCGGAUGAACCGGUUGGGAACCGGUUCAACAGGUGGCUUGGUGGCAGCCCCGUUUUAUAAAUGCUUUGCAUUGUUUCGGCCGGUUCUCCCUCAUCUGGGCUCAGAAUUGAGCACCGUUUGUUUUUUGGAUUCCUUGUUCUUUGAGGAAUCUUCUGGUAAAGUUUCAGAUUUUUUCUCAAUCUGAUGGACCAGUUGGGAACCGGUUCAACAGGUGGCUUGGUGGUAGCCCCGUUUUGUAAACGCUUUGCAUUGUUUCAGCCUGUUCUCCCUCAUCUGGGCUCAGAAUUGAGCACCGUUUGUUUUGUUGGAUUCCUUAUUCUCUGAGGAAUAUUUUUAUAAAGUUUAAGAUUUUUUAUCAAUCGGAUGAACCAGUUGGGAACCGGUUCAGCAGGUGGCUUGGUGGCAGCCCCAUUUUAUAAACGCUCUGCAUUGUUUCGGUCGGUUCUCCCUCAUCCGGGCUCGGAAUUGAGCGCCGUUUGUUUUGUUGGAUUCCUUAAUAUCUGAGGAAUCUUCUGGUAAAGUUUUAGAAUUUUUUUCUCAAUUAUUCGAGCCAGUUGGGAACCGGUUCAACCGGUUAUGCUAGGUAGCUCCAGUUUCAGCGUGUUUUAACCCCCAUUUUUGUUGUGGCUUGGGCCCUUAGACUCCAAGGCACUUGUAGGCCACCUUUAGGGUCUGAAUCCAAAUUUGGUUUGAAUUAAUGUGGGCCUACCUAUGAGUCGAGGGUAUUAUUGGCUAGGAAGGUUAGGGGGUUAUUGUGAAUGUUUGGCUUGGGUACAUUUUGAUGUUUGAUUAAAAAUGCUUGUAUCUAUUGAUUUGCCCUUGUUUGCAGCGCUUGGCUGGGGACCCGAGGUACGUACUUGACUUGUUGGGAAUUGGAUUCAUUUGCAUGCGUGGGGCUUGGAUAUGUUUGCUUGUUGUGUGUUUAUAUUGCUUGACUAACCUCUUAUGUAGCGCUUAGCUAGGGACCUCAGGUACACACCUUUUAGCUUUGAUUUGUGGAGACUAAGUGCACGCUAGAUACUGAGCAGGUUCGUGUGAUCUAUGUCAUUUGUUUAGCCUGAUUGAUCAAUUGAUUUUUGACCCAUAUGCUCCCAUGUGCCCAAUUCAUUAGUAGAGAGUAGAGACCGAGUUCCAGGCCUAAAGAGGUGCUCCCUCACAUGAGGUACCUUCCCAAUAGGUAACCUGAUCCCCGGACCCAGAAUCUAGUUUUCCCAGAUUGCUUUUUCCAUAUUGGAGUCAUUAAGGGUUUUUGUUCUUACUUGAUUUUCCCCUUUAUAAAAUAAAAAUAAAAAGUAAGUGGCGACUCCAAACAAUCCUCACCGGGAACGGAUUUUCCAAAACCCAAAAACACACUUACUUUCUUAUUCUUUUAAAAAGCGUGUCGCGUCGGCCCGUGGAUCGGGUGAGAGUCCACAAAUUGGUGACUCCACUGGGGAUCGAACCUAGGAUCUCUGGUUUCAUAAGAGAAUCAAGCUUGAACUUGAAUUGGGUAUAUUGGAGCACAUGGUUCUCUGAUCAGUAGACUCUUAGGCUACAUAGAUGACUAAUGAUCACGUACUUGAUUGGUAUCUGGCUUGCACCUUUGAUGUGUUGAUGCUUGUGUGUCCACUUGAUUGGUUUUAACAUGCUUGCUCAUUGUUGAUUGGUACUUAGUUAUGAGAUUUGGGAUUGUCAUAAAUGGUCAGAUUGUGUGUAGAUUUUAUGGUAGGCCUUGCCCUUUGCGCAUAACUGUUUGCUGCAUGGCUACACUUUUUCUUGCAUGACUGUUUGCCGCUUGUGUUUUGGGGCGCGCUUGUAUCCCCUUAUUUUCGAAUUACUAGUCUUGGUUGACUAUUCCUCAUUGAUUGCUUGAGUUGUUUGGGAGUCAUUCCCAACUGUUUGCCUUCGACCAAGAUAGGGGUUUGGGAGUAGGGUCUAGCAUAAGGGUUAUAUUGAUGUUUGGGAGCACUAUGAAGAUGAUGGAUAUCCGAGCAAUGAAGAUCUGUAUAGCCCUGAGCUGGAUUUCAUGGAUACAUGCGUGGCCAGUGUGUCGCUUUGAUUGUUGAUUGAUUGUAGGUUAGGAUCAGAAGUUGCGUAUCCCUGUGGGUACAUUCAUCUAGCUUGUAGGACUUGCCUUUUCCCAUUAUUAGCUUUUGAGCCACCUUACUUCUGAGGUAUCACCAUGUCAGAGUCCUGUUCCUACCUGUGGAGCCAUAUAUUGGAUUAGCUGUUGACAUCACAUGUCAGCUCAUUCCUUUAGAGGAUUUAGUUGUAAGAUUGCAUUACUAGAUUGAUUUAAGGAUUAAUAGUCACGGGAACUGACGUACCCCUUUCCUUUUGUAGGAUUGUUGAUCGAGACCGACUUGGGUUCUCGAGCUUGGAUCUAGAUCGGAGGUUGAUUGGUUAGAGGAUCAGAUCUACACAGUCAGUUAGAGCAGAUAUCAGAUCAUAGAGAUAUGGACCCCCAAUACGCCACUAUUGACCAGUUGACUGAGAUUACAGAUACCAUGGCAUCACUCCGGGAUGCUAUAUUGGGAUUGGGUCAGAGAAUAGAUGGGCACCAGGCCCAGCCAUUGCCGGUUCCGGGGAGCACCCCGCUUGACUCUACUGCACCUCCACCUCCACCAUUGCCAUCUAGGCCUACUAUACAGUAGGAUUAUAUAGUUCCAUCUCCGCCACCACCCCCAAUUUAGUCAGCCCCGUGGGCUAGGGCCUUUAUCUUACAUGGUCAGACUGAGACUACGCCACAUUCUGUUGUGUCACCUACACAGAUUGUUGAUGACACUCAGGCCCAUAUCGAUAGGAUUGAGCAGAGGAUCAGGUCUCUACAUGUUUUUGAUGGAUGGGUUGGGACGGAUAUGAUGACUUGCCAGUGGCAGCUUUGCUAGUUGAGUUCUGCAUGUCGGACAUUGAGAGGUACACGAGGAUAGGGUGCCCCUGUAUUCAUUUACAAUUGUAUAGCACUAUUAUGCGCUGGCAUAGAUUGGACAAGGCACAGAUGAUCAUGCUAUUCCUUCUGUCUCUAAGUGGUGCCGCUCAGCGUUGGUUUGCCUCAUUGGACCCUUCAAGGCACCGGACAUGGGCUGAUUUGGCACAGGAGUUUCUUAGACAAUAUUCUUUUAAUACUAUAGUGGAUGUAUCCCGAAGGGAGCUAGAGGCCCUCAAGCAAAGGCCAGAUGAGUCAGUUACUUCAUUCAUCUCCUGCUGGAGGGAGAAGAUAGCACAAAUUAUAGAUAGAUCCUCCGAGCGUGAUCAGAUCAGCAUGAUUAUGUGCAGUCUUCACCCUCGCUUUGCCAAGCAUCUCAUGGGCUUUCCACAGACAGACUUUGGAUCAUUGGUUCAGGUCCUCUAUGGCAUUGAAGAGGGCAUAGCUAGAGGAUUAUGGGUAGACUCUUCCCGUUCAAACUCAAAGGGGAAGAAGCCAGGGUCAGGAUCCAGGCCUUCAGAUGUUGGUACCAUUGGCACGAUAGGGCACAGGUCCCAUCGUCACCCUCCUUCUCAGAGACAGUUCUUAGACACUCUUUACCAGAUGAUACAACACGAUCAGUACAAACCAGUUGCUCCCUAUAGGCCGACAGGGCCUACUUAUCUAUAUCUGGCACCGUAGCCGAUAUAUGCUACAUAGGCUCCUUAGAGGCCACCUGUACAGUUCCAUCAGCAGUAUAGAGCACCGCCUCCACCGAGGUCGGCUAGGCAGUUUACAUAGUUAGAGAUUGGUUGAGGGGGGUUUGAUUGCUCCACUACCACCCAGACCAUCACCACAUCCUACCCCACUAGGAUUCAGGAUAGAUCUUCACUAUGCCUACCAUCAGAGAGCUGGCCAUGAUACAGACAAUUGUGCGAUGCUGAGGCACGCCAUUCAGGACUUGAUUAAUCAGGGUUUGGUUGAUUUAGGACGCCCUGCAGUGACUACAGACCCACUACCUACUCAUGACAUUAGAGCUGUAUCUUCACCCCCGGGGAACGUACAUUUGAUUGAUUUUUCAGGAGAUGAGAUAUUCAUGAUGGGGUGGGACGGAGAGGCUCCUCAACCUAUUAGUCUGUACGAGGACUCAGAUUUUAGUGGAUAUAUCCAUGGACAGUAAGCUCCCAGGCCAUUCAGAUUGAUCCCGAAUGAGAUUCCCCAACAGACAGCAGUAUCGUCGGUAUACUUACAACAUGUUCUGCCCAUGACACCCUUCAUUCUAUUCCUGGAAGAGUAUAGGCCCGUUCACAGAGAUGUUCAGAUUGUUACACGGAGUGGGAGAGUAGCUCAGCCUCUACCCUUUGAUAAGUCUUUUGUUGGCACAGAUGUUAGAGAUGAUGUUUAGAGAGAGGAUGAUGAGAUAUUGCACCAGCUGUGCACCACACAGGCUCGCAUAUCCAUUUGGAGCCUCUUGGCAUUGUCCAGCACACAUAGAGAUGCCUUGGUCAGAGCUCUUAGUUAGAUCAGAGUUGACACUGCUACUACUCCUGAUGGACUGAUUCACUUUCUGACGGUUGAUAAAGCUACAUGCAUUGUAUUUUCAGAUGAUGAUUUACCACCUAAGAGAUCAGAUCAUGUUUGACCCUUAUUCAUUGAUGUUGCUUGUUCAGGUUGUUGGGUGCCGUUUGUCCUGCUAGACAACGGCUCCGCCUUGAACAUAUGUACAUUGGUUACUGCCAUUGCUUUGGAAUUUUCACCAUCCGAUUUUGGGCCAUCUACGCAGACCUUCAAAGCAUACGAUGGGACUCAGAGGACAGUUAUGGGUACUCUCACUACACAUGUCAUGAUAGGGUCGGUCAGAUAUUCUAUACUCUUUCAGGUUUUGAGGAUCCAGACAUCCUUUAACUUACUUCUCGGCUUCCCCUAGAUUCAUGAGGCGGGUGUUAUACCAUCUUCCCUUCAUCAGAAGGUGAAGUUCAUACACGAAGGGUGCAUUAUCACGAUACAGUCAGACAGAGACGUUGUUACCUCUUCCAAGCCAGUGUUACAGAUCAGUCACAAUGAGAAUGACUUGCACUUGACCGGAUUUACUUUUGAUGAGGUUCAGGUUGUUAGUUUAGAGGAUGACAACAGAGACAUGGUACCUAUGUCUUUUGAUCAGUAUAGCGGCACUUUGGUACUCAGUAUGAUGAGAGGCAUGUCCUAUAUGCCUGGCUUGGGAUUGGGUCACCGCCAACAGGGGUCGUGCGAGUUUGCUUUCACAGUUGAUCAUGAUAUACCACAUGGAUUGGGUUACACUCCUUCUGAGGAGGAUGCAUGACACAUGGCGCGAUUGAUCCGAGAUAAGGUGAGAGCUCGCUUGUCCGAGGUUCCAUUCGAUUACCCCCUUCGCCCAUACACUUUUCAGUUGGCUGACUAUUUUGCCAAAGGAUUAGAGCAUGCACCCCACACAAAGGGAGUUGAUCGUGUUCAUGAGGUAGUUGAGAUUCAGGGUAUUCAAUAGGCCUUAGGACAAAUGUGUUUUGAGUUCUGAGACCACCGAGCCACCCAAGGCCAUGGUAGUUGCAUCCCCAUCGACAUUGGUCGUAUCCUUGACACAGCCCCAGGUGGGCCCCAUUAUGCUUUUGAUAUGUUUGGAGUUUCUAUGAUUAAUUCUGAUGGUGUGACACUUUAUGACGCUUGCACUGACACGAUGGACAUGAUCGGCACUGGCCGCAUUUUGGAUACUUCCCCACCUAGGCCCCGAUCCGCUUUUGAUGUGUUUGGGAUUUCUAUGCUUGAGUUUGAUGGUGAUGGACUUGUUGCUACUAAUAUUACUCAUGAUACUAUUUUUGUUGAGGGAGUGUUCGACUCUGUGGACCUACCUCUUUCUUUUGACACUAUGUCCGGGUUUGUCACCCGCUUUGAUGACAUUUCUGAUGGUAAUAAUGACAUGAGUAUUUUCGAGUAUUUGCCUGUGUCACAACAUUUUCCUUUGAUUGCACCACGAGCAUCCACAGCACAUGUAUGUGAUGUUGAUGAUGUGGAAGACACAGAUGACCCACUAAGUGGUCAGUCAGAGUGUGACUCUGAUUCAGAUACGGAGGAUAGGAAAGCUACACCCAUUUCUGGUAUCACUGAGUUGAUAGAUUUUGGGGCACCUAACUAGCCUAGGGAGCUUAGGAUUGGCUCUUCCCUAUCUCCCGAUGAGAGAAGUAGAUUGAUAGACCUAUUCAGGUCAUCCUUAGAUGUAUUUGCAUGGUCGUAUGAGGACAUACCGGGCCUUGACCCCACUAUAGUUCAGCAUCACCUGCCCAUUUUGCCAUAUGCUAGGCCAGUUAAGCAGAAAUUGAGAAGAGUACACCCUCGAUGGAGUUUGUAGGUGAAAGAGGAGAUUCAGAAGUAACUCAGUGUUGGAUUCUUGUCAGUGGUUGAGUAUCUUGAGUGGCUGGCUAAUGUCGUCCCUAUUCCCAAAAAGGACGACAAGGUUAGAGUUUGUGUUAACUUCCAAGAUCCGAACAAGGCCAGUCCUAAGGAUGAUUUUUUCUUCCAGCACAUCUGAUUCGUGCCCAGUCGGUGUAUCAGUUGAUUCAUGUCCAGCUAGUGCUCCUUGCUUGAGGAAGUAAUCAACAAAAUUUAUAACCUAUUACACCAUGAACUAGGGUAGCAAAGACAAAGCUACUAUAGCAUAGUGGCUCUAGGAUUGUUCACUGGGAAGGGUUUUUAAUUCAUAAAUGAUACCAAUUCAAAGCUGAAUUGGUGCCUUUUGAUUUCAAGGUUAGCUUUAAAAGAAAACAUAAUUUUUGGAUGAAAAAGGUUUGGUUUAAACUAACGGUAAAGAAAGUAAUGGAAAUUACUUAUGAAGAAAAACAUUCCUUGAAGGUUUAGGUUCACAGGGGAGGUUCCUCGUGCAAAAACAGAGCUCUGGUCAUUUGGUUCAUUUCCUCGCAUUAGAGAAUUAACAUAUAGUCAAUUCUCUAAUCGGCUCUGUACAGAUGCUUCCCUUUAAUGGGUUCAAACACUAAAUCACUCUCACUGAUGCACCUUGCAAUGGCUCAUACCUCUCACCUAGCACUUGCCAUUCAAGGUGAUCUUUAACCUUGGACUUCCCGUCAAAAGCUCGUAAGAGAUAACUAAUGGAUGUCUCCUUGGAGUCCAAAAGCUUACCAAGUGUUAGCUAUUCUAGAAAAUCCUACCUUCAAACCACCUCCCAAAGGCUCGCAAUAGAUAAACUAGUGCAUCUCAAUGGAGAUCACUUGCCUUAUCAAGUGUUGGCCUAGGUGAUUUAAAGGUGUUUUAAGUUAACUAAAAACAUAGAAAUCAUUAAUGGGUCAUACUUUCUCUUCAUUAAUGGCUGAAACCGCAAAGCUACUAAUUCUUGCACUUGGAACCUUUCCCAGCAACCUUAACUCCAAGGAACUAAAAGUCUAGCCACUCAUUCUCUGAGGAAACAUCCUUAGAGCUUGUUUGGCUAGUAAGAAAAUACAAUUAAAAUGAGAAGGUAAAGCAGAGCAAAACUUUGUAUUUUUCUUCCUUUUAAAAACUAUACAAAAGUUUUUUCGUCGUCCUUUUUUGGGAACAGGCUCCCGAGAGAUAUAUAUAUGGAAAAUUACAAAAUAUCUAUCUGAGGUUAUUCACCCUUUUUCCAAACUUAAUAACUAAGGAAUCCUAUAAUUGGUGGGUUACAAGGAGAUUUUGGGGAUUUAGACAACAAAUAUCUAAAGCAAAAUAUCUCAAAAUAUCCCAAAAUAUCGGUGGCAAAUAUUAGGACGCUUCAGGAGAACACCGCAGCACUGUGCAAAAUGGCUGCUCUUCCAUCCGGGUAGACGCUAUCAGAUGAUCCGGAUACGUCCGUCCGGAGAAGUUGAAACACUCUCCUUUUCUAUCCGACAUCAGAAUUCUGGACGUGAACAUCUGGGUGGAAGUGGUGGCAGUCGGGUACAAAUUGGCGGCAGCCGGGUGCAAAAUGGCGGCAGCCGGGUGCAAAUGGCGGCGCACAUCCAGAUACAAAUUAGCGGCAGUCGGGUGCAGAAUGGCGGCAGCCGGGUGCAAAUGGCUGCGCACAUCCGGAUACAAAUUGGCGGUAGCCGGGUGCAAAUCCUAUCUGGAUAUGUGGUCCGGAUGCUCUCCGAUGGUGUAUCCGGACGCCCUGUCCGGGUAUACUCCUUACAUAGAUUCCAAAUAACUCUCCUCAAUUUCAGAUUUGCUUUGGUGAUAAAAAAGCUAUCAAAACACCAAAACUUAACACAUUUUUUAUUAGAAUUGAUUGCAAGGUCCUUAACAUGCCAAUUGAGUUAAAAGGUGAUAACUACUACUCAAAAGUGUUUAAAAGAGUUAAUUACAAGCUAUGAAAUAGCACAUUUUGAGUAGUAAUCACUCCCCCUAACCGACAUAUUGCUAGUCCCUUAGCAAUGAAAGAGAGAAAAAAUAAAAAUAAAAAGUACUGUAAUUUACAACAUCAUGCUGAUAAAAAAAAAACAAUUUCCAAGCGGCAUGAUGAUCUAACUCUCACAUGGAAUAUUAAAGAAAUAAAACUCAAACUUCAACAAGAGUUAUCAAAAAAUUUGUCUAAUCACAAUUCUUAAAGAGAAGGCUUUAUGCAAAUUUAAGCUUUAAAAGAGUUUCCACUCCCAAAGGGUCAAACCUUACUCUUCCACAAAAAUCUAAGUGUUACUUGAUAGCUUCCGAAUAUAGUAUGUUGAACUAAUCUCUCCCCCCAACCUAACUCUUUUCCAACACUUAGUAAACUGACCAAAUUCAAUAGGCUAAGAACGCACCCUUUUAUUUCACAUUUAAGGUAUUCUUUUCUAAAUUGUCCAUGUAACGGGGGUCCAUCGAUGACUCCCAACCAAUUAAGGUUUAGGGCAUCAAGCUUUAAGGAUCUUUCAACCACUAACUCCUCGAAUUUUACCCCGGACUUUUGAGAAUGAAUUUUUAUACCCAAGCACCUACAGUAUGUUAAACUCCACCUAUUCACCCUUGUAACGAGCAUUGAGGUCGGUGACUCCCAACCAACGAAGGCUUAGGGCACCAGGUUUUAAAGAUUUUCACCAUAUACCCCUCAGACCUUGCUCGGGUUUCAAGGCAAGCAAACAUUUUUUUAUUUUUUUAUUUUUUAUUUUUUUAUUUUUUUUUCCCAAAGGCUCAUUGGCCUUUUACAAGGUGUCCUAACACUAUUAAAUGAGGGCAAAGGUACCAAGUCUAAAAUUUUCUUAAGUCAAGAGGGAAAUAGUUUUUCAUCUUAUACUCGGAACUUAUUGUGCACAGUGUGUGAAUAGCUUAAAGUGGAAGACAUAAGCUUGAAUUCAAUAGAAAUUUCAACAAUUCAUCAACUUUAAUAAGCAUAAUACAAACUCUAAGUUAAGUAAAAAGACAAAAAUUCAAUUUCUCCCAUUUCAUUUUGAAAAUUUUUCCUUAAUAACCAUGGAGAGUAGAAUAAAAACUUAAAAAUUAAGCAAAAAACAACUAAAUUACCAAAAUAGCUUAGCAUUAAUAACAAAAACUUCCUUCCUCAACUCCCCCCCCAACCAAGCUGAACAUUGUCCUCAAUGUGACAAAGCGAUUAAAAAAUAGGGAGAAAGUGGUACCUCCUGAGUGGCGUGAAGUCUGAGAUGUAUAGGAGAAACCACAUGUUUCAAAAAAACAAUAAAAGAUAUGAGUAGAGGAAUUAAAAUAAUAUAAUGCUAAGUGUGGUCACAUACAACCAAUCCCACUAUAUAACACUAAAAAGAUGGGGAUUUCAAAAAGGAAAUACAUAAAGUAAAGUAUGUAAAUGAUCAGAAAUGGGGAGGAUGAUGCUGGUAAGCUGAUGACUCAGGCAUGGGGCUCUGCAGUGGUAGGGGUGAGAUGCUCAAUAGCUGAUGGAAGACCCAGAUGGUGCUGAAGCUGACUCAGGAUGGCAGUGUGCUGAGUCUGGGUGGUCAAAAUCUGCUCCUGCUGAGAACGAAUAGCUGACAUCUCUUGAGCAAGGCUGCUCUGAGUCGCGGUCAGUGUCUGCAAUGUGUGGCAUAGGUCUCUAUACUCUGAAAUGGGUAUGGUCAUUCUAAGCUCGGUUGAAGUAGAAGGCUCUGAUGCAGCUGGAAUAACUGGCGGGGUGCUAUGGGUGGCAGGAAAAGCAGAGGGUAUAUCCUCAUGUAUGGGCUCUGUAGAUGCUCUCCUGGCAGCUGGUAUCUCAGCUGGCUGUGGGUCCUCUGACUGCUGUGGCUGUGGAAGCUCUGGAUGCUUUGUUCUAUAUGCUGUCAUAUUGGUUCACUUGUCGAGAGUGAAUACCUCUCGGCAUAUGCGUUUGCGCUCCAACUGAGGGUCUGAUGGAUACCCCAGAUGCUCCAAAAUUUGGCAUAGCAAUCUCGGGAAAAGAAGUGGAAUAGCAUCUGCUCGCAGCAGCUUCUUCCUAUGCACCUUCUCUUCAUAGUAGAGAAGGACAGCCAUAAUUAGAUGGUGAGGGCCAAAGAAAUAUCCCUCUGAUAUCCUAAACAGGGCUUCUAGCAGAACUCCUCUCCUCUGCACCCAAUGCUGAAGUGGAUAAAUGUUGUGGCGCAAGAGUGCAUCAAUGAAGAACAUGCUCGGAGGAAGUUCCUUCCUCAACAGAUAUGGAUUUGUGGAUGUUCCUCUGGACAAGAGAUGAACCAUUUCAAGCUGGGGAGGAUUAGUCCAUACUCGAUAAUCCUCUAGACGGGCUGGCUCAUAUGGAAUAUGCAGGGCCUCUGCUAUGUGGCGAGCUCCUAAAAUACAAUGACGUCCGUCAAUGGUGAAGUGAAUAAGAGUAGCAUCUCUGACCUGAUUAGUAGUCAUGGACUGAUAGAGUUCCGUUGCUACUCGGGGAUAGAAAAAAUCCCUGGGGGUCAACAAAUGCUCCAUGCGAUAUCUGUGCAGUAGAUGGAAUGAGUCUGCUAGCUCCGGCUGAAGCCUGAAGGUGGCUGUGUCAAAACACAGCUCAGAGUGAAAUGGUCGAGCUCGGCAGUCCAAAUUCCCUUCAAUGGGCAGCUGAGGCUCCACCGGAGGUUCUAAAGACGACGCCAGAGUUGGGUCUGGCGAGGGCUCUAGAGAGGGCUCCGUUAAGUCGAUUGGCUUUGCAUUUACUACCCUGGGUUUCUUUUGAGGGGGACGGCCACCUGACCUGGUCUGAUAACGCCUCGCCGGAUGACUCAACGGCAUGGGCUUGGCCGAAGGUGGGGCGGCUACUUGUCGCGGAGGCUCUAAUGUGGAGCCUUGAAUAGGCGCCUUUCGCAAGACUCUCAUGCGGCUUGACGGAAAUGAUGACUUUGCUCCUCUGGUUCGCGCCAUGGCGGACUGAAGAAAAUGGCCGGAGGUGAUGGCCGAUGGCUCGCGCGGCUUCGGGCUCAGGUGAAAGAGAAAACAGACGGUUGCUCUGAUGUUCUUCCUUUCUGAACCCUUUUGGCAGCUUAAAUGACCGAUUUUUAUAAAAAUAAAGGAAUAUCAAGGGUCGUUUUCACAGCUCAUUUCGCAACUGCGAAAUGAGGGGAACUGUGCUGCGAAAUGGCACUCGUGUGCCAAGAGGGUGCUUCACAGCUGCGAAAAUUUUCGCAGAGAGGGGCCUGAGGUUGCGAAAUGAUUUCACAAAGGCUUCUUUUAGGUUGCGAAAUCUCGCAGACCUCUGUUUUUCCCCUGUUUUACACUCUUUCUUGCUCCAAACGACUUUCCUUUAAUUUCUUUGCAAUUCCUCCUACAUGAGAUCAUUUAGAAAUACUAAGUUACAUAUAAAUACACAACUUAAGACCAAAAAUCACAAGAAUUGAUAAAGCUUGAAAUUAACAAAAUUAACAAAAACAAACAAAACAACAAAAAAAAAAAUUAUGGACUUUGGUGAAACCAAGUCCAUCUAACCCUUAUUUGAUUAGGCUUUCUGUGGCUCAAGGAGGUUGAUUUCCUCCUUUUCUGGUUUGAAUGGCUCAAUGAAUGGCUUGAGACGAUGACCAUUGACCUUGAAAAUGUCAGUGCUUUUGGAAUUUAGUAAUUCCACCACUCCAUUGGGAUACACUUGGUGAAUAAUGAAAGGGCCUAUCCACCUUGACUUGAGCUUUCCUGGAAAGACAUGGAGUCUUGAAUCAUAAAGCAAGACUCUUUGUCCUUUAUGGAAUUCUUUGUUGGAGAUUAAUUGAUCAUGCCACCUCUUCAUCCUCUGUUUUGCAACUUUGGAAUUGAUGUAAGCAUCAUUUCUUAAUUCCUCCAUCUCAUUAAGGUCUAAGCACCUCUUUGCCCCAACUCUGAUCAAGUCCAUGUUUAACUUCUUGAUUGCCCACCAAGCUUUAUAUUCAACUUCCACAGGGAGAUGGCAUGCUUUGCCAUAGACUAGGCGAUAAGGAGACAUACCAAGAAUAGUCUUGUAAGUUGUUCUGUAUGCCCAUAGUGAAUCAUGAAGCUUAAUAGACCAAUAUUUUCUGCUCGUGAUCACCACCUUCAUCAGUAUAUUCUUGAUUUCCCUGUUUGCUAGCUCCACUUGCCCGGAAGUUUGAGGAUGAUAAGGUGUAGCUACCUUAUGCUUCACUCCAUACUUGGCUAAUAGGGUUUCAAAAGAUUUGUUGCAAAAAUGAGUACCUCCAUCACUGAUUAUGGCCUUGGGCACCCCAAAUCUUGAGAAGAUGUUCUCCUUAAGAAAUUUGAGAACCACCCUGUGAUCAUUAUGUUUACAGGGGAUUGCCUCAACCCAUUUAGAAACAUAGUCUACCCCCACCAAGAUAUAAGAGUUACCAAAAGACAUUGGGAAAGGUCCUAUGAAGUCAAUACCCCAAACAUAAAAAAGAUCAACUAUUAGAAUGGGGUUCAUAGACAAUUGAUUUCUUUUUGUUAGCUUCCCAAGCCUUUGGCAUCUAUCACAGCUCCUACACAUGAUGUGGGAAUCUUUGAAAAGAAAUGGCCAAGGAAACCCUGAUUGCAACACCUUCAUGACUGUUUUCUGAGAGGCAAAGUGGCCUCCACAUGCAUUUUCAUGGCAAUGGCUGAGGAUCCCUUGUUGCUCUUCUUUAGGGACACACUUUCUUAUGAUCUGAUCUGCACAAUACUUGAAAAGGAAGGGCUCUUCCUAAUAAUAAGCAUGAAUCUUUGCAAAGAAGUGCUUCAUGUCUUGUGCAUUCCACUCACUUGGAACUUCACCAGUAACUAAAUAGUUAGCAAUAUGAGCAUACCAAGGAGCUUUCUCUAGCAACAUAAGUGAUUCCUCAGGAAAGUCAUCAUUAAUAGGUAAGACAUGGGAAUUGUGUGCUAUAGCCAACCUUGACAGGUGGUCAGCUACCACAUUCUCCACCCCUUUCUUGUCUCUGGUCUGGAGAUCGAACUCUUGUAACAAAAGAAUCCAUCUAAUCAGCCUUGCUUUUGCAUCUUGCUUCGUCAAUAAAUACUUCAAGGCUGAAUGGUCAGUGAAAACAAUGAUGAAAGACCCUACCAAAUAAGCACGAAACUUGUCUAAGGCAAACACCACAGCUAACAAUUCUUUCUUUGUAGUUGUGUAGUUCCUUUGAGCCUCGUUCAAUGUUUUGCUUGCAUAGUAGAUCACGUAGGGCUUCCCAUCUUCUCUUUGGCCAAGUACAGCUCCUAUAGCAAAGUCACUGGCAUCACACAUCACUUCAAAGGGUAGUUGCCAGUUAGGAGCCCUCACUAUUGGAGCGGUUGUUAAGAAUUGCUUCAGUUGAUCAAAGCUAUUUUGACAUCUCUCAUCCCAGACAAACUUAGCAUCCUUAGCCAAAAGCUCACAAAGAGGUUUUGAAAGAUUAGAGAAAUCUUUUAUAAAUCUCCUAUAGAACCCUGCAUGGCCAAGAAAUUGCCUUAUUUCUUUCACAGUUGUUGGGGACGACAAUUUGACAAUAAGCUCCACCUUUGCCUUAUCAACUUCAAUGCCUUUCUCGGAGAUGAUAUGGCCAAGGACAAUUCCUUGACGUACCAUAAAAUGACAUUUCUCCCAGUUGAGCACCAAGUCCUUCUCAAUGCAUCUGUUCAGAACUGCUUCCAAAUUGACUAAGCAUUCCUCAAAUGUACCUCCAUAAACGGUGAUGUCAUCCAUGAAAACCUCCAUAAUUCGCUCCACCAUAUCACUGAAGAUACUAAGCAUACAUCUUUGGAAUGUUGCAGGUGCAUUGCAUAAACCAAAAGGCAUUCUUCUGUAGGCGUAUGUUCCAAACGGACAUGUGAAAGUGGUCUUCUCCUGAUCUUCCACAUCAAUUUCAAUUUGGAAAUACCCUGAGUACUCGUCCAAGAAACAAUAAAAAGGAUGGCCUGAGACUUUCUCUAGCACCUGAUCAAUAAAUGGGAGUGGAAAAUGAUAUUUCCUUGUCACAACAUUCAACUUUCGAUAAUCAAUACACACCCUCCAACCUGAAGUGAGGCGUGUAGCAAUUUCUUCUCCUUUUUCAUUCUGAACCACAGUAAUCACUGACUUCUUUGGUACCACUUGAGUAGGACUCACCCAAGGGCUGUCAGAUAUGGGGUAAAUAAUACCUGCUUGAAGUAGCUUCAGCACUUCAGCUCACACCACCUCUUGCAAAUGAGGAUUCAAUCUUCUUUGAGGUUGACGAAUUGGUUUAGCUUCUUCCUCCAUAUAAAUGUGAUGUGUACAAACCAAAGGGCUAAUGCCUUUCAAGUCAGAUAUUUGCCAUCCUAUUACUUUCUUACACCUCUUGAGAACUUCAAGUAAAGAAAUUUCCUGAUGACUAGUAAGAGAUGAAGAUAUAACAACAGGACAUUGAUUAUUUUCUUCAAGGUAUGUAUAUUUCAGCUCCACAAGCAGAGGCUUCAAAUUGAGCUUUGGGGUCUCUUUUUCAGCAGCUUCUCAUUCCUCUUUAUUGAACAAAGGUAGAAUCUCUUCUCUCCUCCUCCAACCUUGUAGAGUAGCAAGCACAUUAGGGGGUUCAGAAAACCCUUCUUCAAGAUCCCCAAGACUUUCAUUCAGCUUGUCUUGCAUAUUCUGAUUACAGUGCUCCUCCACUAGAGUGUCGAUAAUGCAUACCUCUUCUGGAUCUUCUUCUUCUUCCGGAGUGAUUUGCUUUUUAGACAUAUGAAAAAUGUUGAGUUCAAGUGUCAUAUUGCCAAAAGUGAGUUGCAUGAGUCCAUUCCUACAAUUGAUGAUUGCAUUUGAAGUAGCAAGGAAUGGCCUUCCAAGGAUGAUAGGAACUGAAUUAGCUUCCUUUACAGUAGGAUCUGUAUCAAGAAUAACAAAAUCUACUGAAUAGUAGAAAUUAUCAACUUGAACUAAGACAUCCUCAAUUACCCCCCUUGGAAUUUUUACUCAUCUAUCUGCUAGAGAUAGGGUGAUUGAUGUUGGCUUCAACUCACCAAGUCCCAAUUGCUUAUAGACAGAGUAUGGUAGCAAAUUCACACUUGCUCCCAAGUCUAACAAAGCUUUCUCCACUACCUUUCCUCCAAUCAUGACUGAAAUGGUAGGACAUCCCGGAUCUUUGUACUUCAAAGGAGACUUGCAUUGUAUGAUUGCACUUACUUGCUCAGUCAAGAAGGCUUUCUUGUUCACAUUCAACCCUCUUUUGAUAGUACACAGGUCCUUUAGGAAUUUUGCAUAUGUUGGAACUUGCUUAAUCAUAUCCAGCAAUGGAAUGUUGACCUUCACUUGUCUCAAUACUUCAAGGAUUUCUGAUGCAUUUUUUAUCCCCUUUUUCCCAUGCAAAGCUUGAGGAAAAGGUGGAGAUAUACGUUUCUUCAUCAAUUCUUCCUUAAUAAGCUCUUUCUCCAUAUUUGCAUUCACUGUUGAAUCACGGUCCUCCUUCUCUUCACUAACAUCUUUCUGUUUUCCUUUCAUUUCCUCCCCCUUCUUUGUUUCUUCUUCUUCUUCAACAUGUGGCUUGGGUGUUGGUGGCUCAACCUUUUUACCACUCCUUAGAGUGAUCAAGGCUUUAACAUUUUUCACCUGUGACGAUUCUCCCUCAUGGAUUUCCAUUUCAUGGAUACCCUUGGGGUUUUGGUGAGGUUGAGAAGGAAAUCUACCCUUCUCUUGCACUGUGUUCAAGUUAGUGAGCCUUGAUAUUGAGUAUUGGAGAUUAUCUAUCUUUUGAGAUAGAUGAUUUUGCAUCCCAUUCAUCCUUCUCUCUACACUGUCAAUUCUUUGACUGAGUUGAGCAUUGAUGGCUUUUUGGUCUCCAACAAAAUCUUCCACAACCUUGCUUAGAUUCGCUAUUGCUUUUUCAAGACUUGAAGAUUGUUGAGAUAGUUGAGCCGGUUGAGAUGGUGGAGCCGGUUGUUGGUAUUGAGGUGCUCUUGCCUUCCAUGAGAAAUUUGGAUGAUUCCUCCAACUUGAGUUGUAAGUAUUUCCAUAUGGUGCAUUGUUAUUGGGCUUGAAUUGACCAACAACAUUUGCUUGAUCUCCAAACAUUUCCCUUACAGUUGGAAUUGUAGGGCACUCCUCCACCAAGUGUUCAUAAGACUGACAAAUAGGACACAACUUUACUUGCACUGGUGCUUCAGCAACAGCUUGCACUUCAUGCAUCUUUUUCAGUUCUAGCUCCUCCAAUCUUCUUGUCAUAGCUGCAAAUUUUGCUUUCAUAUCAUCAUCUUCAUUCAAGGUGUACAUCCCAGCCUUAGCAUUGAAAGCACUCGAUUGAGACUUCAUCUUUCCCACUUCUCCUUUGUUGGGUUCAUCCCAUCCCCUUGAAACUUCAGCCACAUAACUCAAGAAAUCCAUAGCUUCCUCAGGAUUCUUACUCAUGAAAUCCCCUUCACACAUUGUUUCAAGGAGUUGCUUCAUUGAGGAAGACAUCCCAUCAUAAAAAUAGCUCACCAACAGCCAUGUAUCAAAGCCAUGGUGAGGACAAGCAGUUAUGGCUUCUAUAUAUCUUUCCCAACACUCAUAGAAUUUCUCAUUCUCUUUAGCUGAGAAGUUUGAAAUUUGCCUUUUCAAGCCAUUUGUUCUGUGAGUAGGAAAAAAUUUCUUGAGGAAUUCAGCUUGUAAGUCAGUCCAAGUACGGAUACUCCUUAGCCUUAAAGAAUUAAGCCAGAUCUUGGCCUUAUCCUUUAAAGUAAAAGGAAAUAGCUUAAGCCUCAUCAAGUCGAUAGAAGCUCCUUCCUCUCGGAAUGUAUUACAAACAUCUUCAAAUUCUUUGAUAUGGGCAUAGGGAUUCUCACUUUCCAUUCCAUGGAAAGUUGGUAGAAGUGGCACAAUAUGAGGUCUGAUCACUAGCUGCUCUGUAGGGGGCACUAUACAUGAUGGUGCACUCAUACGAGGUGGAUGCAUUCGGUCCCUCAUUGAGAUGAAAGCAUUGGGAUUAUCCUGGUGACCAUGGUGACUAUGCUGAUCUUCAGGUGUAGCUUCCAUGAUAUUCAAGCUCAAUUCCAAUUCCUUGUUAUGAGGUUAUCAAGUUUAACAAGCCUUCUUCCACUGUCUCGUAUCUAAUUUGGCAUACACAACUAGUAUCGAUUGUAACUAAGAAAGAAAAACAAAAAUAGAGGAAAACAAAAAAAAAACUACCAAAAAGAGUUCGAUUAACUAAAACUAAAUUAAAAACUAUGCUAGUAUAUAAACGAGUAAAAGAAAAAACUAAAAGAGUUAGUAAAAUGAGAGAAAAUUCACUAAACUUGUGAUGAAAACCACAGGUACCUUGAAAUAAUAUCACUAUGAAGUUGGCACCUUCCCCGGCAACGGCGCCAUUUGAUUCGUGCCCAGUCGGUGUAUCAACUGAUUCAUGUCCAGCUGGUGCUCCUUGCUUGAGGAAGUAAUCAACAAAAUUUAUAACCUAUUACACCAUGAACUAGGGUAGCAAAGACAAAGCUACUAUAGCAUAGUGGCUCUAGGAUCGUUCACUGGGAAGGGGUUUCAAUUCAUAAAUGAUACCAAUUCAAAGCUGAAUUGGUGCCUUUUCAUUUCAAGGUUAGCUUUAAAAGAAAACAUAAUUUUUGGAUGAAAAAGGUUUGGUUUAAACUAAUGGUAAAGAAAGUAAUAGAAAUUACUUAUGAAGAAAAACAUUCCUUAAAGGUUUAGGUUCACAGGGGAGGUUCCUCGUGCAACAACAGAGCUCCGGUCAUUUGGUUCAUUUCCUCGCAUUAGAGAAUUAACAUAUAGUCAAUUCUCUAAUCGGCUCUGUACAGAUGCUUUCCUUUAAUGGGUUCAAACACUAAAUCUCUAUCACUGAUGCACCUUGCAAUGGCUCAUACCUCUCACCUAGCACUUGCCAUUCAAGGUGAUCUUUAACCUUGGACUUCCCGUCAAAAGCUCGCAAGAGAUAACUAAUGGAUGUCUCCUUGGAGUCCAAAAGCUUACCAAGUGUUGGCUAUUCUAGAAAAUCCUACCUUCAAACCACUUCCCAAAUGCUCGCAAGAGAUAAACUAGUGCAUCUCAAUGGAGAUCACUUGCCUUAUCAAACUAGUGCAGUCGGGUACAAAUUGGCGGCAGCCGGGUGCAAAAUGAUGGCAGCCGGGUGCAAAUGGCGGCAGCCGGGUGCAAAUGGCGGCGCACAUCCGAUACAAAUUGGCGGCAGCCGGGUGCAAAUCCUAUCCGGAUAUGUGGUCCGGACGCCCUCCGAUGGUGUAUCCAGACGCCCUGUCCGGGUAUACUCCUUGCAUGGAUUCCAAAUAACUUUCCUCAAUUUCAGAUUUGCUUUGGUGAUAAAAAAGCUAUCAAACACCAAAACUUAACACAUUUUUUAUUAGAAUUGAUUGCAAGGGUCCUUAACAUGCCAAUUGAGUUAAAAGGUAAUAACUACUACUCAAUAGUGUUUAAAAGAGUUAAUUACAAGCUAUGAAAUAGCACGUUUUGAGUAGUAAUCAACAUCGAUAUGCUAGUUGACAGCACUGCAGGGCAUUCGAUGUUGUCCUUCAUGGAUGGAUUUUAUGGGUAUAACCAGAUUGUAAUAGCUCUAGAGGAUAUGGAGAAGACUUCUUUCAUCACUAAGUGGGGUACUUAUUGCUACCUGCUUAUGCCAUUUAGGUUGAAGAAUGCGGAAGCCACUUAUCAGAGAGCUGCUACUACUUUAUUCCACGACAUAAUGCACAGAGACGUCGAGGUAUAUGUGGAUGACAUGAUAGUGAAAUCCCGAGACAGGGCAGAUCACUUAGCAGCACUACAGAGAUUCUUUGAGAUGAUCUGACAGUUCAGGCUAAGAUUGAAUCCCAAGAAGUGUACAUUUGGGGUGACUUUUGGGAAAUUGCUAGGACAGAUCGUCAAUGAGCGUGGUAUAGAGGUUGAUCCCGAAAAGAUCAGAGCCAUACUUGACAUGCUUGCUCCGAGGACUGAGAGAGAGAUUAAAGGCUUUCUUGGCAGACUACAGUAUAUAAGUUGUUUCAUUGCUAGAUUGACAGACAUAUGCGAGCCUAUCUUCCUUCUUCUGAGGAAGAACCAGCCUACAGUUUGGAAUGAUGAUUACUAGCGCGCUUUCCAGAAGAUUAAGGAGUGUCUCCUCUCUUCUCCAGUUUUAGUGCCUCCCACACGGGGGUGGCCUCUGCUUCUGUACUUGUCCGUUUCAGACAUGGCUUUGGGAUGCAUGUUAGCUCAGCUCGAUGAUUCAGGGAAGGAGCGAGCCAUUUAUUAUCUGAGUAAGAGGAUGCUGGAGUAUGAGUGCAAAUACAUUAUGAUUGAGGGCCUCUAUUGAGCAUUUAUUUGGGCCACCAAGAGGCUGAGGAACUACGUGACAGAGUAUUCCAUAUUAUUAGACUCACGAUUGGAUCCAUUGAGAUAUUUGUUUGAGAGGCAUGUCCUGACUGGUAGGCUCAUGAGAUGGUUGGUGCUGUUGACAGAGUUUGAUAUUUAGUAUGUUACACAGAAGUCGGUAAAAGGGAGCAUUGUUGCAGAUCAUUUGGCUUUUUUUCCCGUAUCUAACGACAAACCGAUUGACGAUGAUUUCCCUGAUGAGCAGUUUGUCUUAGUGACCAGUAUUGCAGGAUGGUGGUUAUACUUUCAUGGUGCUGCCAAUCAGUCGGGGUUUGGUAUCGGUAUCCUAUUGAUAUCACCACAAGGUGAUCACAUUCCCAUAUCAGUCCGAUCGGCAUUCUUUGAUCAUCAUCGACUGACGAAUAAUAUUGUUGAGUAUGAGCCGUGCAUUACAGGUUUGUAGACUGCGCUAGACCUUGGAGUCAGAUAGUUGGAGAUCCAUGGGGAUUCCAACUUGGUUAUUCAGCAAACUUAGGGUAUUUGAAGGACUUAGGAUGAGAAGUUAAAGCCCUAUCAUGCUUAUUUGGAUUUGUUGGUUGAUAGGUUUGAGCAGUUGAGAUAUAUACAUCUGCCUAGGGCAGAAAAGUAGUUUUCUGAUGCAUUAGCCACCUUAGCUUCUGUGAUUGAGAUUCCUGCGGGAGUGAUAGUGUGACCAUUGGUGAUUGAGACUAGGUCCGCACCAGCUUACUGUUGUUUGAUUGGGGAUAUUGAGGACCAGGAUGAGUUGCCCUGGUAUCAUGACAUUUAUCAGUUCUUGUUAUGUGGCGCUUACCUUGAGUCAGCCUCAACCAAGGAUAGGAGAGCUUUGAGGCAGCUAGCCACUAGAUUCGUGAUUUGUGGAGAGUCCUUCUAUAGACGAUCACCCGAGGGCUUAUUAUUGCUGUGUUUAGACCAUACCUCUGCAGAUAGAGUAAUGAGAGAGGUUCAUGCAGGAGUUUGUGGCCCACACAUGGGGAGACAUAUGUUGGCCCGAAAGAUUAUGAGGACAGGUUAUUUCUGGUUGACUAUGGAGGUAGAUUGUUGCCAGUUCGUUCAGAGGUGCCCAGAGUGUCAGAUGCAUGGUGAUCUCAUUCACGUGCCACCUUCGGAGUUGCAUGCACUCACAUCCCCUUGGCCAUUUUCAGUGUGGGUUAUUGAUGUUAUUGGAAAGAUCUCACCCAAGUCUUCUAGCGGGCAUGAGUAUAUCUUAGUUGCCGUUGAUUAUUUCACCAAGUGGGUGGAAGCUGCUUCUUAUGCUAGAUUGACAGCGGCCAAGGUGGCCAAAUUCAUCAGGUCACAUAUUAUCUACCGAUAUGGGGUCCCCCCGAGCUGAUUUCUGAUAGAGGGUGUAUUUCAGGGGCGAGGUGGAUAUAUUGAUUAAGGAGUAUAGCAUUUAGCAUCACAGAUCGUAUGCGUAUAGGCCGCAGACUAAUGGGGCAGUUGAGGCUGCAAAUAAAAAUAUCAAGAGGAUUUUGAGAAAUAUGGUCGAGACUUCUCGGGAUUGGUCAGAGAAGCUCUCUUUUGCAUUAUGGGUUUACCGUAUAUCUUUUCGUACUUCUACCGGGGCUAGCCUGUAUUCUUUGGUAUAUGGUAUGGAGGCGGUGCUGCCUGUUAAGAUUGAGAUGGGAUCCUUGAGAGUAGCAUUAGAGCAGCAAAUAUUUGAGACUGAAUGGGCUCAGUCCCAUUAUGACCAACUUAGUCUUCUAAAUGAGAGGAGAUUGAGGAUAGUAGAUCAUGUUCAAGCUUAUUAGAGGAAGACGACUCGUGCAUUUAGAAAGAGGGUUAAGCCUAGGAAAUUUCAGAAGGGUGACUUAGUCUUGAAAGUCCUCAGGGGAUUGAUCAGUGACCCUAGAAGCAAGUUUAGACCGACUUGGAGCGGGCCUUAUGUUAUUCGAGAUUUGACCCGAGAGGGAGCCGCCUGGCUGACGGACUUAGACGAAAAUCAGUUUAAGGAGCCAGUCAAUGUGGAUCAGUUGAAGAAGUUUUAUGCGUGAGAUCAUGGUUAGAGGAUGGGUGGCCAUCAUUUUUUAGUAGCCAUUUUUCUUGUUGCACACCCACACAUUGAUAUAUCCUAUUGCUAGCCUGUUGUGCCUCAUGUGGUUUGUUAUGGCCUAUUCAUUCACUUAGCCUUGCAUACAUUUUCUCACCUGGGUUGGGGGCCUGUCCUUUGCGCUUUACAUUUAUUGAUUGGAUCUGUGAGUAUCGUGAGCUUUCUGUCAUUGUUCAUGUGUUCUUUCUUUGGUCAUUCAUGGUUUCUUCUUUCGUCCAUUGUGCAUUUUCAUUUCAUCUGGCUUUGAGUUCUGUUUCUAUCAUCUCGACUCUAUUCGCUUCUGUUUUCUCUUAUGUGAUGAUAACACGCUCUUGUCUUGGAGCUACAGGUCAGGCCUUUCACACCCUUCAUUCCACUUGUAGUCUUUGAUCUAGGAUUCUUAGGUUGAGGUGGGACCAUUUGGGAUGAGAGUUUUGAGGUUCUUUUGGUUGGACUAUGCUAGUGUGGCAUUCAGCUAGCUUUGGUUAUUUGGCGCAAAAAAAAAAAAAAAAAGAAGUGCUUAUUUGGUAUUUGUUGUUAUACUUGGGAUUAUCAGAGAUCAUUUGGGUUUGAGAGAUUUAUUAUUCCUCUGAGAGUUGGAUGAGAGCAUUGUACAAUCCUUCUCCAUGGAUUUGGGUGACACAUUGGGAGUAAGGUUUGGGUUUCUUUGGCACUCGGUCCCCUGGAUCAUUGUUUACAUCACCUUUCCCAUCUUACAGUGACUUGCUUCAGUCUGGCGUUCUUGGGAUGAGUUGUUCAUCGUUGUCACAUAUUGCUACAUUUUUAUCCUAGCUUGUUCCUCCAUUUUCUACUACAUCCAAUCAUCAUUUGUCUUAUCCCUUUUCGCCUUCUUCUAUCCUCAUCGAAUGUCGUUUAGCUUUAUGAACGACGAGUUCUUUGGUGCACAUCACCUAUUGUUUGACAUUAUUCAUUUGGAUGUAGGUUGAGUCACCUUGCUCACUGAUUUCGUGCCCAGCUGGUGUACCUUGAUUUUGGUCCUUAGAUAGGAGUAAUCAACAAAAUUUAUAACCUAUAUCACCAUGUACUAGGAUAGCCUCAGCUAACAUAGCAUAGUGGCUCUAGGAUCGUUCACUAGGAAGGGUUUUCAACUUGCAACUGAUAAUAAUUCAUAGUUGAAUUGAUGUUUUUUUUCAUUUCAAGGUUACCUUUAAAAGAAAACAUAAACUUUGGUUUAAAAAUGAUUGGUUUUAAGCUAACUAAAAAUAGAGUAACAAAAAUGACUUAAGUGGAGCUAAUAUCCUUGCUUUCUUCUUAGGAGGACGGCUAGUUGACUUCUUUGCACGAGAAGAGCUUGCCCCGAGUGUGGUGGGUGAUCUUCUUGUCUCAUAUCGCCUCGAAUGAGAACUCAAAGGCGCGCCCUCUACUGAAGGUGGGACGACAAGUGGCUGUGAAGGCUCAAUCAUGGAGCCUUGCAUAGGGGCCACUCUUGGUGCUCUGGGAUGGCCUGAGGGAGAUGAGGUCUUGGUUCCUCGGGUUUUUGCCAUGGCUGACUCAGAGAGGUUUGAGAGAGGGUGGUCGGAGGUGCGUGCGCGGCUUGGGCUCAGAUGGAGGUCCUCUGGAAAUGGUGCUUUGGCUUGGCUCCUAUUUUGCACCAAAGGGAGGUUUUCGCAAGGCAAAUGACCGGUGUAAAGUGAAAAAAAAUGGAAUUUAAAAAGUUAAAUUAGAAGCCAAGUGACGGUUGAGAUUUUUCGUAGAGGAGCGGGCAUUUCGCAGCGGAGGCCCAUUUUCACAGCCAAGGACCAUUUUCGCAGCCCAUUUUGCAGCUGCGAAAUGAGAAAGUGGGGCUGCGAAAUGGCACUCGUGUGCCAAAGUGGGGUUUUGCAGCUGCGAAAUGGAGCUUUGGCUGCGAAAUUGAGCUUUUGAGGGCCUUGGAUGGUUUCACAGAAGGUUUCGCAGUUGCGAAAUGAAGGCUUGGGCUGCGAAAUGACACUCGUGUGCGAAAAGAAGGUUUCGCAGCUGCGAAAAUUUUGGCAGAAGAGGGCUAUGGGGCUGCGAAAUUGUUUCGCAGAGGAGGACCCAUUUCGCAGCAAACCCUUGAUUUCACAGCGAGUCCCUUUUGGCUGCGAAAUUAUUUCACAAAGGAUGGUCGUUUUCGCAGGGGGCUAUUUUGGGCUGCGAAAUUUUGCAGGCCACUGAAAUUUCUUGUUUCUGAGCUCCUUUUGGCUCCCUGAGACCUUCCUUCACCUCUUUUGCAAUUCCUCCUAAAUUAGAUCAUUCAAAAAGUCUAAGUUACAUAAAAAUAACAUAAAUUAAGACUAAGAUUAAAAUCAAAACAAUUAAUAAAGUUCUUAAAUUAACAAAAUUAAACAAAAAAUAUGGACUUUGGUGAGACCAAGUCCAUUUAACCUCUUUCUGAUUAGGAUUUCUGUGGCUCAAGGAGGUUGAUUUCCUCCUUACCUUGCUUGAAUGACUCAAUAAAUGGUUUGAGACAAUGGCCAUUGACUUUAAAGGUGUUAGUGUUGUUGGAAUUCAGUAAUUCCACCACUCCAUUGAGAUGCACUUGGUGAAUAAUGAAAGGGCCUAUCCACCUUGACUUCAGCUUCCUAGGAAAGAUAUGGAGCCUUGAUUCAUAGAGUAAGACUCUUUUUCCUUUUCGGAAUUCUUUGUUGGAGAUUAACUGAUCAUGCCACCUCUUCAUCCUCUGUUUUGAAACUUUGGAAUUGAUGUAGGCAUCAUUUCUUAAUUCCUCCAUCUCAUUAAGGUCUAAGCACUUCUUUGCCUUGGCUCUGAUCAAGUCCAUGUUAACCUUCUUGAUUGCCUACCAAGCUUUAUAUUCAACUUCUACAAGGAGAUGGCAUGUUUUGCCAUAGACUAGGCGAUAGGGAGACAUGCUAAGAAUAGUCUUGUAAGCUGUUCUAUAUGCCCAUAGUGAAUCAUGGAGCUUAAUAGACCAAUCUCUUCUGCUCGUGUUCACCAGCUUCAUCAAUAUAUUCUUGAUUUCCCUGUUUGCUAGCUCAACUUGCCCGGAAGUCUGAGGGUGAUAAGGUGUAGCUACCUUAUGCUUCACCCCAUACUUGGCUAAUAGGGUUUCAAAAGGCUUGUUGCAAAAAUGAGUACCUCCAUCACUGAUUAUGGCCUUGGGCACCCCAAAUCUUGAGAAGAUGUUCUCUUUGAGAAACUUGAGAACCACCCUAUGAUCAUUGUGUUUACAGGGGAUUGCCUCAACCCAUUUAGAAACAUAGUCCACCCCCACCAAGAUAUAAGAGUUACCAAAAGACAUUGAGAAAGGUCCCAUGAAGUCAAUGUCCCAAACAUCAAAGAGAUCAACUAUUAGAAUGGGGUUCAUAGGCAUUUGAUUUCUUCUUGUUAGCUUCCCAAGCCUUUGGCAUUUAUCACAACUCCUACACAUGGUGUGGGCAUCUUUGAAGAGUGAUGGCUAACUAAACCCUGAUUGCAACAUCUUCAUGGCUGUUUUCUGGGAGGCAAAGUGGCCUCCACAUGCACGCUCAUGGCAAUGGCCGAGGAUUCCUUGUUGCUCUUCUUCAGGGACACACUUCCUUAUUAUUUGAUCUACACAAUACUUGAAAAGGAAAGGUUCUUCCCAAUAAUAAGCAUGAAUCUUUGCAAAUAAGUGCUUUCUAUCUUGUGCUUUCCACUCUCUUGGAACUUCACCAGUAACUAGAUAGUUAGCAAUAUGAGCAUACCAAGGAGUUUUUUCUAGCAACAUAAGUGAUUCCUCAGGAAAGUCAUCAUUAAUAGGUAAGACAUGGGAAUUGUGUGCUAUAGCCAACCUUGAAAGGUGGUCAACUACCACAUUCUCCACUCCUUUCUUAUCUCUGAUUUGGAGAUCGAAUUCUUGUAGUAAGAGAAUCCAUCUAAUCAACCUUGAUUUUGCAUCUUGCUUUGUCAAUAAAUACUUCAAGGUUGAAUGGUCAGUGAAAACAAUGAUGAAGGACCCUACUAGAUAAGCAUGAAACUUGUUUAAGGCAAACACUACAGCUAACAAUUCUUUCUCUGUGGUUGUUUAGUUCCUUUGAGCUUCGUUCAAUGUCUUACUUGCAUAGUAGAUCACAUAGGGCUUUCCAUCUUCUCUUUAGCCAAGCACAACUCCUAUAGCAAAGUCACUGGCGUCACACAUCACUUCAAAGGGUAGUUGCCAGUUAGGAGCCCUCACAAUUAGAGUAGUUGUCAAGAAUUGCUUCAGUUGAUCAAAACUCCUUUGACAUCUUUCAUCCCAUAUAGACUUAGCAUCCUUAGCCAAAAGUUCACAAAGAGGCUUUGAAAGCUUAGAGAAAUCUUUUAUAAACCUCCUAUAGAACCCUGCAUGGCCAAGGAAUUGCCUUACUCCUUUUACAGUUGUUGGGAAUGACAAUUUGACACAAUAAGUUCCACCUUUGCUUUAUCAAUUUCAAUGCCUUUCUCGGAGAUGAUAUGGCCAAGGACAAUUCCUUGCUGUACCAUAAAAUGGCAUUUCUCCAAGUUGAGCACCAAGUCCUUUUCAAUGCAUCUAUUCAGAACCGCUUCCAAGUUGACUAAGCAUUCUUCAAAUGUACUUCCAUAUGUGGUGAUAUCAUCCAUGAAAACCUCCAUAAUUUGCUCCACCAUAUCACUGAAGAUACUUAGCAUACAUCGUUGGAAUGUUGCAGGUGCAUUGCAUAAACCAAAAGGCAUUCUUCUAUAGGCAUAUGUUCCAAAUGGACAUGUGAAAGUGGUUUUGUCCUGAUCUUCAAUAUCGAUUUCAAUUUGAAAAUACCCGGAGUAGCCGUCCAAUAAACAAUAGAAAGGAUGGCCACAGACUCUCUCCAACACUUGAUCAAUAAAUGGCAAUGGAAAAUGAUCCUUCCUUGUCACAGCAUUCAAUUUUCUAUAAUCAAUACACACCCUCAACCCUGAAGUGAGGCGUGUAGAAACUUUUUCUCCCUUUUCAUUUUGAACCACCGUGAUCCUUGACUUCUUUAGUACCACUUGAGUAGGACUCACCCAAGGGCUGUCGGAUAUGGGAUAGAUAAUACCUGCUUGAAGUAGCUUCAGAACCUCAGCUCGCACCACCUCUUGCAAAUGAGGAUUCAAUCUUCUUUGAGGUUGAUGAAUUGGUUUAACUUCUUCUUCCAUGUAUAUAUGAUGUGUAUAGACCAAAGGACUGAUGCCUUUCAAGUCAGAUAUUUGUCAUCCUAUUGCUUUCUUACACCUCUUGAGAACUUCAAGUAGACACAUCUCCUGAGGAGUAGUAAGAUAUGAAGAUAUAACAACAGGGCACUUUUGAUUUUCUUCUAGGUAUGUAUAUUUCAACUCCGUGGGUAGAGGCUUCAGAUUGAGUUUUGGGGUCUCUUCUUUAGCAGCUUCUUGUGCCUCUUCUUUAUUGAACAAAGGUAGAAUCUCUUCUCUUAUUCUCCAACCUUGUAGAGAAGCAAGCACAUCUGAGGGUUUAGGCAACCCUUCUUCAAGAUCCCCAAGACUUUCAUUCAACUUGUCUUGCAUUUUCUUAUUACAAUGCUCCUCCACUAGAGUGUCAAUAAUGCACACCUCUUCUGGACCUUCUUCUUCUUUCGGAGUGAUUAGCUUUUUGGACAUAUAGAAGAUAUUGAGCUCUAGUGUCAUGUUGCCAAACGUGAGUUGCAUGAGUCCAUUCCUACAAUUUAUGAUUGCAUUUGAUGUAGCAAGAAAUGACCUUCCAAGGAUGAUAGGAACAUAAUCCGUUUCCUUGACAAUUGGGUCUGUGUCAAGAACAAUAAAGUCUACUGGAUAGUAGAAAUUAUCAACUUGAACUAAGACAUCUUCAAUUACCCCCCUUGGAAUUUUCAUUGAUCUAUCUGCUAGAGAUAGAGUGAUUGAUGUUGGCUUUAAUUCACCAAGUUCCAAUUGCUUGUAGACAGAGUAUGGUAGCAAAUUCACACUUGCUCCCAAGUCUAACAAAGCUUUCUCCACUACUUUUCCUCCAAUCAUGAUUGAAAUGGUGGGACAACUCGGAUCUUUGUACUUCAAAGGAGACUUGCAUUGUAUGAUAGCACUCACUUGCUCAGUCAAGAAGGCUUUCUUAUUCACAUUCAACCCUCUUUUGAUAGUACACAAGUCCUUUAGGAAUUUUGCAUAUGUUGGAACUUGUUUAAUCAUAUCCAGCAAUGGGAUAUUGACUUUCACUUGUCUCAAUACUUCAAGAAUUUCUGAUGCAUUUCUGAUCCCUUUUUUCCCAUGCAAAGCUUGAGGAAAAGGUGGAGAUGUGUGUUUCUUCAUCACAUCUCCCUUGAUGAGUACUUUAUCCGGAUUUGCAUUCACUGUUGAAUCAUGGUCCUCCUUCACUUCACUGGUAUCUUUCUUCUUUCCUUUGAUUUCCUCCCUCUUCUCUGUUUCUUCUUCUUCUUUUUCUUCCUCUUUAACAUAUGGCUUGGGUGUUGGUAGCUCAACCUUUUUACCACUCCUUAGAGUGAUCAAGGCUUUGACAUCUCUCACCUGAGAAGAUUCUCCCUCAUGAGUUUCCACUUCAUGGAUACCUUUGGGGUUUUGGUGAGGUUGAGAAGGAAAUCUACCCUUCUCUUGCACUAUGUUCAGGUUAGUGAGCCUUGAGAUUGAAUAUUGGAGAUUAUCUAUCUUCUGAGAUAAGCCAUUUUGCAUGUCAUCCAUCCUUUUAUUCAAUGUAUUCUCUACACUGUCAAUUCUUUGACUAAGUUGAGCAUUGAUGGAUUUUUUAUCUCCAAUAAAAUUUCCCACAACCUUGCUUAGAUUCACUAUUGCUUGUUCAAGAUUUGAAGCUUGUUGAGAUGGUUGAGCUGGCUGUUGGUACUAAGGUGCUCUUGGCUUCCAGGAGAAAUUUAGAUGGUUCCUCCAAUUUGAGUUGUAAGUAUUUCCAUACAAAGCAUUGUUGUUGGGCUUGAAUUGUCCAAUGACAUUUGCUUGAUCUCUAAACAUUUCCCUAGCAGCUAGAAUUGUAGAGCACUUCUCCACCAAGUGCUCAUAAGAUUGAAAAAUAGGACAUGGCUUGACUUGCACUGGUGUUUCAGCAACAGCUUGCACUUCAUGUAUCUUCUUCAGUUCUAGCUCCUCCAAUCUUCUUGUCACAGCUGCAAACUUUGCCUUUAUAUCAACAUUUUCAUUUAAGGUGUACAUCCCAGCCUUAGCAUUAAAGGCAUUCGGUUGAGACUUCAUCUUCUCCACUUCUCCUUUGUUCGGUUCAUCCCAUCCCCUUGAUACUUCAACCACAUAACUUAAGAAAUCCAUGGCUUCCUCCAGAUUCUUACUCAUGGAAUCUCCUCUACACAUUGUCUCGAGGAGUUGCUUCAUUGAGGAAGACAUCCCAUCAUAAAAGUAACUCACCAAUAGCCAUGUAUCAAAACCAUGGUGAGGAUAAGCAUUGAUGGCUUCCAUGUAUCUUUCCCAACACUCAUAGAAUUUCUCACUCUCUUUAGCUGAGAAGUUUGAAAUUUCCCUUUUCAAGCCAUUUGUUCUGUGAGUAGGAAAAAAUUUCUCGAGGAAUUCAACUUGCAAAUUAGUCCAAGUCCGGAUACUCCUUGGCCUUAAAGAAUUAAGCAAAAUCUUGGCCUUAUCCUUUAAAUUAAAAGGAAAUAGUUUAAGCCUCAUCAAGUCGAUUGAAGCUCCUCCUUCUUGAAACGUAUUACAAACAUCUUCAAAUUCCUUGAUAUGGGCAUAGGGAUUCUCAUUUUCAAUCCCAUGGAAAGUUGGUAGAAGUGGAACAAUAUGCGGUCUAAUUACUAGCUGCUUUGUAGGGGGCACUAUACAGGAUGGUGCACUCAUACGAGGUGGAUACAUGAGGUCCCUCAUUGAUCUGAAUGCAUUGGGAUUGUCCUGGUGACCAUGGUGACUAUACUGAUCUUCAGGUGUAGCUUCCAUGAUAUUCAAACUCAAUUCCAAUUCCUUGUUAUGAGGUAUUUCAAGUUUCACAAGCCUUCCUCUACUAUCUCGUAUCCAAUUUGGCAUACACAACUAGUAUCAACUGUAAUAAAAACAAAAACAAAAGAAAACAAAAGAAAACAAAAGAAAACAAAACUACAAAAAGACUAAGAUUAAUUAAAACUAAAUUAAAAAAAAUGCUAAAAUAUGAACAAAUAAAAGAAACAAUUAAAAGAGUUACUAGAAUGAAAGAAAAAUCACCAAACUUGUGAUGAAAAUCACAAGUACUCUGAAAAGAUAAUAUCACUGUAAAGUUGGCACCUUCCCCGACAAUGGCGCCAUUUGAUUUCGUGCCCAGCUGGUAUACCUUGAUUUUGGUCCUCAGAUAAGAGUAAUCAACAAAAUUUAUAACCUAUAUCACCAUGUACUAGGAUAGCCUCAGCUAGCAUAGCAUAGUGGCUCUAGGAUCGUUCACUAGGAAGGGUUUUCAACUUACAAUUGAUAAUAAUUCAAAGUUGAAUUGAUGUUUUUUUUCAUUUCAAGGUUAGCUUCAAAAGAAAACAUAAACUUUGGUUUAAAAAGGAUUGGUUUUAAGCUAACUAAAAAUAGAGUAACGAAAAUUACUUAUAAAGAAAAGUGUUUCUUGGAGUUUUAGGAUCACUGGGAUCAGGCUCCUAAUACAAAAACAGAGUUCCGGUCACUUGAAUCUUUUCCUCGCAUUAGAGAAUUAACAUAUAGUUAUUUCUCUAACCGGUGUGGUACAGAUGCUUCCCUUUUAUGGAUUCAAACACUAAAUCCCUCUCACUGAUUCAUCUUGCAAUGGCUCGUGCCUCUCACCUAGCAUUUGUCAUUCAAGGUGAUACUUAAUCUUGGAUUUCCUUUCACAAGCUCGCAAGAGAUAACUAAUGGAUGUCUCCUUAGAGUCUAAAAGCUUACCAAGUGUUGGCUAUUCUAGAAAAUCCUACUUUCAAACCACCUCCCAAAGGCUCGCAAGAGAUAAACUAGUGCAUCUCAAUGAACGGAGAUCACUUGCCUUACCAAGUGUUGGCCCAGGUGAUUCAAAGACGUUUUAAGUUAACUAAAAACAUAGAAACCAUUAACGGGUACACUUUCUCUUCAUUAAAAGUUGAAACAACAAAACUUCCAAUUCUUGCAUUCGGCACCUUACCCAACUACCUUAACUCCAAGAGACAAAAAGUCUAGCCACUCAUUCUCUGAGGAAACAUCCUCAUUUGUCUAGUAAGCAAAAUACAAUCAAAGUGAGUAGGUAAGGCAGAGCAAAACUCUGUAUAUUACUUCCUUCAAAACUAUACAAAAGGUUGUCUUUAAGAACAAACUCCCGAGAUGUCUGUGUAAAGAAAAUUACAAACCAUAUAUAUGAGGUUAUUCACCCUUUUGUUCUUACUUAUUAACUAAGGAAUCCUAUGAUUGGUGGAUUACAAGGAGAGAAUGGGGAUUUAAACAACAAAUAUUUGAAGAAAAAAAUCUAAAAGAGUCGGUCGCAAAUAUCUGGAAGCACUCAGGUGGAUUUCGCAGGCAUGCAAGAUGGGCUGCGAAAUUUCGCAAGUUGAAAGUCUCCAUUUCGCAGCCAAAGGUUGAUUUCAACUUUUAGCUUGGUGUGAUUGGCUUCCAAUGACUAUAACUCCUUCAUUUCAGCUCCAAUUCAUGCACCGUUUGAAGCGUUAGAUUCCUGACUUCCCAAGCUUCGAAACAACAUAUAGUAUGCAUGAAAUGGACUCUAGAAAGUGCUCUAAAUGUGUCCAAAGUUGUUGUCCUCUUGAAUUCUUCAUGUUAGAUUUCUCUCUUUGCUUUCCCUCAUUGCAUUCAUGAUUUGCUUUUGGAAAAGGACUAUAGAGCUUCAAAACUUGGGUUCUUAAUGUAAAUGAGCUUUCAAUUGCUUUGCCAUGGAUUCUAUAGAACUCUCCUCAAUCUUGAAUUGCUUUGGUGAUAAAAAAGCUAUCAAAAACACCAAAACUUAACACAAAGUGAUUAGAAAUGAUUGCAGAGGUACUUAAUAUGCCAAUUGAGUUAAAAGGUAAUAACUACUAUUCAAAAGUGUUUAAAAGAGUUAAUUAUAAACUAUAAAAUAGCACUUUUUGAGUAGUAAUCACUCACAUGAUUCUAUGAUAUUUGGCAUUGCAUACAGGGGUUUGGCAUUUAGUUAUUGGGUAUUUGGGCCUUUGUGUCCCAUCAUUUCAUUCACCUGUCACCCCUGGCCUACAUUACGGUCCGAGUCGUAAGACCACCCUGAGGCCAUGAGAUCUCGUAUCUGCUUCGAUGCGGUUCAUUCGGAUAGGCUCCAUCUACUGAUUGAGUACGGGAUGUCAACAGGUCUCCAUUGCUUCAGGGAAUAUCGAGGGUCACAUAUUGCCUUUCCAUUCAGUUUGCUUGCCUCAAGUCCAUGAUCAGAGGCAAAUGAUACAGAGAGUUGGGACCGUUGAAAACGUCUUUGCUUGAUGCUUUGACAUGUUCAUACUAGGGCAUACCCUCAUCCUUGCAUACUGGCUUCGACUCUUACACAUGUACGCAGGCAGUUCGUUUCGCCUAGAGAUGUUUUGGAUAUCAGAGUUUAAGUAAGCCCCACAUUCAACUUGGUUUCUUCAUACAGCAGAGUGCUUUUGGGAGCUGACCUGAGAUCAAAUUCACGGUAUUCAUUGACCCAGCAGGAGUGUGCACACCCGGGCAUACCCCAUUCAUUGUCUUGUUCGCUAGCUCAGACAAUUGGGUCUUCAAUGAUGUAUUUCAGAGUUUUCAUUGAGAUAUUUGAGUUUCAGAGGUAAACAUUGGGGCAUACCCCUUAUCAGUUUUUUUGUGGAUAUUGGAUGUUAUGGAUUAGGGUGGAGGGUUUUUCCUCAUGGAUGGAUGUUUGUGAUAUUUCCAGCUUUUUGACUUUGAAUCUAUGUGCAGUUGUGGGUUUCUAACAUGGUUUUGAUGCCUUAGACUGGAGCAUGGCCCUUUCUUUGCACUUUUGGUCACUUUUAAGAGUUGUCAUACAGGGGCAUACCCCCCAUCUUUCUAUCUUGUUGGUGGGGUUAUUCAUUUCUUGUUUAUCGGCGUUUUCUGAUGUCACACUAAGGCACACCCCCUUUCUUUCGUCAUGAUUGACGGGUUUGACUUUUCUCUUAUUUGAUUCAUUUAUUGACAUUUUUCGGACGCCACACUAGGACAUACCCCCCUUUUUCAUGGUGCCAUUACUUUUCAUUUCCUUUCAUUUCAAUGGCUCUCUAGCAUCGUGCCCGGAUCCCCUAGUCAUUUCGGCGGCUCUCUAGCAUCGUGCUCAGAUCCCCUAGUCAUUUCGAUGGCUCUCCAAUAUUGUGCUCAGAUCCCCUAGUCUUUUGGGGGCUUACCCGCAUCAUGCCCGGAUGCCCUGGUCAUUUCGGCUGCUCUCCAGCAUCAUGCUCGGAUCCCCUAGUCAUUCGGCGGCUCUCCGGCAUCAUGCCCGGAUUUCCUAGUCAUUUCGGUGGCUCUCCGGCAUCGUGCCCAGAUCCACUAGUCAUUCCGGCGGCUCUUCGACAUCGUGGCCGAAUCCUUUAUUUUUCGGCAUCGUGCCCGAAACCCCUAUUUUUCGUCAUCGUGUUGGAUUUUCUUUUAUCUUUCUCGGCAUCGCAUACUGAUUUCCUUUGUUUUCUCCGGCAUCAUGCCCGGAUCCACUAGUCAUUCCGGUAGGUCUUCGACAUCGUGCCCAAAUCCUCUAUUUUCCGGCAUCGUGUCCGGUUUCCUUUUAUCUUUCCCGGCAUCGCGCCCGGAUUUCCUUUGUUUUCUCCAGCAUUGUGCCCGGAUCCCCUAGUCAUUCCGGUGGCUCUUUGGCAUCGUGCCCGAAUCCCCUAUUUUCCGGCAUCGUGUCUGGUUUCCUUUUAUCUUUCUCGGCAUUGUGCCCGAAUUUCCUUUGUUUUCUUCGGCAUUGCGCCUGGAUCUUAUAUCUCUCCCGAAAACGCGUCCGAUUUUCUCCUAUCUUUUCUGGCACCGUGUCCAAAUUCCUUUAGCUUUCUCCUGCAGUGUGCCUGGGUCCUUUAGUCCUUCGGUCAUCAUGGCUCAUUCCCUUAGCCUCUUUAUGGUUGUGUGGGGACAAAAUUGUUGGUCAUUGGAAUUCUUCACUAGAGUUCAUUUCACUCAUUCAUUCUUGCACUUUGCAUUCGUGACUCACUCGUUCAUUCACUCUACUAAAGAGGGGCAUAUUUGUAAACCCUCAAUUUUGUCCCUUGACACUUGCAUUUUAUCUUAUGGGUGCCACAUGCACCCAUGUUUUCAUAUGACCCCGCCAUGGCCCCUUUUUGGCCUUGAUCGAUUUCUGAGCCUUGUGUAGGUUCAUUUGCGGUCCAAUGUAGUGCGGGUGUGUAGUUCAUUUUGGAGUUCCGUCAUGGCCAAUUUCCCUAGUUGUUCACAUCAUGCUAUAGGGAAGGAAGUGCAGCCCCCCAAAAAUUUCAGUUCAGUUGGAAUUCAUAAGAGCAGGUUCGAAUUCGGAGCACUUAGGCUUGUUUUGAUCAUAUCUCCCUCAUCCGAACUCGGAAUCACGCACCGUUUUUUUUUAUGGACUCCUUAUUCAUCAAGGAACAUUCUGUAAAAAUUUCAAUUUUUUUUCUCAACUGGCUCGACUGGUUCCCAAAGUUUCAGAUUUUUUCUCAAUCGGAUGAAUUGGUUGGGCACCGGUUCAACAGGUGGCUUGGUGGCAGCCCAGUUUUAUAAAUGCUUUGCAUUGUUUCGAUCAAGUCUCUCUCAUCCAAGAUCAAAAUUGAGCUCUGUUUGUUUUUUUGGAUUCCUUAUUCUCUGAGGAAUCUUCUGGUAAAUUUUCAGAUUUUUUUCUCAAUCGGAUGAACUAGUUAGGAACCGGUUCAACAGGUGGCUUGGUGGCAGCCCCAUUUUAUAAACGCUUUGCAUUGUUUUGGCCGGUUCUCCCUCAUCCAGAAUCAGAAUUGAGCACCAUUUGUUUUUUUAGAUUCUUUAUUCUUUGAGAAAUCUUCUGGUAAAUUUUCAAAUUUUUUCUCAAUCGGAUGAAUCAGUUGGGAACCGGUUCAACAGGUGGCUUGGUGGUAGCCCCAUUUUAUAAAUGCUCUGUAUUGUUUCGGUCGGUUCUUCCUCGUCCGGGCUCAGAAUUGAGCGCCGUUUGUUUUGUUGGAUUCAUUAUUCUCCAAGGAAUCUUUUGGUAAAGUUUUAGAUUUCUUUUCUCAAAUGGUUGAGCUGGUUGGGAACCGGUUCAAUCGGUUUUGCUAGGUAGCUCUAGUUUCAGCGUGUUUUGACCCCCAUUUUUGUUAUGGCUUGGGCCCUUAGGCUCCAAGGCACUUGUAGGCCACCUUUAGGGUCUGAAUCCAGAUUUGGUUUGAAUUAAUGUGGGCCCACCUAUGAGUUGAGGGUAUUAUUGGCUAGGAAGGUCGGGGGGUUAUUGUGAAUGUUUGGCUUGGGCACAUUUUGAUGUUUGAUUAAAAAUGCUUGUGUCUAUUGAUUUGCCCCUGUUUGUAACGCUUGGCUGGGGACCCGAGGUACAUACUUGACUUGUUGGGAAUUGGAUUCAUUUGCAUGCAUGGGACUUGGAUAUGUUUGCUUGUUGUGUGUUGAAUUGAAGCCCCAUUUUAGAUGAAGUGGCACACUAAAACCCAGUGAACAUGAGCUCUAAAAUGCAUACAUUCAAUUUCUUUCCAAACAACCAGCGAUAAGCAGAGCCCCAUGCAAUUCGUAGAGUUCUCCUCAUGCAAUUUAUAUCAGCAAUGUAGUCUCAAGUACAUUCUCGGACCUCACUCUAGCAUUGGCUACCUUGGUGCACCUUACCCUCAUAAUUUUUUUUCUUUUCUUUGUGAUCUUACACAUCUUAAAUCUGGAUUUCAAAACCUUUUUCCAUCAAAAUAACUCUACUUUUCUUUAAAAUUCAUUCCUUAGGAGUUUCUAGGCAUAAAAUCCAAAUUUUAACAUACUAUUUGCUGCAAUUUUCCUUCUAGCACGCGUUCUCACUAUUUUCUACUAAUUUUCUUGAUUUUCUUGUUUUUCCUAAACAAGCAUGAAUAAACUUCAUGAUUCCAAAUAAUGGAACUCAUUAAACCAAUUCAUGCAAAAGUAAUUUGGACCUUGGUGGGUGGCGCGACAUCCAUGAAUUUUUUUUUAGAUAUUGAUUCAAAUGAGGUGUUUGCUUGAUAUUUAAUUGAAAUUGAUCCUCUUCAUGAUACAUGAGUUUGUUUUAUAGUUAUUUUUGAACUAACCAUGCUCCCCAUUAAAGCGCUUAGCUUGCUACUCUUGUACGCUAUCUAUCACCUAAUUUUCAGAAUUCUAUGAAUAUGCAUAUUAUUAUGAGCUAUAUCUAUGUUCAAUUCUAUCAUUGGAUGCCUAAAUGUUUGUUUUAUUUGCUCUAACAAAAUGCAUGUUGUGUGUCAUAUUUGUAAGCUAACUUUGAUGUCUUAUGAUAGUGCUUGAGGAGCAAUCUAGGUACACACCCUAACUCUCCUUUAUGAUUAUGAUUUGAUUUAUUAUUGGGCAUGCUUGUUUUGAAAUCACCUUAGCCUACCUAGGCAUUCAUAAUCAACUUAUUAAUUGCCACAUUUACCUCAAUUUAGUCAAUAGAGACCUUUUUAUGGCUUAGAGAGGUACUACCUCUUUGAGGUACCUUCCCAAAAGGUAACUUGAUCGCCGAACCUCCUUUUAAAAUAAAAUAAAAUAAGCAAUGACUCUAACUUUGACCAAAAUUAAUUUUUCACCAAUAAAAGCAAGUAUCGCUGAUGAGUGGGGACACACGUGAAAAUUGCAGGUCCACAGCAUGCACCUAGUCAAAUUGUGUAUUGUUUGCAAGAGAUGCUUGUAUUUAUUUCCUAAUGAGUUUAUUCUAAUUCUUUGAUUAGGAUUUCUUCAAUCACAUUGCUUGCUAUUGAAUUUCCAAUGGCUUAAUAUAAAUUAUUAGAAAAAUGUUGUUUAAUUAUUUCAGCAACUUAUCCUUUAUAAUUUUUUUUAACAAAUAUUAUCUCUGAUGUUCAUUUGUAAUAAAUAGCUAGAGAAAGGGCCCAAUGUGAACACCUAUGAGACUUAGUUGUGUUUGAGAGAUUACAUGGAAAUCUUGGCAAAACAUCUCCAAGCCUUGUUGUCAAAAAGGAAACCCUACAUCUCAUGCCUUUAUACUGCAUCUUAGCUUCUCAUCUUGCAAUGGACAAUGGUACUCUUAUUGAAUCAGUUUUACCAUACCAGUCAUCAACAUUUGCACUCAUUAAGCACUAAUUUAAGCACUGAUGCUUUUGUUAAAGUUAUUUCCUUUUUUGUUUGUUCGUUUUUGUUUUCUUUUGUUUUGGAGGUAAUUGUGUUGGAUGAUUUAUGUUUGUGUUAGACAACAAAGCUUGUCUUAAUGCUAUUGUAAAACAAGACUAUGCUAAUAAGAUUUUGAUGUUUACAAUGUUUAUGCCAAAUUGAAUUUUUAGUUUUCCUAAUUGAAAAUUUGCUUGUUUUCCCCAUUAUAUCGAUGUUAUUGUUGGAUUUUUGUUUCUGUUGAUCAAGCAUGUGCUAAAAGUUUGUUUUUUUUUUUUUUUUCCGUUGCUACUUCAUGUGUGUGGAAUUCUAGCUUAAAGUUAGUGAGGAAUUCUAGGGUUUGUUAAGGCCAUUUUUGGUAUUUUGUUAUUAGUUCCUAAUUUAAUGUUUUUCCUUAUUUAGUGGAGAUUUUGUUCUCUAAUCAAUUAAGAUUGAAUCCUGGUCCUUAUGGUGACUGAUUGCACUAUUCUCUUGUAUAUAUAUACCAUGUUGUAUUCUAUAGAAAGUAAGAGAAUUAAUAAAUAAAUAAAAAUUAACUUCUCAUAAAUCUUCAUGGUAUCAAAGCCUUCCCUCUAAAACCCUAAUUUUCCACAUCACCAAAUUCGUCAUGGCUAUUGAGAGACAAAUCUCAACCUUUGAAGUGACCUUCAAUCCAGAAACGAUGCCAACGAUGAACAACCAUGGAAGAGCCGAGAACCCAUCUAUGCUCAUCACAGGUCACAAACUCAAUGGCCAUAAUUUUCUCUAGUGGUCUUAGUUAGUGAUGAUGUAUGUCUGUGGAAAGGGCAAGGAUGAAUAUCUCACCAGUGAAGUAGUUAUCCCUGAGAAGACCAAUCCCAAAUUCAGGGUGUGGAAGACCGAGAAUCACAUGGUGAUGUCUUGGUUGAUUAAUUCGAUGAAUACCGACAUAAGAAAGAAUUUUCUCCUCUAUGGAACUGCCAAAGAAUUAUGGGAUGUAGCAAGGGAGACAUACUCAAAUUCUGAAAACACUUCAAAAAUAUUUGAGAUAGAAGCCACUUUACACAACCCUACGGCAGGGAGAUCUCUCUGUUACCCAAUACUUCAACAUUCUUUCUCGUCAUUGGCAGCACCUAGACAUGUUUGAAGUUCACACCUGGAAGUGCCCUGAAGACACUGCAUUGUACCGAAAAAUUGUGGAGCAAAAGCGAACAUUCAAGUUUCUCCUUGGCCUCAACAAGAAUUUGGACGAGGUUAGGGGGAGAGUGAUGGGGACCAAACCUCUUCCAAGUAUUAGAGAGACAUUCUCAGAAGUUCGCCGUGAGGAAAACAUGAAAAAGGUUAUGAUGGGAUCUCAGAAUUCUGCCCUAUCAAUUGAAGGAUCUACCUUUGUAGCACGAGGACUUCCAUCAAACACCAACAGUGAAAAUCGCCAGAAAAUGGGAAACCUUAGUGUGACCACUACCGAAAACUAUGACAUUCCAGAGAAAAUUGCUGGAAGAUUCAUGGCAAACCAGCUAAUUGGAAGCCAUCCAAACCAUUCAAUGAUAGAGAAAGUAGUGUCCAUAAUGUUGCUACCUCAGAAGACAAGCCAACCUCAACCAAGACCAGUCCUUUCAGCAAAGAGCAGCUUGAGAUGCUUCAACAACUCAUAAGUCAAAACUCCCUAUCUCAAUCCAGUAACUCAGCAUCUGGUAUAGGCAUGUUGGCACAAAAAGGUGAUUUUUCAAAUGCCUUUGCAGUAAAUAAACAACACUUGAAUCCUGGAUUAUUGACUCUGGAGCAUCAGAUCACAUGACAAGAGAAGGAACCAUAUUUCAUGAGUACAACCCUUCUAAAGAGAAAUAUACAGUUUGGAUUGUUGAUGGAUCUCUAUCCAAAGUUGCUGGAACAGGCUCAAUCAGGGUUACAAACGACCUUAAUCUAAACCCUAUUCUCCAUGUCCCUAAUUUGGAAUGUAAUUUACUCUCAAUCAGCAAAUUAACUCGUGAUCUUCAUCGUGAAGCUAAAUUUUUCUCAAACUUGUGUAAAUUUCAGGAACUGGAUUCGAGGAGGAUGAUUGGCAAUGUUGAGAUGUGCUCUAGACUCUAUCUUCUCAAGGGUGAUACUCCUCUAAGAAGACGAACUCAAAAUGCAAGUUGUGUGUCGCUUAAGAGUCGGUCAAUUUUAGAUUUUUGUGUCAAUAAAGAUAAUGAGGUCAUGUUAUGGCAUUAUCGUCUGGGUCAUCCAAAUUUUAUAUAUCUUGAAAAAUUGUUUUCAUCUUUAUUCAUCAAUAAAAGUCCAAAAUUUUUCAGUUGUGAAAUCUACCAGCUUCCAAAACAUACUCACAGUAGUUACCCUAGUCUUUCAUAUACACCAUCUCACCCAUUUGCCAUGAUUCAUAGUGAUGUGUAGGGUCCUUCGAGGAAAAACAAUAUAACAGGAGCACGGUGGUUUGUCUCGUCUGUUGAUGAUCACACUAGAUUGACCUGGGUAUUCCUGAUGAAAGAAAAAUCUGAAGUUGGAAAAUUUUUUCAAAUUUUCAAUUCCAUGAUCUAAACUCAAUUCCAGACCAAAAUCCAAGUUCUAAAAACUGAUAAUGCCAAAGAGUACUUCAAGUUUGUUCUAGGUAGUUACCUCAUGAGUCAAGGAAUAGUCCACCUAAGUUCUUGUGUUGUCACCCCUUAAUAAAAUGGGAUUGCAGAAAGAAAAAACCAACAUUUGUUAGAGGUAGCUAGGUUCCUCAUGUUUUCCACUCACGUUCCUAAACAUUUUUGGGGGGAGGUAGUACUUAUAGCCACGUAUCUCAUCAAUAGAAUGCCAUCCAGAAUUCUUAAAUUUAAAACGCCUUGUCAAUCCCUUCUCUAGAUCUUUCCACAUACAAAAAUCAUCUCUUCAUUAGAUCCAAAAAUAUUCGGGUGUUCAACUUUUGUCCAUAUACAUCAGCAACAUCGUAGCAAAUUAGACCCUAAAUCCAUCAAAUAUAUCUUUAUAGGGUACUCUUCACAUCAAAAGGGUUAUAAGUGUUAUUCUCCCAUCACUAAAAGGGUAUACAACUCUAUGGAUGUGACAUUUUUUGAACAUCAAGCUUACUACCACAAAACCGACAUGCACGGGAAGAACAUGAGAGCAUUCCAGUUUUGGAAGACACUUGAUCUUGGGGACACCCUACCAUUACCUCAUCUUACUUCUCAGCCAAUUUUCAGUCAACAACCAAAAGUCAUUAAUCAAAUUCCAGUUCAAAUUUCAAUGUCUUCACAACCUAAACCUGAGAGUCAUCCUCCUACUACCUCACCUCAAACUCUAGUCCAUAAUUACUCUAAAUCACCACUAACUGCAAAUAAUGAGUUUAGCGUCUACAUUAGGAGAAAAAGGCCUAAGAGAACAAUAGAGCAACCAACUCCUCUAAAAAAUGACCAAAAAUCUUAACCUAGUCCAAGUCCUACUCAAAUUCACUUGGGUAAGGGAACUACUAAUCUUGAAAAGCUAGUACCAUUUGUAGAUGAUUCAAAUAUUCCGAUUGCUUUGAGAAAGAGUGUUAGAACUUGCACAAACCAUCCUAUCUAUAGAUUUAUUUCAUAUGAUGGAUUGUCUCCCUCCUAUCAAGAUUUUGUUUUAGUUCUUGAUAGUGUGCAGGUUCCUAAUUCUAUUUAGGAGGCUCUCAAGAAUCCAAAGUGGAGAAAGGCAAUUAGCGAAGAAAUCAAAGCUUUGGAGAAGAAUGGAACAUGGGUAAUCUCUGAUCUUCCUCAUGGAAAGAAACCAAUCGGGUGUAAGUGGAUUUACCAUUAAACAUAAGGCUAAUGGAAGUAUUAAGAGAUUGAAAGCUCGCCUUGUUGCCAAAGGCUUUACUCAGUCUUAUGGAAUAGACUAUCAAGAAACAUUUGCUCCAGUGGCCAAACUCAACACUAUUCAAGUUCUUUUUUAUCUUGCAGCAAACCAAGAUUGGCCAUUACAUCAACUAGAUGUCAAAAAUGCUUUUCUGAAUGGUAACUUGGAGGAAGAAGUGUAUAUGGAGAUACCAUCAGAGUUGGAAACUUCUUUCAACAACAACAGGGUGUGCAAGCUUAAGAAAUCUCUGUAUGGACUCAAAAAAUCACCUCGAGCAUGGUUUGACAGGUUUGCAAAGUCAGUUACAAAGCAAGGAUAUACUCAAUGUCAAGCGGAUCAUACACAAUUUGUGAAGUUCUCUUCAGAAAAGAAAAUAGCAGUCCUCAUAGUGUAUGUUGAUGAUAUCAUCUUAACAGGUGAUUAUGAAGAGGAACUAUUGGGAAUGAAGAAACACUUAGCCAAAGAAUUUGAAAUCAAAGACCUUGGCUAUCUUAGAUACUUUCUCGGUAUGGAGGUGGUAAGAUCUAAGAAAGGCAUAUUUUUCUCCCAACGUAAGUAUGUUCUAGACUUACUAAAAGAGACAGGUAUGCUUGGAUGUAAACCUGCAGACACUCCAAUGGACUCAACCAAGAAAAUAGGAACUGAGAAGAACAGUGCACCAGUUGACAAGGGGAGAUACCAGAGACUUAUAGGACUUCUUAUCUACCUUUCACAUACUCGACCUGACAUUAGAUUCUCUGUUAGUGUUGUGAGUCAAUUUAUGAACAACCCAAUAGAAGAACACAUGGAAGCUGUGAAUACAAUUUUGAGGUAUCUGAAUAUGACCCUAAGAAUAGGACUGUUGUACAAAAAGAAUGAUACUAGAGAUGUUGAAGUUUUCUCAGAUGCAGACUGGGCAGGUGAUGUGUUAGAUAGGCGAUCAACAUCUGGAUAUCGUUCCUAUGUAUGGGGAAAUCUCGUGACUUGGAAAAGCAAGAAACAGUUUGUAGUCUCAAGAAGUAGUGCAGAAGCUGAAUUGAGAUCUUUGGCUCUUGGUAUUUGUGAAGGAACCUGGAUAUAGAGACUGCUGAAUGAGUUGGGAAUAUCUACUGAGAAGCCUAUUAAAAUGUUCUGUGACAACGAAGCUGCCAUAAGCAUUGCAAAGAAUCCUAUACAUCAUGAUAGGACGAAACACAUCGAGAUAAAUCGACAUUUCAUUUCAGAAAAGAUUGAGAAGGCAAUUGUACAGUUGGUCUAUACUCCUACAAAAUCCCAAAUGGCACACAUACUCACUAAAGCUUUUUCAAGAACUAACUUUGAAGAACUGAGUCACAAGCUGUGCAUGUACAAUAUCUAUGCCCCAGCUUGAGGGGAAGUGUGGAAUUCUAGCUUAAAGUUAGUGAGGAAUGCUAGGGUUUGUUAACGUUAUUUUUGGUAUUUUGUUAUUAGUUCCAAAUUUAAUAUAUUUCCUUGUUUAGUGGAGAUUUUGGUCUCUAAUCAGUUAAGAUUGAGUCCCGGUCCUUAUGGUGACUGAUUGCACCAUUCUCUUGUAUAUAUAUAUCAUGUUGUAUUAUAUAGAAAGUAAGAGAAUUAAUAAAUAAAUAAAAAUUCACUUAUCAUAAAUCUUCAAUGUGCAAAGCAUCAUUAUUCAAAUUUUUUGUUUGUUUGUUUUUGUUUUGUUUUGUUUUGUCUUGUCUUGUUUUGUUUUGGAGGUAAUUGUGUUGGAUGACUUAUGUCUGUGUUAGACAACAAAGCCUAUCUUAAUGCUACUGUAAAGCAAGACUAUGCUAAUAACCUUUUAAUGUUUACAGUGUUUAUGCCAAACUGAAUUUUUAGUUUCCCUAAUUGAAAAUUUGUUUGUUUUCCCUAUUAUAUCGAUGCUAUUGUUAGAUUUGUGUUUCUAUUGAUCAAGCAUGUGCUAAAACUUUGUUUUUUUUUUUUCCUUUGCUACUUCAUGUGCAAAGCAUUAUUAUUUGAAUUUUAAUGAUUCCAUUCAAUUCAUUAUUCAAUAUUUUCAUUUGAUAUUACAUCUAUCACAUUUGUUUUCUUUUCUUAGUUUGUUUUGUUUUGUUUUUGUUUUUUUUUUUUAAUUUGUGAAAUUUGAAUUUGAUGGAGCCACCAUUAAUUUAUUUUUCCUUAUUAUUGUGGGGUGUGCUUUAUUUUGUUCAUGUAAAUAUCAUCGUUGUGGCACUAUUAUUAUUAUGUAACCUUUUUUUUGUUUAAUCUAUUGUUCCUAUGAGCAUUAAAUUCUCCUAAAAUGUAUGGAACAGGCUAAACCCUUUCUAUAGUUAUUUUAAAAAAUUUAUUUUUCAUCUAUUUUCUUGUGCUCAAAAAAUUAUAUUUUUUAGUAAAAUUGAAAUUUUAGGGAGCGCUUAUGCCUUAAUGACUCAACCCCUUGAGGGUUUAUACCUAUCUUAGCAAGAUGUAAACCCUCAUGCCUCUUAUGCUUUUACCUUAUGAAACUAUACCCAAAAACAAACACCACAACUCCUUGCCCCGAUCAAAGGAUACUUGAAAGUUUGCUUCAAAUCAAUUUCAAGGCUAAUAAUCAUAGGCUUGUCAAAUUCAUGUUGCUAAAAUUGGUAUUGUAACCAAAGUAAUAUUAGGAAAUCUUCAAGUUUCAGCUCCUCUUUUUAUGUUGGCUCUUGUAUUGUUAGGUGGCUUCAACCUUUUGCUUUACUUAUGCUUUAUGAGCUACUCCAAUUAAAAUAAUGCUUCAAGUAGAUGUUCUUUGGAUCUUCACUCUAGCAAGAUACUUGCAUUGCAAAAAUUUUUUGUAGUCCUAGAUAGGUUAACUAGGAAGACAAUAGCUUGCUUAAGAGGAUUGCCUCCUCUUCUAUUGGGUUUGUAAAAGUUUUGCUUCUCCCUUGACUUUAGGAGUCCCGUGGUUUCAAAUUUGGGUGUGCUCUAGGUUGUAGCAUGCCUUAUGCUUUCUAAAUGGUAAUCUUCUUCUUGUUUUGGCUAGGAUUCUUUCAUUUAUUUUGCUUGUUUGCUUUCUUUGUUUCUUUAUUGUGGUUGAAGGAUCACCAAUCAACUUUUUAUUCUCUGCAAAAAUUAUUUAUGUUUCAUACCUAAAAAAGAAAAAACAAAGGCUAGUUAGCCUAGAACAUGUUUUAUCUUGUUCUUCUUUUACUAUUAGUAUGGAUUCAAACUUGGGAAGAGGCCUUGAAACAAGUUGCAUUUGUGUUUUCUUAACAUACAUCUUUAUUCGAUCAUUUUUGUUAAGUAUUUGGUGUCUUGUUUGUUCUUUUAGUUGUUUUUGUCUCUGUCAAAGUGUAUAAUUGUAAUAUCCCAUAUCAUAUAGGGAAAAAAGUUUUUCGUGCUAUAUAUAUGUAUAAACUCCACUUAAUCUUGUAAAUGUGUUUUAAAGUCACGAGGGUUUCUUAGGUUCAGAGCAGAUAAUAUCUACACAGUUGGAAGUAGGUCAUUACUAAUGGUAUCGGAACCAAUCUCCAACCUCAAUGUGAGAGAUUGUUUAGCACCGAAAGGAGUGUCUAUCUAUUUGACCCUACAAUCAUGUGGAAUAUAAUAAGGAAAUUGGGUUUGCAUGAGGAGUGUGAUUAUGAUAUCCUACAUCGAAUAUGGGAAAAAGUUUCUAAUGUUAUAUAUGUAUGGACUCCUCUUAACCUUGUAAACGUGUUUUGAAAUUGUAAAUGUCACUUAAGUUUAGAGUGGACAAUAUCUAUACAAUUGGGAGUAGGUUGUUAUAAUAAUUUUGAUUUUCCUUCCAUAUAUGUUUAAUUGCAUAACAUUAUCAUAGAAAAAUAUUCAUCUAUCAUAAUGUAGCGUCUUGUAAAGCUUAUGUUGGGUGUUAUGAUUUUAUCUCUCAUCAUUUUUAUUAUUCUGAUUCAACAUCAUCUUAGCUUAUAAUCAAAAGGCUAUAAAUUGUAGGAUUCUUUUCUCCAAUUUUUUACUUGAUAUCUUAUAAUGCCAUGAAAUGUCUAUAUUUUGAUGCAGAAAGUCGUUCAUCCUUCAUCUCUCUCACUAGUUUUGCAGAACCAUAGUCAUUAGGCACAUGCAAGCGUUAGACAUGCAGCCACUUCCAGUGUUGGAAGAGACUUUGAACUACCUCUUAAACCUAUUAGAUCCACGGAGCAUCCUUUUGAAGUGGUUCAUGAUUUCAUCUUUGAUAGGACAAGAUCAAUAAGACACGAUCUUAGCAUGGAGAAUAUUGUUAAUGAUCAAACAAUUCAUACGUAUGAAGAAAUGGUAUAAAUUUCUUGAAACAUAAUCUUAAUUACCUUUCUUUUCUUAGCAUUAAUCUCCUCAAUAUACAAUAAGUUAGCCAAUCCACUACUAAACACACUCCUAGUUGCAGAAAAUAAUCAAAAUAUACAAGAGAUGUUGUAUAAUUGAGUCAUUAUCCUCUCUUUUUGCUUUAUUGAAUAAGAAAAUUCUAUUCAGUGGAGUCCAAAUGAGGUGAAACUGUGAUCACACAACUUUUAAAGCCUACUUUAUAAUGGAUAAAUGAAUGGUCUGGUUCUGAAUCUUUCUCGGCACAUUAGUUAUUAUCCAAUCCAUUCUAAUUAAGUUAUCCACUAUUGAGUGUCUAUUUCCAAUGAAAGUUAUGAAAGGCCCAUAGAACCCAAGCAACUCACACCGCUUGCGAUGGGAAUUGGUGUUCUUUCCCGUAAUGUCAAGUUUUCUAGUACACUUGGUGACUUUGUAGAAUAUGCCUACGGAAAGGGCUGCCACCUUCUAAUUCCCAAUCAUACAAGUUUCUUAACCAUAUUUCAAAAGUUGUAUUUCUUGUUCCGUCUCUUAAAGUUUUUUAAACCUAUAUCUCUUUAUCCUUGGCAAUUCAGAAAGAUGAGGAAACUAUUUAACAAGAACUCCAUCAAUUUGUUCCUCAAAAUUUUAUAUAGUUUCUCUCUCUCACUUUCAAUUUAAACUCUUGAUUUAAAAGAACAAAUUCAUGGCCAGCAACAUUUUUAGCCAAGCAAUAGAAUGUACAACAAGCAUGCAUAUGAAUGAACUGUAUUGUUUAAUGAUAAUAGAUCAAAUAUUUUAAUCUAAUCCUAAAACCUUAGAGUUAGCUAAAAGCCUCAUCUUAUGUUCUAACUUGUGGUUUGUUUCACAAUACAGGUGAAAUUUCAUAUUAUAUCCCACCAAAAGCUUUGCAAUUGUAGCAGCAAGCCAAAUUUUUAUUUAGUUAUUACCUUAAUAUGGAGCAACUGAAAAAGUGUCUAACAUCUCUAUAUGCUCUAUACAAAGAAAAUUGCAAUUCAAAUUUUAUUUACAAGAAUGAACCUGAGUUUUGCUCAUUUCACGUUCUUCUUCACCUUGGCUCUAACAGCCAACCACUGGUGGAUAUCUGCUUUCAUUGUUUGUUUGAGUUCAUCUUUUUCAGUAUUUGUACUAGUUUCUGAAGGUGUUACUAUUUUUGUUCUGAGGGGAGAGUCACUCUCUUUGUGGUUGGGUCUUGUACCUUCUGUCAUUUUGAAGUCAAAGGAAAAAUGUUUUGCCCAAGACUUUUAUAGUACGUUUGGUAGUGAUUUUAGGAAGUGUUUCUAGUCUUUUUUAUGCUUGAAAGAUAAAAAAAAAAAAUUAAGUGGUAAAAAGACUAGAAACACUUUAUAAAAUAACUGCCAAACGCACUCUUAAGAUGACCAUAAAGCUGUUGUAGAUUCCACUUGCAUUUAAAUUGUUUUUAUUCCCUUUACAUUUAACUCAAUGUAGAGUGGUUAUGUUUUUCCGUUGAUUUUUUUCUCUUUUUUAGUACCCAAUGUUAAAGUUUUGUUUCACGAACUGAAAGGUCCGUCUUUUCUAGUGACAGUGGAUGGGCAAUUAUAAGUGUUUCCUUUGUACUACAACAAUUGAGGCAUCAUAUUUGCAAUAUUACAUUAUUAUUAUUUUUUAUAAAUGAGCACAAAAUAUAUAAUAAAGGGCGGAAAGCCACAAAGCAUACAGGGAGUAUACAAAGCAGCUAAAAAGCAAAAAACUCAUAAACAGAACAAACUCACCAGCCCUUAAAGAGCCGCUAACCACUCUAAGAAGCCUAAAAUCAAAGAUGACUCCUCUCCCAUAUACAUCCUAGUCCAACUCCAUAAAUUACAUGCAAAAGAAUUCUUGAGUUUCUGAAUAGCUAAAGAACCCCAUCUAAAAGCUAACCUAUUUCUUUCCUUCCAAACCGUCCAAAAUAUACACAACGGGAUGGAAUUCCAAAUCUUUUUCCUCUUUUCCCCAUAAAAGGGCCCCUCCAACAAAAUAACACCUCUUUGACUGUCUCUAGGAACACCCAUUGAGCCCUAAACAAGGAAAGAACGAUCUCUCAGAGGACCCUGACCACUGUACAGUGUAAAAGAAUGUGAUUUACAUUUUCCUCUUCACAGCCACACAAAUAACAACGAUUAGGGAGCUGCCACCCUCGUUUUUGAAGCCUAUCCAAUGUGAGGAUUUUUUCCCAAGUGGCUUCCCACGCAAAGAAAGCAACUUUGGUUGGAACCUUAUCCACCCAAAUGAUUUUUUUCGGAAAGACGAGGGGAUUGGGGGUGAUUCGUGUUUUCCCAGCUGGUGUACCUUGAUUUUGGUCCCCUGAUGGGAGUAAUCAACAAAAUUUAUAACCUAUAUCACCAUGCACUAGGAUAGCCUAAGCUAGUAUAGCAUAGUGGCUCUAGGAUCGUUCACUGGGAAGGGUUUUCAACUUACAAUUGAUACCAAUUCAAAGUUGAAUUGGUGCCUUUUCAUUUCAAGGUUAGCUUCAAAAGAAAACAUAAACUUUGGUUGAAAAAGGUUUGGUUUCAAGCUAACUAAAAAGAAAGUAAUGGGAAUUACUUAUAAAGAAAAAGCGUCUCUUGGAGUUUUAGGAUCACUGGGGUCAGGCUCCUCAUGCAAAAACAGAGUUCCGGUCACUUUGGUUCUUUUCCUCGCAUUGGAGAAUUAACAUAUAGUUCAUUCUCCAACCGGUGUUGUACAGAUGCUUCCCUUUUAUAAAUUUCAGCACUAGUUCCCUCUCACUGAUUCAUCUUGCAAUGGCUCGUGCCUCUCACCUAGCAUUUGCCAUUCAAGGUGAUCAUUAACCUUGGACUUCCCUUCUCAAGCUCGCAAGAGAUAACUAAUGGAUGCCUCCUUAGAGUCCAAAAGCUUACCAAGUGUUGGCAAUUCUAGAAAAUCCUACCUUCAGGUCACCUCCCAAAAGCUCACAAGAGGUAAACUAGUGCAUCUCUGUGGACAGAGAUCACUUGCCUUACCAAGUGUUGGCUCAGGUGAAUUGAAGGCGUUUUAAGUUAACUAAAAACAUAGAAAUCAUAAACGGGUUACACUUUCUCUUCAUUAAAAGCUGAAACAUCAAAACUACCAAUUCUUGCAUUCGACACCUUCCCCGGCUACCUUAGCUCCAAGAAACAAAAAGCCUAGCCACCCAUUCUCUGAAGAAACAUCAUCAGAGCUUGUUUGGCUAGUAAAUGAAAAAUACAAUCAAAGUGAGAAGGUAAUGCAGAGCAAAGACUCUGUAUUUUACUUCCUUUCAAACUUUUACAAAAGGUUCGUCUCCUUGAUAACAGGCUCCUGAGAGCUAUUUAUAUGAAAAUUACAAUAAUAAUUAUUACCUGGAUAUUUACCCUUUUUCCUAACUUAAUAGCUAAGGAAUCCUAUAAGUGGUGGAUUACAAUGAGAGAAUUGGGAUUUAGACAUCAAAUAUCUGAAGCAAAAUAUCAAAAAUUUGUCGGUCGUAAAUAUCUGGAAGCACUCAGGAGAAUUUCGCAGGCGCACAAAAUGGCUGCGAAAUUUCGCAGACGUACAAGAUGGCUGCAAAAUCAUUUCGCAGCCAAAGGCUGAUUUCGCAGCCUUGCGAAAUUGGCCUUCAGCUUGAUGUGAUCAUCUUCCAAUGGCUCUAACUUCUUCACUUCAACUCCGAUUCGCGAACCGUUUAAAGCGUUAGAUUUUUUACUUCCCAAGCUUCGAAACAACAUAUAGUAUGCAACAAAUGGACUUCAGGAAGUACUCCAAAAGUGUCAAACAGUUGAUGUCCUCUUGGAUUCUUCAUGUUAGAUUUUUCUCUUUGUUUCAUCCUUGCAUUCAUGAUUUGUUUAUGGCAAAGGACUUUAAGGCUUCAGUUCUUCAUGUUUCUGAGCUUUCCAUUGCUUUGCCAUGGAUUCCAAAGAACUCUCCUCAAUCUCGGAUUGCUUUGGUGAUCAAAUUACUAUCAAAAACACCAAAACUUACACAAUUUGAUUAGAAACGAUUACAAAGGUCCUUAAUAUGUUAAUUGGGUUAAAAGGUAAUAACUACUACUCAAAAGUGUUUAAAAGAGUUAAUUACAAGCUAUCAAAUAGCCCUUUUUGAGUAGUAAUCAAGGGGUAGUGAUUCAUGCCCAAUUGGUGUCUUAGCUGAUUCGUGUCCAGCUGGUGUUCCUUGAUUGAGGGAGUAAUCAACAAAAUUUAUAACCUAUUACACCAUAUACUAGGGUAGCAAAGAAAAAGCUACUAUAGCAUAGUGGCUCUAGGAUCGUUCACUGGGAAGGGUUGGCAAAUUAUCAAUGAUACCAAUUCAAAGUGAAUUGGUAUUGUUUCAUUUCAAGGUUAGCUUAAGAAAUAAAACACAAACUUUGGUUGGAAAAGAUUUAGAUUUAAACUAACUGCAAAGCAAGUAAUGGAAAUUACUUAGGAAGAAAAACAUUCCUUGGAGAGUCAGGUUUACAGGGGAGGUUCCUCAUGCAAAAACAUAGCUCCGGACAGUUGGUUCAUUUCCUCGCGUUAGAGAAUUAACAUAUAGUCAAUUCUCUAACCGGUGUUGUACAGCUACAUCCUUUAAUUAGAUUUCAGCUUUGAUUCUCUCUCACUGAUGCAACUUGCAAUGGUUCGAGCCUCUCACUAAGCCUUAACCAUUCAAAGUGAUCUUUAACCUUGAACUUCCCUUCUCAAGCUCGCAAGAGAUAACUAAUGGAUGUCUCCUUGGAGUCCAAAAGCUUACCAAGUGUUGGCAAUUCCAAAAAAUCCUACCUUCAAGUCACCUCCCAGAGGCUCGCAAGAGGUAAACUAGUGCAUCUCCAUGGUCGGAAAUCACUUGCCUUACCAAGUGUUGGCCCAGGUGACUCUAAGGUGUUUUAAGUUAACUAAAAACAUAGAAAUCACUAAAAGAUUACACUUCCUCUUCAUUCAUGGCUGAAACCACAAAGCUAUUCAUUCUUGCACUUGGAACCUUUCCCGGCAACCUUAGCUCCAAGGAACUAAAGGUUUAGUUACUCAUUCUCUGGGGAAACUUCCUCAGAGAGUGCAUAACUUAGUAAAUGAAAAAUACAAUCAAAGUGAGAAGGUAAGGCAAAACAAAGGUCCUGAAUUUUACUUGCUUUCCAACUUUUUACAAAAAGGUUUCUCUCUUGGAACAGGCUCCUGAGAGCUAUUUAUAUGAAACUACCAUCAUAGCUAUUACAUGGAUAUUUUUCCUUUUUCCUAACUUAAAAGCUAAGGAAUCUUAUUAUUGGUGGCUUACAAGGAGAAUUUUGGGAUUUAGACAACAAAAAUCUGAUGAAAAAUAUCUCAUUGUGUCGGUCGUAAAUAUCGGGAAGCACUAAGGACCAUUUCGCAAGUGAAAACGAGGUCUGCGAGAUUUCUCAGAUGCACAAAAAGAGCUACGAAAUCACUUCGCAGCAAACGGUUGAUUUCGCACCGCUGCGAAGUGAUCUUUCAGCUUGCGGCAUUCGGCUUCCAACGUGUCGGGAAACUUCAGGGGGAAUUCCUCAGCACUGUGCAAAAAGGCUGCGAAAUCAUUUCGCAACAAAAGGGUGAUUUCGCAACGCUGUGCAAAAUUCUUCCUUCAGCUUGGAGUGAUCGGCUUGCAAUGGCUGUAACUCCUUCAUUUCAACUCCAAAUUGCAAACCUCUUGAAGCAUUGGAUUGUUGACUUCCUGAGCUUCGAGACGACAUAUAGCAUGCAUCAAUUGGACUUCAGAAAGUGCUCCAAAAGUGGCUGACAUGACUGUCAUCAAGAAUAUGCUUCAUGGCAGAUUUCUCUUUGCUUCCUCUCCUUGCAUUCCGGAUUUGCUUAUGGAAAAGGUCUUCAAAGCUUUGGUUCUUCAUGUUUCUGAGCUUUCCAUUGCUUUGCCAAGGAUUCCAAAUAACUCUCCUCAAUCUCGGAUUGCUUUGGUGAUUAAAAAGCUAUCAAAACACCAAAACUUAACACAAUUUGAUUAGAAGUGAUUGCAAGGGUCCUUAACAUGUUAAUUGGGUUAAAAGGCAAUAACUACUACUCAAAAGUGUUUAAAAGAGUUAAUUACAAGCUAUGAAAUAGCACUUUUUGAGUAGUAAUCAGGUAGCCAUCAAAUUAUAAGCAUCCCGAAUCCGAAAAAUAUCAAGACCCCCUCCUUUCCAUAACACUGAGUCCUCUUCCAUAUCAAGCCUUUUUACAACUAACUUGGGCAUUCGAAAAAGGGAUAAUUGGUAGAUGGGUAUACUGGCCAAUGUACUUUUAAUGAGGGUAAUUCUCACACCCUUAGACAUGUAUUGCAUUUUCCAAAUAGCUAAUCUUCUUCUUAUUCUUUCCUCCACCCCAUCCCAUAUAGACAAGGCCUUGUGAUGGGCUCCAAGGGGCAGCCCCAAAUACUUAGUAGGAAAAGCCCCCACUCUGCACCCUAACUUCUCAGCCAUAUCCUCAAUAUCUUCAACCUCCUCAACAGAAAUUAAUUCACUCUUAGCUAGAUUAAUCCUAAGACCAGAAGCUGCCUCAAACCACCCCAAAAUCCAGCCAAGAUGAGUUAGAUGCUCCUUCCUUGCUUCAUAGAAGAUGAUUGUGUCAUCAACAAAGAGCAAGUGGGACACAUUCAUCUCCAUCCCCCAUUUUCCUCGAAGUUUGCAACCAGAAAUGAAGCCUCCAUCAAUAGCCUUUCUUAUAAGUGCACUCAGCACUUCCAUACCCAAAACAAAAAGGUAAGGAGAAAUGGGAUCUACUUGACAUAGCCCCUUGGAACUGGAAAAGAAGCCUACUGGCACCCUGUUGACAAUAAUAGAAAAUUUUGCAGUUGAGAUGCACCACCAAAUCCACUCCAUCCAACGAGACCCAAAGCCCAUCUUGUGCAAAACCUUCAUGAGAAAGUUCCAAUUAAUACUAUCAUAAGCUUUUUCAAUAUCCAAUUUGCAAACCAGUCCUUUCUCUUUAUGUUUCUGCCAAUAAUCAACCACCUCAUCAGUUAUGAGAGAGACGUCUAGAAUCUGUCUUCCCCUCAUAAACACAUUUUGAUCCACCGAGACCAUCUUACCUAACACUUUCUUCAACCUAUGGGCUAGCACUUUGGCCAGAAGCUUGUAUAGCCCCCCUAAAAGGCUGAUAGACCGAAAAUCCCCGAGGUCCACAGCCCCACCUUUUUUUAGGAUGAGGACCAAGAAGAUAGUAUUUAGACUUUUGGCAAAAUAUUUUUGGUCAUAAAAUUCCUUAAACAGCUCUACAACCUCCUCCUUCACAAAAUCCCAACAAGAUUGCCAAAAGGCCACAGUAAACCCAUUCGGCCAUUCAUUUCCAACAGAGUUAAGUGAAUUUCUUCCUCAGUAAAGGGCAUCUCCAGAGCUUCAACUUCACCGUGGUUUAGACGUUGAAGGUGCAACCCCUCAAUGUCAGCUCUCCAUCCUGGCUCUUCUGAGAGCUAUUGUUGAAAAGCAUUCACAAUCCCCUCCCUCACCUCCUGCUCCUCAUCCAACUCCACCCCAUUGAUCUUGAUUUUAUCCAAGGAGUUGUUUCUUCAGUGGGCAUUGGCCAUUCGGUGGAAAAAUCCUAUGUUCUUAUCCCCUUCCUUUAGCCACAGCUCCCUUGACAAUUGUCUCCAAUGGGUUUCUUCUAAAAGCACCCACUUUUUAAAGGUUUCCUUAGCUUCAUUUUUCAACUCCGUUUCUCCUUCUGGCGGGCCCCUUUCACAUUCCACCCCAUCCCAAAAUUCAACUUGCUGGAGAGCUGAGCUUUUAUUAAUUUCCAACCUACCAAACACAUCCUUGUUCCAAACUUUGAUUUUUUUCCUUCAACACCUUUAGCUUAGCAGCCAGUCUAAAGUUGGUCCUCUCUCGCCUCCCCGCUCCCUACCACCAAUCCCGAAUGAGAUCCUUAAAACCAUCAACUUUAAGCCACAUGUUUUCAAACCUGAACGGGGAGGGUCCUCGUCUUAACCCGCCACCCUUCAAUAGAAUGGGAAAAUGAUCUGAAGUGGGCCUGGGAAGCCUACUUUGGACAACCUCCCUAAACAAGUCAAGCUAGUUUUGGGUCACCAGGAAACAAUCCAGUCUAGCCCAGGACUGAUUGUUCCUAUCUCCACUCCAGGAAAACACAACCCCUUGCAAAGGAAGAUCUAGGAGCUCUAGUUCAUCAACCACCUGAGCAAACCUUCUCAUUGCACCAUUUAAACUAUCCUGACUGCUCCUUUCCCUUUGGAAAAGGGUGACAUUAAAGUCGCUCCCUAAACACCAGGGAUCAUCCCAGAUGCCCCUUAUUGGCCUUAGCUCAUCCCACAAAGUCUCCAUUUCAUUCCUAGUGAACGGUCCGUACACUCUUGUGAAGAUCCAAACAAGCCCAUCUUCAACAUUCCUGAGCCUACAGGAAAUAGAAAAUUGUCCCACCUCCAUCUUUAGCAUUUCCAGGGACCUUUUAUCCCAGCAAAUCAAAAUCCCACCCGCAAAGCCUUGAGCACCCAUGGCUCCCCAAUCUAGAAACCUCCCAGAGCCCAAAGUCCUCACCACACCCACUAACAUUGACUGAAUUUUCAUCUCCUAAAUACAGAACAAAUUCACCCUCUGACUUCCAAUCAUAGCCUUGAUCACCUUUCUUUUAGAGCUAUCGUUAGCUCUACACAUGUUCUAGUUCAACAACCUUAACUUCAUUAGACAACCAAAAUCUGGCACCCUCUUCCUUGCAUGGUACCUUUUUAUUUCCUCCCCCCUUCAUAAUUAAUGGAUCAUUCAAGUCUCUUCAAUUCCCUUUCAAAUUUCGAUUUUUCUAGAAGAGUUUCACUAUGAACUCUUUCCCUUCUUUUUUUUAUUUUGACCAGAAACUCCAAAAUGUCCUUCAAUCUCUCUGUCAAAAACCCCAAAAACCUGCUGAACCUCACUAGAUCGCUUUCCUCCCAACUAGUUUCCUCUCAUCCUCUAACUUCGAGUGGCAUAGCACUAGCUAAGCAAAGUUCCUCUCCACUUUCUUCAAUACUACCAUUAUUAACUUUCAUUAGCUCCCAACGAGUAACAGUCUCCAUCAUUGAAGACUCCGUACCAUUAACCAUGCAGCCCGGUCAUUCCCUCUGGAAUUUUUCCAAUCUGGCCCUAGAACAGUCGUAAUACUCCCCCAAUUGAGUCCGACCAGAAAAAGAAGAGGGGGGAGAUGAGAAAUCACAAAGCAACGUUCCACAAGGGUUAGAGGUGUUCUCAUACCUCGAAGCUUCCUCCAUUAGAGCACAGUUAGUCUUCAAACUCUUCUCUAAAAGUUGUUCCUUAGUCGAAGGUCUUCGCAGACCUUCGUGCACCCAAAAGGAAAAGAUGGAAUGGUCUGGAGCCCCCAAAAGUCUUAGGCCAAAAAGAUUGUAAAGACGGGAUGCUCCCAGCUGGGCUCUUCCCUCAGCUAAGGGCAAGGUCAGGCCUCGGCAAACCAGCCCAAGCACCACAAUAGGCUCCUUUUCCUUGGCCCACCUAGAACCCUUAAUAAACGACAACCCAAAAUGAGAUGGCCCAGUCUCGCAGAGAAAGGCCACAAGAGGAGCAGGCCCAGUAAUCACAAUGGGCUCUGCUCAACACGGUGACGAAGACCAACCCGAACCUUGGGACCCAACUGACAGCCCAACAAAGCACCAACCAUGACCCAUGGCCUGUCCCGACCCACUAGUCUGCCCCCUCGUCCCAUCAGCAGGUAGUAGCAAGUCCUCAAGCCUCGAGGCAUCGUCCUCCACCCGCACGCGCUCGAUUGUGCAUGCGAUGGCCUCACCCCCAACCUCGCCUUCUGUACCGAUAAUGUUUCCACUCUUUCUUGCCAUCGUCAUUCUCAGGAUUGGCCUGACCUCCCACCGGAGGGUUACCUCGUAGUAGAAUUCCUCAGCCCAAACCUCCACCACGUUGGGAAGCUUCUCGUCGUUGAGCUUCAUCAGGAUCCUUGCCCACUGCAAAUCCUCCAGCUUCUCCAUUUGGGAAUCGACUGCGAUGAAGCCCCCGCACUCCUCCCCUAUCCUUCUCAUAAUGGCUCGAUCCCAUAAGGAAAUGGGUAAUCCCAUAAUACGCACCCAAGCCUUGCUCUUUUUCACCCCAUCCAUCAGGCAUCCCAUCUCGGGCCUCCAUUUCUCCAAACGAAUGAGAGACCCCCCAACCGAAAUACCCCCGAUUUUUAAGGUUUUCUCUGCUUCUACCAAAAACUCAAAUUCAAGUAAAACUUUGCCCCUUUCCAAUUUCGCUAGCCCUAGAUUACCCUUCAGUCUCCAAAUAUUCUCCAAAUGGGUCCUUCUACUUCUUAGGUCAUCCCCUCUCACAGAGCUAGGAUUCCAAAUCCCAACUAAACAGUGAGCCAGCUUGUUUAAGUUUCGGCUCAGCUCCUUCUUUCUUAUCUCCACCCUAAUCAUUGUUUUUUCUUUUCCUCUUGGCUAUUUAGCCACUUCCGCGUAGGUUUUCCCCAUGCUAGAUUUCGACAACAACGCUUCUUUUUUUUGGCAUCCCUCUUCUCCGUUAGUAAAACCCAAUCGCCAUAGCGUCUCCACCAUUGAAACCCAGCCACCCUUAGCUCUUCUUCCUUUUGGAAUAAAGAUGCAAAACCUUUUGUUUUCCAGGUCCGCAACCUCUAAUCGAAGAAAAUACCCCCCUUAUUUUGAUCCCGCACCAGAGAAUAGGCUCUCCCACUUUCCUUCCACUUUCUUUCCCUUUUACCAGUUCCCGCGUCCUUAAUACAAAGAACUAGACCAUCGAAAAAAAACCCAAUGAUCUUCGGUCCCAACCUAAUCCACGAGAAGAUCCCUCAUUUCAGUUCCACAAUUGUAGCUUGCACUUUACCUUUCUGCUCCUCCACCUCGACCUCGAACGACUUCAACUCCACUCCAAAACUACCCUUUCUAAAGCUUUUCCUAGUCCCCACGAAGACAACACCCUCUGCACCCUCGCUCGCUCCACCAUCUACACUUUCUCUCGCUCGCCGCACGCCUCACUCUCCAUCGGAGCUCUCGCUCGUUCUCUCUCUAGCCCUCUCUCCUCCAUUUCUCAUCUGUCUACUAUAUUAUUGAACCUUACAUCAAUGAGGUUGCUUAAAUAUGUUGAUUUUGCUAGGUUUCUCAAUUUGAAAAAUAUAUUAUUCUCUGUUCAUUUAUUGUUUUCCAGAUUCAUCUCUGAGAAUAUAUCUAAAAUCUAGAGUUGAGUAUUUGUGCUUUUAGGUUUUAUUUUCCUUUCAUUUUUGUUGGUAAUUGUAUUUCAUUAUUCUUAAAUUUCUCACCAGCUAUUUCUUUAUAUGGUUUAUUGUCCCUCACUUUCUUCAUCCAUCUAAAGUGUUCAGAUUCAAUUAGCUUGUUUCGUAAUCUAGGUCUUAUUUAGGAGUUUCUUCUCAACUGCCUUUUUUAGUGCUUCUAAAAGACAUGCCUGAUUUAUAUACAUUUUUAUUGGUUUUUUUUUUUUACCAUAAAAGGUUCAAGCAUUGGCAUUGUCAUGUGUUAAUUAGUGGCUAUAAACUUCAUCCGUAUCCAAUUGCACACUUGUCCAAACUCUUGAUGAUGAAGGUAUGGUUGCAUUUACUAGUAUGAAAUUGCUAAAAUUUGUCAUCCAAAGUUUCAAUUUCUUUUGAAUCUUGAAGACUUAAUUUGCAUUCUUGUAGGAAUUAGAUGUGGAAUAAUUUUGCAAUGUUUGUUGUCUUAAGACCAGCACUGAUGAACGGGGAAAUAAGUUCUUAUCAACCAAGCAAACAAACUUCCAUUAUCCCAAGGAAGUCUUUCCAAGCUACUGCCUUUUAGGUUUGGAACACUUUUAGAGGUAACAAUCAAUAGGAAUUAGUUAUUCUUUCAAACUUCUUAUUGUACAAAUAUAACCUGCAUGUGCAACCAUUUAUGAUCCCAUAAUUUCAAGAAUUUAUGACACCUUCUAGUGGUUAGUUUUUCUAGGAAUAGAGUGAGACAAUCUAUUCACCCCCAAAAACCAUCGUCAGAGGAACAGUAGAUAACCCGCAAGACCAAAUUUAUGUGUGUGAAUGGAGAUGCAUGUUUUUUACAUCCCAGUCAUGUAGUGUUGUGUCAAAGGGAAUAAUAGCAGGUGAUGAUAAGUGGUAUUUCUAAAAUGUUCGAAGAAUAUUCCAUCUGUCAUGUAAUAUUGCUUUCUCAAAACUGUUUUUGAAGUCUUAUUUUUAAAUAUUAGAGUUGACCUCUUGUACACUAUCAACUGAUGUUGUAACUUAACUAGAAAGAGAAAUUAUAUAAACUUAGCCUUGGUUUGGAUCUUGAAAGAUAGCAAGCAAAGAAAAAUUAGGUUAAUAGUGAGUUGAUUUAUUCUCUUCCCAUGGAUGUAAGCACAUUCUUGAAUCACUUAAAUUAUUUUUUUCUUGUCUAUUAUUCAAUUGUCUCUGAAAAAAAAAGUGGUAUCAGCGUUUUUUCCAACACAACAAAUGAUUCAUGUGACAACUGCCAAUAAAGGAAGCACUUAAGAAGGAGUUUGUAAGGUGUUACAUGGCAGGUUGAACAAAACCAAUAGCUAGAGAGAUAUAUGAAAUAUUUGGGGGCCAUUGAUCCAACAAUAGUAGAGAAUAACAUAAGAAGAGACCCUCUAAUCACCAUUUUUGCUUUCGAUUCUUCUCUACAAAACAUCAUCUCUUUAUACAAAAAGACACCCCAUGGCUGAGCUCGUAUUAUUCUCUGCAUAUCCCAAAACUGCUCUCCAAAUUUUAGGGCAUGGUACUCUUUUGAGUGGUAUUUUUGGUACUAAAUUUAAGUAUUCUCUCAAAUACCUAAAAUGCCCUCUAGAUUUUAGGGCAUGACCCACUCUUUGAGGUGGUAUUUUGGGUACUAAGUUUUGUUAUGAGAGGUUUUGGUGUGGAAAUCGGAGGGCCUCUUGGGAAUAUGAAAUUAGAAAUGUUACACACGUUGCAUGUAUUUUCUUUUGCGUGCAUUACACUUAGAUUGGAGUUUAUGCAGUUACUCACUUUUUGUGUGUCCAACAGUACUGUAUGUCACAUCACCAUAUGAUGGGCCCUUUAGCCUUUUUUUAACCCCCUCCCCCCAAGAAAAAAAAAACCUAAUACUAAAAAUAAAAAAAUAAAAAAAAACCUAAUACUAAAAGGACCUUAGCUUGCAAACUAUGUGGAGGUAGGCCUCCACAUCCAACUUCUUAGAGGGACCAUGAUCACUUAGGCCAAGGAAGUUUGAGGCAAUAAUACGUCUACGAUGCCCUUAGAUGUUUUGGGCACAUGCACGCUACACUAAUGUAUUCAACGAGUCUGUAACCUUGACUAACAAGCUUAGGUAAUCUUUGAAAUUUCAUUAUGAUGGGGAAGGUUCCACAUGAACGACACUUGCACAUGGGUUAGUUAAUCCUAAGAGAUGGGGGAAGCUCGUCAGACAACGCGUGACACUCGAGCUUUGAAAGGUAAUUGAGUUAACAUUCCUAAACCGGGACAUGACGGUCUACAACAAUGUUAGGUAGUCUGAAGAGUCAUGUUAAUUGUUAUCGGUAUUUUUAUUUAUUCAAUAGAAAUUGAGGAUUUAAAAAAUACCACAAAAAUUAGAAAAAAAAAUUAAUUAUAUGAAUAACAUUUCAAAUAUUUAACAAAAUGUAUGAAAGUUGAAUAUCAUACACGAUUAAAUGGCUAGAUCAUCUUCUUUAGUUUUUCCAUGAUCUCAUCCUAUUAAAUGACUCAUCCAAUAUUAAUUUAUUUUAAAGGUAAAAUUAAUUAUAUUAUAAUACUUAAAUACUUUACCAUGCUAUAAUCCUCUAGCUAAUAAAUGAAAUCAAAACUUAAAAAUCAUUUUUAUAUAUAGAUAUAUAUUAUUAAGUUUAGGUAGUGAAGCAAUUAAUGUGGGUAUAAAAUUAAUGCCAAAACUUUUGAUUGUUCCUUCACAUUCUCCACAGCAAAGGAAAUAAGAAAAAUAAAGAAAGAAAUUUAGGGUAGUUUUAUUUUUUGUUCUCAUCUCAUGGUGAAAUUAAUAGAGGAAUGCUUGGGUUGGUGCUCAACAAUCAAGUGACAUCCGAUAUAAUGAUUCUUCCAAUCCUGUAAAUAUUGUCCGCUUUAAUUUUAAUGGAUCAUCAUCACUUUAAAUUGCAUUCACAUUGUUAAGAGCAAUUCAUACGUACAUAAUAUUAAGAACUUUUUCUUAUUCGAUAUGGAAUAUAAAAUUGGGUAUCUUUCUGAUUACUACCAAAAAGUGCUAUUUUGUAGACCUAAUUAUAAUGGUUUUAAGCACCUUUGAGUAGUAAUCAUAUUCAUUUAACCCAAUUAAUUCAUUAAGGUCCUUAGUAAUUGGUUUUAACCAUUUUGUGGCAAGUUUACAUGUUUAUAUCAGCUUAUGAAUCAAUUCAAGCAUGCCAAAUGAUGGAGGAGCUACUUGGACAAGUUAAAUCAAGCUUUUAGCUACACCAAAGCAAGCCAACAAAAGGAGAAAAGCAAAGAAAAGCAAAGAAAAGCAAGGAGGAAAACAGAGGACAGCAGCUGCAGUCUUCGUUGGCACUUUUGGAGCACUUCCCGAAGUCCAUUCUCUACAUGCUAUAUACCAUUUCAAAGCUCAGGAAGUCAAGAAUCCAACGCUUCAAACCGUGCAUGAUUUGGAGCUGAAACGAGGAAGAUAUGGCCUUCGGAAGACAACUGCUCCAGGUGUGCGAGAAUUUCGCACACCCCCCUUUAGCUGUGCGAAUGGUGUGCGAAGUUCGCACACCUUCUUCAGGUGUGCGAAAAUUUCGCACACCCCAUGCGUGGUGCGAAUUUUCCCCUGUUUCUGCCGACUCCACUUUAGAUCUUUUCUUUUAGAUAUUUUUGUAUAAAUUUCCAUUCUUCUCCUUGUAAUCCACCAAUCAUAAGAUUUAUUAGCUAGGAAAGUUGGAAAAACUUCUCUAUUUAUAUCCCCUUGCAUCCGUUGUAACAAAUAAUUGAUAUAUAGAUAUAUAAUACAUAUUACGUUUUACACUCUCUCGUUUUCUCUUUUCUCUUCACUAUUUUAUUUUCUUGGUAGCCAAACAGCCUCUAAGGGCUUUUCCUCAGAGGAUGAUUGGCUAAAACUUUUAGUUUCUCAAAGUAUGGAUGUUAUGUGAUGACUUGGAUGCAAUCCCAUGGAAAUUUCUCACACCCGGAAGGUAAGGUAGUCGUUUUUCAUUAAAGGUUCAUUAAUGCAAAGUUUGGUUUUUAUUUCCUUUGGACAACUUCCAACGGCCAAUACUUGAUAAGCUUUUGGAUUUCUAUCCAUUAGUUAUCUCCUACGAGCUAUUGGAAGGUGAGGUUUUCAAUUCCAAGUUUUGUAUUAAUCCGUUAGAACCAAUUUCAAUGGCCAUUGAAAGGUGAGUUUAUCACCUGGAAUGACUUUGAGUUGCCAAUAUUUGGUAAGCUUUUGGCUUUAGACCAUUAGUUAUCUCUUACGAGCCAUUCAAAGGAAGUCUAAGGUGAAUAACCAUUGAUGAAAUUCACUACCAUCUGUUUUGCCAUUUUAAAGGAUUAAAACGUGAUUUGCUAAAUCCAUACCGGUUCGGGAAGCAAGCAUCACCAUAGUUGCAACCCCAACGCGAGGAGCCUAUCCUGAGAUUUCCAAUUUGCAUAAGAGCCAGAGCAUAGCUAUCCUAUCUUUGAGAAACUUGUUUUUACACCCUUUCAUUUUAGUCUUUAAUGUUAGCUUAGAUUAGUUUAAAUCUUUCUAAAACAUUUACAUCUUCUUUUAAAGCUAACAUCCAUAAGAAAAUCACCUAUUUUCCUAACUUGAAUAUCACUUGUGUUUGCGAAAACCCUUCCCAGUGAACGAUCCUAGAACCACUAUGCUAUAGUAGCUUGGCUACUUUAGUAAUAGUAUUCAAGGUAUAAAUUUUGUUGAUACGCCUUUAAAGCUAAGCUACCAUGAGUCGCAUCACUUUCAAUUUUAGAUGUUGCAUAAGCAUUCCAACUCCUAUAUAGACACAUUGCGUAAAUAUUCUUAUUUAAUAAAAGUUUAUAUGUCAUUAAAUAAAUAUAGAAUUUUAACAUUAAUUGCAGUGCUAAGUGCAAGAGAUCUCAUGUUUAAGUCAUUGAUUAAGAUUUAUUUGAAAACUUAACAUUUGUUACUUAAAUAACUUAAGUUGACUUUAAAUUAUAUUAUAUUUAAAUUAUUUGCUUAAAAUUUAUUGUUUAAUAUUUAUUUUAAGUAUUAAAGUUAUUUGAUAAAGUUAAUUUAAAAAAUAUUUUAAAUCACAAAUUGUCAUAUUUACCUUCAUUAAUUUGAAUUAGUAUUUACAUUCAUUAAUUUUAUUUAAUAUUUAUUUUUAUUAAUCUUAAAUAAUAAAUUUGUUUAUUAAACAUUUAACAGAUUCAUAAAAUAACUACACAAUAUUCACAAUAAUAAAUGAGUCAUGAAUUUGAAGUCAUGAUUUUAAAAUGUACGCUAACAAGAUAUGAACAAAUGAGACAAAAAAAAAUGAGAUUAAAAAUAAGUUAAUUAUUUUGAUUUAACACUUAAAAUUAAAAGUAACUUUAAAUUAUAAUAUUAAGUUAUUUUAGCAAAUAUAUUUAAUCUAUUUAAUGAAUUAAAUUAAGUUAUUAAGUCAAAUGAUUACCAAACACCCUAUUAAGACCCAGAAAAUGGAAUGAGUUUUAAUAGUAUUCAGGAUGGGCAUGACUAGGUGGUGGUUCAAUGCUGAUUAAUCAUAAUUUAAUCUAAGCAAAAUAUGUAACGAAACUCAAACUGCACUAUCCAAAUGGGCGCCAAGAACGUUACAUUUGACAAAUGCCAGUAAACCUCUACAGCUAGAAAUUAAAAGAUCACUCUCUUGUUGUAUCUCUCUUUUUCUCCAAGCCCCGGAAGGAAAAACUCGAACCCCAUUAUUUUGAUCACAGAAAAAGUGGCAAAAAAGUGUGUUGUAGUUCAUCUUGAAGCUCAUUAACUUCAUCUUAAUUUGAUCCAAAUUGCAGAAACAUGGGAAACUCCAUGAAUCUAUGGUGCUAUGGUGGCCUACAUUCAUAUAACUGGGGACACUUUGGUUUAAACUACAAUGACCCCAAACAGGGUUUGUAGAGACUUCAUCGAGAUCACUAGCUUCAAAAGACUGAGGAAGAAAGAUGUUCUCAAUGAAAACUUGGUGUCAAAUUGCAGAUAAAGACCUAAAAAUCCCACUUAAUGUGUUCUAGGAAUUGUUGUUUGAUAGGGAGUAAGAACAGAGUGCACGAGUUUUGGGGUGGGGUGAUACCUAAAGCACUAGAGUAGCACGUGAUCAAGCCUCACUUAGUGAAAAGCUGUUUGGUUUGUACAUGUCUGCUUAGUGAUACUUAGGAUUGGCGAAGUAUACAUCUCCUUUGUGAUCAGGUUUGUAUAUGGGCAGAUGAAUGUUCAUGUGAGGUUCAUAUAUGUUUCUGAUACAUAUCACCCUGGAAGAAUCUAGAUCAAGGGGAUGAGUUUCUAAGCUUGACUAGGUUUGAGAUGUUUGAGAAUUGGUGAGCAUGAUAUAUAUCAUGAUAUUGCAGAAGACAACAGAGCUUCUGAAAUAUGUCAGGUUCAAUAGUAGGAAAUCUUAUCAGCUGUCACUUACUUUAAUCCUAUGAUCUCAAUAUUCAUUUGUUGAAGAAGAAAGAGGUAUCUUGAAAAAAAUUUGCUUUCACACUAUUCAAUUACAAGAGGAUGUUCAAUUAUAGAAGAAAAUAAUAUUCACUAGACUCUUUCAACUUAAUCAACAUGCAGGGAAAACCAGUCGGGUGACCAAUUAUUCACAUAAUAACUUAGGUGGUGUUUGUUUUUUUGGCUUUUUGCUGAAAACCAUUUAGUUUUAGAAUUUAGGUAGUUUGUUUUUUUACUUUUUCAUAACUUAUCAUAAACUUUUUACUAAAUAGAAAAAGCCAAAAUAUGUGGCUUUUUCUAAAUAGAAAAAAUAACACAAUGGUUUUUUUUACUUUUUAAUACUUAAUAGAAAUAAAAUACUACAAAAACAAACAACCUAAUAUUUAAUACUAUUAAGUAUUAAGGUUCUAUUUAGAAUUAAGUAAAAAAACAAACACCACCUUACUGUCUUUCUACCUCUACUUGUUAAUCAUCAGCCAAGCUUAUAGUAAUAUAAGCUUGGGUUCAUCUCUCUAUGCCACUGAUGACAACUCCACAUGGGCUUCCCCUUCUGGUGAUUUUGCAUUUGGAUUCCGACCGUCUCCAAGUGAAAAGGAUCUAUUCCUUCUUGCUCUCUGGACUGCAAAUGGAAGUUAACCGGCGCCAAGAGGAUCAAAAGUCGAGCUUGCUACCAAUGGACAGCUUGUUCUCCAGAGGCUAAGAGAUAUGGAAGACAAAGACUGGUAAUGUGAGCAGCAAAGCAGUGCAUGGUGCCAUGCUUGGAGAUGGAAAUUGUAUACCUGUAUAUGGGAGAGCUUCAAGCACCCAACUAAUACCAUAUUGCCAACUCAGGGAUUGGUGUUGGAGCCUACUGUGCAGUUGCCAUUUUUGAGAACCUGAGGUUUGCAAAUGGAACUGGUGUAUGAGUUUAUGCACAAUGGUUCUUUAUCAAGCUUCCUUUUUGGAGGCGCCCAAGGACUGGUGUACCUACAUAAAGAAUACAGUAAACAGAUCAUCCAUUGCGACAUAAAGCCCUCAGAACGUAACUCUUGGAUGAUUCUUUUACAGCCAAAGUUGCAAACUUGGACUGGGAAAGCUUCUGAUAAGCAACCAGACUAGAACACUCACAGGCAUCAGAGGGACUAUGGGGUAUAUUCAGACAACUCGGGCAGCCUAUGUCUCUUAUAAUAACACGUUAUGAAGCAUCAGCUCAAUGCCGGGGUUCAAUCUGCAAAGCAAGGGAUUCAUCAAUGUUUCCUUCAAACUAAAUGAUAAGGAACAGAAAUGGAUCAUUCUGCAUUUUCAGUGGUGUUUGUUAUAGCAUUUAUACAAGAACUCUAGGGGUUUCUAUGUAUAACUUCAUUCCCAUUUUGUAUAAUCCAAAUCUCUUCAAUCGAUUAAAUGUAUAAAUGAAUCCUAUUCAUUGUUUGGAGUAACAACAAAAUUCUGGAAGACUGGGAAAGUUUCAACACUGGAGAGAAGACAAAAUGACCAGACCAUAAAUUCUGGAAGAGGGCUUUGCUUUCUAACCAUUACCAUAAUUUUAGAGCUCAACCCGGAUGAGUAAAUUAUAUUUCAGAAUGUUCAGGAGAUAAUUCUAAAGUGAUGAACCUUCUACUCACAGUUUUUUGUUCUUCUUGAACAGAGCAAUGAACAUCAAUAGUUCAGCACCCAGGAAUCUCCCCUUCCUCCAAUUCCCCCACUGGGAAAAGUCACCUUUCCAGUUAAGAAAAUCAUCAGGAUUAAUUUGAGCAAAACAUCAGAGUAUACAUCAAGAAAGCCUUGAUCAAAAUCAAAAUACAUCAAGAGCUGCCAUUUUCUUCUAUUUCCUCUUCCCUGAAUGGAAUGCCUUUUGGACUGAGGUGAUCAAUGGUAACAGUCUAACACACUCCUUAAGCUCUGAUUGAGGUCAACGGGGAUUGGCACAUUUAAUGACUUUGAAAUCAUAGCUGUGUGAAGGGAGGCAAACAUGAAUCUCAGGAUAAUCAACAAGUCAACAACUAUCAAUCAGUAAGGAAAAGGAAAUACCUUUGGAUAUUUACAAAUCAAAAAAUUGAGAGUCCAGCUUCUCUGUACAGAAAGGCUUGAGCUUAUUCCAUGGCCAGUCUGAAUUACGGAUGAGAGGGUUGAGUUUUCUUUCAUUCUGCAAUAAGAUUAAAAACAUCAAUGAAACGCUAAAAGUUUAUAUAUAGAAGCCCUUUAAAGAUGAGAAUUGGUCAGAGAGCUCACCCAUGGUCUAGUAAAACAACAUCUGUUAGAUAAGUAACCACCAUUCUAUUGUCCAGCUAAUGCAUUUAGAUCUAAGAUAAGCUAUGGAAAAAUAGUCAAAAAUAGCUAAAGACAGUCCAAAAACUCAUUUGACUAAUAAUUUUCUAAAAACAGUAACAUAAAACCUGGAUGAAGAAUCCACCCCUCUACCUCACACCACUGCAAUGCCAAAUAAAAUGUUACAAUGACCAUAUAUGGUCUUAAGAGACAAUGGGUGUUGUUUGGGCUCAAGACCUAAGACAAGCCAAAAAACAAGAAGAAAACAACAUCAAAAAUAGAUGGCAAAAUAGAAGGAUAAGGUCACAGACAGGACAAUAUUAAAAGAAAUUAUUAUUUUUCCGACCUGAAAAUCAAGGCAUUCAGAAGAGUACAAGUUUGUAAGUAGUCCAUGGAAACCAGGGAACAUAUGCAGAUGUUGUACUCUAUUGCAUAAGGCAAACACUCAAUACUUACAAGCAUAAUCAUGCCCAGAAAGCCGUGAAUCCCUUUUUGUUUUGCUUUUUUACCUAUUCCCAUCUCUUAUGGCCAGAAGUUCCUUCUGUGGCUGGUUUGUUGUGAUGGCCAUUUCGGGUCCUAACAGACUUGCUAUUGUUGUCUGGGCACCUGCCUCAGAGAAAGCCUGCCAAAGAUCGGAGUCUGGGCCAGGGGAAACGGAUUUUCUUUGCUGGAGUUCCCAGUCUGUUGCUUCAAUCUUUUCUCUGUGCUGUUAUGAGAAGAAAACCUAUCAGACACAUGAAUGGGUACAAAAAGGUAAACUUCAGGUUUUGGUUGUAUUGAAAAGCACAGGAAACUUCACAAGAGGCAAAUUAUACCCCAGACUUAUUGAAGAAAAAUAAAGUACAAUUGACUUACCCAAAUGUCUACUUUCUCAUUUAUAGGUUUCCUCCUAAACAAAUCCCCACAUCUAGGACAGGAAAAGGAAGAAACUGGGAGUCGACAUUUUUUCAACCAAAAGCACUAACUUAUCAAAAAACAUAGUUUUCCAUUCAAUGCCCAUUUCUUCAGGCUUCUUAAAGUGCUUAUGAUUGGUGGAGGUUCUUCCAAAAUCACACAACUUCCAUAAUCCAUUAGGGCCCAAUAGAAGAUUCUCAGCAUUUAUAUAAGAACUUCAGGGUUUAUACAUAUGAUCAUGUUACAGUAUAAAUCAUAGUGAACUGGUGGAAUUUGAUCAUUAGCCAACCUCAUCAAAAACUGUUUCACAGUUGAGGGGAUUGUUAACCUUGCCAUGGGCCAAGCAGCAAUUUCUGAAGAAGCUGGGUGACAAAGAGUACCAUCAUUUGGACUAGUUUCAAUGGAAAUUCCUCUGUUUCUAUACAUGAUAUCUUCAGCUUCAGCUUUUCCUUUUGCUUUGACAUGGCUGAAACUGAUCCUGAAAUCAAAAAUCCCAUGCAAGUAGAUAUUUAACAGAAGAGGAUCCGAAUCUCUUCAAUUGAUUAAUGUAUAAAUGAAAUAAUCAAAAUUUUUAGAGAUAAUUAUAGGGAGAUGAACCUUGUACCUCUGAGUUUCUUAGUCUUCUUGAACAGAGCAAUGAGCAUCAAGUGUUGAGCACCCAGGAAUCUCCCUUCCUCACAGGGAAAAUCUGAACAAUCUAUCUUUCUUCAUAUUCCACUUCCUUGCAAAAGUCAUAACAUGAAGAAAAUGUCAUCAAAAUUGAGACAAAAAUAAGUGCAUCAACUGUCUCAAGAAGAGAUUUAUGCCUAUUGCUUACCUUUUGCAGAAGUCCACUUGGUUAGAGCACAUUUUACAUGGACGCCCAAUCACUGCAAGCUGCUGAACCAAAGGAGAGUUCAAACAUCUAAAAAAUUUGACUAACUCAAGUAUCAUAAAAUACUUCACAUGAAUUCCAAAUGAUCUCAUAUCUAAAAAACAUUGACAUAAAAUUAUUGUUGUUUACCUUACAUGUUUCUUCCAUGGUCAUAAUCGAAACUUUGUUUAUCAUAAGAAAUCUUCUAUGCUCAUCCUGAUUACUUACAAUGAACAUUGAAAUGAAAAGACAAAAAACACAAAAAAUGACGAUUAGUUUGGUUUGAUAAUUUUUUAAAAUUAGAAAUUAUAAAACUAUUUUGGUUCUCAGAUUUAUCGGAAAAUUGAGGGAAAAACAAAAAUCUAAGAGAAAUUUAUUUAACACUUAUGAGGAACCAAAAAUGUUUUAGAUGUUGUCCAAUCGAUAAUUUAAACGUGUUUAAUUUCAAUUAAAUGAGUUUAAUCAAACACAUGAAAUUGUGAAUAAAAUUAUUUAAAAGCAUUGAAAUUCAAGUCAAUAAAGUUGUACAUAAAAUUUGAUAUAUUGAAGCAAGAAAAAAACAAAGCAAUUUGAAUGACUUGCUAAUAAAGCAACUAACUAGAAUAUGCCCUACAGUUGUUCUGUGCCCUGUAUAUAAGAAAUUUAAAAAAAACAUUCCUAGAAAAAAAACAAACAAAAUAUCCAUGGUUCUUACGUUAUUUUUUUCUUAAUUUUUCAAUAGUUAUAAAUGGUUCAUUUAAUUCUUGCAAACCACCAAAUCAAAACAGAGCAUGAAAAUGUGUUCAAUAUUUGUUUCAGGCUUGAAGCUUCAAGAAAAAGAAAACCUUAAAUCAAAUAAACAGGACUAGCGAAUGAAUUGGAACUUGAAAGAAAAGUUCAAGCGCAAAAGAAUUACUUGACUCUAUAUUGGCGGAGUGGCACUUUGAUUAAUAUAGCACAUUAUUGAUCAAUAUUCUUGGAAUGUGAGCUAUAUAACGCCAUUCUUCCCCUUUCUCAAAUCCACCGUUUUUCCCCUUUCUCAAAUCGAUGAAAAGGUAGCAUAUAUUUUUCAUUUCCUAAUUAUAUCAACUACUUCAUGGUGCCUUUGUCUGAUAAGCUUAAUAGUUCUUCUACAUUUCCACCAUCUAAUUCUCUAACGUUCAUCAUGAUAGGGUUGUAAAUUUCAUCAUCAAAUCAAAACAUAUCCUCCUAUAAGAGGCCUUUGAAUUAUGAAAUAAUCAAUUCACUUGAUUCUCAUAUUGGCAAAGACAAGCUUACACUAUUGGAAAGACUACCCCUCACCUUUGCCUUCCCAAAUAGCAAAGAUGAGAGAGAACCUUUCACAAAAUCACAAGAAUUAUUCAAGUUUGGAAUUCAUAGGCAUUGUUAUUGAAUUUCAGUUGUAUAAAAUUGGUGUGUUGUGUUUAUUUUGUUGGUAUUAAAAUUGAAUUUUUUUAAUUGCAAAUUGAUGAUUUUUUCUCUCUCUCACAUUUAUACCCAUUAGAGUUUCUUAUUAGGGUUUGUGUUUGAAAUUUGGAGAAAGUAUGGUGCAAUUGUUCACCGGUGUGGUGUACCAUCUUGUUUGUUGUAUUUGAUCUUUGGGUAUUUGAUUUAAUUUUGUUGUUGUGAAAUUGAAAGUUGAAAUCCAAGUUAAUUGUUUAACUAGCUAUUUGUAGUUGACUUGUUUGCACCGAUCUUGAUUAUCCAUUUCAUGGGAAUAAUUGAUUCCAAUUUUCCUUCAUGGUUACUGAAAAUAUAUUGUGGGUGAAGGACUAUUAUGGAGUAUAUUUAAUUUACAAGAUUGAAUAUUGAACAAAGAUAUGCCCUAGGUCUAGCUUAUAUGGAAUAGCAUAUCUUACAUUUAUUUAAUUAAAUAUACUAUACAAAUUUUGGUUAUAUAUAAUAUCUAUGUUACAAAUUUGGAUAAUUCGAAGUCUAAGUGACUUCAUAUAAUUAUUGUUACAUCUUAAAAAUGAUUUCACAAAUUAGAAUUACAAUGACUCCUACACACCUUAGAUUCUAACUCAAAUUCUCACUUGAUUUUAUUUUAUUUUUAUUUUUAUUUUUUUGUUUUCAAUCAAUUAAUAAUAUGUUAUGGGCUAGUUUAGCUUAUAGUUGAGAAGAAUUUUAUCUAAGAGCACCUCAAUUUGAAGCAAAUUGAAGAAAAAAAAUGACUUAUUAUACCUUAUGAAAGAUAAUAUUAUUAAUUUCCAUGUUUUUUUUUCAAAUAACCUUUUCAUGACAUGAACUUAUAUGGAACAUUGUUGUAUUAAUUGAUUAGGAAAUCACUAAGCCUAAGGAAGUGAGAAAAUUUAAAAGGGAAGGAAUGUCACCAUUGCAUUUUAGCACAAAGAAAGAUGAUCUCUAGCUAUGACGAAAAUUCAAGAAAUGAACAACUUCCAUUAAAGAUGAAGGCACAAUUGGGUGACAUUUAAAAAAAAAUAACAAAGGAAGUUAUUGUUUUAGCUAGGGAUAUGUUUUUUUUUUUUUCAGACUUCUUGUGUUACUCAUAUAUACAAUAUGCAAUGUGAUUUCUCUUUUAUAUUAUAAAUUUAUUACUCUUAGCACUUCAUUUAUGGGAUAGAUAAAUAAAAAUUACUUUAAUUUUAUUUAAUUAUUGGAUAGUUGUUGGAUGGAUAAAUGAUUGUUAUUUUCUUUAUAUUUGAGUUAUUUCAAUAUCAAAUGCCAAUUAAAAUAAAAGAGCAAUAGGUGAAGCUAAUUUUAGAUUGUCACAAUCCUUGGCACUUCCACUAAGUGUCAAGGUUUAGAGCAAUCAACAAUGGAAAAGGUGAACAAUGAUACUUCCAAAAGACGUCAAGGUUAUUUCAUCUUGAACAAUAACAGUUUUUGUAAGUGUCAUUAUUUACAAAAUCAACAAUAACAUUGGCAAAUUGGUACACCUCAAUGCUUCUAAAAAACAUCAUUAUUUGUUCCAUAUUUACAAUGACGCUAUUAAAAGUGUCAACAUCGCUAAACACUCUUUACAAUGACACUCGAUUUCAUGGCGCUUUUAAGAAGUGUAAUGUUUGUAGAAACUUAUUAUUGAUCACCGACUUUUUGCAACCAUACAACACUACAUAACCUUAAUACCUAUUGUUCAUUAUGAUGUUGUAAGAACAUAUGCCUCUAUGUGACCUAUUAAAUAAACUGGUCUUAUCAACUGAAAAAUGUUCCUCUAGUUAGUAAAAACUUCAUUCAUGUGGUCAUUUAUGAGCAUCAUAAUAAUCCAUAUUAAAAAUAUUUAAAAACAUUAAUGCACUAAAACAUUGAUUUCAUCAACAAAAUUACACUCAUUCUUUUGACUUAUAGCAUUCAAAGAUGUUUAAAAAUAUAUAUGUACAAUAAAACAUCAUCAAAUUUAUUAACAAUUAAACUUUUAACCCCAAAACAAUCCGCUACUUUAGUAGAUAAGACACUAUUUGGAAUAACAUUAUUUUUAGCUCAAGUUAGAAGUUAAAAUGAUAAGGUUAAAAGAAUAAAACCAACAAAAAAAGAAGAAGUUAUUUUUUGUCAAACUUGACACUAGUUCAAGUUAGAUAAUGUAGCUCAACGCCCUAUUGAAUUGAGUCAUAUAACUAGACUCCCUAAUUAUAUAUUAUGAUACACACACAACCUUUGGUCUAGUAUACAUGAUUAAAUUAAAUGCCCAACCUAGUUUGCAAAGCUAAACUAGAAUCCCAAAUCUAGUUCAUUAUAAAUGCUCUUCAACCAACUUGCUAUAGCAUUCAAAUAAGACAAUGACAAUGAUAAAAAACCAAAAAAAAUACCUAAUAUAUCAUUGAAAACUCCUUCCUAAAGGAGGUAAAAAAAAAAUCAUGAAGUAACUUUCUUCUAUUAAUAAAAAAAUGGGAAUACAGUGAUCUAUAUAGUGUUUUAACUCGAAACUUAUGGUAUUACAAAUAUUAAAGAAGCGAUUUAAAACACACACACACACAACAAGCAUGUUGUCAAGCUUAUAAAAGUUGGAGAAAUCUCUACAUAUAAGUCUUCAAAACAUGAUGGAGAGUAACCUUGACAUUUAAGUCAACAAUAUACAAGGAAAGGCAACCCAAAAAGAUACAACUUUGAGAACAAACCCUUCUUUUUGCUUUUUUACAUAACCCCUUUUUUUUUUUUCUUUUUGAAAACUUCUCUCAUUUCCUCUAAUUGUUACACUACACAACAAUCCUAAAAAAACAGAGUUUAAAGGUCUGUUUGAUAAUUGUUUUUAAAAAUAAUUUUGAAAAAUAGUUUUUGAAAAUUAUUCUUUAAUGUUUAAUUUGUAGAACAAAAGUUUGUUUGGAAACCCUAAAUAUUUUUAACAUGUUUUUAAUGUUGUUAAAUAUGUUUUAAAUUUUUUUUUUUUAAUGUCUAGUAUUUUAUUUUUAAUCAUUCUACAUGUUUAUAUAAUUAUUUUUUAAGACAACCCUUAAAAAAUAAGUAAAAAUAACAUAAAACAGUUAAAAGAUGUUAUCUAAAAACACCUUAUUUUAUUAUAGCAGAAAAUAAAAAAUGGUUUUUGGUUGUCAAACAUGUUUUCUUAGUUUUUUUAUUCUGAAGAAUAAAAAAUUGUUCUUGAAAACAGUUGUCAAACAAGAAUCUUUUCAUGUUAGUCUAAGUAUCACAUUAGUUAUUGCUUAAAAACUAGUCUUUCAACUAAAAAAGAAGGUCCACUACUUAUGGGUCAAACCUUCAACUUUCAAACCUCAACACAGUUAUAGUCAAGACUAAUAUUCACAUAUUAGUAUUAAUAUAGUUCAUUAAAUAUGAAAUUUCUAUAGAAGCCAAAAUCAAGUUUUUAGGGGAAGUAACAUUCACUUUCAUAAUAAGCACUUUUUAACUCAUAAGUUAGUACUUGCAACAAGAUUUCUUAAUAGAGACUUUAAUUGAGUUUUAAGAAGAAUUUUUUGUUUGUCAAAAACCAAUUCAAACAAAAUCUAAAACUAAUAUUAUUAUCUAAAAGACAUAAUGAACAACAUAAACCAUAAACUAAAGUGGUAGUGACAACCAAUACGUAGCGUUAAUGAAUAAUUGAAAAUAGCCUCAUUUUCUAAUGACCUCAAACCUAGAAGCUCUAAAAUCCUUGCCUAAUUCUUUGUGAUGACUUUAGUUCAACCUUAUUGGCGAGGGCAAAAUUCUAAAUAAUUUUUGUCACAACUCAUAAAUUUAGAAGAAAAAAUGAAAAUAAAUGGAAUCCCUAAUGAGAAAUUGUUAUUUUUCCCCUUUAUGACAAAAAUAGUAACCAACUAGUAUUAUUAAAUAACAUGGAAAUUGUUUUUUCAACUUUAAUACCAUGUAUGACAUAACUUUAAUAACCUUAAUUUAUAAGAUUAUUUAAUUUAAAAGGAUAAAACAAUUACAUAUUCAUAAGAAUCACUUCUAUUUUUUAAAAACAAUAAAUUCCAUUUUUUGGACAAAAAUACGCUCCAUUGUUUUUAUCAACAUUUCAUAAUCAAACAAUUAUUGGAAAAAAAAAAAAAAAGGUAUAAGGGUAGCUAUAUUAAAAUGAGGUUAUAAUUAUAAUACUCAAUAAGUGGAGAUUGUUUUUCCUAAUAUUGGGAUCAUCUUGUCCAUUUGACAUAAAAAAAUUUAAUUUAUAUUAUAAUUACUCUUAUAGUAAGAGAGAGAGUAAUUUCACAUGAAAUGGACCCAUAAACAUAGGUUUAUUAUGAGGCAUGAUACUAUAAUAAUAAUAGGAAAUAAGACGAGUGCUACCAUAAUAAUAGAAAAUAAGAUAAGUAAUUCAAUACUUAAUAAAGGUCUAAAACAAUUAUGCUCUCAUUAAAUGAUAUUAAUGAUGGAAAAAAACUAAGGGGUGUUUAACAAAAUUUAAUAUUUAUUACUUCAUGAUUUAAGUUGACUAUAAGUUAAAUUAUAAUUAAGUUGUUAAUUUAAAACUUAUUAAUUUUUAUUUUAAAUAUUAAGACUACUUAAUAAAAUUAAUUUAUAAUUUAUUAAGACUGUUUGAUAAAAUUAAAUUAAAAUUUAUUCUAAAUUAUCAAAUUGAUAUAUUUAUUUUCAUAAAUUAGAACUAAGGCAAAGGAGAUCAAGUAACAAUGAAUGUCGUGGAGUAGUAAAAAAGAUCCUAGAGGUAACGGGAUAAAUUAUGGUAAAAAAUGUCAAAUAAAAAUAUGAAUUUAAGAAUAAAUUAAUUGUUUGUACUUAUUACUUAAAGUUGUUUUUUAUUUUAUAUCAUUAAGUUAUUUUAUUAAACAUGUUUAAUUUAUUUAAUGACUUAAAUUAAGUUAUUAAGUCACUUUAGGCUAUAUAAUCGGUUUACCAAUCAUAUGGAGUACAUUUGGCUAGUAGGCCUGGAGUCAAGAAUAUUGCUAUCAUAUGUUUUAUGUAUUAAGGUGCCAAGAAUAAUUGACCACAAAAUAUAUGAUUGAUAAGUAUAGGAUACAAUCUAAAAAAUGCACUUGAUUUCAUCAUCUAAAUAAAUGCUCUCGGCAAAUGGAUCAUCCUAGCUGAAACCAGAGCACAAGCCGCCAUGGACAGGAGGCAACGGAGAAACCCUUCUGCUUCUUCUUCUGCCUUUUCAUCUCCAGCUUCAUCCUCAUCGCGUUUCCGCUCAGAGAAAUUCUCCUCGAAUCCCCCAAAAACUAGUAACUCCCUGGAGGAUGCUCACCAAUUGAAAAGCAAAUGUGGGAAGCCACAAAGACCAGAGCAAGAGGAGGAAGAAAAGCAAGAUCCGAGCAAUCUUCUCUCCUUAGUUGGAACUUGCCCCUUCAUGUGCCCUGGUAAAAAUGCGUGCUUAUUUUUCCAUUUUUUUAAAUUCUAUUUUCCUGUUAUUCUGUGUUUGGUUUCCGAGAAAUUGGAGGAAAACAGUAGAAAAGAGAAGUGAAUCUGGAGUUUGUGUCAUUUUUGUGGCUUUUACAUAAAUUUUACAAAUAAAAUUGAUAUUUCCCCCCCUUUAUUAGAUACCAAUCUGCAGAAGAUGUAGGAAUCCCAAAAAAAAAUUCGCUUUUGCCUUUACUUCCCCCAAAUCUUUCAUAAUGGAAAAUGGACUUACCACCUCUUUUAUCACUUUUCCUUUACCAUGUCAGGUUUACAUGUAAUCAAACACUGUAUUUGGAGUAGAGCACUUAUCCUAAUGUCAAAUGGUGUUGAAAACUUGAAUUACUGGAUCUUAAGACUCCAGAAGAAAUUUAAUUGUUUAUGAUUAUUGCUCCAUGAGAAGGGAAAGGGAUUUCUUUUGUUUUUGCUUACAUAUAUGGCCAAAUUGAUCUAUCUCCUUCUCAUACGAACAAAAUAAGGACAUUUCUUGUCUUGCUGCCUUUUAUGCCACCGGUUCCACAUGCUGAUGUGACAACCCUUGUGCUAUUCUGUACAAAUGGUAGGAAAAUUCUGGUAAGACUGGUGGCCAGCCUAUCAUGUUCAGAGAAUAAAUUCAUUGUAUAUCUGGAAUUCACUCUAUAUCAGCAUAGGGUGUUGAUAUUGAUUAUAAAUGACUAAAUUCAAUUUAUUAUCCUUACAUUAGGGAGUGCUAAAAGGAUGCAAAUUGUUCGUGUUAUACCCAAAGACAUACAAGUGAUGCUAGAGAUUUUCACAAUGUAGAUAAUCAUAGAGUAGAGAUGAACACUAUGGAGUCCUUUGGCAUGUGUUCAUUCCAUGUAUGGGAACAUGCAUUGGAAGAUUAUGUUUCCUCCUCCCUCCCCUCCCCUCCCCAAAGUUAAUACUAUGUUGUCAUGGCAAGAACUUUGGUGACAUGCUUCUGAGUGGAAUAGCCUCCUAGAAGUCCAUUUAUGUGGCAAUUGGCAAAUUCUUCCAGUCAAUGAGAACUUUGUGACUGUCUGAUUGUUGUACUAAUCAUCAUCAGAUUUUUUUUAAGUUCAAGUUGCAAAUAGCCUUUCACAGUUGAAGGUAGCAAUGAAGAGGCCUGUUGACAUAAUUAUUUCUUCUGCUUGAAUGGAUUAAAAUCAGAUACCACACCUUCAGCCUAGAAAACUAUGGACUUUCCUAUGUACCUGCAAUUGGCUGAAUACUGGUGUGACACUGAGCAAAGGCUCUCUGAUGCUGUUAUUAAUUUCCCGAGCAAAUAAGAGAAAACAGAGAGGUCAUAAUGUGAAUCAGUUACCUGUUGAGUAGGGAUGAAGGCUUUUUAUAUUUUUUUACUUUCUGGUUAGGCCUUGGAAGCACUUCUGUGAACCAUGAUUUUGUACUGUAAAAUUAGAUGGGAUGGAUAGGUCACCUUAACUCUACUUUUGGAAGUGAUUCGGGAGUGCAUGACCGUAUGAAUAUUGAUGUAUUCUCCCCAUACAGAGCCCAACUUCUUUUUGAACUAGGAAGCAUGAAGGGUGGGUGGAUGUGGGCUGAGGAAGGAAGAUUUGAAUUGUGUGCUGCAGGCCUGCAGUACCAAUUUGUUCCAGAACUUGAUAAGGCCCAUAAACUGGUAGGCAAGUUUCAUUAUUUGGUCACCACUGAAUUUCGGCAGUAUGGCCACAAGGAAGGUAGGAAGGAGAGGGAGAAGAGAAAACCCCAAUUGCCAAUUGCAAUCUUCCAGUUGGCACAGUGCUCAUUUGCUGACAUUUCCAUUUGAUUUUGACCUUGCAACAGAUACAGCUUAACGUGAUGGACCAGUUUUUCGCAAUCUUGUGAUUCAUUACCCAACUUCUAGUAACAGUUUCUCAGCAGAUGACUCACCCAUGACAGGCUGAUGAUGUCUGCACACAACUUGAAAGGUAUAUAUGCCAAGGUGUGAAAGGUAAUAUUGUGACACCGUUUUUCCUAUUCCAGAAAAUGUACCAAAUGUAUGGCUGGUUCUUGACCAAAAAAUGCUGGCAUUGGUCACCAAGUGCUAGAGUGAUUCUUGACAAAAAAUGUUUGUAUUGUUCAGAACAAUGAUUUACAACUUCAGAUUGGCCAUCCAGUUAACGAUGAUAAGCACUUGUUUUACAAAGUUCAGUGUCAUAAAAGCAAAAUAAUUUUGUCAACAAAUAUGGGGAUAACUUUAUCAUAAUUACUACUUAUGGAAGUUAAGGAUAAGUUGGGUAAUGUGAGAAAGCUUUGGUCAGAGGAUAUGAGGAUAACUUUGUUGCAAUUGCUAAGCUGCACGUCCUAGGACUACUAGGAGAAAAGUAUGAGCAACAGAAUGAAUUUACAGUCCAUCCCCACUAGCUGCAUGGAGAGGUUGGCCUUAUUGCUGCUAUGGUGGAGGUCACCUUCUUGUAGACUUUGAAAUGUGCAAAUGAAGAGGCAGAUUUCUUAGAAGAAUGGGUAGGAUUCAGCUUGUGGUAGAUAUUGAGCUUAUCGCCUCUAAUUUCAUGUCUUCUCAAUGUGGAUUUGAGGUUUAACGAGAUUUUUGGGAAAUCAUUAAGAUUAAAAGUAAUCGAAGACUUCCACAUUAAUGAGGUAAUGAAUAACCACUGAUACUUCUUCACCCCAAAGUUCCUUCACAAAAAUUUGGUGAGUGAAGAACUAUUACUGAGUUGUGAAGCACCAAUUCCAGCUUCAUUAUCUUGAUCUUCAGAAAGAGGGGUCCAACUUGAUUUGGGAUUUUAUACCUGUCAACCCAGUCACUAGUUUUUAGGAGAAUACUUCCAAUUUACCCUUGGGUUGCUUUAGGAAGUUUCUUAAUAGUGCCAUCUCUCUAGCUUAAGGGGCUUUUGUUAAUGGAAGGCAAAUUCUAGAUGUGGUUAUCAUUAGUAAUGAAAUCCUAGAUAAAAAAUUCUGUUCUAAGGACAAAGGGAUGGUUUUUAAAAUAGGUUUUGGGGAAGUUUAUGAUCACAUAGAUUGGGGUUUCAUGUAUGAUACAUACUUUGAAUAGGGAAGGCCCUUGAACCUGGAUGGCACAAAGGGACUGGAUAUUUUGAGGCUGUUUUUCAAACUGCAGACUCUUUAAUGGUUAUUGAAGCUGAGUGAUUAGCACUCGAGGAAGAUUCGGACAUGGUUGUUUGCCUGGAUGUAAUGAACCUCCUUAUUGAAGGGGAUUCCUUUGUUAUUGUCUUAGAACCCUCUUUGAAGGCAAAGGUCCUUAGUGGAUUGCUCAUCAGAUGGGGUGGCUUCAUAAUCAUGCUAGAGACAUUGCUUGUUCUUCUCUAUUGAGGCCCAGAUCAGCUAGCCAGGUGCAUGGCUAUAUUUUUCUUAUAGGGAUGCUAAUAUCUGAAAAUUUUUAUUGAGAACACUUACUGCUCUUUGAUUGGCUUGAGGCAUGGAGCGGCUUUUCUGUUCUCUUCUUGCCAUACAUGCAUAUCAUCCCUCUUUUUUUUAUCUUGUUUAACUCAAUAAAUUCUCAUUUGUUAUAAGGAAAAAAAGAGAUAUUAUGUUACAUGAUGGAAGGACUUUAUUCUGUUAUGGAGUAUGCAAAACCUAGAUCUAUUAGCUAGAGCUAUACAGUAGGCUGUUGGGUUGUUCAGUAUUGUCUCUUUUUUCGAUAGGUUUGGCCAAUGCCCCUUGAUGUUACUUUUUGGUAAUGUAAUUUUCUUUGAUUUUUCUUGAAACUUCCUCAUUUUUCAAGCUUGCUUGUAUAUCUUUUCUUCUUCCAUUAAUGAUUGUUUGAUUCCUUACUAAAAUAAAUAACAAAUUAUGAUGCAAAGGAUUACGUUUAUGGAAAAUUUUGAGAUUUUCACCAGAUUAGAGUCUCCGAAGCUGGUACUUGUCUUGACACAGAUAAUAGGAAUCAUUUUCCCCCCAAACUACAUAAGACAUGUCUGCUACUUGGUAAUGUUCCAUUGGCAGUUAUAAACUCUCCUGUAAAAUGUGAAUCUGUUGUAGCAUUCCGAAUGGUGUUGUGUCGUACAUAGAUUGGUAAUUGAGGACUUUAUUAUGGAUUUUGUCCUGUUUUGGUUGUGCCAACAAGUUCUAUCCUGUUCUUUGUCUUGCUGAUUUGGGUGGUUGUGCAUCAUGUUCCUACCAGCUGUAUAAUUAUGCUUCAGGAGCAUAGUUAUUCUGGUUUUACCAUCCAGAUGAUGGUACUAAAGUAUUUGUAUUCUAGAUUGCACAACUCCUUAUAUGGGAUAUUUUUGCACCAAAUGCUUAGUGAUCAAGAGAACUCUCAUAUUAAACACAUUCAUCUUCUAUUAAACUAAAUUCCUUAAGUAUGCAGUCUCACAACUACAUCAUACCAUUCUUUUCCUUUUUUCUUCCUUUCUUGCUAUUACAGGUUGGUUGCCACUAAUAUAGUAGAAAGCAAAUUACACGACCCUGCUUCCAUAAGACCUUUCUUAUUCCAUAGGUUGAAAUAGAAAAAACACUCGAUGGGACUAAUGUUUCUCUUUGCAACCAAGCAAAUUAAAAUGUUUUGAAACCCAUGCUGCCAUGAUCUAGCUAAUUUGCAUUUUAUAUGUCUACUCCUUUCUAUUUACUCAAAUUGUGUAUUUCUUAUGCUUGUAUUUAUUUCCUGAUGAGUUUAUUCUGAUUCUUUGAUCAGGAUUUCUGCAAUCACAUUGCUUGCUAUUGAAUUUUCAAUGGCUUAAUAUGAAUUAUUAACAAAGAAGUUGUUUAAUUAUUUCAGCAGCUUAUACCUUGUAAUUUCUUUUAACAACUCUUAUCUUUGAUGUUCAUUUGUAAUAAAUAGCUGGAGAAAGGGCCCAACGUGAACGCCUUCGGGACUUAGCUGUGUUUGAGAGGUUACAUGGAAAUCCUGGGAAAACAUCUCCAAGCCUUGCUGUCAAAAAGGUAAACCCUACAUCUCAUGCCUCUAUACCGCAUCUUAGCUUCUCAUCUUGCAUCGGACAAUGAUACUCUUAUUGAAUCAUCUUUACCAUAUCAGCCAUCAACAUGUGCACUUAUUGAGCACUAAUUCAGGCACUGAUACUUGUGCUUUUGUUUUGUUUUAUCUUGUCUUGUCUUGUUUUGUUUUGGAUGUGAUUGUGUUGGAUGACCUGUAUCUGUGUUAGACACCAAAGCCUAUCUUAAUGCUACUGUAAAGUAAGACUAUGCUAAUAAGCUAUUGAUCUGUUACAGGGUUUAUGCCAAACUGAUUUUUUAGUUUCUCUAGUAGAAAACUUGUUUUUUCCCCUGUUAUAUCGGUGCUAUUGUUGGAUUUGUGUUUGUUGUUGAUCAAGCAUUUGCUGAAAGUUUUUUUUUUCCUUUGCUUCUUGAUGUGCAAAGCAUUAUUGUUUGAAUUUUAAUGAUCCCAUUUGAUUCACUAUUCAAUAUUUUUAUUUGAUAUUACAUCUAUCUCAUUUGUUUUCUUUUCUUAGUUUUUAUUUUUUUAUUUUUUAUUUUUAAUUUAUUUUUUAUUUUUUGAAUUUGAUGGAGCCACCAUUAAUUUAUUUUUCCUUAUUAUUGUGGGGUGUGCUUUAUUUUGUUCAAUUGUUGUUGCACUAUUAUUAUCAUGUAACUUUUUUUUUCCUUUUUUUUUUUUUUUGUUUAAUCUAUUGUUCCUAUGAGCAUUAAAUGCUCCUAAAAUGUAUGGAAUAGGCUAAACCUUUCUAUAGUUUUUUUAAAAAAACUCAUUUAUUAUCUAUUUUCUUGUGCUCAAAAAAUUAUAUUUUUUUAGUAAAAUUGAAAAUUUAGGGAGCGCUUAGGCCUCAACGGCUCAACCCCUUGAGGGUUUAUGCCUAUCGUAGCAAGAUGUAAACCCCCUUGCCUCUUAUGCUUUUACCUUAUGAAACUAUACCAAGAAAAAAACACCACAACUCCCUGCUGCCAUCAAAGGAUACUUCAAAGUUUGCUUCAAAUCAAUCUUAAGGCUAAUUAUCAUACGCUUGUCAUCAUGUCACUAAAAUUGGUAUUGUAACCAAAGUCCUAUUGCGAAAUCUUCAAGUUGCAGCUCCUUUUUUUCUGUUGGUAUUUGUAUUGUUAGGUGGCCGCAACCUGUUGCUUUACUUAUGCUUUAUGAACUACUCCAGUUAAAAUAAUGCUUCAAGUAGAUGCUUUCUGGAUCUUGACUCUAGCAAGAGGCUUAUAUUGCAAAUUUUUUUGUGGAGUCCUAGCUAGGAAGACAAUAGCUUGCUUAAAAGGAUUGCCACCUCUCUUGUUGGGUUUGUAAAAAUUUUGCUUCUCUCUUGACCUUGGGAGUCCUGUGGUUUCAAUUUUGGGUGUGCUCUAGGUUGUAGCCUGUGUUAUGCUUUCUAAAUGGUAAUCUUCUUAUUUUGGCUGGGAUGCUUUUGUUUAUUUUGCUUGUUUGCUUUCUUUGUUUCUUUAUUGUGGCUGUAGGAUCACCAAUCAACUUUUUAUUCUUUGCAAAAACUGUUUAUGUUUCAUAACAAAAAAGGAAAAAACAAAGGCAAGUUAGCCUAGAAUAGGUUUUAUCUUGUUUCUUCUUUUACCAUUAGUGUGGAUUCAAACUCAGGAAGAGGCCUUCAAACAAGUGGCAUUUGUGUUUUUUAAACAUAUAUCUUUGUUCAAUCAUUGUUAAGUGUUUGCUGUCUUGUCUGUUCUUUUGGUUGUUUUUGGCUUUGUCAAAGUGUAUAAUUGUAAUAUCCUACAUCGUAUAGAGGAAAAAGUUCCUAGCGCUAUAUAUGUAUGAAUUUCUUUUAAUCUUGUUGAUUCGUUUUCAAGCCGCGAGGGUCGCUUAGGCUCAAAGCAAAUAAUAUCCACACAACUGGGAGCAGGUUGUUACAAAUGGUAUCAAAGUCAAUCCUCGACCUUGGUGGGAGAGUUUGUUUGGCCUAAAAUGGGUGUCCGUUUAUUUGACCCUACAAUCCUGUUGGACACAACAAGAACGUUGUGUCUGCAUGAGAGAGAGAGUGAUUGUAAUAUCCUACGUUAGAUAGGAGGAAAAGUUCCUAACGUUAUAGUGUGUGUGUCUUGUAAAGCUUAUGUUGGGUGUCAUGAUUUUAUCUCGUCCUUUUUAUUAUUCUGAUUCAACAUCAUCUUAGCUUAUAAUCAUUUAUACACUUGAUGCAUGAGAAAUGAAGAUGCUAUAAAUUGUAGGAUUCUUUUUCUCCAAUUUGUUCCUUGAUAUUUUAUAAUGCCAUGAAAUAUCUAUAUUUUGAUGCAGAAAGCCGUUCACCCUCCAUCUCUCUCACUAGUUUUGCAGAACCAUUGCCACUAAGCACAUGCAGGCGUCAGAUGUGCGGCCACUUCCAGUGUUGGAAGAGACUUUGAACUACCUAUUAAACCUGUUGGAUGCCACGGAACAUCCUUUUGAAGUGGUUCAUGAUUUCGUCUUUGAUAGGACAAGAUCAAUAAGACAAGAUCUUAGCAUGCAGAAUAUCGUUAAUGAUCAAACAAUUCAUAUGUAUGAAGAAAUGGUAUGAAUUUCUUGAAACAUAAUCUCAAUUACCUUUUUUUUUCUGAGCAUUCAUCUCCUCAACAUACAAUAAGUUAGCCAACCCAUUGCUAAACACUCUCCUAGUUGGAGAAAAUAAUCAAAGUAUACAAGAUAUAAAAUGUUGAAAAUUGAGUCAUUAUCCUCUCCUUUUGCUUUAUUGAAUAAGAUAAUUUAUUCAGUUGAGUCCAAACGAGGUGAAACUGUGAUCACACAACUUGAAGCCUACUUUACAAUGGAUAAAUGAAUGGUCUGAUUUUGAAUCUUUCUUGGCACAUUAGUUAUUAUCCAAUCCAUUCUAAUUAAAUUAUCCACUAUUAAGUGUCUAUUUCUAGUCACCCUCCAAGUUAUGAAAGACCCAUAGAACCAAAGCAACUCACACCACAUGUGAUGGGAAUUGGUGCUCUCUUCCAUAAUGUCAAGUUUUCCAGUACACUUGCUGACUUUGUAAAAUAUGCCUACAAAAAGGGCUGCCACCUCCUAAUUCCCAAUCAUAGAAGUUUCUUAACCAUAUUUCAAAAGCUGUAUUUCCUGUUCCCUCUCUUUAAGUUUUUUAAACCUAUAUCUCUUUAUCCUAGUAAUUCGGAAAAAUGAGGAAAUUAUUUAACAAGAACUCCAUCAAUUUGUUCCUUAAAAUUUUAUAUGGUUUCUCUCUCACUUUUUAUUCAAAUUCUUGAAGCAAAGGAACAAAUUCAUGGCUAGUAACAAUUUUAGCCAAGCAAUAGAAUGCACAACAAACAUGCAUAUGAAUGACUUUUGUUUUUUGAUGAUAAUAGAUCAGAUAUUUUAAUCUCAUCCUAAAACCUUGGAGUUAGCUAAAAGCCGCAUCUUAUGUUCUGACUUGUGGUUUGUUUCAUAAUAUAGGUGAAAUUUCAUAUUAUAUCCCACCACAAGCUUCGCAGUUGUAGCAGCAAGCCAAAUUUUUCUUCAGUUCAUUACCUCAAUAUGGAGCAGCUGAAAAAGUGUUUGAUAUCUCUAUAUGCUCUAUACAAAGAAAAUCGAAAUUCAAAUUCUAUUUACAAGAAUGAACCUGAGUUUUGCUCAUUUCACGUUCUUCUUCAUCUUGGCUUUAACAACCAACCAUUGGUGGACACUUGCUUCCAUUGUUUGUUUGAGUUCAUCUUUGUCAGUAUCUCUUGCAGCCUUGUACUGGUUUCUGAAUAUGUUACUAUUUCUGUUCUGAAGGGAGAGUCACUCUCUUUGUGGUUGGGUCGUGUACCUUCUCUCAUUUUGAAGUCAAAGGAAAUGUGUUUUGCCCGGAGACUUUUAAGGUGACCACAAAGCUAUUAUAGAUUCGACUUGCAUAUAAAUUGUUUAUAUUCAUUUUACAUUUAACUCAAUGUAGAGUGGUUCUGUUUUUCAAUCGAUUUUUUUCUCUUCUUUUAGUACCCAAUGUUAAAAUUUUUGUUUUCAUGAACUGAAAGAUCUGUCUUUUCUUGUAACAGAUUAUUUCGGAUGGGCAAUUAUAAGCAUUUCCUUUGUACUACAGCAACUGAGGCAUCUUAUUUGCAGUACUACAUUAUUGAACCUUACAUCAAUGAGGUUGCUUAAAUAUGUUGAUUUUGCUAGAUUUUUCAGUUUGAAAAAUAUAUGCUUCUUUGUUCAUUUAUUGUAUUCCAGUUUCAUUUAUGAGAAUAUAUCUAAAAUCUAGACUCGAGUACUUGUGCUUUUGGGUUUUAUUUUUCUUUCAUUUUUGUUAGUAGUUGCACUUCAUUAUUCUUAAAUUUCUCACCAACUGUUUCUUUAUGUGGUUUAUUGCUCCUCACUUUCUUCAUUCAUCUGAAGUUUUCAAAUUCAAUUAGCUUGUUUCAUAAACUAGGUCUUAUUUAGAAGUUCUUCUCAACUGCCUUUUUUUAGUGCUUCUAAAAGACAUGCCUGAUUUAUGUACAUUUUGUUGGUUUUCUUUUGACCGUAAAAGGUUCGAGCAUUGGCAUUGUCAUGUGUAAAUUAUUGUGGCUACAAACUUCAUCCAUAUCCAAUUGCACACUUGUCCAAACUCUUGAUGAUGAAGGUAUGAUUGCAUUUACUAGCAUUAAAUUGCUAAAAUUUGUCAUCCAAAGUUCCAAUUUCUUUUGAACCUUGAAGACUCCAUUUGCAUUCUUGUAGGAAUUAGAUGUGGAAUCAUUUUGCAAUGCUUGUGGUCUUGAGACCAGCACUGGUGAACGGGGAAAUAAGUUCUUAUCAACCAAGCAAACAAACUUCCAUUAUCCCAAGGAAGUCUUUCCAAGCUACUGCCUUCGGGUUUGGAACACUUUUAGAGGUAACAAUCAAUUGGAACUAGUUACUCUUUCAAACUUCUUAUUGUACAAAUAUAGCCUGCAUGUGCAACCAUUUCUGAUCCCAUAAUUUCAAGAAUUUAUGACACCUUCUAGUGGUUAGUUUUUUUGGGAAUAGAGUAAAGCAAUCUAUUCACUCCCAGAAACUAUCGUCAGAGGAACAGUAGAUAACCCCGCAAGACCAAAUUUAUGUGUGUUGCAUGGAGAUGCAUGUUUUCUGCAUCCCAAUCAUGCAGUGUUGUGUCAAAUGGAAUAAUAGCAGGUGAUGAUAAGUGGUAUUUCUAAAAUCAUCUAAGAGUAUUCCAUCUAUUGUAAUAUUGUUUUCUCAUAACUGUCUUUGAGUCUUAUAUGUAAAUAUUAGAGUUGACCUCUUGUAAGCUAUCAAUUGAUGUUGUAACUUAACUUGAAAGGGAAAUUCUAUAAAUUUAGCCUUGGUUUGGCACUUGGAAAGCAAAGAAAAAUUAGGUUAGUGAGUUGAUUUCUUCCCUUCCCAUGGAUGUAAGCACAUUCUUGAAUCAUGUUAAUUAUUUUUUGGUUUAUUUUGUUGUUUUGUUGUUUAUUGUUCAAUUGUCUCCACAUAACAAGUGGUAUCAGAGUUGUUUCCGACACACUAGAUGAUUCUUGUGCUAACACAAUGUUUGAGGCUAAAUAUAAGAUAGUAAAAGUUUCUAGAAUAUUUCCCUAUGACAAUUACCAAUAAAGAAUGUACUUAACAGGAAGUUUGUAAGGUGUUACAUGGCAAGUUGAACAAAACCAAUAGCCAGAGAUAACUGAAAUAUUUGGGCCAUUGAUCCAAUAAUAGCAGAUAAUAACACAAGAAGAGACCCUCUAAUCACCAUUUUUGCUUUUGAUUCUUCUUUACAAAGCAUCAUCUACUUUAUACAAAAAGACAAUCCAUGGCUGAGCCCACAUUAUUCUCUACAUAUCCCAAAAAAGCCCUCCAAAUUUUAGGGCAUGAUGCUCUUUUUGGGGGUAUUUUUGGUACUAAAUUUGUGGUAGUCUCUCAAAUACCUAAACUAGCCUCCAAAUUUUAAGGCAUGCCCCACUGUUUGAGGUGGUGUUUUGGGUACUAAUUUUUGUUAGGAGAGGUUUUAGUGUGGAAACUGGAGGGCUUUACACAUGUCGCAUGUAUUUUAUUUUGCAUGCGUUACACGUGGAUUGGAGUUUAUGCAGUUACUCACACUUUUUGUGCGUCCAACAAUACUGUAGUGCCACGUCACCAUAUGAUGGGCUCUUUAGUCUUUUCAAACCCAAAAAAACACCCAAAAAAAAAAACUAAUACUAAAAGGAGUGCUAACUAGCUAUGUGAAGGUGAACCUUUAUAGCUAGCUUCUUAAAGGGACCAUGAUCGCUUAGGCCAAGGAAGUUUGAGGUGAUAAUAGGUCUGUGAUGCCUUUAGAUGUUUUAAGCACAUGUGCGUUACACUAAUGUAUUCAACGAGUCUAUAACCUUAACCGACAGGUCCGGGUAAUCUUUGAAAUUUCAUUGUGAUGGGAAGGUUCCAUGUGAACAACACUUGCACAUGGGUUAGUCAAUCUUAAGAGAUGGGGGAAGCCCGUCUAACAACGCACAAUGUGCGAGCUUUGAAAGGCAAUAGGGUUAACAUUUCUGAAUUGGGACAUGACAAUGACAACAACAUUAGGUAGUCUAGAGAUGUUGUCAUAUUAAUUGUUAUCAAUAUUUUUAUUUAUUCAAUAGAAAUUGAGGAUUAAAAAAUACCACAAAAAAUAGAAAAAACAAAAUUAAUUACAUGGCUUACAUUUCAGAUAUUUAAUAAAAUAUUGUAUGAAAGUUGAAUAUCAUACACUAUUAAAUGACUGGAUUCUCUUCUUUAUUUUUUUUAAUUGUCUCAUCCUAUUAAAUUACUCAUCUAAUAUUAAUUUAUUUUAAAGGUAAAAUUAAUUAUAUUGUAAAAAACUUUUAAUUGACCAGAGUUUGUGCACAACAUCUAAUAUAUACUUAAAUACUUUUCCAUGCUAUAAUCCUCCAACUAAGAAAUGAAAUCAAAACUUAAAAAUCAUUUAUAUAUAUAGAUAUAUGUUGUUAAGUUUAGGUAGUGAAACAAUUAAUGUGGAUAUAAAAUUAAUGCCAAAACUUUUGAUUGAUCCUUCACAUUCUCCACAACCAAACAAAGGAUAUAAGAAAUAAUGAAAGAAAUUUAGGGUAGUUUUAUUUUUUGUUCUCAUCUUGUUGUGAAGUUAAUAGAGGAAUGCUUAGGUUGGUGCUCAAUAGUUAAGUGACACCAGGGUAUAAUGAUUCUUCCAAUUGUGUAAACAUUAUCCGCUUUAAUUUCAAUGGAUCAUCAUCACUUUAAAUUGCAUCCACAUGGUUAAGAGUAACUCAUAUGUAUAUAAUAUCAUGAAUUUCUUCUUAUUCGAUAUGGAAUAUCAAAUUAGGUAUCUUUCAAUUUUAGGUAUUGUAUAAGCGUUUCAACUCAAAUGACUUGGCUUAAUGUAUGCUCAAAGCCAUGACAAAGGAACGUACAUGUAAUAAAGUGAAAAUUAAACCUUGUCGCCCUUCUAUCUCUAGUAUGAAACACAACUCCAUUAGCCCUUAAACAUCUGCAAAAAAAGAUAUACACAUCUGUUACAUUAAUUAAAAUAAAUGAUGCAAAAAGAGGCUCUACAUGUCCAUGUACAUAAUUUGAUUAGAUUUGUUAUAUAUAUAGAUAGAGAGAAAAAAAAACUGCUUAGAUUAAGGAUCUCAUUAAUUAAUACCUAGAAAAUAUAAAAUAAUAAGAAAAGAUUAGAAGGUGUGAAUCAUAAGAUAAGACUACAUUUUUGAAUUAGAUUCAUCGAAAGAUGGCAUAUUGUAUGAACAUUUGUACUCUAUAUAUAAAAAUUCAUAUUAUGGUUGAGAUGUAUUAAUUUGUCAUAUUUUUGGAAAAUUAAAGUAAUGAGUAAUUACACUAAAUUAAAUUAUUGACCUUAUUAAUCAAUACCUCAAGAGUAUAAAAUAGUAAGAAAUGAUAAUACAAACUUCAUUGAAAUAUUUUUAUACACAUUGUGUAAAUAUUCUUAUUUAAUAAAAGUUUAUAUGUCAUUAAAUAAAUAGAGAAUUUUAACAUUAAUUGCAGUGCUAAGUAGAGGAGAUCCCAUAUUUAAGUUGUUGAUUAAGGCUUAUUUGAUAAAACUUAAUAUAUAUUACUUAAUAACUUAAGUUGACUUUAAGUUAGAUAAUAUUUAAGUUAUUUACUUAAAAUUUAUUAUUUAAUAUUUACUUUAAGUAUUAAAGUUAUUUGAUAAAGCUAAUUUAAAAAUCAUUUUAAAUUUUCAAAUUGUCAUAUUUACCUUCAUUAAUUUGAUAACUAGAUGCAGAUAAAUGAAAAAAAAAAUGAGAUUAAGAAUAAGUUAAUUACUUUGAUUUAACACUUAAAAUUAAAAGUAACUUUAAAAUAUAAUAUUUAGUUAUUUUAUCAAAUAUAUUUAAUAUAUUUAAUAAUUAAAUUAAGUUAUUAAGUCAAUGAAUGAUUACCAAACACCCUAUAAGACCUAGAAAAUCGAAUGAGUUUUAAUAGUAUUCAGGAUGGGCAUGACUAGGUGGUGGUUCAAUGUUGAUUAAUCAUAAUUCAAUCAAGGCAAAAUAUGUAACAAAUACAUGUCAAACUGCACCAUCCAAAUGGGCACCAAGAACGUUACAUUUGACAAAUGCCAUUAAACCUUUACAGCUAGCAAUUAGAAGAUCACUCUCUUCUUGUAUCUCUCUUUUUCUCCAAACUCCAGGAGGAAAAACGCGAACUCCAUUAUUUUGAUCACAGAAAAAAUGGCAAAAAAGUGUGUUGUACUUCAUCUUGAAGCUCAUUAACUUCAUCUUAAUUUGAUCCAAAUUGCAGAAACAUUCGAAACUCCAUGAAUCUAUGGUGCUAUGGUGGCCUACAUUCAUAUAACUGGGGACACUUUGGUUUGCACUACAAUGACCCCCAAACAUGGUUUGUAGAGACUUUAUCAAGAUCACUAGCUUCAAAAGACUAAGGAAAGAAAGAUGUUCUCAAUGAAAACUUGGAGUCAAAUUGCAGAUAAAGACCUAAAACUCCCACUCAAUGUGUUUGAGGAAUUGUUGUUUCAUGGGGAUAAGCCGUUUGGUUUGUACACGUCUCCUUGGUGAUACUUAGAGAUUGGCGAAGUAUACGUCUCCUUUGUGAUCUGGUUUGUAUCUGGGCAGAUGAAUGUUCAUGCCAGGUUCAUAUAUGUUUCUGAUAUAUAUCACCCUGGAAGGAUCUAGAUCAAGGGGAUGAGUUUGAAAAGCUUGAGUAGGUUUAAAAUGUUCCGAGAAUUGGUGAGCAUGAUAUAUAUCAACAUGAUAUUGCAGAAGACAACAGAGCUUCUGAAAUAUGUCAGAUUCAAUAGUAGGAAAUCUUAUCAGCUGUCACUUACUGUAAUUCUAUGCUCUCAAUAUUCAUUUGUUGAAGAAGAAAAAAAAUUGCUUUCACACUAUUCAAUUACAGGAGAAUGUUCAUUAUUGAAGAAAAUAAUAUUCGCUAGUCUCUUUCAACUUAAUCAACAUGCAGAGAAAAGCAGUCGGGCGACCAAUUAUUCACAUAAAACUUACAUACAUUGUCUCUCUACCUCUACUUGUUACUCAUCAGUCAAGCUUAUAGUAAUAUAAGCUUGGGUUCAUCUCUCUAUGCCAUUGAUGAAAACUCCACAUGGGCUUUGCCUUUCUGGUGAUUUUGCAUUUGGAUUCCGACCCUCUCCAAGUGAAGAGGACCUAUUCCUUCUUGCUAUCUGGACUGCAAAUGGAAGUUAACCGGUGCCAAGAGGAUCAAAAGUUGGGCUUACCACCAAUAGACAGCUUGUUCUCUAGAGGCUGGUAAUGUGAGCAGCGAACCAGUGCAUGGUGCCAUGCUUGGAGAUGGAAAUUGUAUACCAGUGUAUGGGAGAGCUUCAAGCACCCGACUAAUACCAUAUUGCCAACCCAGGGAUUGGUGUUGGAGCCUACUGUUGAGUUGCUAUUUUUGAGGACCUGAGGUUUCCAAAUGGAACUGGAAGCUGUUGGAGGAAAAGACUACCUCUUUCAAAUGGGAGGUUGGAUCAAACUGCUGUUUCCAGAAGUGCUCUAAUCAAGAUAUUGAAGUCCAGUGAACUAACUUCAGGCAGAGGCAACCAAAAUAAAGCAAUUCUAAUACUCUCAGUCCUCUUAGGCCCCUCUGUGUUCUUCUUCUUCAUUUCUCUGGCUGCAAUUUCUCUAGUUUUCUACUGCUUGAUCCUCAAAAAUCUGCAGCUUUAUCACAGAAUCCUGAGUACAAGCGAUGGUAGAAGCCUUUGGCACUGUCUAUAAAGGGAUAUUACCAUCAGGUUCUGGAAAUUCUGUUGCUGAAAAGAAGUUGGAGAAGGUGGUGGGAGAAGAUGAGAAAGAAUUCAAAGCAGAAGUGAAUGUGAUAGGCCAACUCACCAUAAGAAUCACGGACACUAGCUGCGUUACUGUCGUGAGGGUGAACACUGACUACUGGUGUUUUUUUUUUUUAUGCACAAUGGCUCUUUAUCAAGCUUCCUUUCUGGAGGCGCCCAAGGACUUGUGUACCUACAUGAAGAAUGCAGUAAACAGAUCAUCCAUUGUGACAUAAAGCCCUCAGAACAUAACUCUUGGAUGAUUCUUCUACAGCCAAAGUUGCAAACUUGGACUGGGAAAGCUUCUGAUAAGCAACCAGACUAGAACACUCACAGGCAUCAGAGGGACUAUGGGGUAUAUUCAGACAACUCGGGCAGCCUAUGUCUCUUAUAAUAACACGUUAUGAAGCAUCAGCUCAAUGCCGGGGUUCAAUCUGCAAAGCAAGGGAUUCAUCAAUGUUUCCUUCAAACUAAAUGAUAAGGAACAGAAAUGGAUCAUUCUGCAUUUUCAGUGGUGUUUGUUAUAGCAUUUAUACAAGAACUCUAGGGGUUUCUAUGUAUAACUUCAUUCCCAUUUUGUAUAAUCCAAAUCUCUUCAAUCGAUUAAAUGUAUAAAUGAAUCCUAUUCAUUGUUUGGAGUAACAACAAAAUUCUGGAAGACUGGGAAAGUUUCAACACUGGAGAGAAGACAAAAUGACAAGACCAUAAAUUCUGGAAGAGGGCUUUGCUUUCUAACCAUUACCAUAAUUUUAGAGCUCAACCUGGAUGAGUAAAUUAUAUUUCAGAAUGUUCAGGAGAUAAUUCUAAAGUGAUGAACCUUCUACUCACAGUUUCUUGUUCUUCUUGAACAGAGCAAUGAACAUCAAUAGUUCAGCACCCAGGAAUCUCCCCUUCCUCCAAUUCCUCCACUGGGAAAAGUCACCUUUCCAGUUAAGAAAAUCAUCAGGAUUAGUUUGAGCAAAACAUCAGAGUAUACAUCAAGAAAGCCUUGAUCAAAAUCAAAAUACAUCAAGAGCUGCCAUUUUCUUCUAUUUCCUCUUCCCUGAAUGGAAUGCCUUUUGGACUGAGGUGAUCAAUGGUAACAAUCUAACACACUCCUUAAGCUCUGAUUGAGGUCAACGGGGAUUGGCACAUUUAAUGACUUUGAAAUCAUAGCUGUGUGAAGGGAGGCAAACAUGAAUCUCAGGAUAAUCAACAAGUCAACAACUAUCAAUCAGUAAGGAAAAGGAAAAGGAAAUACCUUUGGAUAUUUACAAAUAAAAAUGAAAUAUGAUACAAGAUUUUCAUGGAUUAAACAAAAAUAGAUGGCAAAAUAGAAGGAUAAGGUCACAGACAGGACAAUAUUAAAAGAAAUUAUUAUUUUUCCGACCUGAAAAUCAAGGAAUUCAGAACAGUACAAGUUUGUAAGUAGUCCAUGGAAACCAGGGAACAUAUGCAGAUGUUUUAUUCUAUUGCAUAAGGCAAACACUCAAUACUUACAAGCAUAAUCAUGCCCAGAAAGCCAUGAAUCCCUUUUUGUUUUGCCUUUUUAUCUAUUCCCAUCUCUUAUUGCCAGAAGUGCCCAGGAUGAUAUAAGCCUCACCAAAUAAGUUAGAAACCAGCCCAUUCAGCAGGUUGAGUAGCCAGCUUGCCCUCAAUCUUCUUUGAGUCAACAAACAGCUGGGCAUUAUUGCCUCCAAUGGAGGGUCUGGAAAUAUUAGAGCCGGCAGCAGGGGUGGCUGUAAAACUCUCUGUUCCAAAACCCCAAGUUUCAGGGCCAGAAGUUCCUUCUGUGGCUGGUUUGUUGUGAUGGCCAUUUCGGGUCCUAACAGACUUGCUAUUGUUGUCUGGGCACCUGCCUCAGAGAAAGCCUGCCAAAGAUUAGAGUCUGGGCCAGGGGAAACGGAUUUUCUUUGCUGGAGUUCCCAGUCUGUUGCUUCAAUCUUUUCUCUGUGCUGUUAUGAGAAGAAAACCUAUCAGACACAUGAAUGGGUACAAAAAGGUAAACUUCAGGUUUUGGUUGUAUUGAAAAGCACAGGAAACUUCACAAGAGGCAAAUUAUACCCCAGACUUAUUGAAGAAAAAUAAAGUACAAUUGACUUACCCAAAUGUCUACUUUCUCAUUUAUAAGUUUCCUCCUAAACAAAUCCCCACAUCUAGGACAGGAAAAGGAAGAAACUGGGAGUCAACAUUUUUUCAACCAAAUGUCAGCACUAAAUUAUCAAAAAACAUAGUUUUCCAUUCAACCUCGGGAGCUGUAUGUGCAGGUGUACUGUACUUUCUGAUAUUGUCUUCUUCAAUGCCCAUUUCUUCAGGCUUCUUAAAGUGCUUAUGAUUGGUGGAGGUGCUUCCAAAAUUACACAACUUCCAUAAUCCAUUAGGGCCCAAUAGAAGAUUCUCAGCAUUUAUAUAAGAACUUUAGGGUUUAUACGUAUGAUCAUGUUACAGUAUAAAUCAUAGUGAACUGGUGGAAUUUGAUUAUUUAGCCAACCUCAUCAAAAACUGUUUCACAGUUGAGGGGAUUGUUAACCUUGCCAUGGGCCAAGCAGCAAUUUCUGAAGAAGCUGGGUGACAAAGAGUACCAUCAUUUGGACUAGUUUCAAUGGAAAUUACUCUGUUUUUAUACAUGAUAUCUUCAGCUUCAGCUUUUCCUUUUGCUUUUGACAUGGCUGAAACUGAUCCUGAAAUCAAAAAUCCCACACAAGUAGAUAUUUAACAGAAGAGGAUCCGAAUCUCUUCAAUUGAUUAAUGUAUAAAUGAAAUAAUAAAAAAUUUUAGAGAUAAUUAUAGGGAGAUGAACCUUAUACCUCUGAGUUUCUUAGUCUUCUUGAACAGAGCAAUGAGCAUCCAGUGUUGAGCACCCAGGAAUCUUCCUUCCUCUACAGGGAAAAUCUGAACAAUCUAUCUUUCUUCAUAUUCCACUUCCUUGCAAAAGUCAAAACAUGAAGAAAAUAUCAUCAAAAUUGAGACAAAAAUAAGUGCAUCAACUGUCUCAAGAAGAGAUUUAUGCCUAUUGCUUACCUUUUGCAGAAGUCCACUUGGUUAGAGCACAUUUUACAUGGACGCCCAAUCACUGCAAGCUGCUGAACCAAAGGAGAGUUCAAACAUCUAAAAAAUUUGACUAACUCAAGUAUCAUAAAAUACUUCACAUGAAUUCUAAAUGAUCUCAUAUCUAAAAAACACUGGCAUAAAAUUAUUGUUGUUUACCUUACAUGUUUCUUCCAUGGUCAUAAUCGAAACUUUGUUUAUCAUAAGAAAUCUUUUAUGCUCAUCCUGAUUACUUACAAUGAUCACUGAAAUGAAAAGACAAAAAACACAAAAAAUGACGAUUAGUUUGAUUUGAUAAUUUUUUAAAAUUAGAAAUUAUAAAACUAUUUUGGUUCUCAGAAAAUUUACGGGAAAGUAGGGAAAAAAAUUGUAAACUUUUUCUCUUGUUUGAUUGUUUAUCGGAAAAUUGAGGGAAAAACAAAAAUCUAAGAGAAAUUUAUUUAACACUUAUGAGGAACCAAAAAUGUUUUAGAUGUUGUCAAAUCGAUAAUUUAAACGUGUUUAAUUUCAAUUAAAUGAGUUUAAUCAAACACAUGAAAUUGUGAAUAAAAUUAUUUAAAAGCAUUGAAAUUCAAGUCAUUAAAGUUGUCCAUAAAAUUUGAUAUAUUGAAGCAAGAAAAAAACAAAGCAAUUUGAAUGACUUGCUAAUGAAGCAGCUAACUAAAAUAUGCCCUAGAGUUGUUCUGUGCCCUGUAUAUAACAAAUUUAAAAAAAAAAAAUCCUAGAAAAAAAACAAACAAAAUAUCCAUGGUCUUAUGUUAUUUUUUUUCUUAAUUUUUCAAUAGUUAUAAAUGGUUCAUUUAAUUCUUGCAAACCACCAAAUCAAAACAGAGCAUGAAAAAGAAAAUCUUAAAUCAAAUAAACAGGACUAGCGAAUGAAUUGGAACUUGAAAGAAAAGUUCAAGCUCAAAAGAAUUACCUGACUCUAUAUUGGCGGAGUGGCACUUUGAUUAAUAUAGCACAAAAUUGAUCACUAUUUUUGGAAUGUGAGCUAUAUAACGCCAUUCUUCCCCUUUCUCAAAUUGACACCGUUUUUUCAGUAAAGGACAUUUGUAGAUGAACAGAUAAGAGAGGGAGUCUGGAAGUCUCUCUUUUGUCAAGUAUUUGAGCUUACGACACUUACAGAUCCCUAAUGUUUUAAGAGAGGUGAGGUGUUGAAGACCCACUUUUGUCAAGGAUUGGAGCAUUGGGCAGUUAUCGAUCCACAAACAUUCAAGAGAGGUGAGGUGUUGAAGACCCACUUCUGUCAAGGAUUGGAGCAUUGGGCAGUUUUCGAUCGACAACAUUUCAAGAGAGGUGAGGUGCUGAAGACCCACUUCUGUCAAUGAUUGGAGCCUCGAGCAUCCAUCAAUUUCUAAUCGUUUUAGAGAGAUAAGGUGUUGAAGAACCGAUCCUGUCGAGAACUGGAGCUCUGGGCAGUUUCUGAUCUUUAAUUGUAGAAGAGAGGUGAGUUGUUGAAGACCCCUGCUGUCAAGAGACUUGAGAUUCGAAAGCUCUACAAUUUGAAGAGAAGUCAGAGAAGAGGGCAGCAAACACUCCUUGGGAAAUAAUUCAAUGUCUUCACAUCCACCGGUGAUUGUGAAAUGAGUAAGAGAGGUCAGCCUUUGCAAACCCCACUCCACCUGGGGUGUGAGUUGGUUGCACUUCUUAAUUUCAAGUUCACGUAGGUUGGAAGGCAAACCCUCUCUCUGAAACAACAAUUCUGGACAAUCCCAUAAAUUCAACGACCUGAGCUUGGAGCACCUAUAAAUCUUACAAGACUCCAAGUUGAGAGCGUGCAAUUCGAUAGAUUCAAGAUCAGGGCAACCAUCUAGAGACAGGGAACAUAAAGAUGUGGGAUCACCCUCUGAAACCAAAAUGGAGAGCUUCUCAAGCCCCUUAAGAUCAAGGAUUGUGAAAUUAGUCAACUUUGGGAAGAUGCCUAAUGAGAAGGAUAACGAGAGAGAAUCAUCGAUAACACCAUCUUUGAUUUCUAGACUUUCAAGGACUGGGAGAUGGCAUCUGAACAACUCAGGUAGGAGAAACGCUAAUUUCGAGCAGUCAGAGAUGAAUAGUGAUUUCAGUGUAGUGGGUAAACCAACUUUGUGCAGGGAUCUAGAAAAACUACAAUCAUAGAUUUUCAGAUCAUGUAUGUUGGUUUGCGAGAUUUCCUCCUCUAGCAGAGACUCCACAUAAUCACAUUUUCUAAUUGACAGCUGGUGUGGUGCCAUUGGAAGUUGACUCCACUGAGACACAUCUAAAAUUUCAAUUUCUGAAGUUUGAAGAGCUGUGAAGUCACAACCUGCCAUUUGCAACUGCAGUUUACCAAAAUCCACCAUCCUCAAUUGACGAAUUGCAGGAACUGUGAGUGAAGCCAUAAGCAGUUGCGGACAUUCAUGAAUUUGAAGUUCCACCAAUGAAAGAAGCUGUUCUGGUAAUUUCCCAAUGAGUUUGGGACACCUUCGUAUAAAAAGCUUUUGAAGAUGAGGGAAUUCUCCACAACAUAACCAUUUCUCCCAGUUCUGCAUAUCCUCAAAUGAUAGUGUUUCUAGGAAUUGAAAGGAAGCAUUCCCAUAGAACUCAUCACCCACACACUCUACUCCAUUCAUCCUUGAGAUUUGCAGAUAUUUAAGUUGGGUUAGCUGUCCAAGUGGUGGCAAUGUUGAGCAAUUGCCACAACCCCGAAGCUCAAGGGACACGAGAUUCAACACUGAAGGAUCUCCAAGCCAAUUUGGAAAUCCUUCACCAGGAUAGUUUGUGAUGGAGAGUUGUUUUAAAUUUGGAUGAGGUUGUAACUUGUUGAGUAUAUCAUGCGUUGUUGCACCACUUUGUGUAACACCAUUGGUACACAUGUAACGCCAAUCAAAGAUCAACUCAUCAAGAUAACUUUUAUCCUGCAUAUUAGCUCUUGAUGCAUCAUUAACACUCACCACAUUCUCCAUGUUUGAAAUAUAAAGUUUUCCUCGAAGCUCUGAUAGCUCCCCCAAUUCUCCAAUUCUUAAUCCAUUGUUUUGGCCCACAAUAAAUCGAGUCAACCUUUGUAAAUUUUUUAAUUGACCAAUUCCAUGACUUGACAUUGCUCUCAAUGAACGACAUCCAUCAAUAUCAAGAUAGCGCAAAUUAAUCAAUUUUCCCAUCUUUGAAGGCAAUUCAUCAAGUUCUGAACAAUUUCUCAGCAUCAUCGUUUGUAAAUUGCAUAAACAACAUACUGAUUUAGGUAAUUUUUUAAUCCUCGUGACAGACAAAUCCAAGUAACGCAAAUGUUUUAAAUUACCUAUCGAUUUAGGCAAAUCAGUUAUUGUAUAUGCACAUAAUGAUAACACACGUAAACACCACAUUUUUGGUAAUAUAUCUUGCAAAACUCUUUUACUCAAAUUAUAUAUCGGAUAGUCUUCCAUUUGCUUCACUCCUAAGAAUGUUCGAAUAGAUUUAGCUUUAGUGAUAGCCUCAAAAUUCUUAAAUGCAACAAGCCUCUCAUAAUCACUUUUAAAGUACAAAAAGUGGUGAGCCUUCUCAGAUACUUUCAGUAACUUAUCAUCCUCUUCCACUCGAGCACAAAAAUCUCCAGACACGUGUUGAGCCAAUUCGUGUAUUAGAUCAUGCAUUACAAAGCAUGAUCCUUUUGUUCCAAUAGAUUUUUGAAAGAAUGACUUGGCGAGAAGUUCAUUAAAAUAUGACUCACCUAUCUCUUCCAUUCUCCUUCCUUCGUUUUCUUGUGGAUGUAAAAGACCUUCUGCCAUCCAUAAUAAAAUCAGCUUCUCUUUGUUGAAUUGGUGGUCCUGGGGAAAAAUAGAACAAUAAGCAAAACAAUGCUUCAGAGGUAGAGAAAGAUGAUGGUAGCUUAAUCUCAAAGAUGGAAGAAUUUCGGAGCCACUCUGCCGCCAUAUGUCACUGUUCAACACAACGUUCCAUUCCCCUUUGUCGGCCUCCGAAUACAAGAGACGGCCGAGUACUUUCACAGCCAAAGGCAAUCCUUGGCACUUGUCCACAAUCUGUCUGCCUAUGGGUUUAAGCUCAAGGAAUGCGUUGGGGUCUCUAUCUCCAAAUGCAUGCUUUUUAAACAGGGACCAACUAUCUUCAGAGCUUAAUUUCCCAAGAUCAUGAGUAGGGGCCGCUUUCAUGGCUUCUGCAACAGAUUUAUCACGACUGGUCACAACAAUCUUGCUUCCCUCUGCUGCAGCGAGGAGUGGAGUUCGUAGACGUUCCCAACCUUCACGAUCACUAAGCUCCAUGUAACCUUCAUCACGAGGCUUCAAAUUCCAGACGUCAUCAAGAACAAGCAGAAAUUUCUUGUUACUAAGUUGCUCUUUGAGUUGAAGCUGAAGCUUAUUUAGGCUGUCAAAAUCAUCAGUUUUAGAACCGAUUUCGUAUAGAAUUGUUUUAGUGACCUUGAUAAGGAGAAACUCAGUGGAAACACAGACCCAUACUUGCAAGUCGAAGUGUUUCUUCACUUCCUCAUCGUUAUAGAGGUGCCGAGCAAGCGUGGUCUUGCCGCUGCCGCCCAUGCCCACUAUGGACAUCACCCCCAUUUUGCCGCCUGUUGUAUUGUCAGAAAGCAACCACUUCACCAUCUCCUUCUGAAUUUCAUCCCUGCCGAGAACAAUGGAGUCAUCCUCCAAAGAAGUGGACGUUGGUAAUCUUGGUGUUGGUGACCGUGAUCCUGCUAGCCCCAACCGAACAAUUUCUCCUCCGAUUUUUUCCAGUAGAUCAAUCAUGCCCCUGACCCUGGACUCCAUGCUUUUGAUAGCAAAUGGGGCCUUCACAGAAGCAGAGAACUUGUUCCAUUUCCACGCCUUAAGAGUUCCGCCGGUUUGGGAGUCAGCAGCUUCCAUCUUGCAACGCAAAGCGUCGGUAGCGAUCUCGUCCAACAGGUCUUCCGCAUCAUACACAGCAUCCUUGACAUGGACGAGCCACUCUUUGACAUUUGGGUUGGAAAAUUGCUUCACCUCCGCAUCAUCGAGCACAUUGAGAACAACCACGAGUUUCCUCUUCAACUCGUUGAGGAGUUCAUCGCUAAGGUUCCGUCGCCGAAUGAAGUUUAUGAGCUCUGGAGAAGCCAACCUUUGGAAUAGAACUUGAAGCGAAGCUGAGAGGAGGGCGUCCGCCAUAUCUGUGUCGACUGUUGCUUUGCAAUAGGAAUUCAGAGGAUUGGUUUCUGUUACCGCGAUACCACCAAAGUGCAAAAGACUGGGUUUGGAUUACCACACUGCAGAAUGCUUGAAGGAAUCAUUAUUGGUGGUGGACCCAGCUGCCAGAUAUUUGUCAAACACCAUAAUUGAGUGGUGAGAAAAAGAACAGGAAAAGCAAGUGGGAGAUGGAUGGUGCUUUCCCAACGGAAAGCAAAAGCAACAACAACAUUCGGUAUUUUUCUUUUUCAUCUACGCAUUUCUUCUUUCUUCUUUCUUCUUGUAGUAUUAUUAUUAGUAGACGUAUACACACAAAUAUUUGUUUAUAACAUUAUCAUUCCUAAUAUUAUAAAAUUUAUUAUUAAUAGAAUUUAUUAUAAAAUUUGUUAUUAAUAAUAUUUAUACUAAUAUUAUUUUUUAAUAAUUAAUUAGUAUCCUUACUUUUAUUGUUUAUAAUAAUAAUAAUAAUAAUAAUAAUUAUUAAAAUUUAUUAGUAUUUUCAAGUAAACAAUGGUAUAUGCAUAAGACAUAUUAAAAUUUUGAAUAUUAUGGUUAUUAUUAUUUGAUUCAAAAAAAGUUUAUAAUAUAAUAAUAACAAAAAUAUUUUUUUUAAUAAAAUAAAUUAUAAAAAUAUAAGAAUUUUAUUAUUUAUAAAAUAUAUUUAUUUUAAUAUAAUUAAAAUAAUUAAAAUAAUUUUAAAAUUUAAAAAAAAAGUUAAACGUGACAGGAUUAGGAUGGGACCGACCUAUCCCAAUGCUGCCCAUUGCCAUCCCUAACUCACCUAGUGGUAAUUAAGGCCAUUUUUUAUUAUUAUUUUUUUAAAAUGGUCUUUUAUUCUUAAAAAAAGAAAAAGGAAAAUAUAUUUAAUAAUUAGAAAAUAAAACAUAAUUUUUGUUUUUAAAAAUAAAAAAUAAGGCAUUUUUAGAUGAUACCCUUUUAGUUACUUUUACUUGUUUUAAAAAAAUUAUUGUAAAAGUAAUUAUAUAAAUGUAAAAAAUAAAAUAAUCUAGGUAAAAAUUAUUUUUAAAAUAUAAAAAAUUAGUUAAGAAUACUCUAUCUUCUCAAGCUCGUUUUAUAAAAUAUCAUAAAAUAAUUUUCAAAAACUUGUUUUUUCAUUAUUUUGACAACCGGAAUAAUACACAAUAAAAAUAAAUAAAUAAAAAUAAAAAGAUCCAAAGAAAGACAAAUGUGUUGCAGUAAUGCACUUAAAUUCACUGAACCUAAAAGCCAAAUGUGCAGUGUUGACUUUUCAACCGAGAGUUCACACAUGCCCAUUUUUUUUAAUUAAAGCACUAUUAAUAUAAAAUAUAUAUUUAAAUAAAAAUUAGACUUUUAAAAAAAUUAAAAUAUAUUUUUAAAAUGUUAAAAAAAUAUUUACAAUAUUUCCUUAAAAAAAAACAUCUUCCAAAAACAUUUCUUUAAAAAAUACUUCCACCUAUAAUAAUUCAGACACACUUGUGAUUUAAUAGUUAAAUAUUCUUUCUAAUAGGAAUUCAACUAUCGGUUUGUAUUACCACGAUACCACCAAAAUACGAAAGACUAAUUUUGGAUUACCAAAAUGCAAAAGAGCUGAAGGAAUCAUUGAUGGUGGAUGAUUCAGAUGUCCACAUUAUUUGUCAGACACCAUAAUUGAGUGAUGAGGAAAUGAAAGAAAAGCAAAUAAAAAACAAAAAAGGUGAUGCCAAACAUGGUCUUAUAAGGUGGGUGGAGCGAAAGCAACAAAGGAAACUAGCAGGAUUUUUCAUUGCUAUUACAUACCUCAAAGGACAAAUUUUGAAUUACCAAAAUACAAAAGACUUAAAGGAAUCAUUGAUGGUGGUGACCAGAUGUCCACAUUAUUUGCCAAACACCAUAAUUGAGUGAUGAGAAAACAAAAGAAAAAGCAAAAAAGGUGAUGCCAAACAUGGUCUUGUAAGGUGGGUGGAGCAAAAGCAACAAAACAAACUAGUAGGAUUUUUCAUUGCUAUUCCAUAUCUCAAAGGACUAAUUUUGAAUUACCAAAAUAUAGAAGACAUGAAGGAAUCAUUGAUGGUGGUGGACCAAGAUGUUCACAUUAUUUGCCAAACACCAUAAUUGAGUGAUGAGAAAAUGAAAAAAAAAAAAUGAAAAACAAAAAAGGUGAUGCCAAACAUGGUCAUGUAAGGUGGCUGGAGUGAAAGCAACAAAGUAAACUAGCAAGACUUUUCGUUGGUAUUCCAUACCUUAAAGGAUUGAUUUUGAAUUAUCAAAAUACAAAAUACUUGAAGGAAUCAUUGAUGGUGGUGGACCCCGAUGUCCACAUUAUUUGCCAAACACCAUAAUUGAGUGAUGAGAAAAUGAAAAAAAAAAGUUAAGAAAAAACAAAAAAGUGAUGCCAAACAUGGUGUUAUGAGGUGGGUGGAGCGAAAACAACAAAACAAACUAGUAGGAUUUUUUGUUGUUAUUCCAUACUGAGAAAAUAAAGGGCUACUCUAGGUGAAUAGAAGUUAAAAAAUGUCUUUUUAAACACAAUAAAAUGAAGCACAAGAAGUACAAAUAUAAAGAGGUAAGGUUAUAGAAAGUAAACUCAAAUUUAUAGUGGUUCGACACUUCCGUGCUUACAUCCACUCUCCUCAAGCUCCUACCUGAGUGAGGGUUCCACUUAUACUUGAAGUUUCAACCAAGCUUCUAAUCACUUUUUACACUUGGAUUCCAGCUCCAAUGGAUUCUUAUACAAUCUCUUCAAGUCUUUACUCACUUGAAUGUUUUAACACUCAAUUAACAAGUUUGAAUCUCUCAACCUAGCUCAACAAUGACUCAAAUACAACUCAAGGCUAGGAUGAAUCACUAAGGUGCACUAAAGAAUAUGCAAAUGGAAGUUUAAUGCACUAAGAAAAUAAUGAGAGCUUUUAUGACAAUAAUAAGUAGGUAAACAAAUAAAUGCAAGUGUUCUCUUGCUCAUAAAUGAGGUAGAGCUCUCAAUUUAUAAGUUUCUAACCUCAGGAGCUAAAAAUCCAAAAAGCAAUCUCGACUAGUCGAGCUGGGGGUUGACUGGUUCACUAGCCGUUGAAACAUUAAAUGCUUGGCAGGUGACCGUUACCCUCGACCAAACCUUAACCGGGAAGGCAAAUCCAUAAACCAGGAAAGAAAGGCUACUGGAAGAGAGAUAAUGUUUUUUGCAUCUCUUGACUUAGAAGGAGUAAUCGGUAGACCGGUACCUAGCCGAUUGAGCCGGUUGACCAGUGCCUCGACUAGUUCACCAUUUUUAGUUCGAAAACCUAUCUUUUUCUGGUCUUUUUGCUUCUAGCACUUAGGCAAGGACUUUAGAUAAAAUAAUAUGCCAAUUUUGAAUGUUUUGCCUAAGGUUCAUUUGAUAGAACUCAGAUUUGGAUGGAAAUGUAACUUUAAUGCAUAAACCGAGUUUUAAAGAUGUAUGAAAUGAUAUGAAUAUCCUAAGUACACCCAUGCAUUCGUCUUACGUAUGUUUCUUAUGAUUAAAAGGUCUUUCAAAAGUCUUAAUCUUGCAUUCAUUAGGUCCUUUAAUGAAUUUCCAAAUUAACACCUGAAAUUCUUUAUAAUUCAAAUCAAUUAGUAACUUAACCAUGAUUUGUUAUCAUCAAAACAUGAUUAGAAGAAUCAUUGGGCUAACACAUACCCAAAGGACUAAUUUUGAAUUACCAAAAUAUAGAAGACUUGAAGGAAUCAUUAAUGGUGGUGGACCAAGAUGUCUACAUUAUUUGCCAGACACCAUAUUUGAGUGAUGUGAAAACGAAAGAAAAGCAAAGGAAAAACAAAAAAAGGUGAUGACAAACAUGGUCUUGUGAGGUGGGUGGAGCGAAAGCAACAAAGCAAACUAGCAGGAUUUUUUGUUGCUAUUCCAUACCUCAAAGGAUUGAUUUUGAAUUACCAAAAUACAGAAGACCUGAAGGAAUCAUUAACGGUGGAUGACCCAGAUGUCCACAUUAUUUUUCAAACACCAUAAUCAAGUGAUGAGAAAAUGAAAGAAAAGCAAAGGAAAGGAAAAAAAACGUGAUGCCAAACAUGGUCUUGUAAGGUGGAUGGAGUGAAAGCAACAAAGCAAACUAACAAGAUUUUUUGUUGCUAUUUCAUACCUCAAAUGACUGAUUUUGAAUUACCAAAAUACAGAAGACUUGAAGGAAUCAUUGAUGGUGGACAACCCAGAUGUCCACAUUAUUUGCCAGACACCAUAAUUGAGUGAUGAGAAAACGAAAGAAAAGCAAAAAAGGUGAUGUCAAACAUUGUCUUGUAAGGUGGAUGGAGCGAAAGCAACAAAGAAAACUAGUAGGAUUUUUCGUUGCUAUUCCAUACCUCUAAAUCACCAUAAUAAUAAUAACAAUAACACCAAAUUUUAAGGUUAUUUUUUGUUAUAAAAAAAUACUAGGAAAAGAAAAAAAAUAAUUAAGGAAAAUAAUUUUUUCAUAUUUGGUUUCACUAUAGAAAAUAUAUAUAUAAAAAAUCAAAUAUAAUUAAAAUUAAUUUGAAAUUUAUAUAUUUUAAAAGUAUUUAAUCUUUUUAUAAUUUAGAAAAAAUAAGUAAAACGAGUUUGAAGAAAUGUAUAAAAAUAAUUUAUUAAAUUUAAACUUAUUUCUUAUUUUCCUUCAUUUUUUCUUUUCUUCUACUUUUUCUUUCUAUUUUCUUUCCUUCUCAUUUUCCCUCAAAUUUUCCAAGAACCAAACAUAGCUUAAAGGUUUAGAAUCUUAUGCACAAGACUUUCAAUUUUUUUUACAAUAUUAUUUUAUUAGUUAAGAAUUAAAAUUUAAUGUACCAUAUCUAACACUAACAAAAAAAAUUAUAACAACCAGUCUUAUCUUUUAAGAAUGUAUUGUUUAAAUGAGAUUAAAAAUUAAAAAUAAAUUUUAAUUCAUUUAACAACUAAAUUAAAAUGAAAUUUAUAUAUAUCAUAAAUUUAUACAAUUUUGAAUCAUUUUAUAUGGAGGAUUGAGAAUGGAGAGAUUGAAGAAUUGUUUGGUGACGAGGAGAUUGAUUGAAGAUUUUAUAGUCUUAAGGUUCUAUGGGAUGAAAUUUUUUGUAAAGAGUUUAAAUUUUUGUAAAAAAUAAAAUUAGUUUUAUGUUAUCUGAUUUCAUGGAAAUAUAAAGUUUUAAUUCAAAGAUUAUGUUUUAAAAAUAUUAUUUUUAAAAUAUAUUUAGCAAAGAUUUAUAAAAAUUUAAAAUUAAAAUUAAUUAAUCUAUCAACUAAAUUAAAAUAAGAUUUAUAUAUAUUUUUAUAGAUUUACAUGUGUAAAAUCUUUGAAAUGCCUCAACUUAAAAUAACCUUACAAAAUUUCAUUAAUCUACUAGAAUUUGCAUUAGGAUGAAUACCAUCAUAAUAAUAAUUACGCUCCACAUAUGACGUAUCUUAACAUCCACUUGGAGGUUAAAAAAUAAUUAAAGUAAGGGAAACUAAUAUAUUUAAAAUUUAAAAAUCAUGAUGAAGAUUUGGACAAUAAUUCAAGUAGGCAUCUUUGAAAUUUGACUUCCAAAUCCAUUUGUCAAUAUACACCACCCUAUGACAAUUAAAUAAAUUAAAAGAAGGAAAAAAAAAUGUUAAAGGAAUGACAUAAGAAUUAUUUAUGUAUGACUAGAUUUAAAGUUUAAUUAUCUGAGGAAUCCUUUAUUAUGAAAAUAUAGGGAACAAUUAUAUUUAAGGAGUAGACGGGGUUGAUAAUGACUAAAGGGUACAAAUUUUGCAUAAUUGAUCUAAAAAGGUAGAGAAGGUUUGUAGAUUGUUGUGGAGGAUAUAAACCCAUUUUGUGAGUCGAAAAUGCUCAAAAUACCCUUAAGAGUGUUUUUUUAAAAAGGACAAUUAAGUACUCAUGAUAAUUAAUAUAUUAAGAUUUCAAGAAAAAUUAAUAAUAAAUAAAAUCUUUUUCUAAAUCUAUUUAACAAUCAUAUAGUUUUUAUUUUAUUUUAUUUUUUCAAGUUGCAACUAUUAUCUUAAUUUAUUUUUCAUUUUAAGGUUCAAUUAUUAUUAUUCUUUAUUUUGAUUAAUUAAAUGAAACUGUACAAGACAUAUUUAUAUUAAUUAGCUAAAAAGGAUAGAUUUUUUAGCAAUACGAUUAAAAUAAAUAAAAACAAGGAAUUUGAUUUUCUUUAUAAAAUAGAUUGGGAAAAGUAUAUUUCGAUACAUUCGUAUGAAAAAAAAAAUCAUAAAAUAGGAACUCAAGUUUAUAAAAUACAAAUUUUAAGCAUCCAUCUAAAAAUAAUUAUCAUUUCAUGCAUUUUUUUGGUUAAAUAUAUUAUAUUUGACAAUUUAAGUAUUAUCUUUUAAUAAUGUAGGUAAUACCUUUGACCUGCAUACAACUUGAAUUAUUUUUAGAUAGUUUCUAUUGUAUAAUUAGUUCAUCAUUUGAUAUAAAUAUCAAAUAAUUAAAAAAUAUAUCUUUUUUUUUUAAGAAUUUUAAUUAUAUUUGACUUUCUUUUGUAUUUUCUAUUGUGUAAACCACAUAUAAGAAAAUCAUUUUCUUUAACAUUUUUUUUUCUUUCCUUAAUAAUUUUCGAGAACCAAACAUGGCUUGUAGGUUUGGAUUAUAGGGUAUAGAUGCCAUAAAUACUGGAAUGAGUUCGGGUUUUCCAUGCUAAAUGUCUUUAUUAUUAUUUGGUAGCGCUUUUCCAAAAUUGUUCCAUUCCCAAAACCACUUAAUUUGCUUAAAUAUUUUAACCUCACGAUAUCAUAACAUUAUAAUGGAAUAGAUUUUGUUGGUGUUCAAAUCAUGUCAACUCAAUUUCCAAACCAUUUGGAUUGUCAUUUGGUGAAAAAUAGAAAGAAAUUUUACUUGAUUGAAAAGCAUUUCAUUUUUAUUUGAAUAUGCUGCAAUGAAACAGUUACUAAACCAUGGGGUAGCAGAAGAAGUAAUCGAGAAAAUGAAGAAGGAUGUUUAAGAAUUCUUUAUGCUGCCAUUGGAGGAGAAGAAUGCUUACACAUAGCUACCAAAUAGCAUUGAAGGUUAUCACAAAGAAUGCUUAACAGUUUUCUUAAAUUUUGUCCAAAGUUUAUGAAUUUUUAUUUUUUAUAAUUUUUUUUUACUUAAAUUGAAACUUAUUAAUCAAGGUAAGAUUUCAGCCACAUCGAGAAACAAUUUACGUGAAAAGGGACUGAUAAAAUCUUGAGUUAACAGAUGUAAAAGACAUAAGGCCAAAGACUCUAGAACUCCAACCCACUGAAUCAAGAAUAGAAACACAAAUUUAUCUACCAACCUACACUAAUCUCAUAUCUACAAUGCAACACCAUCGUACUCUUAAGUGACUUGAAAGGAUGUGAAUAUUUCUCACAAGCUUCAUAAUGAAAUUCAAAUUAGCUCUGAGAGUUUUGGGUUAGGCACAAAGAGUAAUAAUGCAUAGCUUUUGUGUGUGAGUUUUUAAGUGAACUUAAGACUCAAUUUAAAGCAUGUAUUUUACUAAAAAUAAAAAAAUAAAUUUAAGAAACUUCAAGAAUUUUGGAAAGAUAAAUUUUAAAAAAAAUUCAAAGAGAGUCAGAAAAUGUUUCCUUUUUAAAUUCUCAAUUUAAUUUAUUUUCAAAUUUAUUAAGAGUUUAAGAAAUAUUUUCUUUUUAAAUUAUCAAUUUAAAACGCUCUUUUAAAUUAUUUUAUUAUUAAUUUUCAUGCAAGUCUACUCUAUACAUUUUACAUCAUUAUUCUCAAUUAACUCAACAAUAUUAGAGUGUAACAUCCCCAAUUGAUUUUGCACCAACCUUAAGUCUUCAAAGACAAUGAUUGAGGCAUUUCUUCUCCUAUUUUCUCCGAUGUAGAAAAAAAAACUUGAAUAAGGUUAAAGUUGGUCUAUAGCAAAAAGUCUUAAUUUGAGUUAGCCUUUUUUUUUUUUUUUUUCCAAAUGAUAUGCAGGUCCAUCUAGCCUUCAACUCAAAUUUUUUAUUCAAAAAUCACAUGUGGAUAUGUGAACAAGUAAAAGUUGAGUUUUACCUAACAUAUCAUUUUGAAAAUUAGGAAAUUUAAAAGGUAUUAGUUUGUUAAACUCACCACCCCUGUCUAUUCUACAAAACAAGAAGAUUAGCAAAGAAAAAGUAUUCAUAUUUGUACUACAAAAUAAAAAGAUUAGCAAAGAGAGAAAUUGUACGCAUGAGUGCAGAGUUUUGGGUUAAAACAACCCUUUUGAUGGGAAAAAUAUUAAAUUUAACCACUUUGUCAAACUAAUGUGUAAAAUGAUCCUUUUAUUAUCACAUAGGAGUCAUAUCACUAAUAUAUAUAUAUAUAUUUAAUUUAAGUUGAAGCCUCAAUUGCCAAUUAAGGCUUCAAUUAUCAAUUACGACUUUAUUUUUUAACCCGAAACCUUACUUGCCAAUUGAGGUUUCAACUAAAAAAAGAAACCUCAAUCGUCAACUAAGACUUAAUUUUUUAAUUGAAGCCUCAAUUAACAAUUGCGGUUUUAUUUUUAAACUGAAAUCUCAAUUGUCAAUUGAGGCUUUAUUUUUGUGAAAGGAUUAUGUGACACUCACGUUACUAGAAAAAAGCCAUACUGAAUAUAAGUUUCAAAAGUGGCUUAAAAGGUAUAAAUUUUAUGAUCAAAGAUGCCAUUUUGACCCAAAUCCCAUGGGUGCAUGAGACUCUAGUUAAUCAUAGAUUUCAUAGAUAAAAAUCAGAGUUAGGAUGAUUCAACCCCUAAGCGUCAAGAAUUCUUUAACAUAAUGUUAGAACAUUUUCCAAUUUAAAUUUGAGAGUUGACUUUAUUUGAAUAUGCUUUUGAUUUUUUUUUUUUUUUAAAUAAGCUUCAGUGUUUUUUUUAAAAAGAAAUAAAAAUAAAUAAAAAUAGGAGCUUCUAUAUAGAAAGUAAAAAUUUUAUCCAACAAAUAUAAGGCUCACCUUAUAUCCUUAUAAAAUAAAAAAUUUUAAAUUUUUUAAUACCUCAAAAUUUUUAAUCAAUAUUUAAAUAUCAUUAUAUUUUCAAUAUGAUCCUUUAAAAGUUAAAAUUACUUAUAUUUUUUAUUUUCAAAAAAAAAAAAAAGAAUGAAUUUUUAUGUUUUUUAAUUAUUAAGAUGGAUGAAAUAAUCCCAAAUUUGCAAAAAUAACUUCUUCCAUGUUUGAAUUUGAAAAAUAACUCAUUUCCAACAUAAAUACUCUUCAAUAUUUGGAUUAUUUUAAUAUAAAUUUUAGAAGAAAGUGUUAUUUUGACUGGAAAACAUGAAAGACAUUUUUGUUAAAAAUUGAUCUUUUUUUAAGGCUAAAAUAUAUAUAGGUUUAUAUUUACAAAUUUGAGACUAUUUCGUCCUCUUAAUCAAAUAACUUAAAAAAGAAAAGAGUUAAUUCCACAAGUGGGUUUAAAAUACUCACAAAAUUGCAAUAUAUAUAUAUAUAUAUAUAUAUAUAUAUAUAUAUAUAUAUGAAAUUACAAAUUUACCCUCGUGUGUUGAGCACAUGACACUUCCAUUCAUUAAAGCUAACAUUGUUAAAUAACAAAUGUACAUUGCAACUAUUUAAGAAGUAUGAAGGGCACAUUGCUUGAUUUUAGUACAUGGUGAGAAACUUGUUGAACAAGUUAUGUGUAAAGUUUUAUGGUUCAUGUAUGAUAGAAAAUACAGAUCUACUACAACACUGGAUUUGCAAUUUUGGUUAGUAUUUAAAGAAAAGACCAUAGGACAAAAAGAAUUAAACUUUUGGUGGAAAACAAUAAAGAAAGGACUACAUGGAAAAAGGGAAGAGAUCAUUAUAAAGGAAGAUUAUUGAAUAGAAAUAAUUCCAAGAACCUAAGGCAAGACAUAGAGUAUCACUACUACUAUCACAAAAAGGGGUAUAUCAUAAAAUUUAUGAAAUUUUGAAAAAGACCUAAAAAACGAAGAAAAAAAAAAAAACAAAUCAAAGAAGCCUACAAGUGUAACUAGUGUUCUUAAAGUUGCGAAAUGUAAAUCAAAAGUAGAUUUGUUAAUAGUUUUUAAAAUGCUUAAAUUAGGAAUUGUCUACUUGUACCAUACAAGCCCUUGUAGAGACUGGUUUGACAUGUAAAUUGUUUGUAAAAUCAUUUUAAUGGGCAAUAAUGCACCAAGUUGCUCCACGAGAAGGGGAGGGGUUUGUGAAACCAUCACUUGUCGUGGCAUACAUCGUCGGGUAAUCACGGAUGAGGGCAUCCACGGGAGGCCAAUGUCUACCCUCGCUCUACACCCCUCUAGUACAAGGCUCUAGGAGGGAGAGAGGCAACAAGUGUGUGACACCAAGGUAAAUAUGCUUGACCUUAUGGCUUUGGGAGCAACUUGCAUUUAAAGACUUGAUGAUUCACAAGAUUCUACAAUUCAUACCAAGUAUUGCAUUUUGCGACGUUCUUCAUCAAUGAGAGAGCCUAGAUAUCCAUUGUCAAGAAUUAUUUAUGUAUGAAAAUAAAGGCGCCUAACCGACAUGCCCAAGAUCAAGGCAACUGGAGUGUGUUGCUUCGCCCAAGUUACUUAGCGCGUUUUGUGCCAAAGUUUGUUGUUCGCUCAAGAGGGCUUUUGUGAAUCUUUGUAAUAAAGGGAUAAUACAGAGUGGGCCGUAAUUUAGCAUCUUACACGCUUAGUUUCUUCCAUUGGUGGCAUAUAUUAUUUUGUCUGUCAUUGGUGAUUAUUUAAUAAAACUAUGAGAGUAUUUCAUGAAAUAUAAAUAAGAGGUUUUUAGGAUAUUUAAUCGAUGGUAAACAAAAGUUGAAAACUAAGUAGGGAGGAAGAUAAAAUAUUUUAGAUUUGAUAGUGGACUUGAGCAUUAGAACAAGAAGUUCACAAAGUAUUGCGAGAAUUCUUAUAUAACUUAACAUCACAUGUAAAGAAAUUACAAAGCAAAAUGGAGUGGUUGAAAAGAUGAAUAGAACACCAUUGGAAUGACUAGGUGGCUAAGAUUAAUCAUUGGGUUACUUAAGAAUUUAAGGGCUAAAGCUAUCAACAUAACUUAUCAUGUAAUUACUUAGUUGUCAAGUUUUACAAUUAUUUUCAAUAUUCCAAAAGAAGUGUCAAGUAAAUCAAUUGACUUUUCAUCUAUUGAAAUAUUUGAUUGUUGCACUUAUCUUCAUAUAUAGGUGAAAAAAAAAUUCAAUCCAAAAUAAAAAAGGUAUAUAUUCCUUGGGUUUGAAAAAAGGAUUGAUUAAAGACUAUAGACUUUGGGAUCCAACAAUUAAAGAAAAAAAAGUGGUGAGUAGAGAUGUAUUCGAUGAAAAACAUAUGUUAAAGAAAGAUCAAGGACAAAUGAAAUUGUUAUUGAAAAAAAAUUCAACUACAUGACCAAUCAUCGAGAUGAAAUUUGAGAAAAAUGUCAUUAAAUAUGAAAUCCCUCCUAAUUGAUGUCCCUAUUAGAACUUUAUAUAGGCAUCUUUCUCUAUUGCUCUAAAGAAUCAUCGUAUUGGGUAAGGACAUCAAUUUUAAGAUUUUAAUUUUUUUUUCAUUAUUUAUUGGAAUAGGAGAUCUUUAAUUUUUUUUGGGGUGCAAUUAGGAAGGAUGAUAGUUAUCAAUGUCUUGGUGCUAUGUCAAAUGAGAAUCCAAUGCACAUGUUGACUAAAGUUGUUCUUAAGGAUAAGUUCAAGCAUUGGUUGAAUGUCAUUAAUUUUUCAUUUUGUAGAACAUGGAAGGUCAAUUUUAUCGAAGAGCCAGGUCAAUCAACUUCUAUUAGGACUUCUAUUGAUUCUUGACCAAUGCACAUGUUGACUAAAGUUGUUCUUAAGGAUAAGUUCAAGCAUUGGUUGAAUGUCAUUAAUUUUUCAUUUUGUAGAACAUGGAAGGUCAAUUUUAUCGAAGAGUCAGGUCAGUCAACUUCUAUUAGGACUUCUAUUGAUUCUUGAUUUGAUUAGAGGGACUCCUAGCAGUAAACUUGUAUGAAGGGGCCCUAUGGAGAUGCAAGAGAUGCAAGAGCUGCCAAUCAGAUCGACCAAUAAAUGAUAGGCCCAUGCAGAGAUGUCCCUGAAAUAGGGGAUUGGUUGAUUGGAAAGCUUAGGCAGUGUAUAAAGGAGAACAAUUUAGCAUAUUGGGAAAAACACAUAUGAAGAUGUUUACAAGUUUGGAAAAUUGAGUUAAAGAAUAGAUGGUCUAAAAAUGUUUCAAAUUUCAAUUUUAUGUUUUUCUAAGUUUGAUAUAUCCUAUUUGGAUAUUUAGGAAGUCUUCUCUUGUUAGAUAAGAUAGUCCUAUGAUGAGAUUUGUUAUGAAAAUAGGUUCUUCCUCGUGUGAAAUAUUCCUAUGAAAUUAAGAAGGAAUAUAGGAAGAGUUUUGAUUGAAAUUAUGAAUCUUUUUUUUAUGUAAUUAGAACUAAAAUAUGAGAGUUUUAUAAUUGUAAUUACACCUUUGAAUAUAAAUAAUUGAUAAUAGUGAAUUAGUUUACCUUCUCCCUCUAAAUGUAGGUAAAUGCUAAAUUAUGUUAAAUCUUGUAUUCUCAUAUGAUUUUUUUUUCAUUUAUUUUUCAUUUUCUUGCCCAUUUCUAACUUGCUACUACAUAAUAACAGGUGGUAUCAGGCUUUUUGUGUUUGCACAACAAAUGGUCUCAGUAUUUCCAGCACCACAAAAAUGAUAUUUUACUUAAUUGCUCCUCAGUGGAAAAGUUGGAAAGAAAAAUUAAAUCAUCGACUAUACCUUUUUUUUUUUUUUUUCAAAACUUUUCUCGUCUUUGUGCAAGAAAAUUAGUAUAUUUUCUCUUUAGUAUUUGUUUCUCUUUUAUAUAUAUUCAAAUGAAACCUUAAUCAUCUUUUAUAUGAAGUAUAAAAGAAUUAGAAAAUAUUCAAAUUUUAAAUGAUUUUUAUUAUACUUUGUCCACUUCCUAUUUCAUAUAUCAAAUUACAAUAGAAUUUAAAAUUCUUUUAUACGUUUUUCCCCCCUUUGCUACCACAUAAAUGCAAAGACAGUAUGUGAGUUAAAUACCUUAAAAGAAAAAGAAAUUAAAAUGUGAUAGAAAACAAAUGUAACCUCUUGAAAUUCAAGGAAACAAAACACUAAACUUUUUCAUGUAUUUUAUUCCAUUUAUAAAUGCAACAUGACAAAAAUAGACAAAAAUAUAAAUGGAAGCCCUUUGGGUCCUUCAUUUUAUAUUUUAUCAACUUCGACCAAUUCUAUUUCUAUAGCACAACCGAUACUAUAAAGUUCAAUGAGUAUAUAAUAUAUAAAGAUACUAAUCAAUACGAAUUAUUCUUUCUUUCAAAUGGCUACUUGUAUUAAAAAUUAAAUGUAAUUCCUCCUAAACAAUAAAAUAUGUUGACACGAUUUCAAUGAAUAUACAGUACAUAAAGAUAUGACCAAUUAGUACGAAUUAUUCUUUCUUUUAAAUAGCUACUUAUACUAAAAUAUAAGUAAAUAUAAUUCCUCCUAGAUAACAAAAUAUGUUGACACAAGGAGGAAUAUAUUUACUAAUUAUAUCAUUUGCAAUAGCCUCAAUCUCGCGACGUUCUUCGAACCAACCAUAGACUUUAUUGAGAUAGGUUAACCAAGGGAGCUUCCACUCUCAUAACUCGUAUAUGAAAAUUUCAUCUUGUACAACUCAAAUAGAAACCCAUAAAUACCAGUUGAAACCAAAAUGUAAUAAAUAAAUAAAAACAUAUUUCAAUGGAUCCAAUUAGUAUUUUUCCGAUCUAGGAUAAACAAACAAAUUUUUCUUCAUUUUGCUUUUUUUUUGUAUUAAUCUUUGUAAGUAAAUUAUAUUUUAAUUUAACAAAGCACUAAACUUUACUUUAAUUUUCAUGCAGGAUCAACUAGCUUAUCAUAAUAAAAUUUAUCAAUAUAGUUGAGCAGAGAUUUGAUGUAAUAAUACCAUACAAAAUUCAAGUAAAAUUAAAUUAAUCAAAUAGGACACUACGGUUAUAUUUGGAUACAUAUUCUAUUUUUUAUUUUUAAAAUUAAAAUUUUGAUAUAAAAUAUGACAACCCUUUGUAUAAAAAAUAAAAAUUUAUCCUAUAAUCUUAAAACUACUUUUCAAUAUUAAAAAAAAAAUGAGGAUGUGUCCUAAAAUUUUAAACAAAUUUAAAAAUAUUUUUAAAUACCAAGAUAUCCACUUUUUUCUUUUUUAAUAAAAAUUCCUAUAUUUGAUAUAAAACUCUAUUUUAAAAAAUGAAAAAUAAAAAAUGUAUCCAAACAUAAGCAAAAUUGUUAGAUUUCAUUGUGAGAUUUCUUAGAUUCUACAAUUCAUAGUGAAAUGAAGACGAGAUAUAACUGACUGAACUAUGAAAAAAAAAAAAUUAACAUUGAUGAGAUUCAAAAAUGCUAGUUAAUGAAAGAGUUUCUCCGCCAGGAUGACUAAGAAAAAUGCUGAAAAAUGUGUCAUGCCCAAAGCAAUGUUACAAUGAAGAAUAGAAUGAGAGCUAACCCGAAACAAAAUCCGACAAUCGCCAUGAAAGCCUGGAUGCAGAGGAAAUGUAACUAGAGACAUGUAAGGAAUCAUUAAACAAGUGAGAACAAUAUCAAAAUCUCAUGUACGACUUACCUUUCCCUGAGAUUCAAACUUGAAUUUUACUGUAAACCAUGACAAUCCUCUAUCUACAAUAGGAGCAAGUGCAAGGGCCCUGCAUGAGAAGCACCUCUACAAAAAUCACAGAAAACCCAAAGGAAAAAAAAAAAAAUAGGGUUGAAUAUGCUAUAGUUGAAUAACAGCCACAAUGCUGGGAAGGUCAAUAACAAAAGCAUUGACUUGAAUGUUAGCAGUGUCAUUUACACUGGCCAUAAGAACCAGAGGUAAUGCGUACAGUUGGUAAGUGGGGAGGAGGGGAUGAGAAAUUGCAAAGUCUUGAAUUUAAUUGUUUCAUGCAAUUCCGUUUUCCAAUACUCUAUAUGAUAAUAUACAUUGUACGGAACAAAAAUAGGGUUGUUUUAAAAUUUUGAACAAAUAAAAAUUUCAUAUCAAUAUCUAAUAUUUAAUAAAAAAGAAUGAAACAAGAGUAAGUACAUUCUCUUCUCCUUAACAUGGUAUUAAAGCAGUCUCCAAACUCUUAACUCCUAGUUGCAAACUUGAUUUCCACUGGAAGUUGCAGUUUGCUUAUUUUGUUAUUCAAGUAAGUUACUUCAAUCUAUCAUAGUUUAAAUGACUUGGGAUGGUAGUUGUCAUGGGCACGAAUUUUCCCACAAAUUUUUUGCAUCCACGCAGCGCUUAGAAGCCCUCUGAGCCAACAUACUCAAACCCACAUGAGAUUGCAAUCAAGAAAAAACUCACAAAGACACACAAGGCUAUGGAGCUCAAUCCCUAACUUGUAUUUUAUUUCUUCUCUAAAUAACAAUACAAGACAUAGCUCAACAAGACUUCCACAAUCUCUUUGGUGAGUUCAUGCUCUCUCUCAAGCUAUGUUUUAAGAAAGUUCUCCCUCUCAAUAUACCUCUGUAUAUUCUCUAUGAUCUCCAGAUUGCACGAUAAUUCAAAGGGCACUCCAGUCCUCCUUUUAUAGGUGUGACACCAACCACUCCCUAUUCGAUAAGGAGCAAUACAUCUUCCUUAAGCUUGUCCCAAUGCCAAGACAUCUUUGUUGUGUUCUGCCUGAAGUCUACCCACUCUUGUGCCUUGAGUCAGUUCAUUCAUGCAUUUGAAUCAGCUGAUGCAUCCGAUCAGCUUGCUAUAGAGUCUCUAGGCAGCCUACUACAUGUGUCUCUAUGCAACUAGUGUGCAUGCCAAGCCCUCUCUUAGCCUACAGAUCUAGCAAUUUUCCUUGGUGCCAAUCUUUUCUUUGGUUCUAGCUCCUUGUUGUUCCUUGAGCGUGUCAGUCAUGCUCAUAUGUGUUCCCGCAUCUGGAUCACGUCCAUGCCGAGGCAACCUGCCCAUGUUUGCUCUGCCUAGUUGUUGCUAUAGCAUCAUGCCAUGCCCAAGCCCUCUUCUUGGUGCAGCAACGAGUCAUGGCAUUGCACCCAUGACUCCUCAUCUCUACGCACAAGGCAUUGUGCCUUUGUGCUAAGCAUUAGGCAUCACAUCUGAGUCGGCUUCCCUUAUCUCUAUGCACAAGCCUCAAGGCAUUGUGCCCUUGUGCCAAGCCACCUUAUUGCACAAGGCAUUUCCCCCUCAUGCUACCGUUGGGAAGGGAAGACUGCAUAGCACCCCAAGUCGUUGCAACCAUGAGUUGCACACCAUCACAUGUCAUGGAGCCCAUGUAUGGCUGCUAGCAAGGCGUUGCCCAUGUGCCUUGCUCAUGUCUGAGGACUUGCACUGAAGCCCCUAAGUGUGGCCAUGCCCAUGCCACCUCGUCUCCCUUGAGUCACCCCCACCCUCGCCCCCCUUAAAAGAGCAUUUUAAGCCCUUUUAAUUAAUUCAGGAAAAUCUAGAAAAUUCCCUUCCACUUGGAGUCUCCCUUUUGAAGGUUCCUAUAAAUCUUUUAUCUCUAAGCAAAUUAACCAAGUCACUUAAUUGUUUUGCAACAUUCCUUCCCUUCCCAUAGUGUAUUUCAAGAUCUCUUAAUGAACAAGACAAUUGGUGGAGGGCAUGAAGUAAAUGGAAUUUAUCACCAUAUCGGCCCACCUCUUACUCCAAUUGCUCUACAUACUUCCAUUUCUUCUAUGUAGUGGCACACCUUUCACUUCGCAUCUUUAGCAUAUGGGACUUCUAGUUAUAUUGGACUCCAAGUUAAAGCACCAAGUUUGCGAGUCAAGAAAAUAGCUUCAUCAUAGUGUUGUUCUAGUCCUUUUUGUGCUAUAAUCAAUAAGAGGAGUACUAGUCCUUUUCAUCUUGUUCAUUUAGACAUUUACAGUUUAUGUUGUGUUGUUCCUAAUGUUGAACUAAACUUUCUUAUUGCUAUUUUAUUAAUUAGAUCAAUGAAAAUGGUAUGAGCAUAAAGAGGCUGAAUAAUAGGUACUAAUCUCUUAAAAAAAAAAUUUUAAAAAUAAUCUUAUAGAAACAUCAUCAGGUGACUAUGCACAAGUAAAUGGUCUGACAAGGCGUGAGAAAAACAUUCAUUUUUGUGCAAGAACCAAGUAUUUGCAUCUUAAUCAACCAAAGAAUAAAUGGCUGAAGACAAUAAAUGACUGAACAAAAAGAAAAUCAUAAGUUUUAGGCCAGACACUUUUUUCAUCAAUUAUAUACAACAACAAUAAAUCAAAUAGUCCUAAAUUUCAAGAGAAUAAUGCUCAGCAGCUAUGCAUACUCACAAGUCACAAAUACCUCAUCCUUAACUAAUUUACAUGAAUGAAUUAUUUACUUACCAUACCAAGAGAAACGUUGUAAGAUAGUAUGCAGUAUUCAGGAGUCCAUAGGAUAAUAUUCCAGAAAUUCCAUAUCUCUUCAGUUUCUUUAGAAGACUGAAAGGUUAAGCAAGAGUGAGCUCUCAAUGUAAGUAGACAUGCAUUUAUGCAUACAAAGGGCAAAAGGAUUGAGGUAUCACUUCUUACAGAUUGUUUGCAUGAAAUUCAGUAGUAGAAGAGAAAUUAAUAUGAUUGGGACAAGAUCACUCAUCCAAACAAUAGUUUAUUUACUGAGAAAAGGUCUACAGCAUACUCAUGCAGUAGACAAAAUGAAUCUUUUGUGUCAUGUUCCAAUAAUGUUAACAAACUACAUUAAAUUCAUAAGGUUACAUAGAAAAAGAAAGAAAAGACAUUGUUGCAAUAGUUUGUCUGUUACACUGCUAGCACCCAGACUACGACCAAAUCCUUGCAUUCAAAUUGAAUUUCAAACUCCCAAUGUGAAAAAGGAAGAUACAAAAAAGAAAAGAAAAAAAAGAAGAAAAAAAAAAGUGGGAAAGAAAAGAGACAUGGGAUUUCUAUGUAUAAUAAAUACAUAUUAUAUGUAUAGAUAAAUGCAUGUAUGUGCAUAUGUGAUAGAGGCUGGUCAGACACAUUUCAAGAAGUUUCACAACUUGCUUUGGAAUGACAAACACCUGGAUCAAUAAAUGGCUUGUCUCCAUUAUUGAGAAAUUGCAGAUAAAUUUCAUCCACUACGGGCAUGGGGUGGCUGGACAAAGUUAUGCCAUUUGGUGGGAUGUAGUGGACUUAAGACAGAAAAUUCUCAAUCAUUCUUCUGUCCCUUGUGCAGUGUUGAAGCUGACAAUAUUAUUGAGCAUACAAGGAAUGUGAUGUAAAACAUCAUUGAGGAGCCAUGAGCUGCGAAUGCAUGGAGAAAUUAAGUUAUGAUUAAGUUUUGGUGAGGGAUUUUCAGAUGCAGAUCAUAUGGCAAAUUAUCAACUUCAGAGAAUUGCACGUUUUUAUUCAUUUCCAUACACAUUGAAUAAUCAUAUUUAAAAUCUCUCAUUCACUUGUUUCGCUUCCAUUAGUGCUCCUUCCACAUGCCUAUUAGCAGCACAGACCUCAUGAUAGUUUGGUAAAGGUAAGACAAUAAAAUUGAAAAAUACAGCUAAAGCCUAAAAUAUUGGCUAAUAAAGAGAGAAACCAUCCAAGUUCUAUCUUAAAUGACUCUACAAGUUCUAAACAGGGAGACAAGGACUUCAACCUGGUCCAUCAAUGCAUAUAAAUGGGUAAACAUUCCAACAGCCAUUACGUUAGAAGUACACUAAAAGAAAAUUAUUAAACAAUGUUGUUUCCAAAAAAAUUCCAUGUUAAAGAAUAGAAGAACAUACUGCUAUAAAUGAAAUUCAUUCAAAAUCAGUUCAAACAGUAAAGUUAAGAAUUGUGACUGCAAUUUUUUUCUAAGAAAGAAACAACAAUUGUGACUGCAUAUCACCCACACUUGUUUUAUUUACAAUCCACACAAUGUAUUCUUCCCUAGCAUGUUAUCCCAUUAAGUAGCCUCCAGAUAAAAUUCCCUUUCCAACUCUGUCAAUCAGUCAAAAAAUUUCAUGUAAAAUGUAAAAUACAUGGGUACACAAAAACAACUAUAUAAACUGCCAUCCCAUCAUUAAUAAAUCAGUUGUCUAUAACAUAGACUAAUAGCAUUGUAAGGCAAGUAGGAAGUACUCUUUUGAUGUGUGCAGUUCUCCUUCACCAUUUUCGCCCUUUGCACUUGAGUCUAUAAAAAUAUGUAUAAGUAGAUUUUUAGAAAUAUCAAGUUUAUCAAAUGUAAAAUAUGGUAUCACAAAAAGCUACACCAUUUUUCCAGUUAUCAUUUGAAAGAUAUUGAUACCUUCAUGGUUGGCAGAGUAGUCAUGACCAUUUGACAUGCCAGAAGCCUAACCUACAACAAAGGCAAUGUUGAAAAAGCAAUAUUCAAAAUUCAAUGAAAAAAAUAGAAGACAAACAAAUGAACAAAUAGCAUAUCAUCACACUCAAUUGUUUUCCACAUAUGAUAAACUAAAUGAAAGAAACAAGGAAUAUAUUGAGAAAAAACCCUAUGAUCAAUGGAUAUGCAGUCGCAUUCCAGCACAGAUAUAGGAUCAAACAAGUAACUAAUCUAGACAUAGCUGCAGCAAAUUUGUGUAUCUCUGAAUGUGUGUCUGCUUUUUGUGGGGGUAUUUAUUAUGACAUGUUCUUGGUGCAGACAAACCAUCUGCAUUUACUUGAGGAUUAGGUAAAAAACAUACUUUUCAUUUAAAAUGAGGCCUUGAACAUCAAGCCACGGUGAGUUUUCAAAUAAGGAAAACGUAAUAGCUUUACAAUGAGUCCCAUAGCAAGAAGGCAUAUAAUUCCAUUCAUCAGCAUACCAGAAUAUAGAAUAGUGUGGACAUGUGGACACAUGCCAGAAUUAGCAUUGGACACACUAACAUGCCAGUCAUACAUAGAAAGAAUUUCCAAAGAUAUUAAAGUAAAACACUGGUAGUAAGCAAAUUAUACCCAGAAAAACAUGCAAGUAUAGGCCAAGAUCAAAUCUUAAUUUUAAUUUCUAGAAAAAAAAAAAUUUAUAUCAACCAAUAGAAAUGGUAUCACCAGCAAUUAACACCAAAACACACCAACAUAUCGGAAUGCAUAACACGUGUACCCAUCUCCAAUCAGCACUACACCUAUACAAGUUAGCCUGUAGCAGGUCAUAAUAGGUUCAGACUAUAAAACCUUCCAAAUCUUCCUUUGCAAGGCUUAGAAACCAUUUUCUAAGUAAUUUACAAUUUUAAAAGCCUGUGACAAGAUUUUGGAUGAAGAGCUUGAAUUAUAUACUCACAAACCCACUCCAAAAUUUCCUUAAGGUAAUACACAUUUUUUGAAGUCCUUUCCAAUGUCUUCUCUUAUUUGAGUUAGAAAAGCCAAUUUUUUUAUGAAUUGAUUACUACGUCUAUUGAGGUUUGAGGUGUAUAACUAAUUUCUUAAUAUAUCAUAAUUUACAUCAGUUAUUAGAAAUUAAGGUUCAAUCCUUUUACACUAAGAAAAUCCUGAGCAAUUAAAAAAUACCUUCUUUAAUAUUAUUAAAUUUAAGUUUCCUUCAGGUCUUUGAGUCAAAUAGAAAUUAGUGUAAAAGGAAUUUUAAUUUUCUUACACUAAGAAAAUUAAAAAAUAGGCAAAAUAAUUUUCAAAUUUUGGAACUUUAUAGGUAAUGCUUAUUAAAAUAAAGCAACAAAGUUUGUCAUUUGCCAUUGAAUGAACCAAUUGUAGAAAACUAUGCAAAAAAUUUUAUUAGUAUGGAUUUUUUUUUUCUACCGAUAAAUAGAAUUCAAUUUCAAACCUGCCCCUCCCAACCCACCACUUGCUGCUUGAGGCAAGCUUAGAGGCAGAAAACUAUUUACAAUUCUACGUAUGGAUAAAAAUUAUUCUUAGAUUUUAUGCCAAAUUCCAUAUUUAUAGGUAUCAAUUUAUUAUUCUACUGUUGUCAAAAGCUUCAAUUUUAGGCGUCCUCAUGGUUAUGCCACCCUUAAAUGAGAACAACUUUGGUCUUCUGUUUUUCUUUUUGAGCUCUUCAAAUUUUUGCAAGGUAUUUUUAUAAUCUUAUUAAGCUCAAUGGGAGAGAGAGAGAGAGAGAGGGCGAGAGAGAGAGAGAGGGCGUGAGGGAGUGUGAGAGCGCGUGCGACGGCGACGACGAUGAGUCCGGCGAGGCGAGUCGAAAGCGAAGCUUCACGGUGGAAUCCAAGACUUUCGAGCUUGCCUUGGAUGAUAGGAAAGGGAAACGCCAGAUUCGCAUUGUGGAGAAGAAGCGGGGGGUCUCGACAUGGGUUCGAUUAGGGCUGGAAAGCUUAGGGCUCUUCAAGGAGGGACUAAUCCAUUGUAUACGAGACGAAAAAGAAGGGAGAUGGGAAAAGGAGUGGAAAGAAAGAGGCAAGCUGUAUACAUUGGCUCGGGGUUUCAACAGAGCGGGUGGUUUUUUAAGGUUGGGGGUUGUGGAUCUGGAACGAAAAAGGUUUUGUAUCUUCUUACCGAGAGGUAGGAGGAACAAAAGAGGAUGGACGACUAUGGCGGAGAUGGUACAUCAAAUGGAAGAACUGGCUAGUGGAAGAACAAACUUGCAGGAGGUAAGGACCGUCGGAAAAGCUACUCCGGCGAAAUCAUACGCAGAAGCAGUCAUGAGAACAAAUUGGAAUGGCUUAAACGCAAUCAAGAUGAAGGUCACUAGGGAGGAGAUUGCUGGAAAUUUACAGAAGCUGGAGCACUGCCUCGUCGCGAGCUGGAAGUCCAACGAAAAGGAAGAAGAAGACUUGGAGAGAUUGGGAAGUCAUUGGGCGAAUUCUUGGGGUCUUAAAGGCAAGCUAGGGCUGGCCAAGUUGGAACAAGGUAGGGCACUGUUGGAGUUUGAAGAUCUAAGAGAGGCACACCGUGUGGUCUCCUCGGGGAGCAGAGUGAUGGGAGGAGCUCACUUAGGGUUGGAUCUAUGGAAUCCAAAGACGGGAUGUCGGGUAGAGGAGGAGAUGGAACAGGAAGCUUGGGUUAAAAUCUUCGGCCUUCCAAUUUCGCUAUGGAGCCCGGGGAUUCUGAAGAAAAUAGGGGAGGAAUGUGGGGGCUUUGUAGAUAUUGACGAGCGGACAAGGUCGAUGGGGGAGAUUCAAUGGGCUAGGAUACUGGUCAAAAUAAGAGGUGAUUUUAGACCAAGUAUGUUAGAAAUUGAGGUAGAGGAGGAGGUAUACACUGUGACACUGUGGUGGGAGAUUAGGCCGGUGGUGAGACGGAUCUUCUCUGCGACGGAAAACAGGAGGAGAAAGGAGGUCAGGGGUGACUCGUAUUCACGCGCGGAGAAGCGCGUGGGGAAGGAGCUGGUAGACGCGGGAAUCGAGGAACUGCACCUGCCAGAUGUUGGGAGUGAUCUGCAGGAGAAUAGGCCGGGUCUAGUGCCCGGGAACCAGAUCCAUGGCCCGGUGACCCGGGAUUGGGCCUAUCCAGAUGGAAGAGUGGCUGGGUCAACCGCAUGUGGCCCAAAUAUGGAUCUUAAUGAGUUGGAGAAGGAUGGUGGGCAGACUAAAAUAGACGGGCCUUUGGGCCGAAAGUUAAAAAAUAAGUCAAAGGUGGCUAGUGAUUCAGAGGCAGGCCCAUCGUCUAGUAGUUGGGCUGCUGAACUGGGCUGCCAUCCUUUAGUUGAGGUGGAAGGCCUGGAAAGGGAGGGCCCAACUGUUCCCCUAGAGAAGGCUGGUUUUUUGGGCCGUUUUAGCUCCAGAAAAGGACCCAUUUCAGAGGAUCCUUUGACGAGCUGGGUGCCAGAGGAGUUUAGAAGGGAACAGAGGGAUGAUGGCUUUUCAAUGACUGAUCGAGCGCUGUAAGAGGAAGCUAAAAGGUAUGUCCUGAUUUCCCAUCCUAAAGGAAAAUGGGUUAUGGGGACACCUCUUCUUCUCUCUUCUAAUUCUGAUCGGGCUCCGGAGGGGGAGUCUUUUGAUCGCCCAGGGGGAAUUGAGGAGGAAUUAAGGGGGGACAUGUCAACAUGGUUAACAGUCUAUGAGGGGAACGUUGAGAAUGAAAAUGGAUCUUGGAAGCUGGGAGAGGACAACAAAAGCAGAGACAAGGUUAAGGGCAAGGAGGAGAACACUGGGGUCUCUGGUUCUCAAGAUACCGAAAAUGAGAAAGAGGAUCUAUGAGAGGACUGUAGUCUUGCAAAAUUUAGCCAAUUCUUGGGAUUCUCUAUGAAGGGGCUGGAAAAGGAGAUAUUGAAUUUUCUGAUUAAAAUCAAAAAGAGGCGGGAAAAGAUUCACAGCAAAGAACUUUUGGAGAAGUCCAAGUUUGAAAGGGAACUAAAGAGGCUGGAAUGCUCUAUCAAUUACGAGGGGGGGAAUAAGCAGAAAGGUCCUUCACAGGGCAAAAGGAAUCAGUUGAUAGUUGCCCAAUGAAGCUGAAGAUUAUAACCUGGAAUGUGAGGGGAGCUAAUGACAGCUCUAAGAGGAAAAUUAUUAAGAGCUAUAUAAGGAACCAGAGGGUGGACCUAAUGUGUAUUCAGGAAACCAAGAUUCAGGAGAUGUCGGAGGGUAUUGUGAGAAGUCUGGGUUCGGGGAGAUUCUUAGAUUGGAGAGCCUUAAAUGUGGAGGGGGCUGCGGGUGGCAUUUUGAUAUGCUGGGACAAGCGGGUUCUGGAUAUUUUGGAUUGGGAGGAGGGUCAGUUCUCUUUGUCUUGUAGAUUCAAGACCACAGUAAAUGGGGCUACUUGGGUUUUUACGGGAGUGUAUGGUCCUUUUACCAAAGUGGAAAGGGAGGGUAUGUGGGAAGAACUUGGGGCAAUAAGAGGCCUUUGGGAUGAUCCCUGGUGUCUCGAUGGGGAUUUUAAUAUCACUCUGUUUCAACAAGAAAGGAGCAGCCAAAGAAGAAUCAGCUCAGCCAUGCGGAGAUUUGCAGAGACUGUGGAUGAUCUAGAGCUGGUGGACCUGCCCCUUCAGGGGGGAGAGUUCACAUGGAAUGGGGGGCUUAAUAAUCAGGCGUGGGUGAGACUAGACAGAUUUUUAGUUUCCCCUAGCUGGUUAGAUCAGUUUAGUGGAUUCACUCAGGGCAGGUUGUCUCGGCCAAUUUCUGAUCAUUUUCCAAUCGUGUUAGAGGGGGGUGGAAUAAGAGAGGCCCAACCCCGUUUAGAUUCGAAAAUAUGUGGCUUAACGUUGANGNUUUAAUGACAUUGUUAGAACCUGGUGGNNNNNNNNNNNNNNNNNNNNNNNNNNNNNNNNNNNNNNNNNNNNNNNNNNNNNNNNNNNNNNNNNNNNNNNNNNNNNNNNNNNNNNNNNNNNNNNNNNNNAGGAAGCUGAAUUAAAAAAGGAAGCUAAAGACUCCUUUAAGAAAUGGGUCCUGUUGGAGGAAGCCCAUUGGAGACAGCACUCAAGGGAGAUUUGGUUAAGGGAGGGGGAUAGAAACAUGGGGUUCUUCCAUAGAAUGGCAAGUGCUCAUCGAAGAAACAACGCUAUGGACAGAAUUAAGGUUAAUGGGGAGUGGCUAGUAGAGGAGCAGGAGGUGAGAGAAGGAGUUGAGAAUUCGUUUCAGCAGUUGCUUUCUGAAGAUAUGGGUUGGCAGGCGGAUAUUGGUAGAAUUCAGGUGGGUUGCAUCAUUCAGCAAGAAGCAGAGAGUCUGGAAAUCCCAUUUGCAGAGAUUGAGAUUCACUCGGCGCUGAUGGAGAUGAAUGGGGAUAAAGCCCUUGGCCCGGAUGGUUUUACUGUAGCCUUUUGGCAAAAUGCAUGGGAUUUUACCAAAGAGGAGAUCAUGGAGAUGUUUAAAGAAUUUCAUGAGCAUAAUUCCUUUAUUAGGAGCCUUAACAAUACUUUCUUGGUGUUGAUACCUAAGAAAAGCGGGGCUGAGGAUCUUGGAGACUUUAGACCUAUCAGCCUGUUGGGGGGGGGGCUCUAUAAACUUUUGGCUAAAAUCUUAGCUAAUAGGCUCAAAAAAGUGAUUGGUAAGGUGGUCUCUAUUGCUCAGAAUGCCUUUGUAAUGGGAAGACAAAUUCUGGAUGCGUCUUUAAUUGCUAAUGAGGUGAUAGAUUCGUGGCAGAAGAGAAAAGAAAAGGGUCUUAUUUGCAAAUUGGAUAUAGAAAAAGCUUAUAACAGCAUUAAUUGGAAUUUCUUAAUGAAGGUCCUUCAAAAAAUGGGCUUUGGGACCAAGUGGGUGGGAUGGAUGUGGAGUUGCGUGUCUUCUGCUAAAUUCUCUAUUCUUGUUAAUGGAGUGCCAGUUGGGUUUUUCCCUAGCACUAGAGGGCUUCGUCAAGGGGAUCCUCUAUCCCCUUACCUCUUUGUUAUGGGAAUGGAGGUUCUGGACAUCCUUAUCAGGAGAGCGGUGAAGGGGGGAUAUCUUUCAGGAUGCAACAUUCGGGGUGGUAGUAGAACUUCCUUGAAUAUCUCCCACCUAUUUUUUGCUGAUGACACAAUUGUGUUUUGUGAGGCGAGCAAAGAGCAAGUUUCUCACCUAAGCUGGAUUCUUUUUUGGUUUGAAGCGGCUUCGGGUCUUCGAAUUAAUCUAGCCAAAAGCGAAAUCAUUCCAGUUGGAGAAGUGGAGGAGAUUCUUGAGAUGGCAGUUGAGUUAGGGUGCAGGGUGGGGUCUCUGCCCUCUCAUUAUUUGGGUCUCCCCUUAGGGGUCCCCAAUAGGGCUACUUCUAUGUGGGAUGGAGUGGAAGAGAGGGUCAGAAGGAGACUUGCGCUUUGGAAAAGACAGUACAUUUCCAAAGGGGGGAGGAUCACUCUCAUAAAAAGCAUCUUGGCUAGCAUGUCAAUUUACCAAAUGUCUAUUUUCCGAAUGCCCAAGUCUGUUGCUAAAAGAGUGGAGAAAUCCCAAAGAGAUUUCCUAUGGGGGGGAGGAAACUUAGAGGGAAAAGUUCACUUAGUUAAAUGGGAUGCGGUCUGUACAGAAAAACACAAGGGAGGGCUAGGAUUAAGGAGAAUAGUCACUCUGAAUAGAGCCUUGCUGGGCAAGUGGAUUUGGAGGUUUGCUUGUGAAAAGGAUAACCUUUGGAAACAAGUGAUCACUAUGAAAUAUGGGCAAGAGGAUUAUGGUUGGAGGUCAAAGAAGGCUAGUGGGGCGGCCGGAGUAGGGGUCUGGAAGGAGAUUAUGAAAGAAUCUGUUUGGUGCUGGGAAAAUUUGGCUUUUAUAGUUGGGAAGGGUUCCAAAAUCAAAUUUUGGAAAGAUAGUUGGUGCACUGACACUCCGUUGUCCCAAUGCUUCAAUCAUCUCUUUGUCCUUGCCGUGCAUAGGGAUGCUACGAUUGAGGAGAUGUGGGAUCAGGACUCGGGCCAAGGAGAUUGGAAUUUUGUUUUUGUGAGGGACUUCAAUGAUUGGGAGUUGGAUAUGGUUGGGGAGCUGCUUCAUACUUUGAGGGGUCAUAGGCCCUCCCUGGAGGAUGAUUCAGUUAUGUGGAGGCAUGGAAGAAAUGGUCUAUUCAGGGUCAAAGAAGCUUACAAGCUGUUAGACAAGCCUAAUGUCACAGUAUUUCCCGCAAGGAGAAUAUGGGUGGAUAGGGUGCCAACUAAAGUCUGCUUUUUUGCUUGGGAGGCUACGUGGGGGAAGGUGCUCACUCUGGACAGACUCCAGAUAAGAGGGGUGCAACUCCCAAAUUGUUGCUUUUUGUGUGGUUGUGAAGAAGAGAAUGUAAAUCAUAUUCUUUUACACUGUAUAGUGACUAGAGCCCUAUGAGAUAUUAUUUUUGGGUUGAUAGAUGUUAAGUGGGUCCUCCCAGAAACUGUAAAUGAGACUUUAAUCUCUUGGAGGGGCUCAUUUGUAGGGAAGAAAAGGAAAAAGAUUUGGAAAUCCAUUCCGUUAUGUAUUUUUUGGACGGUUUGGAAGGAGAGGAAUAGGUUAGCCUUUAAGGGGGGUGCGUUGAAUAUUCAGAAAUUAAAGAAUUCUUUUGUCUGUAACUUGUGGAAUUGGGACAAAGUGUAUUUAGGUGAGGAGUCUUUCUCCCUUAUAGGUUUUUUGGAGUGGAUAGCUUCCACUUAAGGGGAGGUAGUUCUUUUUGUUCCUUUUUCUCUUUUUGAGGCAGUAGCCGUCUUGUAUACUCCCUGUAUGCUUUGUGGCGUUUAGCCUUUUCUAAUGCAUAUCUUGUUUACUUAUCAAAAAAAAAAAAAAUUUGCAAGGUACUUCUAUCCAGGUUCUAGGAAACACCCACUUUUUUAAAUCUCCAAUAAUUUAGUGUUCUGUGGCUGAGGGAAUAGACUUAUUUUUGGUUGAAACACAUAAAAUUCUUGGAUAUGUAUAUAUAUAUUUUUUGGCAUCAGGUCCUUUUAGGUUGAUUUUUCUACUUAUUUUUCACCCACCAAUUAACAUUGCCCUAACUCUAUUAUCUAACCGAGCAAAUGUUUAUGAACUAGCAAAUCAUACUAAAAUUUCUUACUAGUUGACAUGUGCAUCAUCUCAGCAUGUCAUUCCAACACCAAACUACAACCAUAAUCCCACUAACAUCCUAACUGCCUCAAUGAGUAUGGAUUACAGAAAUGCAAUUAAAAUAUACUUCCCUAUUUAAUUUCAUAAUUUUUAUAAUAAUAUUUCAGCAAUAUUUCCACAUAGUAGCUUAUGUGAGAAAUCCCCAUUUCUGUUUAAAAUCGAAAAACCCUAUAGCUUGCGCAAGUAAAUAGGAAAAAAAAAAAACAGAGGUUUUGCAGAAUUGGGAGAGCAGACUCACACCAGCAUGGCCAUUGAUUGAGCAGAAACGUAGAUGACGAUGAUGGUGGUGGAAUUGGGAGAAAUUGUUGAGUUUGGGAACCCUAGGAAAGCUGGGAUUGAAAGAAGAGGAUUGUGAGAGAGAAUUGGAAAUUUAAGAAACAAACACAAAAAAUAAAUCCAAGAAAUAAAUAAGAAGCGUAAAAAUGAAAUAGAGAAGAGUGUGUAUGACGCACCUGAUGAUGUGAAAGCAGCUUCAGCUGGUGAAGGCAAACUUUCGACGGGAGAGACAUCAGGAUACUGGCCUCUGACAACAAUCGCUCCAAAAUAUUCUUUCUAUACCAUUUAUUAUUAUUAUUAUUAUUAUUAUUAUUAUUUUAUUAUUAUUUUCAGGUUAUUGAAGUGUAAUGUCCACCGUACACCCUUACAUGAUGAAGCCUUUAGAACUCUCCAUGGAGCCUAAAUCUCACAUUGCUAAUCACCCUAUAAUAACCAGCAUAUAGUAAAUUCAAAGUAUCAUUAAUGAUAGAUUUCAAACUUAGGACCAUAUAUCAUUUAUUGAGACCACACUUCUUAAUGUUCAUCCUUAACGACACACUCAUAUAUAUCAAAUUACCCAAUGACCUACUUUUCCUAUUUUCUCAUUUUUAGAAAUAAAAAGAAAAAAUAAUAAUUUCUAUUUUUAAUUUUUUAAUUUUUUUUAUAAGUAAAUUUUUGUUCUCAUUAGGACCUGUGGAACCUCCCACAAGUCCUCCCGAAUCCUUUACCACUUGAGUCAUGCCUUAAUGGCUUGUUUUUUUAAAAAAAUUAAUAACAACUUUUAUAUAUAAAAAAAAUACUUAUAAAACAUACUUAUAAAAAAUAUACAUGUCAUUAAAAGUUUAAAGAAAUUUAAAUUUGAUAAUAAUUUUUUAAAUAAUUUAAUGUGUUAAUUGUUCUUAAAAACUUUAAAUAACCUAGAAAAGAAUAAUAUGGUUAUAAAUUGACCAAAUUGUUAUAUGGUUUUAAAUAGUCACCUUAACAAUGUUACAAGUGAGUUAAUUAAUUUAUGGUAGAGAAGAAUUACAAUAGAAUUCAAUUAGUUAUCGUAUUUGAAGUCUUUGAUUAUUUGUUGAAUAAUAUUUGCAGCCAGUUAGCUAGGGUUGGCUAACCCAAGCCAAACCUACUUACUAAUAUGUCCAACCUAUGCUAAACUCGAUUCAAAGUUAGAUUGGUAGUUACUAAACUCAUUGACAACUAAAGUUUCUAUGGAUUCCCACAAGUUUUCAUGGAUUAUCAAAUAAACCACAUAUAAUGGAAUCUCCUAAUAUAAAAAAGACAUAUUUCAAAAUUAUAAAUUAAACCAUAUUAUAAAAUAAAAUUUUAACAAAGUCAUAAAUUAUAUUACUAGUGACUAAUUUUAAUGGUAACAUGAAACACAAGUGUGAAUAUUUAAAAAUAUUUUAAUAAUUAAACAAAAAUGAUAAACUUAUAGUGUAAUGUAAUAAAACUAGCAAAAGUUAUAGUUUUUCCAUUAUCCCUUUUAUAAAUUUCAUAUUUUAAAUAAACUAAUAAAUAAUAUAAUAGUAAUGAAUUUGCUUAGUCUUCAUCAUGUAGAACCAAUGUGAAGAAAUUUUUUUUAAUAGGACUGAUUAAUGACUUAAUUAAGGGUAGGUUACAGCAUACACUAGGAGUCAAGAAAUAAGAUGUCAAGACUUGUACAUUCUGAAUAGGGAAGGGAAGAGUAUCCUAACAUAAGAGACCAAAAACAUGCUCAGGGAGAUUCUCGUUAGGAUCAAAUUGGGGGCAUAGAUGUAUCUCUUUGGUAAGAGUUCCCAUAAUUUAGGUAUUAAUGAAAUAGGUAUAAAAGAAUUAUAUAUCUUGAUAUGAUCAUGUUGUUAAUGAUGAUCUAAUGAGUUGAAAUAUUAUGUUUUCAACUGUGUAUAUCUAAUAAAUACAUCAAGUACUUAAACUUUAAUAUAGAAAUGCUCCAUAAUGGUUUGUAUGACUCAUCCUCUUAUAAACAUAUUAUUUAGAUUAGGCUAAAGUGGUCAAAGUAAGAAGAAAACUUGAUACUUGAUUUGAAGUAUGAAGAAUUCUUCUUAGACUUUGUGUGUAGUAUUGUUUGCUUAUUGUUGUGUUAAAGUCUAUUUUGAUGUAUUUUGGAAAGAAUGACCAACUAGAACCACUAUAAGAUGUUGCAAAACUUAUUUAAACAAGGGCUUGUGAGCAAGAUUUUUUUUUUUCCCUUUCAUGUACAAAUAGUAUGAUGAAUGAAAAUUUGAUUCUCAGUUGUAAUUAGUGUUUUCCUUAAGUUUUAAAUCAUGCAAUGAAUACUUAAAAUUAGUUUAAGAUGUCAAAGAAUGUAAGUAAACAAGGUUUUACAUGUUGGAUAUAUAAUUAAUGCAAAACCUUUACCUUCCACAUUGAAUGAUUACAUUUUUUCUUUAAGUGCCCUUUAAUCAUUCUCAUCUUGUUUAAUCAUUUUUCUCUAAUGUCUUGAGCAUAGUAGAUUUCUAUAAAUUUACAUGAGCAUUCCUUAACUCUUCUUGAGUGAUCCUAAACUUAGCAUUGAAACAAUCAUAAUUUAGGCGAAGAUGCUUACACGUCUUCAUAAUCAUCCUUGGUUGCUAGCCAUUUUUCCUUAAUUACUUUAGGAUGUUUAGCGAAGAUGAUUACAAAUAUUAACUAGUUCACUCACACAUUUUUGUAUGAGUGUAGAACAAUUUUGCAUUCUUUCCACAUCACUUAUGCAUCUUUGUUCCAAGAAAGAAGAUAUAGAACUCUUAUCUUUUGCUUACACCACUUGGUUCUCCAGCCCAUUAUGCUUAUGCGUCAUUUUUAUAUCACAUAUGCAACUUGUUUCUCAUUAAUAUAUUUCACUUACAUGUUCUUAUAUAAGCAUAAUUUAGGGAAAAACAUUUUAAAAAAAAAGAAGCAAAAUAGAUGUUAAUAUAUAUAUAUAUAUAUUUGGAACAAUUAAACUCAAACUAUGCAAAGUGACCUUGUCUACUAUAUAGGUGACUUUGUUUACCCCAUAGGUAGAGUAUAUGAUAGUGAUAGUCAAGGAAGCUAUGUAGUUGCAUGGUUUAGUGGAGAAUUUAAUGUUGCAAAACCGUUUUGUAUUUUUAAUAAAAUAAAAAUAUUUUAAAUUGUGGCCCAUUUAAAUAUUAUUUUCCCUAAAAUAAAUGAAACGUGGGAGCACAUCUCUUAUGGAGUAACCACCCAUGUCUACAAAUGUGGGACAUAUUACUCGGUUGAAAACUACCCAAAGUCUUUUUUGAUGGGAAGAAGAGAAAAUAAAUAGAUAGAUACAAGAUUAAUUCCAAAAGAGGGAAGAAGGGUCUCUGGUCUACAAGAAUAAGUCUGUGAUUAGUUUCAUCAGUCCCUAUUUUGUGUGAAUCUGAUUGCCAUGGCUGGAGGUACGAUCUUGGAUUUUCAUUUUAUUACUUGUAAUUAUCAGAGAUAUUUAUCUAACAUUUGGUAUCAGAGCCAAGGGUCUCUAGUUUGGCUUUCGAUUCAAUAUUUAUGGUCUUAAAUGAAUUAAGUUCUAUAUUCAUACAUGAUAAGAGAAAUUUAUCUCCAUAUUUAUUGGGUAUUUCUAAUUUAAUCCAAAUGAAGAAAAUUUAGUAGACUCCAUAUUUAUUGGAUAUUUUUUAUUUAAUCUAUACAGAUUUGUUUUUCUACAGUUGCAAUAGACAUUUCUCAUAUGACAUGUUAUGUUUCCUGCAAUUGAGACAACUUGAACCCGUGACCAUGGGUUACUUCCUUAACUAGAAUAGUCCUUGAACCAUUGGACUAAAGCCUAUGACUUGUUAGAGAUUGCCUCCUCUAAACUUAAAUGUUGGCUCCGUUAUUGUGAAAAACUUGUAUAAAUUAUUUUUAUAAAGUAGUAUUUAGAAACACUACUUAUAUUUGUUUACCAUUGAUUUGGUAAUUUUUUUGAUGUCAUACUGAGGUAACAUUUGAUUAAUUAAGUAAUAGCCACAACAUUCUUGAUUAUGAUAAUGUUAAGUGACAAAAGAAAGUUUCAUUUUUGUCACAUUAAAUUAAUGACAUCAAUAUUUGUAAAUAAUCAUAAAAAAUAAUAAUUUUACCCCACAGGGUAAUUAUUAUGUUUUGUGUUUAUUUAGGAUGGGAUGGUAAAAAAAAAAUAUGUUGCCCAUAGGCCUAAAAUUACUAGUUCCAUUAUAAAGUAAUUAAAAAAAAAACAUUUGCAUGUUGUAUUCUGUUUCCACAGGAAAGUUUAUGAUCACGUGUUGAUUUUUUGUUGAUUGAAUUAAUUUACAUGAGUAAAUUUUGUUUUUUGCUUCAUGGCAUAUUAGUAAGCUUUGUCAUUUAUUUUGUAGUUCAAUCUAUAUAUGUUCCAAAUUUUGAUUCAUCUCGUAUACCUUUCUUGAAUGGUGAUAAUUAUGCUAAUUGGUAGGAGAAAAUUCUCCUUACAUUGGGGUGCAUGGACCUUGAUUUAGCACUUUGUGUGGAUGAGCCAUUGGUUCCUAUGGAAUCAAGUACCCAAACUGAGAAAGCAUCAUAUGAACGUUGGGAGCGAUCUAAUUGCUUAAGUUUGAUGUUUAUCAAGUCUAGUAUUGGGAAAAGUAUUCGUGGUUCAAUUUCUGAAUGUGCUAAGGUGAAAGAAUAUCUCAAGGCUAUUGAGCAACAGUUUGAGGCUUCUGACAAGGCUUUGGCUAGCACCUUAAUGACAAAGAUGUGUUAGAUGAAGUUUAAUGGCACCAAAGGAGUACGUGAGCACAUAAUGGAAAUGAGAGAUAUUGCUACUCAACUUAAGUCAUUAGAGAUUGAGAUGUCUGAGUCAUUUCUGAUUCACUUCAUUCUUAAUUCUUUUCCAUCUGAGUAUGGACCUUUUAAGAUUUCAUACAACACACAUAAGGAAAAAUGGUCUAUUAAUGAACUUUUGACCAUGUGUGUGCAAGAAGAAGGAAGACUAAAUCAAGAAAGGAUUGAAAGUGCCCAUUUGGUGACUUAAGAAAAGAAACCAGGCAAGAAAGGUAAAAGAAAGCAAAAGACAUCUCUUAAUCAAGUUAAUAAGAGCGAUAUCAAGUGCUUCUUUUGCAAGAAGAAAGGACACAUUAAGAAGUGUUGUCCCAAAUUUAAAGCUUGGCUUGAAAAUAAAGGUAAUCUUAUCUCUUUAGUGUGUUAUGGAUCUAAUAUGGUUCAUAUUUCUUACAACACUUGGUGGAUUGAUUCUGGUACUAAAAUUCAUGUUGCCAAUACCAUGCAGGGCUUCUUAAACCAAAGGAAACCAACAGAAAGUGAAUGCUCUAUCUAUUCAGGAAAUCGGAUAAGUUCACAUGUGGAAGCGGUUGGGACCUACAGACUUGUUCUUAGAUCUGGUUUUGUUUUAAACCUUGAAAACUCUUUUUUUGUUCCAUCAUUUUCUAGGAAUCUUAUUUCAGUUUCGAGACUUUUACCAUAUGGUUUUAGUUUUAAAUUUGUUGUUAUUUCAUUUCAUUUGAUAAAAGACAAUGUCGUUGUUGGUGAUGGUAUUUUGGAUAAUGGUUUAUUCAAACUCAAUUUAAAUCCAAGUUUUAAUCAUAGACUUACAACUAUGCAUGGAAAUGUUGGCAUUAAGUGUGGUGUUAUAAAUAAGAAAUCUUCCACAUUAUGGCACAAGAGAUUAGAUCAUAUCUCUAUUGAAAUAAUUAAAAGAUUGGUAAAUGAUGGAGUCCUUGAGGCUCUUGAUUUUACUGAUUUUGAUAUUUGUGUGGGUUGCAUUAAGGGAAAGCAAACCAACAUGACUAAGAAUCAAAGUGCUAGGAGGACUUCUAAUGUUUUAGAAAUCAUACACACUGACAUUAGUGGUCUUUAUAAUAUGUGCUUAAAUGGUCAAAUAUAUUUUAACACUUUUAUCGAUGACUACUCACGAUAUAUGUAUCUUUUUUUGCUUUAUGAUAAGUGUGAAGCACUAGAUGCUUUCAAAAUCUAUAAUGCAGAGGUAGAGAAACAAUUGGGUAAACAAAUUAAGAUUGUGAAGUCAGAUAGAGUUGGUGAAUAUUAUGGUAGGUACACUGAAAAAGGACAAUUAUCUGGUCCAUUUGCAAGGUUUCUACAGGAACAUGGCAUUGUUGCCCAAUACACAAUGCCUUGCUCACCAUCCCAAAAUGGUGUGGCUGAAAGAUGAAACCAAACCCUAAAGGACAUGGUUAGUAACUCCAACCUCCUAUUAUCCUUGUGGAGUGAGGCCAUAAAGACAACAACAUAUUGAUUACUAUUCAAAAAGUGCUGUUUUGUAGCUUGUAAUUAACUCUUUUAAACACUUUUGAGUAGUAGUUAUUACCUUUUAACUCAAUUGGCAUGUUAAGGACCCUUGCAAUCGUUUCUAAUCAAAUUGUGUUAAGUUUUAGUGUUUUUGAUAUCUUUUUUAUCACCAAAGCAAUCUAAGAUGAGGGAGAGCUUUAUAUAAUCCAUGGCAAAGAAAAUAAAAGCUCAUUUACAAGAAGAAUCCAAGCUUUGGAGCUUUGAAGUCCUUUGCCAAAAGCAAAUCAUGAAUGCAAUGAGGGAAAGCAAAGAGAGAAAUCUAACAUGAAGAAUUCAAGAGGACAGCAACUGUUGAAGACAUUUUGAGUACUUCCUGAAGUCCAUUUCAUGCAUACUAUAUGUCGUUUCGAAGAUCGGGAAGUCAGAAGCCCAACGCUUCAAACGGUACAUGAAUUGGAGUUGAAAAGAAGAAGUUAUGGCCAUUUGAAGACAACCGCACAAAGUUGAGCGAAAAUUUCAUGGCCCAAAGCCCAUUUCGUACCUGCGAAAUAAGCUGCGAAAUGAAACCCACUUGCGAAAUUUUGUAAGGUGUUUUGCAGCUGCGAAACCACCUCCAAGCACACGUGUGCCACUUCGCAAGUUGAAACUCCAUCUUCGCAACUGCGAACCACGUUGCGAAAUCACCUCCAAGCUGCGAAACAAGUUGCAAAUCAUCUCCAAGUUGCGGAAUCACCUCCAAGUUGCAAAAUCACAAAUUCAACUUGCAAAAUCAAAGUUCAAACUUGCAAAAUGGACAAUUCAAAGUGUGAAAUCCACCUGUGCAAUCUCAGAUAUUUGCAACCGACUCAGUUAGAUUUUUUCUCAAGAUAUUUUGUAAAUUUCUAUUUUCUCCUUGUAAUCAGUCAAAGAUAUUAUUGGGAUAUUUCUUAGAAAAUAUCUUCUCUAUAUAUAUCUUUGAACCAAUGUAAAUAAUACGGAUAUAUCAUGUAGAUCAUAGAUCAUGGAUGUAAUUGACGAUAGUAAGAAAUAUAUUUUUACAGAGCACUUGCUCUGUUUUUCCUUCAUAUUUUUGUUUUCUCGUUAUUUUUAUUUCUAGCAAAUCAAACUCUGAGGAUGUUUCCUUAGAGGAUGAGUGGCUUGGCUCUUUGUCUCUUGGAGUGAAGAAAGCCAAGUAAGUUUCCAUAUGCAAAAAUUAGAAGUUUUGUUGUUUCAGUUUUUAAUGAAGAGAAAGUGUGACUCGUUAAUGGUUUUUAUCUUUUUAGUUAACUUAAAACGCCUUUAAGUUACCUAGGCUAACACUUGGUAAGGCAAGUGAUCUCCGUCCAUUGAGAUGCACUAGUUUACCUCUUGCGAGCCUUUGGGAGGUGACUUGAAGGUAGGAUUUUCUAGAAUAGCCAACACUUGGUAAGCUUUUGGACUCUAAGGAGACAUCCAUUAGUUAUCUCUUGCGAGCUUUUAAAGGGUAAUCCAAGGUUAAGGAUCACCUUGAAUGGCAAAUUCUAGGUGAGAGGCAUGAGCCAUUGCAAGAUGCAUCAGUGAGAGAGAUUUAGUGUUUGAACCCAUUAAGGGGAAACAUCUAUACCACAUCGAUUCGGGAAAUAACUAUAUGUUAAAUCCCCAAUGCGAGGAAAAGAUUCAAGUGACCAGAACUCCCUUUUUGUAUAAGGAACCUAAGCCUAGUGAUCUGAAACUCCAAGAAACAUUUUUCUUUGUAAUUAAAAUCAGUUACUAUUUUUGGUUAGCUUAAAACCAACCUUUUCAAACAUCUUUAUAUUUUCUUUUAGAGCUAACCUUGAAAUGAAAAAACACCAAUUCAGCUUUGAAUUAAUAUCAAUUGUGAAGUGAAAACCCAUCCCAGUGAACGAUCCUAGAGCCACUAUGCUAUGCUAGCUGAGGCUAUCCUAGUACAUGGUGUAAUAGGUUAUAAAUUUUGUUGAUUACUCCCGUCUGAGGACCACAAUCAAGGAAUACCAGCUGGACACGAAUCAAAUGACACCGUUGUUGGGGACCAUUGAGAGGACAUGAAUCAGCUGAUACACCAAUUGGGAAUGAAUCACAUAUGUACUAAACCGGGUUCCAACCAAGGUAGUUCCUAAAACGCCUUUUGAGUUAUGGAAAUGUUGCAAACCCAGUCUAAGGCAUGUACAUGUAUGGGGUUGCCUAGUUGAGGUUAGAAUUUAUAAUCCACAAGAGAAAAAGUUAGACUCAAGAAUAGUCAGUGGAUAUUUCAUUGGCUACAUAGAAAAGUCUAAGGAUACAAAUUUUUAUUAUCCUUCUUGUGCUACGAAAAUUGUAGAAUCUCAUAAUGCAAGGUUUUUGGAGAAUGAUGUGAUUAGUGGGAGCAAUGAAUCUUGACACUUAGUGUUUGAGGAACGCCACAAUAUUGAACCCACUCUUGAGUCUUCAAGUGGAUUAAUUAUUUUCCUGGAUAGUCAUCAAGAUUUGACAAUCCAAGAAACACCAGUUGUUAAUGAACCACAUCAUGAGGAUAUUCUGAUGGAUUUAGUUAUUCAACAUCCUCAACAAGGGAAUGUUGAUAUAACAUUAAGAAGAUCUACUACAGAAAGGAGGUCUACAAUUUCUUUUGAUUAUGUUGUGUACUUACAAGAAUAUGACAUUGAUAUUGGUGUUGAAGAUGACCCCAUUACGUUUUCACAAGCCGUGGGUGGAAGUGAAAAGAUGAGAUGAAUUCAAUGGCUAAUAAUCAAGUCUGGGAUCUUGUUGAGUUGCCUAAAGGUGCAAAGGUAAUUGGUUGUAAAUGGGUUUUUAAGACUAAAAGGGGUUCUUUGGGCAAUAUUGAAAGAUAUAAGGCAAGACUUGUAGCUAAAGGAUUCACUCAACAAGAAGGAAUUGAUUAUCAUGAUACCUUCUCUCCUAUUUCCAAGAAGGAUUUAUUUUGGAUAAUCAUGGCAUUGGUAGCUCAUUUUGAUAUGGAGUUACAUCAAAUGGAUGUGAAAACAGCAUUCCUUAAUGGGGAUUUAGAGGAAAAGGUUUACAUGAAACAACCAGAAUGGUUCAUCACAAAUGGAAAUGAUCACAUUGUUUGCAAGCUUAAAAAAUCUAUAUAUGGACUAAAACAAGCAUUCCGUCAAUGGUAUUUAAAGUUCCAUGAUGUUAUUUCUUCAUUUGGUUUUAUAGAAAAUGUUAUGGAUCAAUGUAUGUACCAUAAGGUUAGUAGGAGCAAAAUGAAUUUCUUAGUCUCAUAUGUGGAUGAUAUUUUGCUUGCUUCAAAUGAUUUGGGCUUACUUCAUGAGGUGAGGUGAGGCGAUUUCUCUUGCAACAAUUUGAUAUGAAAGAUAUGGGUGAAGCUUCUUAUGUCAUUGGCAUAAAGAUUGAGAGAGAGAGAUCUCAACGGAUAUUAGGAUUGUCUCAAGAAACCUAUAUCAAUAAAGUGCUUGAGAGAUUUCGCAUGAAGGAUUGUUCACCUGGUAUUGCACCGAUUGUCAAAGGUGACAAAUUUAGUUUGAACCAAUGCCUCAGUAAUGAUUUGGAAAAUAAAGAGAUGAAAAAUAUUCCUUAUGCUUUUUCAGUUGGGAGUUUAAUGUAUGCUCAGGUUAAUACAAGACCUGACAUUUCUUAUGCAGUUGGAAUGUUGGGCAGAUAUCAAAGUAAUCGAGGUCUGGAACACUAAAAAGCUGCAAAGAAAGUCAUGUGAUACUUUAAGGGGACUAGGGACUACAAACUUACAUACAUGCGAUCUGAUUAUUUGGAUGUGGUUGGAUAUUUGGAUUCUAACUUUGCUAGCUGCCUUGAUUCUAGAAAGUUGACAUCUGGAUAUGUCUUCUUAUUAGCUGGAGGGGCCAUUUCAUGGAAAAGUGCAAAACAAACAUUGGUUGCUACUUCGACCACAGAAGCGAAAUUUGUUUCAUGUUUUGAAGCAACGUCACAUGCUAUUUGGCUGAGGAGUUUUAUUUCAGGGCUUCAAGUUGUUGACUUAAUUUCUAAGCCAUUGAGGAUUUACUGUGAUAACUCUACCAUAGUGUUUUUAGCUAAGAAUAAUAAGAGUGGAAGUCAUAGUAAACACAUUGACAUAAAGUACUUAUCUAUUAGGGAACAUGUUAAGUCAAACAAGGUGGCUAUUGAGCAUAUUAGUACUGGAUUGAUGAUUGCGGAUCCUUUGACGAAAGGAUUGCCACCUAAGGCUUAUAAGGAACAGGUUGAACAUAUGGGACUCAAUUCUAUUUUUUAAAUUUUGUGUAAUUGAGACAUCUUUUGUGUUUCAUCGCAUUUUUUGGUUGAUAUGAAAACUCCAAUUAUUUCAAUCUUGUCUUCUCAUUUGGUUAUAUACAUAAAGUUUAGAGAAUGAAAAUAUGCAUGUUAUGAAUGUUAAGUAGACCUUGAAUGAGAAUUUUGGAAACUCAUUCAUAAAGGAAUGACUCACGUAUUGUUCUUAUUCAAAAGAGAAAGUUGCAUUGUAAUACAUGGAAGGUAAUACUUGUUCUUAGAGGACUUACUGACAUGAUUUAUGUGCUUUAAAUUCUUUUGAUUAAGUAUAAGGAUUUAGGGAAAAAUAUGUUAUGUAUUAAUUUAAUUAAUACAUAUUAAGUAAUUUUUAUGGGCUAAGUGGGAGAAAUGUUGGAAACCGUUUUGCAUUUUUAAUAAAAUAAAAAUAUUUUAAAUUGUGGCCCAUUUAAAUAUUAUUUUCCCUAAAAUAAAUGAAACGUGGGGGCACAUCUCUUAUGGAGUAACCACCCAUGUCUACAGACGUGAGACAUAUUACUCGGUUGAAAACUACCCGAAGUCUUCUUUGAUGGGAAGAAGAGAAAAUAAAUAGAUAGAUACAGGAUUAAUUCCAAAAGAGGGAAAAAGAGUCUCUGAUCUACAAGAAUAAGUCUAUGAGUUCCAUCGGUGCAUGGACAUAAGGUCUUGUAAGGACUAGCCAACUAAUCCCUAUUUUGUGUGAAUUUGAUUGCCAUGGCUGGAGGUAUGAUCUUGGAUUUUCAUUUUAUUACUUGUAAUUAUCAGAGAUAUUUAUCUAACAUUUAAGAGUUAAGCAUGAUCACAUUGUGAUUUAUUAUGAUAAUGGGAGUGCCCUACAUUUAUUUAAGAAUAAAGUUCAUCACUCAUUGGUAAGGCAUAUUGAUGUCUAAUUUCAUUUUAUUUAAGAGAUUCUAGAAGAAAGUCAUAUCUUGUUUUAGAAAGAUUGCUAAUGUUAAUGAGGUAGGUCAUAUUUUAAGAAAGAUUUUUCCUAAAGUCAAGUUUAGCCAUUGUUUAAAUGUGAUCCAUGUAGAAAGGAUCAAUGUACCUUUAGGUGUGUAGUAGCAAAAUCCUUAAAGAUUGUUUGGUUAGCUUCAUUUACAUUACUUAGUUAAAUAUUACAUAGUCAAUUACAUAGUCCUUUAUUAUUAUUUUUCAUUCUUAGUUGGUUUUUGUCUUGAAUUUAGAGUGAAGAAGAUGUAAUCAAUGAGUAGGGAAAGAGGAACAAAAAUGAAAAUAACAUUAGAACUAGGAAUUGGAGAAGAGGAAGAAGAUGAGGACAUUUCUAGCAAUGUUGCAUGUCAAUUUUUUGUUUAAUGAUUUCCUUAUAAUAGUUUUCAUAUUUCAUUAUCUCUCUCUAAACUAAACAACAUAUUUCUUAAAUAUUUUGAAUUCUUAUUUAUUUUUAAACUCUUUCAUUCUCUACCCUUUCACCAUUUUCACAUACCUAAAAUUUGCUCUCAAUUUAUUUCAAUAAUGUUGACAUAAAAGUAAAUAGCUAAAAUAGAUAAGUUAACCUUCAACCUAUUUUUUAUUUAUUUAUUUAUUUACAAACCAAAAUCUAGUAUUUUUGUUUAGAAACUAAAAUUGAACAAAAAUGUAUAAACUAAGAGAAAGAAAAAGUAAAAACUAGAGACUUGUAAUUAUAUAAAUGUUAAGAUUUCAAGUUAGUAAUUUAUGUUAGUAUUUGUAUUUUUUUCUUUUUUUUUUCUUGAUUUUUAUAUACCAUUUUAAUUAAUAUUUUCAAUUUUGUGAUUGAAGUCUCAAAUUUUUUAAUUUGUGUUAUGCUUAUUUUAUUGUUUCCAUGUUAAAAACCAAUGUGCAAUUAGUAUGACAUGUACACUUAUUAUUUCGAAGUGUAAUGUUGAUAUCUUAUUUUGUAAAGCCCAUGGCGAUCAAUCAUUGUCUCUCAUGUGUCUCAUUGAUGAUGUGUGAGUUUGACUAAUUAUUUAGCAUCAUGCCUCAAAGAUUAAUGUUACAUAUCGAAGACAUCUCUCUAAUAAACAUGACAUUCAAUACACUUUUCUUGGCCUUAAUCUUUGAUACAUGAUAGGUCCAUGUUCUACCUUCAUAUCUCCUAUGCCAUAGUGCUACAUUAUUUGAAAAUGAAUAUUUAUCUUCAAUAAGACCCUAAGUCACAUGGAUGCCUAUGAAGCAUGGAUGUUGCCCAUAGUGAAUGCCAGGGAGGGGGGUAAAGGUGUUUCUUACUCUAUUCUUCCUUAAGAUGGUAUCAUGUGCUUCUGAUAAUUGUUUUAUUCUUAUUCUAGAAAAUACAUGCUUCCUAAAAACUAAUAGUUUUUAUUGGUUUAUGAUCUUUUAUACCUCCUUCUAAUGUGUCAGCCUUACCAUAAUGCCUUGAUGUUAAUAAAUCUACCUAGUUCAUGAGCAAAGCUCAAGGUUUUGGAAUGGACUUUGUGUCCUUAGUGGUAAAUCUAGUUUCCCUACCCAUUAGCAUUUCAAGAUUAGUUUGAGCAUCUUGGUUUAGCAAUUAGAUCUUAUACUUACCAAGGUUGGAUUAACACACAUUGAUCUCAUUUUAGCUUAAAUGAAAGAGGUGACAAGUGUGUCUUCAUUAUAGGUGUCAUAUGAAGAAGUUUGUAUAUCCUUAUAGAAUAACUAAUAUUCAAAAUACUAUUUUAGAGCAUCAAUAAAAACUUCAUUUCUAUCCAAAUGAAAAAAAGAAGUGAUAUUGUUGUUCUCCUUGAUCUUACUGCCACCAUCUCUACCCAAUCAUCUACUCUCACUUUGUUUUGCUCUCAUUUUAAACUCUUGGGACAUUUAAAACUUUUAAGUUUUAGUUGUAAACUUAUAGAUACUUUUUUAGGAAAAAAAAAAUGGAAGUGAGAUCUAAGAUUUUGUUUUGAGAAAAGUAUUGAAAAAGCCCCAGGCUUAGAAACUUUUAUUUGCCUAUGUCUAAUAUGAACUUUUGAAUGAAAAAAACAAUGUUAUAUAAUUUAAUACUUGAAAGGAGUUAGAAGGUUUUUUCUAAUUUUGGAGCAUGAUGUACAUUAUGAGCCUAAAUCAUGACAACUUAAGUUGUUAGGAAGAUCAGUUGCUUAACAUGCCAAUAGUGUCUUGUUUAGUGGGGGGUUGUGUGUUUGAAUCUCACCUCAUUAUUUCCAUGAUUUACUAAAAUGAGGUUAGUUGCAUAGGAAAAUUUUUCUCUUCAUACGUGGGUAUGGGGUUGCAGUGAAAGAGAGUGUUAAAGAAUGGGAUCAAAUCUUAAUAGUUUAAGCUUUUAGAAAAAUCAAAAGUUCAAUAUGGCAUUAGAGUCUUAUUUAUUCGAAGGUUAUUAGUUUGGACCUAAAGACAUUAUUUCCCUAAUUUAUUGAGUAAAAAAAAGGCUAGAUAUGAGGUUGCUAAUGAGAAGUUAAUAGGGGUCCUGAGUCCAAGUCCUUCCCUCAUUAUUUAUCUAUCUAAUUAUUUAUGACCAUAAAGUGCUCCCCAUGAUAGGUAUGGGCUCACAUAUGAGGAGAGGAGGGGUGUUGGACCAUUAUAUAUGUUAUGUGCUCAAAUUCUAACAACUUAAUUAAGCUUUUAGGAAAAUUUAUUAUUUAACAUUAAUAUUGUUUUGUAAUCAAAGUAAAAUCUGUUGAGGAGAAGAAAAAUGGUAUUCUUCUAUAUAUUGAAAGAUACAGCAGAUGAGGGUUAUAUAUAACCUGUACAUGAAGUUAAUUUGGAAGAAACUAAUCACACUAAUCUAGGCUACAAUCUUGGAUGAUUUACAAUCAAAUAAAACUAACUUGGUAACUAGAAUAUUUUUAUUUCUAUAAUUGCUCCUUCAACAACUCACGUCAAUACUCCCCCUCAAGUUGGUGCAUAGAUAUCAUCAAUGCCCAAUUUGUCAAGUGAGUUGUGAAAUAUUUUGCUAGAGACAGCCUUUGUAAGAAUAUUUGCUAGUUGAUCUUCUGACUUCACAAAAGGAAAUUGAAUGACCUUGUCUUCGAGCUUCUGCUUGAUAAAAUGUCGAUCCACUUCAACAUGUUUGGUGCGGUCAUGUUGAACUGGGUUAUGCGCGAUUGCUAUGGCUGCCUUAUUAUCACAAAACAAGUUCAUUGUAUUCUGAGAUGAACACUUAAUUUCCUCUAAUAAUCUUUUUAACCAAAGUAGCUCACACAAUCCUUUAGUCAUGCCUCUAAACUCAGCCUCUGCACUAGAUAAAGCAACUACCUUAUGUUUUUUACUCCUCCAAGUGACCAGAUUGCCUCCCACAAAUGUGAAGUAGCCCGAUGUGGAUUUUCUAUCAGUAAUGUUCCAUGCCCAGUCUGCGUCCGUAUAACCGUCAAUGUGCAGAUGUUGGUUUUUCGUGAACAUCAGUCCUCUUCUUGGAGAAGACUUCAAGUACCGUAAAAUACGAACCACUGCACUCAUAUGAUCUUCGCUAGGACAAUGCAUGAAUUGACUCACCAAGCUCACCGCAUAAGCAAUAUCAGGUCGUGUGUGAGAUAAGUAUAUCAGCUUUCCCACAAGGCGUUGAUACCUUUCUUUAUUGGUAGGGGUCUGGUUAGGAAAUUCUCCCAAGCCAUGGUUUUGAACAACUGGUGUAUCAGCAGGUCUACAAUCAAGCAUUCCUAUUUCAGACAACAAGUCAAGCACGUACUUCCUUUGGGAUAGAAAUAUGCCUUGUUUUGAUCGAGCUACUUCAAUCCCCAAAAAAUACUUCAACCCUCCAAGAUUUUUCAUCUCAAAUUCAAUUGCUAAAUGCUCUUGUAAUUUAGAGAUUUCUUCCUCGUCAUUUCUUGUAAUUAUCAUAUCAUCAACAUAGAUUAUUAGAGUUGUUACCUUCCCCCGUUGGUGCUUUAAGAAGAGAGUAUGAUCUAAAUUACUUUGCUUGAAACCGUGCUUUCUCAUGGCAAGGCUAAAUCGUCCAAACCAUGCUCUAGAAGACUGUUUCAAUCCGUAUAAUGCCUUUUGUAACUUGCAAACAUCCUUCCCCUGUGUCGAAGAAACAAAACCCGGUGGAAUGUCCAUGUACACCUCCUUUUUAAGAUCCCUAUGGAGAAAGGCAUUUUUGACGUCAAAUUGGUGCAAUGGCCAGUCCAAGUUUGCAGCAAGAGAGAUUAGUACUCUCACAGUAUUUAAUUUUGCUAUAGGUGAAAAAGUUUCUUGAUAAUCUACCCCAUAUGUCUGAGUAUAUCCCUUCGCAACGAGCCUUGCUUUAUAUCUUUCAACUGAUCCAUCUACUUUGUGUUUGAUAGAGAACACCCAUCGACAUCCCACAGUUUUCUUUCCCUUAGGCAAUGGCACAAGCGCCCAAGUAUCAUUUUUUUGUAAUGCUUUCAUCUCUUCCUCUAUCACUUGGAUCCAUUUGGGAUUAUUCAUGGCUUCACUCACUGUAUCAGGAACACUAUCUGCAGAUAAUUUAUGAACCAAUGCCUUGAGAGGUUCAGACAAUUUUUGAGUUGAGAUAUGGUUGGCAAUUGGGUACUUUGACUUGCUCGUUCCAUGAUCGGGUGAAUAGCGGUUUGGUGGUUGCCCGCGGUUAUGCCUGAAAGGUAGUUUAUAGCCAGAAAAAAUAUUGUGAGGAGAGUUUAGAACUUGUACCUCAGGAAUAUUCUCAAGAGAUUGGUCUAAUUGUGGUACUGUCAAGUCAUGGAAGGGUUGUUCACUUUCAAUUUCCCUAACUUCUCCAUUUUGAUAUACUCUUGUUGGUUGUUGUUCGAUCUCUGCUUCGACAUGCUCAACAUUUUCAACUUCUCCUCUUUGAUCUAUCAGUAUUGCCAUUGGUUCUCUUGGCUGAACCUCCCUUAUAUCAUUUGAAGUUUCUUCGAAGCCUGGCCAAUUUUCCCAAUUCUGCUCUUCACUCGUCAUCUCCCCCUGAAGAGAGAAGUGGGAAGAUUGAGAAGUGAAGAAAUUCUCCUAUUCAAUAAAGGUGACAUCCAUGGUGGUAUAGAGUCGCCUUGUAGCUGGAUCAUAACAUCGGUAUCCUUUCUUGUGAGUUGCAUAGCCAAGAAAAACACAAUGGACAGCACAUGGAUCAAGCUUUGUCCGUUGAUUCUUGUGUAGAUGAACAUAUGUAACACAACCAAACUUUCUUGGAGGAAGCAUUAGAACUGAUGGUAAUGUCACAUGUUGUGCGAGAACUUGAAGAGGGGUUUUGUAGUGCAAAACUCGUGAUGGCAAUCGAUUCAUUAAGUAUACAGCAGUCAUUAUUGCAUCUAGCCAAAAUCGUUUAGGAACAUAAGCAGCAGUCAAGAAAGCUCGAGUGAUUUCCAAGAUAUGUCUAUUCUUGCGCUCUGCAACACCGUUCUGUUGCGGUGUUUGAGAACAAGAUGUCUCAUGAUGCAAACCAUGUUCCUGAAAGUAUCUGUGAAAUUGUGCAUUAUCAUAUUCCCCACCAUUAUCAGAUCAAAGAAUUUGAAGUUUAGCAGAAAAUUGUGUUCGAAUCAUAUUAUGAAAUGAUCGAAAUAUUUCAAACACUUCAUGUUUAUUUUUCAUCACAUAAAGCCAAGUCAUUCGUGUACAAUCAUCGACAAAGGUUACAAACCAACGAACACUAGAAGAAAUAGUAAUAGGAGCAGGGCCCCAAACGUCAGAAUGAACAAUCAAAAAAUGAGUGUCACAUUUAUUCAAACUGAUUGAAUAAGGUACCUGAUGACUCUUAGCCUGAAUACAAGCUUCACACUUAAAAUCUGACUCAUUAAACUUCGUAAAUAAAUCUAGAAAUAAACAUCUCAAAUACCGAAAUGAGGGAUGCCCCAACCGAUUAUGCCAUAACCAUAUCUGUCUUUCCUUAACUCCAGCAGAAUGCAUAUUAUUUGCUCGACCAUAACUAAAAUCAUCCAUGUAAUACAACCCUUCCCUUUUAGUACCACGACCAAUAAUCUCCUUGGUGAGAAUAUCCUUAAACAAACAAAAGUUAGGGUACAUUAGAGCAUAACAAUUCAAUUCCUCAGUCACUUGUCCAAUAGAUAACAAUUAAUUGGAAAGUGAUGGAACUAGUAAGGUAUUUGGUAAUGUAAAAGAAGGAGAAAGAGCCACUGUUCCAACCCCUGUUACUGGAUAUGUUACUCCAUUAGCAUUGGCAAUGCAUAUUCGUUUUGGUUGGGUGGCUUUAGAGAAGUCACAAGGGUCAAAGGUCAUGUGGUCUGUUGCCCCAAAGUCAAUGAUCCAGCCAUCAUGGUUCCCCGUUUUCGAGCAAGAAAAAACAUAACCUUGGUUACCUGAGUCAUUCUGAGCAAUCUGUUCACUAGUGGAGAUAGAAUAUUCUUGUUGUGGUACGAGAGAUAGUUGAGGCUCUACGCUCAUAAGAGCUGCACAACCAAGAUUGUCGCCUCCACUUGCUUCACGCUUUUUCUUUGCCUUGAGUUCAUGCCACCAAUCUGGAUAACCAUGUAGUUUGAAGCAUGUUUCUUUGGUGUGUUUUGUAUUCCCACAAUGUGUGCAGCCUCCUCCUUCCCCUUUUGGUUUUGUGGUUGUGUUAGGCUUUCCAUUUGAUGGCGUUUGAAAAGAUAAUUGGUGUUGAGGUUUAUGUUCUCCUCUUGAAAGCAUAGCACCACCAGAUAUGGUAUCUUCAUUCAUCAUCAUUACGGAUUGCCUCAAAUCCUCUAUUCAAACUUGCGCAUAAGCUUGUUCCACUGUUGGGAAUGGUUGUAUCUACAGCACAUCUGCUCAGAUCUUGUCAAGCCGAUCAUCAAGUCCGUCUACGAAAGUGUAGACUCUAUCCUCCUAUAAAAUAGAGUUAUAUUUUUGUAUAUUAAUAUCACAUUCCAUAGGAUUUGGUCAACGAAAGUCGAUUUCCCUCCACAAGCCUUGCAGAUUGUUGUAGUGUGUCUCGAUAGAUCCUCCUUCUUGUUUGAAUCUGGUUACUCUUCUUUUGAGAUCAUAUACUUGUGAUGUAUCAGUGCCAUCAAAGUACGUAAUAGCAAUAUUAUCCCAAACAGCCUUAGCCAUUGAGAAUUUGAUAAAGUUACUGACUAACUUUGGAUCCAUAGAAUUGAUUAGCCAUCCCUUCACCACUGCGUUUUCGGUUCUCCAUUUUCUGAAUGCAGGAUCUGUUUGCAGGGGCUGUGGAAAAUCUCCAUUUAUGUAUCCCAACUUGUCUUUACCUGAGAUAUACAUCUCGACAAUUUGGGACCAUAGUGCAUAAUUGGUACCAUCUAACUUGAUUCCAAUCUGUGUAGCAGGUUCAUGACUUGUGAUAUGGUUCUGAGUUUGGUUGUGGUUCAGUACUUGUGUCAUUCUUGUCAUAAGAUCUGCGAGAAUUGAACUCUCCCCUUCGUGUUUUUCCACCCUAAUAGGAGGUGUUUCCAUUUUCCUCUUUCUGUUUUUUUUUUUUUUCUGAAAUUCUAUGGCCCUAGAAUCUCUGCUCUGAUACCAUGUUGAAGAGAAGAAAAAUGGUAUUCUUCUAUAUAUUGAAAGAUACAGCAGAUGAGGGCUAUAUAUAACCUAUACAUGAAGUUAAUUUGGAAGAAACUAAUCACACUAAUCUAGGCUACAAUCUUGGAUGAUUUACAAUAAAAUAAAACUAACUUGGUAACUAGAAUAUUUUUAUUUCUAUAAUUGCUCAUUCAACAACUCACGUCAAUAAAAUCAACCCUAGUUAUUCAACAUAAUAAAAAACAUUAGUUUCCUUAUUGAAAAUGGUAAGGACUAAGUAAAUUGAUAUAAAAUAGAAUGCUUUAUAGUUUAUGAGGUGAAGUAUUAGCACUAUAAAGUUAAGUAACUAAUUUGCUAAAAUUACUAGCUAAAACUUGAAAAAUCUUAUCUAAGUGAAAAAUAAAAUAAAAUAAAACUCUUUAUUUUACAUAAUAGCAUAUCUAUAUCCCCUUAAAUUAUGAAAUUCAUGUUGUUUUUUCAACAAAAAAAAAAAAGAUAGAAAAAGAAAAAGAAAAAACCUAGAAAUGCCUACUCAAAAAGAAUAGAUUGAUACACUCCCUAACCAUAAAAUUGAGUUGUAAAUAUAAAUUAUAGUUCAUCCAAGUCUAUAUGCGACUUUUAGAAAUCAAUAGCUAGUUUCAUUUACACCAUUGGUUCGCAUUUUUUUAUUCCAUUGAAAAGAAAGCAAUAAAAAUGAAUUGAGACAAAAAUGAUAAUACAAUCCAUAAAACAUCAAUAGAUUUGUAAACUCAUUAUAAAGUUCAUAAAUUUUUAGAUAAAAAGAAAAACAAUAUAAAGAGGAAAAAAAAUUAGGAACUAUCAAGUUCAAAAAUAGAAUUUAUGGUAAAAAAUAAAAAAUAAAAAGAUAUAACAAACAACAUUUUAAAGUAAGGGUACAAUAGUUAUUAAAAAGAAUCUCAAUAAAAGUUUUCUAAAAAUUGAAAAGAGAGAGAAAAAGUUUUUGGUAUGCUUUUAUGGUUUAGGGGGUAAAAGUUCAUAAUACUCGUCAUUUUAUCAUCUUUAUAGGAAAAAAAAAUUAGACUCAACUUUAUCACAACUCAUAUGAGUUAAAAAUCUCUUGAAUGUAUUUUCUCUCAAGUUUCUAAUGGAUACCCCUUUAUCAAAGGUAUGGACAUUGAGCUAAAUUCACCAUUAAAAUUCAUCAAGUUCCUUUUUUCCUUUUCCUAAUUCAUCAAGCUAUAUUUAUGAAAUAUCCUAAUUAUUCACUUGUAAUAUCAUAUUGUCAACAAAUCCCUUAACAGAUCUACACCUAUCACUAGUUAAUAGAUAAAAUAACUUAAUAAUUAGUUUUAAGUUUUAAGGACUUUACAAGACAAGCCAAGAACCUCAGAUUGCUUGCACACAAUUGACAAAUUGAUUUGUUUUAAAAAGUCAAAUGCUAAAGAAAAUCCACAACACAUAUUGUUUUAAAAAUAUUUGUAUUUAUAUGACAAAAAAAAAAAAAAAACCAAUAGUUUAAAUUGGAAAAGUUUAUGCAAAUUAGAUGAGGAAAAUGCAAGCCAUAAAAUAACAUUAAACUGUUAUCAUUCUCUAAGAAACAUCAAGAACAUAUUGAGAGAACCAUUGCUUGACAUAAUAAAUUGGUCUUGAAAGGAAAAGAAAAUCAUCAAAGCAAUUAUAUUUGUGAUGCAUUCCUAUUUGCAAUAGGUUCCAAUAUUUGAAGCUCACAAAUUCUUCACAUUUGGAUGAACCUUUUUAUUGCAAACAUAGAUCAACCUUGUGGUGCUUACCAAUGGGAAAACAAUUAUAGUAAGAUAUGUAUUGCAAAUGGUGCAUGCUUGCUGUAAAAAUAAAAAAUAAACAAUGAUGAUUGGAUAAGGGAUAGAAAUGGAACAAAAGACAUUGAAUUGUUAUAUGAAUUAAUAUAUUUUAUGUACUCAAAUACAAAAGCAUAUUAUAAUAAUAUUCAUAAGGCAAAAACCACUAUUUUUUUUAUUGGGAAACCCAUAUGAGAACAUGGCAUGGGGCUCAUCAUUGCACACACCACAUUCUCCACAAAAAACCAUAGGACUAACACCAUGAAAACCCAUCAUUGGCACCAUCCUCUUGACUCUCAAUCCCUUAACCCUACACAUUUUCAAACCAAUGUCAUCAACCACUCAUAUCACACAACUCAUAACCCAUCUCUAAUUCCACAACUUUCACCACUGUUGUACUACCAUUCACAUCAUCUCUAUCUCUAAAAACCUACACUCACACCUCUACAAAAUGUCACACUUCCUCACCUUAUACAACACCACCGCCUUAUUAAUUCAUCCAUGCCUAUGGCUAACAUAAAAAAACCCACCAGCACCCUCAUAAAAAAACAAUACUAUUUCAAAGUUACACCACAUUAAUGUCACCAUGCACCUUUCCCUCCAUUGAAUAUCCCAUACAAUCUCUCAUUAUCACCCUCGUCAAAUUCGCAAUGUCUCUCCUAAAUCCUGUAUGACUCUUAGUUUUACCAUUUAUUAGGUUAGCGUCCUCUAGUUCUAAUCGCAACCACUCUAACUUCCAAAGAAAUAAAAUGAUAAAUGAGCAAGUCAUGGAGAUUUCUCUUCCUUACAACCUUUUGCUCCAAGUGUUUUGGUACCCUACUAUUUGCACAUAUAUGUCUUGACAUUAACUUCUACUCAAAUAUAAUCUCUUCUUGUUUUCAUGCUUACCUAUUUUAUACAUCUUUUUUUGUAGAUUUUUUAAUUAUUUAACAUCUUAAGGUUUGCUUUGGUCAUGUUGUAUUGUUUACUUUGCACACUAACCAAAUGUCAAGGCCCUUUUACAUACAACUGGUUCUACCUUAGUCUUUGCAAUACCUUCCUAAGGUAGACCAAGUGAUCUUGUAGAGUGUAGUUGUAGAUCACUAUAUCGUCCAAAUAAUACACCACAAACGAGUCUAGGAAGUCAAAUAAGAUGUUGUUUAUGAGGUUGCAGAAAGCGGCAAGGGCAUUAAUCAACCCGCAAUGCAUGACCAAGAAUUCAUAGCUACCAUACCAAGUCAAACAAGUUGUCUUUGCAUCAUCUCUUUAAGCAAUGAAAACCUGUCAAUACCCUAAUCAUAGGUUUAUCUUGGUAAAAUACUCCACUUCACAAAUUGAAGAAGUUUGUGUGUGUGUGUGUGUGUUUGUAUAUAUAUAUAUAUUAUGCCAUAGCUUUACAUGCCAUCUACUUGUCUCCAUUUCAACAUUUGAUCAUCACCCAUGGAUGCAUUAUUCUAACUAAAUCCACUUCUCCUUCUUUCAUCCUCUUUCCAUUUUGCAUUAGAAUUAAUCCAAUUAACACCACAUAUUGCUUCUCCGUUACCCCACAUUGGUAUAUAUGCAAUGAACUUUUUGGUUUUAGCUCCAAUGUUUUAGCUACAAUUAGGGCCAACUUUAUAUUAUUAUGUACCUCAAAAUUAAGCAUUGAAUAAUGCACCCUACUCAUCUCCAUUUGGUUCAAAUGGCUUGUUGUUGUUCAAAUUCAUAGUCUCUUCAAUAUCUUGUAGUUUUCAUGAAUUCCAUUUGGAAGACCAAACUACACAUGUAUUUUACAAAUAGUAAGCCUGAAUUUACAACCAACGAUCUAACAACUACACAAAGAUUUAUAAUUUCAAUAAAAUCACACAAUAUUUAUGCCACCUAAUUCAAUAUUUUGAGCACCAGGGAGUGAGAAUUAAUGGUAUUAGAAUAUUUAGGUAUCUUGCAGUAUGGUUACAAGUUAGUUAAAUAAUUGUUAGCUUGUUAAAUAAUCGUUAGUUGCUUUUUCUAUUUUUUUUUUUUUUGUUUGCAACUGGUAAACUAGUAGGUUGUGAUAGCUUUUUUACCAAUCUUUAUUAUAAAGGCUUUCUUUGUAUUACUAAAACAUCAAGUGAGAAUAUUCUAAAAUUAUCAGAGAACUCAUUUUCUCUUCUUUCCUUUCUCUAGUCAAUUUUCUAAUAUGGUAUUAGAGUCAUUUCUUUUGUCUCUGUGACUUCUCUAACUUUCCCCUCCCAUUUAUCUAAUGGCUUGCGGUGGUGGCAAUGUUAAUGCCAAUCGAGCAGUAGUUAGUACUCCUAAUUCCUCUAUAAUGGAAUAUUCGAGCAGUCCAUUUUUCAUCCAUAGUAAAUAUCACCAAGGCUUGGUUCUUGUCUCAUAUCAACUUACUGGAGCUAACUAUAAUUCCUAGAGUAGAUCUAAGCACAUGGCUCUUAUAGCUAAGAACAAGAUCAGCUUGGUUGAUGACGCUUUUCUUCAACCUCCAACAGACAAUCUCAUUUCCUUUGUUUGAAUCCAUUGUGAUAGUAUGGUUACAUUUUAGAUCUUGAACUCUAUUUUUAAAGAUAUUGUUGAUAGUCUUCUCUAUGCUAAUAGCACUUUUAAUGCUUGGGUUGAUCUUUAUGAUUGAUUCCACCAAAGCAAUGUCCCACAAAUCUUCUAAAUCAAGAAGCACGUAGUUGUUCUUGAGCAAAGAUCUAUGGAUGUCAACACAUACUACACUAAGCUCAAGGUCCUCUAGGAUGAGCUCAAAAAUUAUCAACCCAUUCUUGUCUAUCACUAUGGAGGCACAAAGUCUUGGUUAGACACCAACAAUAGGAGUACAUCAUGCAAUUUCUUAUGGGUUUGAUUGAGUCAAAUGCUCAAACUUGAACACAGAUCUUAAUGAUGUCUUUGCAUUAGUUGUUCAAGAAGAAUGCCAAUGUACUAUCAAUUAAGGCUUUUUUUUACUUACCGAUUCUCUUAUUCCCAACAUUUCAAAUUCCUUUACUUUUGUUGCAACAACAAAUUUUUCUCGAAAUUCAACUUUAAAACCUAAGCGUGAGUGACCCUAAUGUUCCCAUUGUGGCUUGCAAGGACAUAUUGUAAAUAAAUGCUAUUAGUUACAUGGCUAUCAUCCUGGCUAUAAGUCAAAAUCAAAGAAACCUGAAGUAAAAAAUUCAAGCCACCUAGGCCAAUGCAACUAUUAAUGAGACUAUUAACUUUGAUUCAUCCCUUGGAUCUCUUACUUUAGCUCAGUGUCAUCAAUUGCUUGCAUUCUUGAGCUCUCAACUUCAUACCAACUUUCUUAUUAUGCUAGAAUCUCAAUAGCUAGAACCCUUUGUUUCCCAGUUCAAUGGUAUACUAUCUUUUUCUUCUAUAUCAUAAUUUUCCAAUUUCUUUUUCCAUCUGGAUUUUGGACAUAGAAGUCGCACAUCAUGUUUGUUGUUACUUAAGCACAUUUACACAAUCUACUCCAGCACAAAAUUCUUUUGUAACUUUGCCUAAUAGUCAAUCUGUUGUUAUUAAUCGUAUUGGUUAUGUAUUUUUGUCUCCUGAUCUCAUCCUUAAUAAUGUCAUGUUUGUUCCUAAUUUCCAUUUCAAUCUUCUCUCUAUUAGUUCUCUCACUCAGAGUUAUAAAUCUUCUAUUAAUUUUAUGGUUGAUUCUUGUACUAAAGGCCAUACAUGGACCAAAACGAUUGGGAUGAGUAGAAGACAUGGCAGCCUAUACUUCUUAAAUAUAGUCAAUUUUCAUGCCACUACACCACAAAUUUUCAGUCCUUGUAAUAAUGUUUCUUUGUCUCAAAAUGAAAUUUGGCUUUACUGUUUAGGUCACCUUUCUUAUGUAACGUUACAAACACUCAAAGAUGAAAUAGAAGUUAAACCAAAUUUUGGUGAUUCAAGUCAUUGUUUAGUUUUGCAUUUAGUCAAACAAUGCAAAUUACAUUUAUUUCUCACAAUUAUUUGUCUGUUUUGCCUUUUCAACUCAUACAUUGUGAUGUUUAGGGUCUCCUUCACACAUUUACCAUUGAAGGUUAUAGAUAUUUUUUACUAUUGUUAAUGAUUGUACUCAUUUUAUUUGGGUGUAUCUUUUGCGUGCUAAGCCUGAUGUUACCGAAGUUAUUCCUAAUUUUUUUUUUCUCAUUGAUUCAAACUCAGUUUAGAACACAAAUAAAAUUAGUUCACUCAGAUAAUGCUCCUGAAUUGGCAUUUUUUUUACUUCUUUCAUUCAAAAUGAGUCAUCUCAUUUCAUUCUUGUGUUGAUUAGCCUCAACGGAAUUCAAUAGCAGAAAGAAAGCAUCAACAUAUCUUAAAUGUUGUAUGGUAUUUAUGUUUCCAAUCGCAUAUUCCAUUGGUUUAUUAGGGGGAUUGCAUUCUUAUUAUUGUACACUUAAUAAAUAAAACUCCAUUCCCACUUUUGUCCAACAAAACAACAUUUGAACUUCUUUGGAAAAAGAAGCUUGCAUAUUCACAUCUUCGUAAUUUUGGUUGCCUAUGUUAUGCAUCUACUUUAGAUCGUCAUAGGACAAAUUUCUCACCUCAUGUCAUUCCUUUUGUCUUUCUUAGGUACCCACCUGGUUAUAAAGAAUACAAAUUAUUGAAUCUAGUCACUAAUUCUGUGUUUAUCUCCCAUAAUGUGGUAUUUCAUGAGUCUAUAUUUUCUUUCAAAACUACUCAAACUUAUUCUCCUCUUCCAGAUAUUUUCUCCGGCUAUUGGGUGCAAAUAGGUGUACAAAAAUAAGUAUAGAGUUGAUGGAACUAUUGAACAAUACAAAGCUCACCUUGUAGCUAAAGGCUGCACACAACAAGAGGGCAUAGACUAUCUAGGUACCUUCUCUCAUGUUGUCAAAUUGGUUACUGUUAAGGUUUUGCUUGCUUUGGCUACCAUUAAUGGUUGGAGUCUUCCUUAGUUGGAUGUCAAUAAUGCGUUCUUACAUGGUGAUCUUUUUAAGGAAGUUUAUAUGACUAUGCCUCCUAGUUAUCACUUAAAGGAAAAUCAUUAUCCUCACACUCUGUUUACAAAAUUCAGAAGUCCUUGUAUGGCUUGAAACAAGCAUCACGACAAUGGUUUUCCAAACUCUCCAAUUUCUUACUUGUUAAAGGUUUUUAAACAUUCUAAUGCAAAUCACUCUCUUUUUGUCAAAGUUGUUAGUACUUACUUCAUUGCUCUAUUAGUUUAUGUGGAUGACAUUGUCAUUGUUAGUAAUAGUGAUGAGCAAGUUGAGAAAUUAAAAGUUCUAUUUAGGAAAGCUUAAAUACUUCUAGGGCCUUGAGGUGGUGAGGUUUAAUAAGGGAAUUUCCCUUAGUUAGCACCAUUAUGCCUUACAAUUACUAUCAGAUGUAGGCUAUGUUGGUUGUAAAACAAGGAAAACACUUAUAAAUCCAUAGAAGAUCUUUUAUUUUACGGAAGAAUGAUAGGCAAAUUGGUUUAUCUAACCAUAGCAAACCCAGAUUUAUCAUUUUCAGUACAUAAAUUCAAUCAAUUUCUUGCAAAGCCUAGAGUUCUUCAUAUGUGGGCAAUACAACAUGUGCUUCAGUACUUGAAAGCAUGGUUUGAAAUAUUGGUAAACACGGAUAUAUCGAUACUUGGAUUUUAUGGAUAUAUUGGAAAUAUUGGUAAAAUAUCGGUAAAUAUUAAUAAAAUAUCGGUAAAUAUUGGUAAAAUAUCGGUGGAUAUUUUGACAAAAAUAUUAGUGAAACAAAAAUUAUUCAAAAUUCAUGGAAAUGUUUGGAAAACUCUAAAAAAAAAAUGAUAAAAUAAGCAAGAAUACAUAUGUUAAAGUUAUUGUAAGUGGAAUUGACAUAAGUAUGGUCAAUGAGAAAAAUAUUGAGGGAUAUAUCAGUCUUAAUAAUUUAUUAUUUAUCUUAUCAAAUUAAUUUUAUUUUAUAAAAUAUUAGAAGUUCAUUAUUUUUUUAUUUUAGUAAUUUUUUGAAUAAAUUUAUAUUUUUAAUAUUUUUAAAAUAAAAAAAUUCAAAAUCAAUAAAAUUAAAAGGAUAAACAUAAAAAAAAAAAAAAGUGAAAUGAUAGUAAUUUCUAAAAAUAAGAUUAAUGAGAUAAAUGAUGAUACAUUUAAUAUUAAAACUAUAAUUUAUUUAAUUCAAAUACAUUCAACAAUGUAAAAUAAAUUAUGAUGCAUAUAUAAUUUUUUUUAUAUUUAUAUUUAUUUUUAUAUAAUUGUCAUAUAAAUGAUAUAAAAUAAAAUAAAAUAAAAGACUUAUUAAGAAAAUUAUAAUGAUGGUUUUAUACUUUUAUCAAUUAAUUAAAUUAAAUAAUUAGAAUUAAUUUAUUUAUUCUUUUAAUGAUGAAUUUUAACAUAUUUAUUGUGAACAUAUAUUUACAUAUGUGGACUUGGCCCAAUAGUAGCCAGGCUUCACCCAAGCCUUUUGGCCUGGGUUUGAAUCCCCUUGGAUGCAAUAGAAAAAAAUUUGAAGGAAUUUACACGAAUAUCGGCAUCUUUUCGAUAAAGUCGAUUGACUUUCAGUGUGCAAUAUCAUGUCAACUCUCCUUGAUAUUUUGACGAUUGACUUUCAGUGUGGAAUAUCUUGUUAGCUCUCCCUAAUAAGCAAAAUAUCGACAAUAUUUCACCAAAAUUUUGCAACAUUUCAAUGUGGAAUAUCAUGUUGACUCUCCCCAAUAUUUCAACAAUUGACUUUCAGUGUGAAAUAUUGUGUUAGCUCUCCCUGAUAAGCAAAAUAUCGACAAUAUUUCACCAAAAUUUUACAACAUUUCAAACCGUGCUUGAAAGUUAUGCAGGACAAGGUUUAUUUUAUUUUAUUUAUUUAUUUUUUUCAUUAAUAGAGUUGAAAGGGUUUGUUGAUUCAAAUUGGGCAACUUGUGUGGUCUGUUAGUGGGUUUUGCUUUUUUUUUUUUUUUUUUUUUAAUUAUUGGUGAUUCCUUAAUUUCCCAGAAAUAAAAAGGCAGCAUAUAGUUUCAAGAUCUUUUGUUGAAGUUGAGGACAGAUUUAUGGCAAAUGCAACAUGUGAAUUGAUGUGAUUACUUUCUUUAUUUAGAGAUUUGCAUGUAUCUCAUCCUAAGCCUGCCUUGCUAUUUUGCAACAAUCAAGCAACUCUUUAUAUUGUAGCUAAUCCAAUUUUUCACAAGCACACUAAGCACAUUGAGAUCGAUUAUCACUUGGUUAGAAAGAAACUGUAAAAUGGAAGCUUGAAGACACUACAUAUUUCAUUUAAACAUCAAGUGGGGGACUUGUUGACCAAACCUUUUUCUUCACCUCAAUUUCAUUUUCUUCUUAGUAAAAUGGGAAUUCACAACAUUCAUUCUCCAUUUUGAGGGGGAGUAUUAGAAUAUUUGGGUAUCUUGCAGUAUGGUUACAAGUUAAGUAAAUAAUUGUUAGUUUGCUAAAUAAUUGUUAGCUUCUUUUUCUAUUUUUUUUUUGUUUGCAACUAGAUGUGUCUAUUCAAUAACUUCAUAUGGUUAUAGUUAAUUAAGAAUCCUUUACGUAAUAACUAUUAAAAUAAUUUGUUUCCAACUUUCCUAUUAAAUUUUCUUCUGCUUAGUAUUUCAAAAAUUAUAGUUCAAGAAAGCUCUUUCGAUUUCUAUGUUGCACUGUAUCUUCUUAUAUGUUAGUACAAAUCAUACUCCUCUUUUUACCUCUUCAAUGAAUCCUUUUAGGAGUAAGACCACCAAGUGAGCACCCUUAUAUCGAUCCACAAGCUUUUUAUUACAUAUUUUUGGUUUGUGCACACCACCUCAAAUUUAAGUGGCCCAUAAAUUUUAUACUUUGGAUACCUUACCAUCCAAUCAUAAGCAUAAACUAAAUUUGAAAGGAUAAGUUUAGUUUAUUUUAGAGAAACUGAGCUCCAAGUCCCCUAGCCAAACAUGAAGUUUUGAAGCAUGAAAUUUUUGUGAUGGAACAUAUUUGCAAUCCUUAUUAAAUUGACCAAUUGUGUUAUGCUAAGAAUGCAAAUUAUGCAUGGCAAAGUGGUUAGAAAGUGUACAAAUGCACCAUCUUUUUACUUGUUUUUUUACUCAAAUUUCUCUGUCAAUUUUUUUUUCAUUCUUAUCCUUCUUAAUUGAGGCAAACAUGUUUUGGCUAGUGCUUUCAAAUGCCUUAAAUAUAUUCUUUUCAAUAUUGUAAACAUUUGGCUUGGUCAUUGUUAUAGUUAUCAAUUGUGUCAACUUUUACUUUCUCUCAUCCCCAAUUACAUAUGCACUUUGUAGUUUUAAAUUUUUUUUAGUGAUUAAUCUUAGUUUUUAUCUAAUUGUUUGCCCUAUAGUCUCUGACAUAACUAUAAGUGGAACAUGCACCUCUCACAAACCAAAAGACAUCACUUGUCUUCUUUAAUUUAAACAUUUUUGCAUCUGUGUAAGAUUUGAAACUAGAAUUUCACAAUAUCUCAUAGUCAUCUUCUCUAGUUGUUUCUCAAAGCUCUCUUCAAGAUUUAGUUCAUGUUCAAUUACCAACUUUGAGUUUUCAAUUUUAUUUUAUUUUUUCCUACAAGUCAUGAGGAAAUGAAUUUCAACUGUGUUUCAUCUAUCCAUCUCUCUUAAAUUGUUUUAUUCAAUAGUUACCAAUUGUAGAAUUGUUUUUAUAUAUUCUUUUCAUAGAUAUUGUUAAUAAAUUAUGCUAAAUGAGUAGCUUCCUGAUGUGGUGAGAGCUAAUUUUAUUAUUGCUAGGAUAAUAUAUUUUUAACUUUCUUGACUUUUUCCGAAUUAUAAACCACUCAUGCUUUGACCAAUCUCCAUGUGUUUUUCAUUUGUUUGGAUUUAUGGGCUUUUGAUUCUAUUUAGUGAAUAGAUAAUAAGGAAUUAAGGAUCUGAGAUUGACAUUAUUUUAAGGAUGUUUGAAGAUGGCAUAGUGAAGUAUAGAAUAUUGUUUUGGGUUGUAUCUCCUCGUUUCUCAUACUUAUGGUGGACAUUGAUGAGUUGGAUUAUUUGAAUGAAAUGAGCUUUGGAAAAAUACUAGUAAUUACAUGAAUUGUUGCAAUAUAUUUGAGUGAAAAUAUUAUGUUAGUGUCUCUCCAUGUCACUAAUUCAAACCUGUGACUUUCCAUUGUAAGUGGUAGAAAUAUAUCUUUUAUUUUCUAGAAAACAUUACUCUAACUUGUGAAAAAGGUUCUUAUGCCUCCAUGUUAAAUGUUAUAUGAUGGAAAAAACCUGAAUCUCUCUGUUUCCUCAAUCUGGAUCAAGUUAGGAAUAUGCAUAACUAUCCUAGGCUUUUUCUAAAUUCUAUGCACAACAAAAAAUUAAUUUUUUUUUAUACUUUAUAAGGAUCUAGAAAGUGCUAACGAAAACUAUACCUCAAAUUCGAAUGUUCCCGAGUCUUUCGCCCGAUGACUCAAACCUUGAUCUUGGCACACUUCUAAUGGGGAGGAAAUAAGGGUGGAGGCUAUAGUUCUCUAUCUCUCUGGAUGGUGGAAGAUAAAAUCCAUGGAAACCCUAACCUCUAGGGGGUAUUUAUAGGGUUCCUAAGUUGGCUUAAGUGACUUGAGCCCAUACAGACUUAGGUCACUUAAUCUAACCAAAAAUGAGUUCUAAUUAAUUAAUUAACCCAAUAAGGCCUACUAAUUAAUCAAUUAGCCCAAUCAAGAGACCUUGUUCACUUACCCCUAUACAACCUUGCGUAAUUAUCAAAAUGCCCUUAUACACAAAAGUGAACUUAGAGUCAAUUCAACCCUCAUAACCCAUGCUAACAAGGUGUAUGAGUUCAAAGCGGGGACCAUUGGGACCCAUAGAAAUACUGACUCCCUCAAAAUCCAAUUCUAAAGUUGAUUCAAUAUCACACUACAGAGAAUCAACUAAACUUCAAUAUCCUAUGUAAAUAACAACGAGACACUAAGUGAUCGGGUCUAUGACUUGCUAUCCAUUGUGUUCAGUCUCCCCAUGAACUAAUGUCUGUCGUUUAAUAAGGUGAAAGCUAUUAGUCUUUCAAGACUACCUCUACCUCCUAUUUUGUGUUCAAUUGACAUAUCUUAGUUCUCAAAUUGCCUAUGUCAAGUUCCAUUUAAUGAACUACAUGACCAUAGUUUCCAUGAAUAUACCUCCUUAAGAUCACCCAAGGGGACACACUGUCUCAAUCCCAAGAGAUAUCAUAGUGCCUCUAUUGAAAAUACCUAUUACUACCAGCUUCUACCAAUAAUGAUCUAAUCCAUAUGGAAUAUAUGAUCAACUUCCGAUUUCACCCGUAGGUCAAAGUCAUUGCCAACUUUAGCACAAGCUCAAUAUUCUCUCAAGGUUGAGAGACAACACAAUGAAACAGCUUGGUGAGGUCAUGACUCAAUAAUAGCCUUAAGUCAUGACUCACCAUAGGUCUUGUCCAAUGUGUAACCAUACACACUAGUGCACUCACCAUAGGAAACCCAUCCCGAUAACCAAGACCAGUGAUCCCUCCAAUUAGGAGGUGGUGCACUACAACCUUUAAUGGGUUGCCUAGACCCAUGAACCAGUUGUGAACAAGUCAUCUAUUUGCAAAGAACCCAUGACUUAGAUCUCCUGUGCAACUCCUAAUGCACCUAAGUCACGUACAAUAGAAAAAAUGCAGACAAAAAGGCUCAUAAAGUAUAAUAUAUGGAAUAAGAAUAUAUAAAAGUGAAACUGGAACAUCAUUAAAUAAAUAAUGAAUUCUAAGUUUAUUACAUCAUGUCAUGCUUUUAAGGGCUUUAUCCUAACAUUAUGUAUUUGAGAUAAACAUGAUAUAAUGAGAUUUAUAUUUCUCUGUUAUAAUAUUUCAAUAAGUAAUUGUGUUUUAAUUUUAAUAAACUAUGCUUGCAUGAAACAAUUCAAGUAUCAUUGGCAUCAUUGUGAGACAAAAGUUUCUCUUAUUACAUAUUAAAGAGAUUUAAGUUAUCAAAAAGUGAAAACGGUUUUAUCUAGGCUAGUUUCAAGUUGACAACUUUUAAAUUGUUUAUCAUGUGAUAAAGAACUUUUCCCCACAAAUGAUACUUGAAUUGUCUAAUUAAACAGUGUAGGAAAACAUAAUAUCUAUGAAGUUAAUUGUUUGUUCUUAAUUCAAUUUUUAUAAAUUUUGGUAGUCUUUUCUCUUAUUCUCUGGGUGCAUAUUUGGAUAAAGUUGCAUAGUAUGUCUUGUCCAUUUUACAUACUUAGAGAACUAUAGGGAAAUUCUACUAAAAUUUCUUUAAAAUGAAAUUGACCACAUUGGUCAUUGACACAUAGAGAUUAUGUAUUUCUAUAUGGGAUAGGAACUACUACUGAAUUUAGGAUGUUGGAGAUGUUAGAAUGCAUAAAACAUGCAUCGAAAUUUGACAUACUCAAAUGAUUUUCUUGUGUUGCUUAAGGAGUUUAUUGAGAAAAUUGGUAUAGACAAUGUUUGAUGCAAAGGUCAUGGACAAACCCAAUAUAAUAAUAUUAAUAUGAACUAGUUUUAUUGAGGUUAUACAUCCCUUUUAAUGCAAGUAUUCAUGGUCAACAACAUUUAUAACUUAUUAGUCACUACUACAAAUAAGAUAUACCAUGACCUUGUUUUUUCCCUGGCACUUUUAAAAAUGUUAAUAAUUAGCGUGAUAUUUGAAAAGUGUAGAUCUAUCUUCAUAGAUCAAAAUGGUUAGAACAAUGCUUACUCUUUUUCUUUUAAAUUUGGCAUCUUAACAAAUGUUAAACUACAUUUUCUUGAUUAUUAUUUGAACAAAAAAAAAAAAAGAGGUUGUUAAACGAAUAGCAUAGAAAAUGUUGUUAUUUUCUUCAAUUUGAAGUUUGAUCACUAUUGAAAGUUUGUUCUUAAAAAAUGGAUCGUUUGUGGAUUUCAAAUGAUAGAGGAUUAAAGGAGUAUGAGGAUGGGGUAGAACAUUUUUAUCACAUUUGCAAUAUAAAAUUCUGCAUAUAAAAACUCCAUUAAGUGUCCAUGCUUGUAGAGUGGUAAUAUGAUAUUUCAUACUCCUCAAAGAUUUCCUCAAAAGAUUAGAGAGCAUAUGUUUUUCUAUAGAAUUAAUUAGAAUUACCAUAUAUGGUAUUGGCAUGGGGAAGCAACUCCAAGUGAACCGCCAACUAGAAGGGUAGAACAUUAUAAUAUGGUUCAAUUUAAUGAUGUAGAUAGUACAAUAGAAAUGGUUGAAGUUGUACAAGUUGAAUGUCAAAAUGACCUAAAAUUGCUUAAAAGAUUACUUCAAAUUGUUGAAAAACCUUUUUAUAUCAUAGUUGUAGAAAAUUCACACAAUUGUUUGCAUUGGUUAAAUUAUACAACUUGAAAACACACUAUGAGUAGUCUGCUAAAAGUUUUUCAGAGCUUUUAAAAAUGCGUAGAUAUAUGCUGCCUCUAAAUAAUGAGUUACCCUUAUCUAUGUAUGAGGCAAAAAUGGCAUUGAAUACAUUAGGAAUGGAAUAUGAAAAAAUACACACAUGCCCCAUGAUUGUAUACUUUAUAAGAAUAAGUUGAAAGAUGCAUUUCAUGUCCUAUCUAUGGAACUUCAAGGUGAAAGGUAGAUAAUAUAGGAACUAAAAAAAUGACGAGAGCUCCUGGGAAAGUAAUGUGGUAUUUUCUUCCAAUUCCAAGAUUUAUAAGAAGGUUUCAAUCAUCAAAAAUCGUAAAAGACCUCUUAUGGCAUACCUAAGGAAGAGAUUUAGAUGACAAAAUGUGUCAUCCGGCUGACUCUCUAUCAUGGCUAAUUGACCAUAAAUGGCCCAACUUUGUUUCAAAACCUAGAAACUUGAGACUUCCCAUUUUAGCAAAUGGUAUAAAUCCUCACAAUUCAUUGAUUAGCAAAUAUAGUUGUUUGUCCUAAAGAGCUUGAAGCAGUAACUAUGGACAAUGUUUUUUUUUUAUCAUAAAGAGCAAGUUAUGGGCUACACUAUGGCUGCAGAUAGAGGUAAAACCUUUAACUUGUUUUUAGUUUGAUUUUUGUUUUCUUUCAUAAUGGAAAUAGAAAAUCAUCUAAACGAAUAGGACCUUAAUAAUUUAUUUUUUAUUCUACAAUUUAUUUUUGAAUAAAAUAAUUUAAAAGAUUUCAUUCUUAUAUUUGUUAGACUUUUUUUUUAAUGAAGAAAAAAAUAGUCUCCCUUUUAGCAUAUAUAUUAUAUAUGAUUAACAAUGGGUAUAAUAAAAUUUAUUUAAUAAAUAAUUGAUGUGACAUUCUAAAUUGAAAGUCAUAAAUUAGCUCAUUUGUUUGAUGUUGUCCCUAAAACUACAAGACCUGAUUACAUACUUAGAUUUUGUUCUUGAAAUUUAAGAGAUAAUUGAUGUGACAUCUUGAAUUGAAAGUCAUAAAUUAGCUUAUUAGUUUGAUGUUGGCACUAAAACUACAAUUCCCAAUGACAUAAAUUUUGUUCUUGAGAAAUGUCAUUAUGGUUCAUAGUAAGGCUUAGUUUGGUGUGUCAGACCAUGCAUGCAUGAUAUCUUUUCACAUUCUCUUGCUUUUUGACAAACAUGCUACCAUACUCAAGGUGUUUGUCAAGGCUCAUCUUGGACUACUCAAAACUUUAGGGUCCUUUCUUUGAGUUCACAAGCUUCUUUCCCCUAGUGUUAACCCCAACUCCCAAAAUCCACUCCUUAUUAGUGCACUGACGAAAUCUACAAAUGCACCAUAAAGUGAGAAUGACAUCAUGAAAAUGUAUUAAUGCAUCUUAGAUAUGGGAACUUAAAAAAAAAAAAAAAAUCUAGAGUUUAGACUUGUUUCUGUUAAUUAGAAAUUACUAAGCAAUGAAUCUUGCUAGUGUGGAAAGCACCAAUAGAUUGACCAAGGAAGGUAUAUAUAAAAAAGAUUGACAUUGUCAAUUGGGAAAAUUCCUCUGCAAACGCCAAUCCUAUCUUUCUAACCAUCAUGGAUGUUGAGAAGUAGAUAUCGAUGACUAUGAUGAGGAUCACAAAGGAUUAUCAUACCAAGGAGUUAGACAUUUGUUGGGUUAUCAACAAUUUUAAUGAAGGUGGUAUUAACUAUUUGGUUGUUGAUAGUGUAUUGCGUAGUUCAACCAAGCCAAUCUGCUCCUACAUUGAGAUCAAUCUCGAUGAAAAGGUAGCAUAUAUUUUUCAUUUCCUAAUUAUAUCAACUGCUUCAUGGUGCCUUUGUCUGAUAAGCUUAACAGGUUCUUCUACAUUUCCACCCUCUAAUUCUCUAAAGUUCAUCAUGAUAGGGUUGAAAUUUCAUCAUCAAAUCAAAACACAUCCUCCUAUAAGAGGCCUUUGAAUUCUGAAAUAAUCAAUUCACUUGAUUCUCAUAUUGGCAAAGACAAGCUUACACUAUUGGAAAGACUACCCAUCACCUUUGCCUUCCCAAAUAGAAAAGAUGAGAGAUAACAUUUCACAAAAUCACAAGAAUUAUUCAAGUUUGGAAUUCAUAGGCAUUGUUAUUGAAUUUCAUUUGUAUAAAAUUGGUGUGUUGUGUUUAUUUUGUUGGUAUUAAAAUUGAAUUUUUUUAAUUGCAAAUUGAUGAUUUUUUUUUCUCACAUUUAUACCCAUUAGAGUUUCUUAUUAGGGUUUGUGUUUGAAAUUUGGAGAAAGUAUGGUGCAAUUGUUCACCAGUGUGGUGUACCAUUUUGUUUGUUGUAUCUGAUCUUUGGGUAUUUGAUUUAAUUUUAUUGUUGUUGAAAUUGAAAGUUGAAAUCCAAGUUAAAUGUUUAACUAGAUAUUUGUAGUUGACUUGUUUGCACCGAUCUUGAUUGCCCAUUUCAUGGGAAUAAUUCAUUCCAAUUUUCCUUCAUGAUUACUAAAAAUAUAUUGUAGGUGAAGGACUAUUAUGGAGUAUAUUUAAUUCACAAGAUUGAAUAUUGAACAAAGAUAUGCCUUAGGUCUAGCUUAUAUGGAAUAGCAUAUCUUACAUUUAGUUAAUUAAAUAUACUAUACAAAUUUUGGUUAUAUAUAAUAUCUAUGUUACAAAUUUGGAUAAUUCGAAGUCUAAGUGACUUCAUAUAAUUAUUGUUACAUCUUAAAAAUGAUUUCACAAAUUAGAAUUACAAUGACUCCUACAUAUCUUAGAUUCUAACUCAAAUUCUCACUUGAUUUUAUUUUAUUUUUAUUUUUUUGUUUUCAAUCAAUUAAUAAUAUGUUAUGGGCUAGUUUAGCUUAUAGUUGAGAUGAAUUUUAUCUAAGAGCACCUCAAUUUGAACCAAAUUGAAGAAAAAAAUGACUUAUUAUACCUUAUGAAAGAUAAUAUUAUUAAUUUCCAUGUUUUUUUUUCAAAUAACCUUUUCAUGACAUGAACUUAUAUGGAACAUUGUUGUAUUAAUUGAUUAGGAAAUCACUAAGCCUAAGAAAGUGAGAAAAUUUAAAAGGGAAGGAAUGUCACCAUUGCAUUUUAGCACAAAGGAAGAUGAUCUCUAGCUAUGACGAAAAUUCAAGAAAUGAACAAGUUCCAUUAAAGAUGAAGGCACAAUUGGGUGACAUUUAAAAAAAAUGUCAAAGGAAGUUAUUGUUUUAGCUACGGAUAUGUUCUUUUUUUUUUUUUUUUUUAGACUUCUUGUGUUACUCAUAUAUGUAAUAUGCAAUGUGAUUUCUCUUUUAUAUUAUAAAUUUAUUACUCUUAGCACUUCAUUUAUGGGAUAGAUGAAUAAUAAUUACUUUAAUUUUAUUUAAUUGUUGGAUAGUUGUUGGAUGGAUAAAUAAUUGUCAUUUCUUUAUAUUUGAGUUAUUUCAAUAUCAAAUGCCAAUUAAAAUAAAAGAGCAAUAGGUGAAGCUAAUUUUAGAUUGUCACAAUCCUUGGCACUUCCACUAAGUGUCAAGGUUUAGAGCAAUCAACAAUGGAAAAGGUGAACGAUGAUGCUUCCAAAAAGCGUCAAGGUUAUUUCAUCUUCAACAAUACCAGUUUUUGUAAGUGUCAUUAUUUACAAAAUCAACAAUAACAUUGGCAAAUUGGUACGCCUCAAUGCUUCUAAAAAACAUCAUUAUUUGUUCCAUAUUUACAAUGACGCUUUUAAAAGUGUCAACAUCGCUAAACACUCUUUACAAUGACACUCGAUUUCAUGGUGCUUUUAAGAAGUGUAAUUGUUUGUAAAAACUUAUUAUGACAAGCUAAGAGAUGACACUGCGGAGAAGUGUCAUUGUUUGUCUUUCUUGACAUUGUUUGUCUUUCUUAACAGGUAAAAAGUGUCAUUAUUGAUCGAUUUUUCUUAUAAUGAAUCCAAUUGGUUGUGAUUGAGUUAAUGAAAUGAUCACCAACUUUUUUGCAACCAUACAACACUACAUAACCUUAAUACCUAUUGUUCAUUAUGAUGUUGUAAGAACAUAUGCCUUUAUGUGACCUAUUAAAUAAACUGGUCUUAUCAACUGAAAAAUGUUCCUCUAGUUAGUAAAAACUUCAUUCAUGUGGUCAUUUAUUAGCAUCAUAAUAAUCCAUAUUACAAAUAUUUAAAAACAUUAAUGCACUAAAACAUUGAUUUCAUCAACAAAAAUACACUCAUUCUUUUAACUUAUAGCAUUCAAAGAUGUUUAAAAAUAUAUAUGUACAAUAAAACAUCAUCAAAUUUAUUAACAAUUAAACUUUUAACCCCAAAACAAUCCGUUACUUUAGUAGAUAAGACACUAUUUGGAAUAACAUUAUUUUUAGCUCAAGUUAGAAGUUAAAAUGAUAAGGUUAAAAGAACAAAACCAACAAAAAAAAAAGUUAUUUUUUGUCAAACUUGACACUAGUUCAAGUUAGAUAAUGUAGCUCAAUGCCCUAUUGAAUUGAGUCAUAUAACUAAACUCCCUAAUUAUUUAUUAUGAUACACACACAACCUUUGGUUUAGUAUACAUGAUUAAAUUAAAUGCCCAACCUAGUUUGCAAAGCUAAAUUGGAAUCCCAAAUCUAGUUCAUCAUAAAUACUCUUCAACUGACUUGCUAUGGCAUUCAAAUAAGACAAUGACAAUGAUAGAAAACCAAAAAAAAUACCUAAUAUAUAAUUGAAAACUCCUUCCUAAAGGAGGUAAAAAAAAAUCAUGAAGUAACUUUCUUCUAUUAAUAAAAAAUGGGAAUACAAUGAUCUAUAUAGUGUUUUAACUCGAAACUUAUGGUACUACAAAUAUUAAAGAAGAAAUUUAAAACACACACACACACAACAAGCAUGUUGUCAAGCUUAUAAAAGUUGGAGAAAUCUCUGCAUACAAGUGUUCAAAACAUGAUGGAGAGUAACCUUGAUAUUUAAGUCAACAAUAUACAAGGAAAGACAACCCAAAAAGGUACAACUUUGAGAACAAACUCUCCUUUUUGCUUUUUCACAUAACCCCUUCUUUUUUUCUUUUUGAAAACUUCUCUCAUUUCCUCUAAUUGUUACACUAUACAACAAUCCUAAAAAAAUAGAGUUUAAAGGUCUGUUUGAUAAUCGUUUUUAAAAAUAAUUCUGAAAAAUAGUUUUUGAAAAUUAUUCUCUAAUGUUUAAUUUGUAGAACAAAAGUUUGUUUGGAAACCUAAAAUAUUUUUAACAUGUUUUUAAUGUUGUUAAAUAUGUUUUAAAAAUAAUUUUAUGUCUAGUAUUUUAUUUUUAAUCAUUCUACAUGUUUAUAUAAUUAUUUUUUAAAACAACUCUAAAAAAAUAAGUGAAAAUAACAUAAAACAAUUAAAAGAUGUUAUCUGAAAACACCUUAUUUUAUUAUAACAAAAAAUAAAAAGCGGUUUUUGGUUGUCAAACAUGUUUUCUUAGUUUUUUAUUCUGAAGAAUAGAAAAUUGUUCUUGAAAAUAGUUGUAAAACAAGAAUCUUUUCAUAUUAGUCUAGGUAUCACAUUAGUUAUUGCCCAUUUUAUGAUUUUAAUUAUUGCUUAAAAACUAGUCUUUCAACUAAAAAAGAAGGUCCACUACUUAUGGGUCAAACCUUCAACUUUCAAACCCCAACACAAAGUUAUAGUCAAGACUAAUAUUCACAUAUUAGUAUUAAUAUAGUUCAUUAAAUAUGAAUUUCUAUAGAAGGCAAAAUCAAGUUUUUAGGGGAAGUAACAUUCACUUUCAUAUUAAGCACUUUUUAACUCAUAAGUUAGUACUUGUAACAAAAUUUCUUAAUAGAGACUUUAAUUGAGUUUUAAGAAAAAAAAAAUUGUUUGUAAAAAACCAAUUCAAACAAAAUCUAAAACUAAUAUUAUUAUCUAAAAGGCAUAAUGAACAAAAUAAACCAUAAACUAAAGUGGUAGUGACAACCAGUAUGUAGCGUCCAUGAAUAAUUGAAAAUAGCCUCAUUUUCUAAUGACCUCGGACCUAGAAGCUCUAAAAUCCUUGCCUAAUUCUUUGUGAUGACUUUAGUUUAACCUUAAUGGCGAGGGCAAAAUUCUAAAUAAUUUUUGUCACAACUCAUAAAUUUAGAAGAAAAAAAUGAGAAUAAAUGGAAUCCCAAACAAGAAAUUGUUAUUUUUCUCUUUUAUGACAAAAAUCUACUACUAUUAUUUAAUAACGUGGGAAUUGUUCUUUCAACUUUAAUACCAUGUAUGACAUAACUUUAACAACCUUAAUUUAUAAGAUUAUUGAAUUUAAAAGGAUAAAACAAUUACAUAUUCAUAAGAAUCACUUCUAUUUUUUAACAACAAUAAAUUUCAUUUUUUGGACAAAAAUACCCUCCAUUGUUUUUAUCAACAUUUCACAAUCGAACACUUAUUGGAAAAAAAAAAAGGUAUAAGGGUAGCUAUAUUAAAAUGAGGUUAUAAUUAUAAUACUCAAUAAGUGGAGAUUGUUUUUCCAAAUAUUGGGAUCAUCUUAUCCAUUUGACACAAAUAUUUCUAAUUUAUAUUAUAAUUACUCUUAUAGUAAGAGAAAAAGAGUAAUUUCACAUGAAAUGGACCCAUAAACAUAGAUUUAUUAUGAGGCAUGUUACUAUAAUAAUAAUAGGAAAUAAGACGAGACAUGUUACCAUAAUAAUAGAAAAUAAGAUAAGUAAUUCAAUACUUAAUAAAGGUCUAAAACAAUUAUGCUUCUCAUUAAAUGAUAUUAAUGAUGGAAAAAAACUAAGGGGUGGUUAAUAAAACUUAAUAUUUAUUACUUAAGGAUUUAAGUUGACUUUAAAUUAAAUUAUGCUUAAAUUGUUAAUUUAAAACUUAUUAAUUCUUAUUUUAAGUAUUAAGACUAUUUAAUAAAAUUAACUUGAAAUUUAUUAAGACUAUUUAAUAAAAUUAACUUAAAAUUUCUUUUAAAUUGUCAAAUCGAUAUAUUUAUUUUCUUAAAUUAUAAUUAAAGUAAAGGACAUCAAGUAACAAUGGAUGUCAUGGAAUAGUGAAAGAGAUCUUAGAGGUAACGAGACAAAUUAUGGUAAAAAAAUGUUAAAUAAAAAUAUGAACUUAAAAAUAAAUUAAUUAUUUAUAUUUAUUACUUAAAGUUGUUUUUUAUUUUAUAUUAUUAAAUUAUUAAAUUAUUUUACUAAAUGUGUUUAAUUUAUUUAAUGACUUACAUUAAAUUACUUUAGGCUAUUAAAUCGGUUUACAAAUAAUAUCGAGUAGGCCCACAGACUGGAGAAUAUUGCUAUCAUAUGUUUUAUCACUACUUUCAUGUAUUAAGGUGCCAAGAAUAAUUCACCACAAAAUAUAUGAUAAGUUGAUAGUAUAGGAUACAAUCUAAAAAAUGCACUUGAUUUCAUCAUCUAAAUAAAUGCUCUUGGCAAAAUGGAUCAUCCUAGCUGAAACCAGAGCACAAGCCGUCAUGGACAGGAGGCAACGGAGAAACCCUUCUGCUUCUUCUUCUGCCUUUUCAUCUCCAACUUCAUCCUCAUCGCGUUUCCGCUCAGAGAAAUUCUCCUCGAAUCCCCCAAAAACUAGUAACUCCCUGGAGGAUGCUCACCAAUUGAAAAGCAAAUGUGGGAAGCCACAAAGACCAGAGCAAGAGGAGGAAGGAGAGCAAGAUCCGAACAAUCUUCUCUCCUUAGUUGGAACUUGCCCAUUCAUGUGCCCUGGUAAAAAUGCGUGCUUAUUUUUCCAUUUUUUUUAAUUCUAUUUUCCUGUUAUUCUGUGUUUGGUUUCCGAGAAAUUGGAGGAAAACAGUAGAAAAGAGAAGUGAAUCUGGAAUUUCUGUGUCAUUUUUGUUGCUUUUACAUAAAUUUUACAAAUAAAAUUGAUAUUUCCCCCCUUUAUUAGAUACCAAUCUGAAGAAGACGUAGGAAUCCCAAAAAAAAAUUCGCUUUUGCCUUUACUUCCCCCAAAUCUUUCAUAAUGGAAAAUGGACUUACCACCUCUUUUAUCACUUUUCCUUUACCAUGUCAGGUUUACAUGUAAUCAAACACUGUAUUUGGAGUAGAGCAUUUAUUCUAAUGUCAAAUGGUGUUGAAAACUUGAAUUACUGGAUCUUAAGACUCCAGAAGAAAUUUGAUUGUUUAUGAUUAUUGCUCCAUGAGAAGGGAAAGGGAUUUCUUUUGUUUUUGCUCACAUACAUGGCCAAAUUGAUUUAUCUCCUUCUCAUACGAACAAAAUAAGGACAUUUCUUGUCUUGCUGCCUUUUAUGCCACCGGUUCCACAUGCUGAUGUGACAACCCUUGUGCUAUUCUGUACAAAUGGUAGGAAAAUUCUGGUAAGACUGGUGGCCAGCCUAUCAUGUUCAGAGAAUAAAUUCAUUGUAUAUCUGGAAUUCACUCUAUAUCAGCAUAGGGUGUUGAUAUUGAUUAUAAAUGACUAAAUUCAAUUUAUUAUCCUUACAUUAGGGAGUGCUAAAAGGAUGCAAAUUGUUCAUGUUAUACCCAAAGACAUACAAGUGAUGCUAGAGAUUUUCACAAUGUAGAUAAUCAUAGAGUAGAGAUGAACACUAUGGAGUCUUUUGGCAUGUGUUCAUUCCAUGUAUGGGAACAUGCAUUGGAAGAUUAUGUUUCCUCCUCCCUCCCCUCCCCUCCCCAAAGUAAGUACUAUGUUGUCAUGGCAAGAACUUUGGUGACAUGCUUCUGAGUGGAAUAGCCUCCUAGAAGUCCAUUUAUGUGGCAAUUGGCAAGUUCUUCCAGUCAAUGAGAACUUUGUGACUGUCUGAUUGUUGUACUAAUCAUCAUCAGAUUUUUUUUAAGUUCAAGUUGCAAAUAGCCUUUCACAGUUGAAGGUAGCAAUGAAGAGGCCUGUUGACAUAAUUAUUUCUUCUGCUUGAAUGGAUUAAAAUCAGAUACCACACCUUCAGCCUAGAAAACUAUGGACUUUCCUAUGUACCUGCAAUUGGCUGAAUACUGGUGUGACACUGACCAAAGGCUCUCUGAUGCUGUUAUUAAUUUCCCGAGCAAAUAAGAGAAAACAGAGAGGUCAUAAUGUGAAUCAGUUACCUCUUGAGUAGGGAUGAAGGCUUUUUAUACCUUUUUACUUUCUGGUUAGGCCUUGGAAGCACUUCUGUGAACCAUGAUUUUGUACUGUAAAAUUAGAUGGGAUGGAUAGGUCACCUUAACUCUACUUUUGGAAGUGAUUGGGGAGUGCAUGACCGUAUGAAUAUUGAUGUAUUCUCCCCAUACAGAGCCCAACUUCUUUUUGAACUAGGAAGCAUGAAGGGUGGGUGCAUGUGGGCUGAGGAAGGAAGAUUUGACUUGUGUGCUGCAGGCCUGCAGUACCAAUUUGUUCCAGAACUUGAUAAGGCCCAUAAACUGGUAGGCAAGUUUCAUUAUUUGGUCACCACUGAAUUUCGGCAGUAUGGCCACAAGGAAGGUAGGAAGGAGAGGGAGAAGAGAAAGCCCCAAUUGCCAAUUGCAAUCUUCCGGUUGGCACAGUGCUCAUUUGCUGACAUUUCCAUUUGAUUUUAACCUUGAAACAGAUACAGCUUAACGUGAUGGACCAGUUUUUCACAAUCUUGUGAUUCAUUACCCAACUUCUAGUAACAGUUUCUCAGCAGAUGACUCACCCAUGACAGGCUGAUGAUGUCUGCACACAACUUGAAAGGUAUUUAUGCCAAGGUGUGAAAGGUAAUAUUGUGACACCAUUUUUCCUAUUCCAGAAAAUGUACCAAAUGUAUGGCUGGUUCUUGACCAAAAAAUGCUGGCAUUGGUCACCAAGUGCUAGGGUGAUUCUUGACAAAAAAUGUCGUAUUGUUCAGAACAAUGAUUUACAACUUCAGAUUGGCCAUCCAGUUAAUGAUGAUAAGCACUUGUUUUACAAAGUUCAGUGUCAUAAAAGCAAAAUAAUUUUGUCAACAAAUAUGGGGAUAACUUUAUCAUAAUUACUACUUAUGGAAUUUAAGGAUAAGUUGGGUAAUGUGAGAAAGUUUUGGUCAGAGGAUAUGAGGAUAACUUUGUUGCAAUUGCUAAGCUACACGUCCUAGGACUACUAGGAGAAAAGUAUGAGCAACAGAAUGAAUUUACAGUCCAUCCCCACUAGCUGCAUGGAGAGGUUGGGCUUAUUGCUGCUAUGGUGGAGGUCACCUUCUUGUAGACUUUGAAAUGUGCAAAUGAAGAGGCAGAUUUCUUAGAAGAAUGGGUAGGAUUCAGCUUGUGGUAGAUAUUGAGCUUAUCGCCUCUAAUUUCAUGUCUUCUCAAUGUGGAUUUGAGGUUUAACGAGAUUUUUGGGAAAUCAUUAAGAUUAAAAGUAAUCGAAGACUUUCACAUUAAUGAGGUAAUGAAUAACCACUGAUACUUCUUCACCCCAAAGUUCCUUCACAAAAAUUUGGUGAGUGAAGAACUAUUACUGAGUUGUGAAGCACCAAUUCCAGCUUCAUUAUCUUGAUCUUCAGAAAGAGGGAUCCAACUUGAUUUGGGAUUUUAUACCUGUCAACCCAGUCACUGGUUUUUAGGAGAAUACUUCCAAUUUACCCUUGGGUUGCUUUAGAAAGUUUCUUAAUAGUGCCAUCUCUCUAGCUUAAGGGGCUUUUGUUAAUGGAAGGCAAAUUCUAGAUGUGGUUAUCAUUAGUAAUGAAAUCCUAGAUAAAAAAUUCUGUUCUAAGGACGAAGGGAUGGUUUUUAAAAUAGGUUUUGAGGAAGUUUAUGAUCACAUAGAUUGGGGUUUCAUGUAUGAUACAUACUUUGAAUAGGGAAGGCCCUUGAACCUGGAUGGCACAAAGGGACUGGAUAUUUUGAGGUUGUUUUUCAAACUGCAGACUCUUUAAUGGUUAUUGAAGCUGAGUGAUUAGCACUCGAGGAAGAUUCGGACAUGGUUGUUUGCCUGGAUGUAAUGAACCUCCAUAUUGAAGGGGAUUCCUUUGUUAUUGUCUUAGAACCUUCUUUGAAGGCAAAGGUCCUUAGUGGAUUGCUCAUCAGAUGGGGUGGCUUCAUAAUCAUGCUAGAGACAUUGCUUGUUCUUCUCUAUUGAGGCCCAGAUCAGCUAGCCAGGUGCAUGGCUAUAUUUUUCUUAUAGGGAUGCUAAUAUCUGAAAUUUUUUAUUGAGAACACUUACCGCUCUUUGAUUGGUUUGAGGCAUGGAGCGGCUUUUCUGUUCUCUUCUUGCCAUACAUGCAUAUCAUCCCUCUUUUUUUAUCUUGUUUAACUCAAUAAAUUCUCAUUUGUUAUAAGGAAAAAAAGAGAUAUUAUGUUACAUGAUGGAAGGACUUUAUUCUGUUAUGGAGUAUGCAAAACCUAGAUCUAUUAGCUAGAGCUAUACAGUAGGCUGUUGGGUUGUUCAGUAUUGUCUCUUUUUUGGAUAGGUUUGGCCAAUGCCCCUUGAUGUUACUUUUUGGUGAUGUAAUUUUCUUUGAUUUUUCUUGAAAAUUCCUCAUUUUUCAAGCUUGCUUGUAUAUCUUUUCUUCUUCCAUUAAUGAUUGUUUGAUUCCUUACUAAAAUAAAUAACAAAUUAUGAUGGAAAGGAUUAUGUUUAUGGAAAAUUUUGAGAUUUUCACCAGAUUAGAGUCUCCGAAGCUGGUAUUUGUCUUUACACAGAUAAUAGGAAUCAUUUUCCCCCCAAACUACAUAAGACAUGUCUGCUACUUGGUAAUGUUCCAUUGGCAGUUAUAAACUCUCCUGUCAAAUGUGAAUCUGUUGUAGCAUUCCGAAUGGUGUUGUGUCGUACAUAGAUUGGUAAUUGAGGACUUUAUUAUGGAUUUCGUCCUGUUUUGGUUGUGCCAACAAGUUCUAUCCUGUUCUUUGUCUUGCUGAUUUGCGUGGUUGUGCAUCAUGUUCCUACCAGCUGUAUAAUUAUGCUUCUGGAGCAUAGUUAUUCUGGUUUUACCAUCCAGAUGAUGGUACUAAAGUAUUUGUAUUCUAGAUUGCACAACUCCUUAUAUGGGAUAUUUUUGCAUCAAAUGCUUAGUGAUCAAGAGAACUCUCAUAUUAAACACAUUCAUCUUCUAUUAAACUAAAUUCCUUAAGUCUGCAGUCUCACAACUACAUCAUACCAUUCUUUUCCUUUUUUCUUCCUUUCUUGCUAUUACAGGUUGGUUGCCACUAAUAUAGUAGAAAGCAAAUUACACGACCCUGCUUCCAUAAGACCUUUCUUAUUCCAUAGGUUGAAAUAGAAAAAACACUCGAUGGGACUAAUGCUUCUCUUUGCAAGCAAGCAAAUUAAAAUGUUUUGAAACCCAUGCUGCCAUGAUCUAGCUAAUUUGCAUUUUAUAUGUCUACUCCUUUCUAUUUACUCAAAUUGUGUAUUUCUUUUGCUUGUAUUUAUUUCCUGAUGAGUUUAUUCUGAUUCUUUGAUCAGGAUUUCUGCAAUCACAUUGCUUGCUAUUGAAUUUUCAAGGGCUUAAUAUGAAUUAUUAAUAAAGAAGUUGUUUAAUUAUUUCAGCAGCUUAUACUUUGUAAUUUCUUUUAACAACUCUUAUCUCUGAUGUUCAUUUGUAAUAAAUAGCUGGAGAAAGGGCCCAACGUGAACGCCUUCGGGACUUAGCUGUGUUUGAGAGGUUACAUGGAAAUCCUGGGAAAACAUCUCCAAGCCUUGCUGUCAAAAAGGUAAACCCUACAUCUCAUGCCUCUAUACCGCAUCUUAGCUUCUCAUCUUGCAUCGGACAAUGAUACUCUUAUUGAAUCAUCUUUACCAUAUCAGCCAUCAACAUGUGCACUUAUUGAGCACUAAUUCAGGCACUGAUACUUGUGCUUUUGUUUUGUUUUAUCUUCUCUUGUCUUGUUUUGUUAUGGAUGUGAUUGUGUUGGAUGACCUGUAUCUGUGUUAGACACCAAAGCCUAUCUUAAUGGUACUGUAAAGUAAGACUAUGCUAAUAAGCUAUUGAUCUGUUACAGGGUUUAUGCCAAACUGAUUUUUUAGUUUCUCUAGUAGAAAACUUGUUUUUUCCCCUGUUAUAUCGGUGCUAUUGUUGGAUUUGUGUUUGUUGUUGAUCAAGCAUUUGCUGAAACUUUUUUUUUUUUUUUUUUUCCUUUGCUUCUUGAUGUGCAAAGCAUUAUUGUUUGAAUUUUAAUGAUCCCAUUUGAUUCACUAUUCAAUAUUUUUAUUUGAUAUUACAUCUAUCUCAUUUGUUUUCUUUUCUUAGUUUUUAUUUUUAUAUUUUAUAUUUUUAAUUUUUUUUUAAUUUUUUGAAUUAGUGACAUUUGAAUUUGAUGGAGCCACCAUUAAUUUAUUUUUCCUUAUUAUUGUGGGGUGUGCUUUAUUUUGUUCAAUUGUUGUUGCACUAUUAUUAUCAUGUAACUUUUUUUUUUCUUUUCUUUUUUUUUUGUUUAAUCUAUUGUUCCUAUGAGCAUUAAAUGCUCCUAAAAUGUAUGGAAUAGGCUAAACCUUUCUAUAGUUUUUUUAAAAAAACUCAUUUAUUAUCUAUUUUCUUGUGCUCAAAAAAUUAUAUUUUUUUAGUAAAAUUGAAAAUUUAGGGAGCGCUUAGGCCCCAGCGGCUCAACCCCUUGAGGGUUUAUGCCUAUUGUAGCAAGAUGUGGACCCCCUUGCCUCUUAUGCUUUUACCUUAUGAAACUAUACCAAGAAAAAAACGCCACAACUCCCUGCUGCCAUCAAAGGAUACUUCAAAUUUUGCUUGAUAUCAAUUUUAAGGCUAAUUAUCAUAGGCUUGUCAUCAUGUCACUAAAAUUGGUAUUGUAACCAAAGUCCUAUUGCGAAAUCUUCAAGUUGCAGCUCCUUUUUUUCUGUUGGCUCUUGUAUUGUUAGGUGGCCGCAACCUGUUGCUUUACUUAUGCUUUAUGAACUACUCCAGUUAAAAUAAUGCUUCGAGUAGAUGCUUUUUGGAUCUUGACUCUAGCAAGAGGCUUAUAUUGCAAAUUUUUUUUGUGGAGUCCUAGAUAGGUUAACUAGGAAGACAAUAGCUUGCUUAAAAGGAUUGCCACCUCUCCUGUUGGGUUUGUAAAAAUUUUGCUUCUCCCUUGACCUUGGGAGUCCUGUGGUUUCAAUUUUGGGUGUGCUCUAGGUUGUAGCCUGUGUUAUGCUUUCUAAAUGGUAAUCUUCUUGUUUUGGUUGGGAUGCUUUUGUUUAUUUUGCUUGUUUGCUUUCUUUGUUUCUUUAUAAUUGUGGCUAUAGGAUCACCAAUCAACUUUAUAUUUUUUGCAAAAACUGUUUAUGUUUCAUAACGAAAAAGGAAAAAACAAAGGCAAGUUAGCCUACAAUAGGUUCUAUCUUGUUUCUUCUUUUACCAUUAGUGUGGAUUCGAACUCAGGAAAAGGCCUUCAAGCAAGUGGCAUUUGUGUUUUUUAAACAUAUAUCUUUGUUCAAUCAUUGUUAAGUGUUUGUUGUCUUGUCUGUUCUUUUGGUUGUUUUUGUCUUUGUCAAAGUGUAUAACUGUAAUAUCCUACAUCGUAUAGAAGAAAAAGUUUCUAGUGCUAUAUAUGUAUGAAUUUCUUUUAAUCUUGUUGAUUCGUUUUUAAGCCGUGAGGGUCGCUUAGGCUCAAAACAAAUAAUAUCCACACAACUGGGAGCAGGUUGUUACAAAUGGUAUCAAAGUCAAUGCUCGACCUUGGUGGGAGAGUUUGUUUGGCCUGAAAUGGGUGUCCGUUUAUUUGACCCUACAAUCCUGUUGGACACAACAAGAACGUUGUGUCUGCAUGAGAGAGAGGGUGAUUGUAAUAUCUUACAUUAGAUAGGGGGAAAAGUUCCUAACGUUAUAUAUAUAUAUAUGUCUGUAUGUAUGUAUGUAUGUAUAUAGACUCCUUUUAACCUUGUAAACGUAUUUUAAAGUCAUGAAGGCCCCUUAAGUAUAAGGUGGAUAAUAUCUAUACGGUUGAGUGCAGGUUGUUAAAAUAAUUACUUUUAACUUUCCUUCCAUAUGUUUAAUUGCAUAACAUUAUUAUAGCAAAAUAUUAAUCUAUCAUAAUGCAACGUCUUGUAAAGCUUAUGUUAGGUGUCAUGAUUUUAUCUCUUGUCAUUUUUAUUAUUUUGAUUCAAUAUCAUCUUAGCUUAUAAUCAUUUAUACACUUGAUGCAUGAGAAAUGAAGAUGCUAUAAAUUGUAGGAUUCUUUUUCUCCAAUUUGUUCCUUGAUAUUUUAUAAUGCCAUGAAAUGUCUAUAUUUUGAUGCAGAAAGCCGUUCACCCUCCAUCUCUCUCACUAGUUUUGCAGAACCAUUGCCACUAAGCACAUGCAGGCGUCAGAUGUGCGGCCACUUCCAGUGUUGGAAGAGACUUUGAACUACCUAUUAAACCUGUUGGAUGCCACGGAACAUCCUUUUGAAGUGGUUCAUGAUUUCGUCUUUGAUAGGACAAGAUCAAUAAGACAAGAUCUUAGCAUGCAGAAUAUCGUUAAUGAUCAAACAAUUCAUAUGUAUGAAGAAAUGGUAUGAAUUUCUUGAAACAUAAUCUCAAUUACCUUUUUUUUCUGAGCAUUCAUCUCCUCAACAUACAAUAAGUUAGCCAACCCAUUGCUAAACACUCACCUAGUUGGAGAAAAUAAUCAAAGUAUACAAGAUAUAAAAUGUUGAAUAAUUGAGUCAUUAUCCUCUCCUUUUGCUUUAUUGAAUAAGAUAAUUUAUUCAGUGGAGUCCAAACGAGGUGAAACUGUGAUCACACUACUUGAAGCCUACUUUACAAUGGAUAAAUGAAUGGUCUGAUUCUAAAUCUUUCUUGGCACAUUAGUUAUUAUCCAAUCCGUUCUAAUUAAAUUAUCCACUAUUAAGUGUCUAUUUCCAGUCACCCUCCAAGUUAUGAAAGACCCAUAGAACCAAAGCAACUCACACCACAUGUGAUGGGAAUUGAUGCUCUCUUCCAUAAUGUCAAGUUUUCCAGUACACUUGCUGACUUUGUAGAAUAUGCCUACAAAAAGGGCUGCCACCUCCUAAUUCCCAAUCAUAGAAGUUUCUUAACCAUAUUUCAAAAGCUGUAUUUCCUGUUCCCCCUCUUAAAGUUUUUUAAACCUAUAUCUCUUUAUCCUAGUAAUUUGGAAAAAUGAGGAAAUUAUUUAACAAGAACUCCAUCAAUUUGUUCCUUAAAAUUUUCUAUAGUUUCUAUCUCUCUCACUUUUGAUUCAAAUUCUUGAAGCAAAGGAACAAAUUCAUGGCCAGUAACAAUUUUAGCCAAGCAAUAGAAUGCACAACAAACAUGCAUAUGAAUGACUUGUGUUUUUUUAUGAUAAUUGAUUAGAUAUUUUAAUCUCAUCCUAAAACCUUGGAGUUAGCUAAAAGCCGCAUCUUAUGUUCUGACUUGUGGUUUGUUUCAUAAUAUAGGUGAAAUUUCAUAUUAUAUCCCACCACAAGCUUCGCAGUUGUAGUAGCAAGCCAAAUUUUUCUUCAGUUCAUUACCUCAAUAUGGAGCAGCUGAAAAAGUGUCUGAUAUCUCUAUAUGCUCUAUACGAAGAAAAUCGAAAUUCAAAUUCUAUUUACAAGAAUGAACCUGAGUUUUGCUCAUUUCACGUUCUUCUUCAUCUUGGCUCUAACAACCAACCAUUGGUGGAUACUUGCUUCCAUUGUUUGUUUGAGUUCAUCUUUUUCAGUAUCUCUUGUAGCCUUGUACUGGUUUCUGAAUAUGUUACUAUUUCUGUUCUGAAGGGAGAGUCACUCUCUUUAUGGUUGGGUCGUGUACCUUCUCUCAUUUUGAAGUCAAAGGAAAUGUGUUUUGCCCGGAGACUUUUAAGGUGACCACAAAGCUAUUAUAGAUUCGAUUUUCAAUUGAUUUUUUUCUCUUCUUUUAGUACCCAAUGUUCAAAUUUUUGUUUUCAUGAACUGAAAGAUCUGUCUUUUCUUGUAACAGAUUAUUUCGGAUGGGCAAUUAUAAGCGUUUCCUUUGUACUACAGCAACUGAGGCAUCUUAUUUGCAGUACUACAUUAUUGAACCUUACAUCAAUGAGGUUGCUUAAAUAUGUUGAUUUUGCUAGAUUUUUCAGUUUGAAAAAUAUAUGCUUCUUUGUUCAUUUAUUGUUUUUCAGUUUCAUUUCUGAGAAUAUAUCUCAAAUCUAGACUCGAGUACUUGUGCUUUUGGGUUUUAUUUUUCUUUCAUUUUUGUUAGUAGUUGUACUUCAUUAUUCUUAAAUUUCUCACCAACUGUUUCUUUAUGUGGUUUAUUGCUCCUCACUUUCUUCAUUCAUCUGAAGUGUUCAAAUUCAAUUAGCUUGUUUCAUAAACUAGUUCUUAUUUAGAAGUUCUUCUCAACUGCCUUUUUUUAGUGCUUCUAAAAGACAUGCCUGAUUUAUAUACAUUUUUGUUGGUUUUCUUUUGACCGUAAAAGGUUCGAGCAUUGGCAUUGUCAUGUGUAAAUUAUUGUGGCUACAAACUUCAUCCAUAUCCAAUUGCACACUUGUCCAAACUCUUGAUGAUGAAGGUAUGAUUGCAUUUACUAGCAUUAAAUUGCUAAAAUUUGUCAUCCAAAGUUCCAAUUUCUUUUGAACCUUGAAGACUUCAUUUGCAUUCUUGUAGGAAUUAGAUGUGGAAUCAUUUUGCAAUGCUUGUGGUCUUGAGACCAGCACUGGUGAGCGGGGAAAUAAGUUCUUAUCAACCAAGCAAACAAACUUCCAUUAUCCCAAGGAAGUCUUUCCAAGCUACUGCCUUCUGAGUUUGGAACACUUUUAGAGGUAACAAUCAAUUGGAACUAGUUACUCUUUCAAACUUCUUAUUGUACAAAUAUAACCUGCAUGUGCAACCAUUUCUGAUCCCAUAAUUUCAAGAAUUUAUGACACCUUCUAGUGGUUAGUUUUUCUGGGAAUAGAGUAAAGCAAUCUAUUCACUCCCAGAAACUAUCGUCAGAGGAACAGUAGAUAACCCCGCAAGACCAAAUUUAUGUAUGUUGCAUGGAGAUGCAUGUUUUCUGCAUCCCAAUCAUGCAGUGUUGUGUCAAAUGGAAUAAUAGCAGGUGAUGAUAAGUGGUAUUUCUAAAAUCUUCUAAGAGUAUUCCAUCUAUUGUAAUAUUGUUUUACUUAAAAUUGUCUUUUUGAGUCUUAUGUGUAAAUAUUCGAGUUGACCUCUUGUAAGCUAUCAAUUGAUGUUGUAACUUAACUUGAAAGGGAAAUUCUAUAAAUUUAGCCUUGGUUUGGCUCUUGGAAAGCAAAGAAAAAUUAGGUUAGUGAGUUGAUUUCUUCCCUUCCCAUGGAUGUAAGCACAUUCUUGAAUCACGUUAAUUAUUUUUUGGUUUAUUUUGUUGUUUUGUUGUUUAUUGUUCAAUUGUCUCCGCAUAACAAGUGGUAUCAGAGUUGUUUCCGACACACUAGAUGAUUCUUGUGCUAACACAAUGUUUGAGGCUAAAUAUAAGAUAGUAAAAGUUUCUAAAAUAUUUCCCUAUGACAGCUGCCAAUAAAGAAUGUACUUAACAGGAAGUUUGUAAGGUGUUACAUGGCAUGUUGAACAAAAUAUCUGAAAUAUUUGGGGCCACCGAUCCAACAAUAGCAGAUUAUAACACAAGAAGAGACCCUCUAAUCACCAUUUUUGCUUUUGAUUCUUCUUUACAAAGCAUCAUCUACUUUAUACAAAAAGACAACCCAUGGCUGAGCCCACAUUAUUCUCUACAUAUCCCAAAAAAGCCUUACAAAUUUUAGGGCAUGACGCUCUUUUUGGGGGUAUUUUUGGUACUAAAUUUGUGGUAGUCUCUCCAAUACCUAAACUAACCUCCAGAUUUUAAGGCAUGGCCCACUCUUUAAGGUGGUGUUUUGGGUACUAAUUUUUGUUAGGAGAGGUUUUAGUGUGGAAACUGGAGGGCUUUAGACAUGUCGCAUGUAUUUUCUUUUGCAUGCAUUACACAUAGAUCGGAGUUUUUGCAGUUACUCACACUUUUUGUGCGUCCAACAACACUAUAGUGCCACGUCACCAUAUGAUGGGCUCUUUAGUCUUUUCAAACCCAAAAAAACACCAAAAAAAAAAAAAAAACGAAUACUAAAAGGAGUGCUAACUAGCUAUGUGAAGGUGAACUUUUAUAGCUAGCUUCUUAGAGGGACCAUGAUCGCUUAGGCCAAGGAAGUUUGAGGUGAUAAUAGGUCUGUGAUGCCAUUAGAUGUUUUAAGCACAUGUGCGUUACACUAAUGUAUUCAACGAGUCUAUAACCUUGACCGACAGGUCUGGGUAAUCUUUGAAAUUUCAUUGUGAUGGGAAGGUUCCAUGCGAACAACACUUGCACAUGGGUUAGUCAAUCUUAAGAGACGGGGGAAGCCCGUCUAACAACGCACAAUGUGCGAGCUUUGAAAGGCAAUCGGGUUAACAUUUCUGAAUUGGGACAUGACAAUGACAACAACAUUAGGUAGUCUAGAGAUGUUGUCAUAUUAAUUGUUAUCAAUAUUUUUAUUUAUUCAAUAGAAAUUGAGGAUUAAAAAAUACCACAAAAAUUAGAAAAAACAAAAUUAAUUACAUGGCUUACAUUUCAGAUAUUUAAUAAAAUAUUGUAUGAAAGUUGAAUAUCAUACACUAUUAAAUGGUUGGAUUCUCCUCUUUAUUUUUUUUAAUUGUCUCAUCCUAUUAAAUUACUCAUCUAAUAUUAAUUUAUUUUAAAGGUAAAAUUAAUUAUAUUGUAAAAACCUUUUAAUUUACUAGAGUUUGUGCACAACAUCUAAUAUAUACUUAAAUACUUUUCCAUGCUAUAAUCCUCCAACUAAGAAAUGAAAUCAAAACUUAAAAAUCAUUUAUAUAUAUAGAUAUAUGUGAGUAAGGGAGGAGAUCCAACGGAUCUGUGCGCGAGCGAUGGUGAGAAAGAUUUCGUUGGCCUGGAAGCUCGUACCAGCCGGUGGAAGAGAAGCUUCGAGGUGGAGUCGAAGACUUUUGAGAUCGAGGUUGAGAGACAAAAAGGCAAAACGCAAGUCUUCAUUGAGGAAAGGAAAAGAGGGGUUUCCUCGUGGAUUAAGAUGGGGCCGGAGAGCCUAGGGUUUGUUGUGGAAGGGUUGGCUUUGUGUAUUAAGGAUACACGAACAGGCAGAUGGGUCAGAAAUUGGAGGGAGAGAGGGAGGAUCUUUUCAUUGCUGUGGGAUGAGAAUAAGGGAGGAAGCUUUAUCCGUCUGGGUGUAGAGGAUCUGGAGAAGAAGAGGUUUAAUAUUUUUAUCCCCAAAGGAAAUGGAGGGAAAGGGGGAUGGAUUGCGAUGUUGGAAACACUUAAGGCGCUGGUCGUUACUACGGAGAGGAAGAAAUGUCAGAAGGAGGAGAAGAUGCCGGUGGCGCCAUGUUUGGGGAGUAGCUACGCGGAAGUGGUGAAGGGACAGAAAUGUAAUGGCCGGUCAGUGGCUAGGGUAGAAGUAAGCCACAAGGACCUAUGCCAAAACCUAAAAAGGCUGGAUCAGUGCAUUGUUGGAUUGUGGGAUCCGAAGUUAGUCAAGGGGGAGGAUUUGAGGAGUUGGGGGAACCAAUUGGCUCGAUUGUGGGGGUUGAGGGGUAAUUUAGGUUUGGCUAAGUUGGGAAGGGGUAAGGUGUUGUUAGAGUUUGAGAGGAGUGUUGAAGCCGAAAAAGCCUUAAAUAUGGGAGGGCUUUUGGUAGGGAAGACACUGCUGCGACUGGAGAAGUGGAACCCUAGGACGGGGUGUCUGUUAGAAGGAGAGGAGAAGAGUGAGGCCUGGGUGAGAAUUGUGGGGCUUCCCAUCUCGUUGUGGGAUCGGGACAUCUUUAGAAAGGUUGGGGAGAAAUGCGGGGGUUCUUAGUGAUUGAUUCUCAGACGGAGAGGCUGGAAGAGUUGCAGUGGGCAAGAAUCCUGGUGAGACUAUCCGGCGAGGAGCCCCCUAGCAUGCUAGAAAUUGGGGUCGAGGGGGUGUGUUACUCGCUUGUCCUAUGGUGGGAGGUAAGGCCGGUAAUGAGAGUGCUGCCGGCAGAAAGGAGGGGAAAGAACAACGGUGAUGCUGUAGGAGGGGUUGAGGGUGAUGUCGCUACACGUGCAGGUAAGCGCGUGGUGGAAGUGGUGGAAGGUGUGAGGUCGAGACCCACAUGCAGUCUGCUGAUGGGACGAGGGAGCAGACAGGUGGGCCGGGGUCCCUUUGGGCUCGGUCCCGAGGCCCAAAAGGGCCGGGUCUGGGGGACCAAGUAGGCUUGCUUGGGAUGCUUGGCCCUACUGGGCCUCCUCGAGGCCUUGACUUGGGUGUUAGGCCCGAUGGGCUCGAUUCGCCUAAGGUCGGGCCGUUUUUCAGUGGGUCUUCGUCAUCUGAAGGGCCUUCGUCCUUAGAGGGCCUUAGGCCAAUGGAGUCCAUUAAGUUGGGUAGGCUAUCUGGGAAGGAAGAUUGUCAUGAUCCAUCUGGAGUGGCUCUGCCUCUGGUGUGGGCUGGCCCAAGUCAACUGAAGGAGUCAGAUGCUGAAGGCUUCCCUUCCUGGGUUUAUGAUGGCAGGCGGAGGCAAGCUGAAAUGGAGCCCUGUCUCGUAGAGAAGUCAAGGACCAACUGCGCCCUAAUUGAAGAAGCAACGAGGUAUGGGUGUGUUCCUAUCCCUUGUGGCUUAAUGGCAUCUGGACUCUCUCCUUCUCCUCUCUUCUUUUUUGGUCGGACCCCGUUGGGGGAUUUUUGCGACAUUUCUAGGGAUGAUAGGGUAACCUGUUUGAGAGAAACUCCCUUACAUAUGCUUCUCCCCUUGGGACCCCCAGAAGAGGAAAAUGCUUGCCGCUGGGAUUUGAGGGAGGGCCCAAGCGCCUGCAAGGAGAGCAGUGGUAAGGAGCUGAGGCUAGCCCAUUCGAUGCCACGUGAUGGAAAUGGAUGGGAGGAGGAAAGUUGGGAGGAAAGUGAGUUGGCCAAAUUUAGUAAGUUCUUGGGAUUUUCUACAGAAGGUCUGGAGAAAGAAAUUUUGGAGUUUCUGAUUAAAAUCCAAAAGAGAAGGGAAAAGGUCCACAGCAAAAACCUUCUAGAAAAAUCCAAGUUUGAAAGGGAAUUGAAAAGGCUGGAAUGCUCUAUUAACUACGAGGGGGGGAAGACGCAGAAGAGUGGAAUGAUAGUAGGAGGGUGUCAGAUUAUGGUGGUCAAAUGAAGCUGAGAAUCUUGAGCUGGAAUGUUCGGGGAGCUAACGACAACUCGAAAAGAAAGGUGAUUAAGGCCAUGAUCAGGAGUCAAAGAGUGGAUCUGUUCUGUUUCUAGGAGACCAAGAUUCAGGCAAUGACAAAGGGGCUGGUGAGAAGCUUAGGCAUUGGCAGGUUUCUUAAUUGGGGUACUCUGGAUGCCCAGGGGUCCCGCGGGAGGGAUUCUGAUCUGCUGGGAUAAGAGGACCUUGGAAAUAAUGGAAAUGGAGGUGGGGAGAUUCUCAAUUUCAUGUAGGAUGAGGAAUGUGGAAGACGGACUAGUCUGGAUGUUUACUGGGGUUUAUGGGCCAUUUUCUAAAGAGGACAGGGAGUGGAUGUGGAAGGAAAUAGGAGCAAUCCGAGGCAUUUGGGAGGAUCCAUGGUGUAUAGGGGGUGACUUCAAUGUCACCCUGUCACUGAGGGAAAGAAGUAAUCAGGGAAGACUAACGAGUGCAAUGAGAAGGUUUGCUCAAGUUGUUGAUGAGCUAGAACUCAUUGAUCUUCCAUUACAAGGAGGGAUGCUUACUUGGAGUGGGGGGAGGAAUAAUCAGGCAUGGGCCAGAUUGGAUAGGUUCCUGGUGACCCAGAGUUGGCUUGACCACUUCAGUGAGGUUGUGCAAUGUAGGCUGCCCAGACCGACCUCAGAUCAUUUUCCUAUUGUGCUGAUGGGGGGAGGGUUAAGGAGAGGUCCGUCCCCGUUUAGGUUUGAAAAUAUGUGGCUUAAAGCUGACGGGUUCACGGAUCUUCUUAGGGGCUGGUGGCAGGGAGUUGAGGUUAGAGGGAGGGCCAGUGUCAGACUAGCCACUAAAAUGAAGGUGCUGAAGCAUAAGAUUAAAGUGUGGAACAGAGAGGUGUUUGGUAGGCUGGAAGCUAACAAGAACUCAGCCCUGCAACAAGUGGAGUUUUGGGAUGGGGUGGAAAGGGAAAUGAGCUUGUCUGAAGGUGAAACUGAACUGAAAAAAGAAGCCAAGGAUUCCUUUAAAAUAUGGGUCUUAUUGGAGGAGACCCACUGGAGACAAUUGUCAAGGGAAUUGUGGCUUAAGGAGGGAGAUAGAAACACUGGAUUCUUCCAUAGAAUGGUUAAUGCUCACCGAAGGAAUAACUCUCUGGAUAGAAUAAAAAUUAAUGGAGUUUGGAUGACUGAGGAGUAGGAGAUGAGGGAGGGAAUAGUGAGUGCUUUUCAGCAGGUGCUUUCUGAGGAACCAGGCUGGAGGGCGGAUAUUGAGGGGCUGCACCUUAAUUGUCUAAGUUCCAGUGAAGCUAAAACUUUGGAGGUGCAAUUUACUGAAGAGGAAAUUUACGCAACCUUAAUGGGUAUGAAUAGGGAUAAAGCUCCGGGCCCGGAUGGGUUCACAAUUGCUUUUUGGCAAUCAAGCUGGGAGCUAGUGAAGGAGGAGAUUAUGGAAUUGUUUAGAGAAUUCUAUGACCAGUGUUCUUUUACCAACAGUCUUAACUCCACCUUUAUAGUCCUCAUUCCGAAGAAAGGAGGGGCUGAAGAUUUGGGUGAUUUCCGGCCAAUCAGCUUGUUAGGGGGUUUGUACAAGCUUUUGGCUAAGGUGUUGGCGAAUAGGCUAAAGAAGGUGUUAGAUAAGGUGGUGUCCGGGGACCAAAACGCCUUUGUGAGGGGUAAACAGAUCUUGGAUGCGUCUCUUAUUGCCAAUGAGGUGAUCGACUUCUGGCACAAGAGAAACGAGAAAUGGCUGAUCUGUAAAUUGGACAUUGAGAAAGCCUAUGACAGUAUUAAUUGGAACUUUCUCAUGAAAGUUCUGGUCAAAAUGGGUGUUGGGUCGCGGUGGUUGGAGUGGAUUUGGUGGUGCAUCUCUACCGCCAAAUUUUCAAUCAUGAUCAAUGGGGUCCCGACUGGUUUCUUCUCGAAUUCUAAGGGGCUAAGACAAGGUGAUCCCCUCUCCCCGUAUCUUUUUGUGUUGGGGAUGGAAGUUCUUAGUAAUCUAAUUAGAAGGGCGGUUGAUGGGGGUGUCUUAUCAGGCUGCGGAAUUCGGGGGAGAGGGGAAGAGGAGAUGAUAGUUUCCCACCUGCUCUUUGCUGAUGACACGAUCAUCUUUUGUGAAGCUAGCAAAGAGCAAGUGUCCGCUCUAAGCUGGAUUUUGGCUUGGUUUAAGGCGGCCUCCGGUCUUAGAAUUAAUCUUGAUAAAAGUGUCCUUAUUCCAGUUGGUGAGGUGGAAGAUAUUGAGGAGCUGGUUGUGGAACUUGGUUGUAAAGUGGGAGUACUGCCCACUAUUUACUUAGGGCUGCCCCUUGGAGCUCACCACAAAGCUGUCUCCAUUUGGGAUGGGGUGGAAGAGAGAAUGAGAAAGAGAUUAGCCCAGUGGAAAAGACAUUAUAUUUCAAAGGGAGGGCGUAUCACCUUAAUCAAGUGUACUAUGGCCAGCCUUCCUAUUUACAAUAUGUCCCUUUUUCGAAUGCCGAAGAGUGUUGUAAAGAGACUCAAAAAAUUACAAAGAGACUUUCUUUGGGGAGGGGGCAGCUUGGAGAGGAAGGUCCAUUUAAUUAAUUGGGAGGUGGUGUGCACUCGAAGGGAGAAGGGUGGCCUUGGCAUUCGGAAGAUUGACUCCUUGAAUAAAGCUUUGUUGGGUAAAUGGGUUUGGAGAUUUGCCGUGGAAAAGGAUAAUCUCUGGAGGUUAAUGAUUGGGGUGAAAUAUGGUCAGGAAGAGUUUGGGUGGAGAACUAAAGAAGCCCGUGGUACUUAUGGAGUGGGGGUUUGGAAGGAGAUUAUGAAGGAAGCUAAGUGGUGUUGGGAGAAUAGAAAAUUUAAGGUAGGGAAAGGGACUAGAGUAAAAUUCUGGUUUGACUAGUGGUGUGGGAAUGAGAGGCUGUCCCAUUCUUUUCCCCAACUUUAUGAGAUGGCGGUCAACAGGAAUGCAACGGUUAAUGAGAUGUGGGAUCAUAGCAGUGGUCCAGGAGAUUGGAAUCUUAGAUUUCAUAGAGGCUUUAAUGAUUGGGGGAGCUGGAUUUGAUUAGAGGACUGCUUAUUGUGCUUAGGGACUUCAAGCUAUCUUCAGAGGAGGAUGUGGUGCUUUGGAAAAGGGGGGGCCAUGGGAAGUAUGGGGUGAAGGAUGCCUACAAUGGGCUGGUUGUUAUCAAUGCUUGCGACUUUCCGUAUAGAGGCGUUUAGGUGGACAAGGUCCCAACCAAAGCGGCUUUUUUUGCUUGGGAAGCUGUGUGGGGGAAGAUUCUCACCUUGGAUAGGCUUCAAAAAAGGGCUGGCAGUUUCCUAACCGGUGUUUUUUGUGUGGUUGUGAAGAGGAGAGUGUAAAUCACAUUCUUUUACAUUGUAUAGUGGUAAGGGCCUUAUGGGAAAUCGUUUUUGCCCUUGUGGGGGUUCAGUGGGUGUUCCCAGAGUUUGUGAAGGAGGCGCUAUUCAGUUGGAGGGGCCCAUUUGUGGGGAAAAAGAGGAAAAAAAUUUGGAAUUCUAUCCCAUUGUGUAUUUUUUGGACGGUAUGGAAGGAAAGGAAUAGGUUAGCUUUCAAGGGAGGGGUGUUAAAUAUUCAGAAACUCAAGAAUUCUUUUGUUUGUACCUUGUGGAGUUGGGCUAGGGUGUAUAUUGGAGAGGAGUCCUCUUCUCUCUUAGGUUUUUUGGAGUGGCUAGCGGCCACUUAAGGGAGGGUAAGGUGCUUGUUUUUUUGUGCUCUCGUUUUGAGGCAGAUUUGUAUACGUCCUGUAUGCUUGGUGGCCUUUGCCCUUUAAUAUAUUUGUGAUAUUUAUAAAAAAAAAUAUAGAUAUAUGUUAUUAAGUUUAGGUAGUGAAACAAUUAAUGUGGAUAUAAAAUUAAUGCCAAAACUUUUGAUUGAUCCUUCACAUUCUCCACAACCAAACAAAGGAUAUAAGAAAAAUAAAGAAAGAAAUUUAGGGUAGCUUGAUUUUUUGUUCUCAUCUUGUUGUGAAGUUAAUAGAGGAAUGCUUAGGUUGGUGCUCAAUAGUUAAGUGACACCAGGGUAUAAUGAUUCUUCCAAUUGUGUAAACAUUAUCCGCUUUAAUUUCAAUGGAUCAUCAUCACUUUAAAUUGCAUCCACAUGGUUAAGAGCAACUCAUAUGUAUAUAAUAUCAUGAAUUUCUUCUUAUUCGAUAUGGAAUAUCAAAUUAGGUAUUGUAUAAGCGUUUCAACUCAAAUGACUUGGCUUAAUGUAUACUCAAAGCCAUGACAAAGGAACGUACAUGUAAUAAAGUGAAAAUUAAACCUUGUCGCCCUUCUAUCUCUAGUAUGAAACACAACUCCAUUAGCCCUUAAACAUCUGCAAAAAAAGAUAUACACAUCUGUUACAUUAAUUAAAAUAAAUGAUGCAAAAAGAGACUCUACAUGUCCAUGUACAUAAUUUGAUUAGAUUUGUUAUAUAUAUAGACAGAGAGAAAAAAAAACUGCUUAGAUUAAGGAUCUCAUUAAUUAAUACCUAGAAAAUAUAAAAUAAUAAGAAAAGAUUAGAAGGUGUGAAUCAUAAGAUAAAACUACAUUUUUGAAUUAGAUUCAUCGAAAGAUGGCAUAUUGUAUGAACAUUUGUACUCUAUAUAUAAAAAUUCAUAUUAUGGUUGAGAUGUAUUAAUUUGUCAUAUUUUUGGAAAAUUAAAGUAAUGAGUAAUUACACUAAAUUAAAUUAUUGACCUUAUUAAUCAAUACCUCAAGAGUAUAAAAUAGUAAGAAAUGAUUAAUACAAACUUCAUUGAAAUAUUUUUAUACACAUUGUGUAAAUAUUCUUAUUUAAUAAAAGUUUAUAUGUCAUUAAAUAAAUAGAGAAUUUUAACAUUAAUUGCAAUGCUAAGUAGAGGAGAUCCCAUAUUUAAGUUGUUGAUUAAGGCUUAUUUGAUAAAACUUAAUAUAUAUUACUUAAUAACUUAAGUUGACUUUAAGUUAGAUAAUAUUUAAGUUAUUUCCUUAAAAUUUAUUAUUUAAUAUUUACUUUCAGUGUUAAAGUUAUUUGAUAAAGCUAAUUUAAAAAUCAUUUUAAAUUUUCAAAUUGUCAUAUUUACCUUCAUUAAUUUGAUAACUAGAUGCAGAUAAAUGAAAAAAAGAAAUGAGAUUAAGAAUAAGUUAAUUAUUUUGAUUUAACACUUAAAAUUAAAAGUAACUUUAAAAUAUAAUAUUAAGUUAUUUUAUCAAAUAUAUUUAAUAAUUAAAUUAAGUUAUUAAGUCAAUGACUGAUUACCAAACACCCUAUAAGACCUAGAAAAUCGAAUGAGUUUUAAUAGUAUUCAGGAUGGGUAUGACUAGGUGGUGGUUCAAUGUUGAUUAAUCAUAAUUCAAUCAAGGCAAAAUAUGUAACAAAUACAUGUCAAACUGCACCAUCCAAAUGGGCGCCAAGAAUGUUACAUUUGACAAAUGACAAAUGCCAUUAAACCUUUACAGCUAGCAAUUAGAAGAUCACUCUCUUCUUGUAUCUCUCUUUUUCUCCAAACUCCAGGAGGAAAAACUCGAACUCCAUUAUUUUGAUCACAGAAAACAUGGCAAAAAAGUGUGUUGUACUUCAUCUUGAAGCUCAUUAACUUCAUCUUAAUUUGAUCCAAAUUGCAGAAACAUUCGAAACUCCAUGAAUCUAUGGUGCCUUGGUGGCCUACAUUCAUAUAACUGGGGACACUUUGGUUUGCACUACAAUGACCCCCAAACAUGGUUUGUAGAGACUUUAUCAAAAUCACUAGCUUCAAAAGACUAAGGAAAGAAAAAUGUUCUCAAUGAAAACUUGGAGUCGAAUUGCAGAUAAAGACCUAAAACUCCCACUCAAUGUGUUUUAGGAAUUGUUCUUUCAUGGGGAUAAGCUGUUUGGUUUGUACAUGUCUCCUUGGUGAUACUUAGAGAUUGGUGAAGUAUACGUUUCCUUUGUGAUCUGGUUUGUAUCUGGGCAGAUGAAUGUUCAUGCCAGGUUCAUAUAUGUUUAUGAUAUAUGUCACCCUGGAAGGAUCUAGAUCAAGGGGAUGAGUUUGAAAAGCUUGAGUAGGUUUAAAAUGUUCCGAGAAUUGGUGAGCAUGAUAUAUAUCAACAUAUUGCAGAAGACAACAGAGCUUCUGAAAUAUGUCAGAUUCAAUAGUAGGACAUCUUAUCAGCUGUCACUUACUGUAAUUCUAUGCUCUCAAUAUUCAUUUGUUGAAGAAGAAAAAAAAAUUGCUUUAACACUAUUCAAUUACAGGAGAAUGUUCAAUUAUAGAAGAAAAUAAUAUUCGCUAGUCUCUUUCAACUGAAUCAACAUGCAGAGAAAGCAGUCAGGUGACCAGUUAUUCACAUAAUAACUUACAUACAUUGUCUCUCUACCUCUACUUGUUACUCAUCAGCCAAGCUUACAGUAAUAUAAGCUUGGGUUCAUCUCUCUAUGCCACUGAUGAAAACUCCACAUGGGCUUUGCCUUUCUGGUGAUUUUGCAUUUGGAUUCCAACCCUCUCCAAGUGAAGUGGACUUAUUCCUUCUUGCUAUCUGGACUGCAAAUGGAAGUUAACCGGUGCCAAGAGGAUCAAAAGUUGGGCUUACCACCAAUAGACGGCUUGUUCUCUAGAGGCUAAGAUAUGUGGAAGACAGACUGGUAAUGUGAGCAGCGAACCAGUGCAUGGUGCCAUGCUUGGAGAUGGAAAUUGCAUACCAGUGUAUGGGAGAGCUUCAAGCACCCGACUAAUACCAUAUUGCCAACCCAGGGAUUGGUGUUGGAGCCUACUGUGCAGUUGCUAUUUAUGAGGACCUGAGGUUUCCAAAUGGAACUGGAAGCUGUUGGAGGAAAAGACUUACCUCUUUCAAAUGGGAGGUUGGAUCAAACUGCUGUUUCCAGAAGUGCUCUAAUCAAGAUAUUGAAGUCCAGUGAACUAACUUCAGGCAGAGGCAACCAAAAUAAAGCAAUUCUAAUACUCUCAGUCCUCUUAGGCCCCUCUGUGUUCUUCUUCUUCAUUUCUCUGGCUGCAAUUUCUCUAGUUUUCUACUGCUUGAACCUCAAAAAUCUGCAGCUUUAUCACAGAAUCCUGAGUACAAGCGAUGGUAGAAGCCUUUGGCACUGUCUAUAAAGGGAUAUUACCAUCAGGUUCUGGAAAUUCUGUUGCUGAAAGAAGUUGGAGAAGGUGGUGGGAGAAGAUGAGAAAGAAUUCAAAGCAGAAGUGAAUGUGAUAGGCCAACUCACCAUAAGAAUCAAGGACACUAGCUGCGUUACUGUUGUGAGGGUGAACACUGAAUACUGGUGUUUUUUUUUUAUGCACAAUGGCUCUUUAUCAAGGUUCCUUUCUGGAGGCGCCCAAGGACUUGUGUACCUACAUGAAGAAUGCAGUAAACAGAUCAUCCAUUGUGACAUAAAGCCCUCAGAACAUAACUCUUGGAUGAUUCUUCUACAGCCAAAGUUGCAAACUUGGACUGGGAAAGCUUCUGAUAAGCAACCAGACUAGAACACUCACAGGCAUCAGAGGGACUAUGGGGUAUAUUCAGACAACUCGGGCAGCCUAUGUCUCUUAUAAUAACACAUUGUGAAGCAUCAGCUCAAUGCCGGGGUUCAAUCUGCAAAGCAAGGGAUUCAUCAAUGUUUCCUUCAAACUAAAUGAUAAGGAACAGAAAUGGAUCAUUCUGCAUUUUCAGUGGUGUUUGUUAUAGCAUUUAUACAAGAACUCUAGGGGUUUCUAUGUAUAACUUCAUUCCCAUUUUGUAUAAUCCAAAUCUCUUCAAUCGAUUAAAUGUAUAAAUGAAUCCUAUUCAUUGUUUGGAGUAACAACAAAAUUCUGGAAGACUGGGAAAGUUUCAACACUGGAGAGAAGACAAAAUGACAAGACCAUAAAUUCUGGAAGAGGGCUUUGCUUUCUAACCAUUACCAUAAUUUUUGAGCUCAACCCGGAUGAGUAAAUUAUAUUUCAGAAUGUUCAGGAGAUAAUUCUAAAGUGAUGAACCUUCUACUCACAGUUUCUUGUUCUUCUUGAACAGAGCAAUGAACAUCAAUAGUUCAGCACCCAGGAAUCUCCCCUUCCUCCAAUUCCCCCACUGGGAAAAGUCACCUUUCCAGUUAAGAAAAUCAUCAGGAUUAAUUUGAGCAAAACAUCAGAGUAUACAUCAAGAAAGCCUUGAUCAAAAUCAAAAUACAUCAAGAGCUGCCAUUUUCUUCUAUUUCCUCUUCCCUGAAUGGAAUGUCUUUUGGACUGAGGUGAUCAAUGGUAACAGUCUAACAUACUCCUUAAGCUCCGAUUGAGGUCAACGGGGAUUGGCACAUUUCAUGAUUGGCAAACAUGAAUCUCAGGAUAAUCAACAAGUCAACAACUAUCAAUCAGUAAGGAAAAGGAAAUACCUUUGGAUAUUUACAAAUAAAAAAUUUGAGAGAGUCCAGCUGCUCUGUACAGAAAGGCUUGAGCUUAUUCCAUGGCCAGGCUUUAGAUGGUUCUGAAUUAAGGAUGAGAGGGUUGAGUUUUCUUUCAUUCUGCAAUAAGAUUAAAAACAUCAAUGAAACGCUAAAAGUUUAUAUAUAGAAGCCCUUCUAAAGAUAAGAAUUGGUAAGAGAGCCCACCCAUGGUCUAGUAAAGCAACAUCUGUUAGAUAAGUAACCACCAUUCUAUUGUCCAACUAAUGCAUUUAGAUCUAAGAUAAGAUAUGGAAAAAUAGUCGAAAAUAGUUAAAGACAGUCCAAAAACUCAUUUGACUAAUAAUUUUCUAAAAACAGUAACAUAAAACCAGGAUGAAGAAUCCACCCCUCUACCUGACACCACUUCAAUACCAAAUAAAAUGUUAUGAUGACCAUUUAUGGUCUUAAGAGACAGUGGAUGUUGUUUGGGCUCAAGACCUAAGACAAGCCAAAAAUCAAGAAGAAAACAACAUCAAAAUUGGCACAGAAACAAGUACAUCAACUAUCUAAUAAAGAGAUUUAUGCAUGUAACAAAUGCAAAUGAAAUAUGAUCCAAGAUUUUCAUGGAUUAAACAAAAAUUAUUUGAAAUAUGAUCCAAGAUGGCAAAAUAGAAGGAUAAGGUCACAGACAGGACAAUAUUAAAAGAAAUUAUUAUUUUUCUGACCUGAAAAUCGAGGCAUUCAGAACAGUACAAGUUUGUAAGUAGUCCAUGGAAACCAGGGAACAUAUGCAGACGUUGUAUUCUAUUGCAUAAGGCAAACACUCAAUACUUACAAGCAUAAUCAUGCCCAGAAAGCCAUGAAUCCCUUUCUGUUUUGCUUUUUUACCUAUUCUCAUCUCUUAUGGCCAGAAGUGCCCAGGAUGAUACAACCUCACCAAAUAAGUUAGAAACCAGCCCAUUCAGCAGGUUGAGUAGCCAGCUUGCCCUCAAUCUUCUUUGAGUCAACAAACAGCUGGGCAUUAUUGCCUCCAAUGGAGGGUCUGGAAAUAUUAGAGCCGGCAGCAGGGGUGGCUGUAAAACUCUCUGUUCCAAAACCCCAAGUUUCAGGGCCAGAAGUUCCUUCUGUGGCUGGUUUGUUGUGAUGGCCAUUUCGGGUCCUAACAGACUUGCUAUUGUUGUCUGGGCACCUGCCUCAGAGAAAGCCUGCCAAAGAUUAGAGUCUGGGCCAGGGGAAACGGAUUUUCUUUGCUGGAGUUCCCAGUCUGUUGCUUCAAUCUUUUCUCUGUGCUGUUACGAGAAGAAAACCUAUCAGACACAUGAAUGGGUACAAAGAGGUAAACUUCAGGUUUUGGUUGUAUUGAAAAGCACAGGAAACUUCACAAGAGGCAAAUUAUACCCCAGGCUUAUUGAAGAAAAAUAAAGUACAAUUGACUUACCCAAAUGUCUACUUUCUCAUUUAUAGGUUUCCUCCUAAACAAAUCCCCACAUCUAGGACAGGAAAAGGAAGAAACUGGGAGUCGACAUUUUUUCAACCAAAAGCACUAACUUAUCAAAAAACAUAGUUUUCCAUUCAACCUCGGGAGCUGUACUUUCUGAUAUUGUCUUCUUCAAUGCCCAUUUCUUCAGGCUUCUUAAAGUGCUUAUGAUUGGUGGAGGUGCUUCCAAAAUCACACAACUUCCAUAAUCCAUUAGGGCCCAAUGGAAGAUUCUCAGCAUUUAUAUAAGAACUUCAGGGUUUAUACAUAUGAUCAUGUUACAGUAUAAAUCAUAGUGAACUGGUGGAAUUUGAUCAUUAGCCAACCUCAUCAAAAACUGUUUCACAGUUGAGGGGAUUGUUAACCUUGCCAUGGGCCAAGCAGCAAUUUCUGAAGAAGCUGGGUGACAAAAAGUACCAUCAUUUGGACUAGUUUCAAUGGAAAUUCCUCUGUUUUUAUACAUGAUAUCUUCAGCUUCAGCUUUUCCUUUUGCUUUUGACAUGGCUGAAACUGAUCCUGAAAUCAAAAAUCCCACACAAGUAGAUAUUUAACAGAAGAGGAUCCCAAUCUCUUCAAUUGAUUAAUGUAUAAAUGAAAUAAUAAAAAUAAUUAUAGGGAGAUGAACCUUAUACCUCUUGAGUUUCUUAGUCUUCUUGAACAGAGCAAUGAGCAUCAAGUGUUGAGCACCCAGGAAUCUCCCUUCCUCUACAGGGAAAAUCUGACAAUCUAUCUUUCUUCAUAUUCCACUUCCUUGCAAAAGUCAAAACAUGAAGAAAAUAUCAUCAAAAUUGAGGCAAAAAUAAGUGCAUCAACUGUCUCAAGAAGAGAUUUAUGCCUAUUGCUUACCUUUUGCAGAAUUCCACUUGGUUAGAGCACAUUUUACAUGGCCGCCCAAUCACUGCAAGCUGCUGAACCAAAGGAGAGUUCAAACAUCUAAAAAAUUUGACUAACUCAAGUAUCAUAAAAUACUUCACAUGAAUUCUAAAUGAUCUCAUAUCUAAAAAACUUUGGCAUAAAAUUAUUGUUGUUUACCUUACAUGUUUCUUCCAUGGUCAUAAUCGAAACUUUGUUUAUCAUAAGAAAUCUUCUAUGCUCAUCCUGAUUACUUACAAUGAACACUGAAAUGAAAGAAAAAAAAAACACAAAAAAUUUAAAUGUAUUUAAUUCCAAUUAAAUGAGUUUAAUCAAACACAUGAAAUUGUGAAUAAAAUUAUUUAAAAGCAUUGAAAUUCAUGUCAUUAAAGUUGUCCAUAAAAUUUGGUAUAUUGAAGCAAGAAAAAAACAAAGCAAUUUGAAUGACUUGCUAAUAAAGCAGGUAACUAGAAUAUGCCCUAGAGUUGUUCCGUGCCUUGUAUAUAAGAAAUUUAAAAAAAAAAAUCCUAAAAAGAAACAAACAAAAUAUCCAUGGUUCUUACGUUAUUUUUUCUUAAUUUUUCAAUAGUUAUAAAUGGUUCAUUUAAUUCUUGCAAACCACCAAAUCAAAGCAGAACAUGAAAAUGUAUUCAAUAUUUGUUUCAGGCUUGAAGCUUCAAGAAAAAGAAAAUCUUAAAUCAAAUAAAUAGGACUAGCAAAUGAAUUGGAACUUGAAAGAAAAGUUCAAGCGCAAAAGAAUUACCUGACUCUAUAUUGGCGGAGUGGCACUUUGAUUAAUAUAACACAUAAUUGAUCGUUAUUUUUGGAAUGUGAGCUAUAUAACGCCAUUCUUCCCCUUUCUCAAAUUGACACCGUUUUUCCAGUAAAGGACAUUUGUAGAUGUACAGAUCAGAGAGGGAGUCUGGAAGUCUCUCUUUUGUCAAGUAUUUGAGCUUACGACAGUUAUAGAUCCCUAAUGUUUUAAGAGAGGUGAGGUGUUGAAGACCCACUUUUGUCAAGGAUUGGAGCAUUGGGCAGUAAUUGAUCCCCAAACUUUCAAGAGAGGUGAGGUGUUGAAGACCCACUUUUGUCAAGGAUUGGAGCAUUGGGCAGUUUUCGAUCGACAACAUUUCAAGAGAGGUGAGGUGCUGAAGACCCACUUCUGUCAAUGAUUGGAGCCUCGAGCAUCCAUCAAUUUCUAAUCGUUUUAGAGAGAUAAGGUGUUGAAGAACCGAUCCUGUCGAGAACUGGAGCUCUGGGCAGUUUCUGAUCUGUAAUUGUAGAAGAGAGGUGAGUUGUUGAAGACCCCUGCUGUCAAGAGACUUGAGAUUCGAAAGCUCUACAAUUUGAAGAGAAGUCAGAGAAGAGGGCAGCAAACAGUCCUUGGGAAAUAAUUCAAUGUCUUCACAUCCACCGUUGAUUGUGAAAUGAGUAAGAGAGGUCAGCCUUUGCAAAUCGCACUCCACCUGGGGCGUGAAAUCGGUAAUUUCAAGUUUACGUAGGUUGGAAGGCAAACCCUCUCUCUGAAACAACAAUUCUGGACAAGACCCUAAAUUCAACUCCUGUACAGAUGAGUGUGCGUGUGCCAACGACCAGAGCUUGGAGCACCUAUAAAUCGAACAAGACUCCAAGUUGAGAGCGUGCAAUUCGAUAGAUUCAAGAUCAGGGCAACCAUCUAGAAACAGGGAACAUAAUGAUGUGGGAUCACCCUCUGAAACCAAAAUGGAGAGCUUCUCAAGCCCCUUAAGAUUAAGGAUUCUGAAAUGAGUCAACUUGGGGAAGAUGCCUAAUGAGAAGGAUAACGAGAGAGAAUCAUCGAUAACACCACGAUUGAUGAUUAGACUUUCAAGGACUGGGAGAUGGCAUCUGAACAACUCAGGUACGAGAAUCUCUAAUUUCGAGCACUCAUAGAUGACUAGUGAUUUCAGUGUAGUGGGUAAACCAACUUUGUGUAGGGAUCUAGAAAAACUACAGUCAUAGAUUUUCAGAUCAUGUAUGUUGGUUUGCGAGAUUUCCUCCUCUAGCAGAGACUCCACAUAAUCACAUUUUCUAAUUGAGAGCUGGUGUGGUGCCAUUGGAAGUUGACUCCACUGAGACACAUCUAAAAUUUCAAUUUCUGAAGUUUGAAGAGCUGUGAAGUCACAACCUGCCAUUUGCAACUGCAGUUUACCAAAAUCCAUCAUCCUCAAUCGACAAAUUGCAGGAACUGUGAGUGAAGCCAUAAGCAGUUGCGGACAUCCAUCAAUUUGAAAUUCCACCAAUGAAAGAAGUUGUUCUGGUAAUUUCCCAGAGAGUUUGGGACACCUUCGUAUAAAAAGCUUCUGGAGACGAGGGAAUUCUCCACGACAUAACCAUUUCUCCCAGUUCUGCAUAUCCUCAAAUGAUAGUGUUUCUAGGAAUUGAAAGGAAGCAUUCCCAUAGAACUCAUCACCCACACACUCUACUCCAUUCAUCCUUGAGAUUUGCAGAUAUUUAAGGUGGGUUAGCUGUCCAAGUGGUGGCAAUGUUGAGCAAUUGCCACAACCCCGAAGCUCAAGGGACACGACAUUCAACACUGAAGGAUCUCCAAGCCAAUUUGGAAAUCCUUCACCAGGAUAGUUUGUGAUGGAGAGUUGUUUUAAAUUUGGAUGAGGUUGUAACUUGUUGAGUAUAUCAUGCGUUGUUGCACCACUUUGUGUAACACCAUUGGUACACUUGUCACCCCAACCAAAGAUUAACUCAUCAAGAUAACUUUUAUCCUUCAUAUUAGCCCUUGAUGCAUCAUUAACACUCACCACAUUCUCCAUGUUUGAAAUAUAAAGUUUUCCUCGAAGCUCUGACAGCUCCCCCAAUUCUCCAAUUCUUAAUCCAUUGUUUUGGCUCACAAUAAAUCGAGUCAACCUUUGUAAAUUUUUUAAUCGACCAAUUCCAUGACUUGAUAUUUCUCUCAAUGAACCACAUCCAUCAAUAUCAAGAUAGCGCAAAUUAAUCAAUUUUCCCAUCUUUGAAGGCAAUUCAUUAAGUUUUGAACAUUUUCUUAGCAUCAUCGUUUGUAAAUUGCAUAAACAACAUACUGAUUCAGGUAAUUUUUGAAUCAAUGUUAAAGACAAAUCCAAGUAACGUAAAUGUUUCAAAUUACCUAUCGAUUUAGGCAAAUCAGUUAUUCUAUAUGCACAUAAUGAUAACACACGUAAACACCACAUUUUUGGUAAUAUAUCUUGCAAAACUCUUUUACUCAAAUCAUAACGAUAAAAGUCUUCUUCUGUCUUCACUUCUAAGAAUGUCCGAAGAGAUUCAGCUUUAGUCAUAGCCUCAAAAUUCUUAAAUGCAACCAACGAGGUAUAAUCAUCACUUUUAAAGUACAAAAAGUGGUGAGCCUUCUCAGAUACUUUUGGUAACUUAUCAUCAUCUUCCACUCGAGCACAAAAAUCUCCAGACACGUGUUGAGCCAAUUCAUGUAUUAGAUCAUGCAUUACAAAGCAUGAUCCUUUUAUUCCAACAGAUUUUUGAAAGAAAGACUUGGCAAGAAGCUCAUCAAAAUAUGACUCACCGAUCCCUUCCAUUCUCCUUCCUUCGUUUUGUCGUGGAUGUAAAAGACCUUCUGCCAUCCAUAAUAAAAUCAGCUUCUCUUUGUUGAAUUGGUGGUCCUGGGGAAAAAUAGAACAAUAAGCAAAACAAUGCUUCAGAGGUAAAGAAAGAUGAUGGUAGCUUAAUAUCAAAGACGGAAGAAUUUCGGAGCCACUAUGCGGAUGCCAUAUAUCACUUUUCAACACAUCGUCCCAUUCCCUUUUUUCAACCUUAGAAUACAAGAGACAGCCGAGUGCUUUCACAGCCAA